This 243956-nucleotide long non-coding RNA is filed under the name Brassica napus (rape). Its description in RNAcentral is "long non-coding RNA (BNAP_LNC010500)". The stretch from base 226666 to 226788 matches the Rfam family "MIR9563 microRNA precursor family". Lineage: Eukaryota; Viridiplantae; Streptophyta; Magnoliopsida; Brassicales; Brassicaceae. The record is from RNAcentral.
ACAUGGACUUGUUUCAGGACAUGGAGCACCAAAAUUACCAUCCUUUCUUGAUAAUUCCGAGGGAGCACAGCAACAUAUCAGAAAGCCCUGAUGAAUGGCCACAGUCUCUAUUUAAUAGACCUCGCAAAAGCUCACAAGGGCCUCUUCCCAAAAAGCCUAAACUGGAUGCUGCCUAAAGUAGCACAUGCCCAGGGCUGAUGAUACUCUGGUUAUUAUGAUGUUGGACGACCUUGCUUAUGUUCCGAUCUUGCUUGCUUCACAAGACUUUAUUGAUAGUUAAAGUUUAAAAAGCCAAUGACUAGUUCCGUUUAUAUGGAAGAAUGAGUUUUGUGAAGGCUAUAUACCAUGUCUCCUUACCACUUGACAAUCAACUGUGCUAAUAAUAUGGGUUCUAAAGUGUACAGUUCCAAUGAAUCGGGCUUUUGCAGGUGGUUUUGUCACUUUUUUUUCUCGAGGUUUUAGUAUGGUUCUUUCUUUGUAUUCUAUACAUCAGCCAGUCAAACCAGAAUAUCAGAAUCAGAUUUCAAUUUUCGUCAGAUGCAUCGGUUUAUCUUUUAUGGUGAAUUUAUCUUAUGCAAACCCUCUUCCAGGUUGCUUGUGUGACACUUCUGAUGAACAAGCAUGUCCGAACUGGUUUGAAAGACCAAUUUACGAGAACAGUCCUUCUAAGAAAUUAAGAUGAUCAGACAUAUAGAGGGGGUUCACGUUUGGUAUAGACAAUAGAAUUUCUUGGGUUACUUAUUUAUUUACGUAAUUAGACAGGGAUUUCAAAACUUUUUAGGGUUUCCCCAAAAAAAAGGAAAAGAAUGCACAGAUCCGUUCCGUUGAAAUUUUGUCAAUACCCUUGAUAUUUUCCUUUUUUAAAAAAAAAAUUUGAGAUCCAAGAGGGCUAUAAAAACAUAUGCCCUCAUAGAUAUCUCAGCUUGAAAGCAAGGUCUAACCCUAGCUAGAAGGAAGGUCUCUCCAAUUCUCAUCGUCAUCUCCGCAGAACCAUGGGCGAAGACGAUACCAUCGGUUUUGAGUCCUGUACGAUCUCUCUCCAUCUAAAUUUGUUUUGUUAGAUUUCAUCUGAUUCGAUUAUAGCGGAAGUAAUGGUUUAUUUUUUCUAAUUUUUUCGUAAAUUCGUUUGUGCGUAGUGAAGCAGACGCUCGUGUACUGGAACAUGGAUGACUACCCAAUCCCUGUAGAUACUACCGAUGAUCUUGAUCCUGUUUUUCGUGAUAUCUUAAAAGCUCUUCAUGUAAUGGGCUUUCGUGAGGGGUCUAUGCCUAGAUUUUUCUAUUUUUGAAAAUUUAUUAUAAAUGGUAUUUUAUUUAACCUCUCUUUAUUGCAUGUAUGUAUGGCUCAGAGCGUAUCCCAACCGUCAGAGGGCCUAGGACAGCCGUCUUCUGGGACGCCGUGGAUUGCCCUUUCCCUCCUUCUUCCACCCCUGAUGAGAUCUACCACUCUAUCUCAUCAGCUCUUGUUGAAAGGUAUCUUAGUGAUAAUAUUACUAUCUGGGCCUAUCUUGAUGAUGAUGAUGAUGACAAGAAAGGGUCUGCCUUACUGGGUGGUGACAAGACGUGGGCUUCCAGAAUCUACUUUCUUCCCGGAGGUGUGAUCAUUUCCCCCUCUCUUUUUUUUUUCCUCGUCUUUAUAUGUCUACUCUCACUUGCAUUUGUUAAUAUUUAUUUAUUUGAUUUUUUUUUUUCCUUUUUCCAGGGGAUAAAGCCUCGAGACGUAUCAGAAUGUUAAAUGACAUGUUUUUAUUGGCAAGGGACUCUCCUCAGUGCAGUAGUUAUGACGCUAGUUUGGUCCUGUUCGCAGAUCAGUUCAUAGGUGCCGCCUACUACAUCAAUAUGCUUCAAAGAUUGGAUGACAUUCGUUACCAUAUUCUCUUAGUCACUCCGACUCUGGACAUCAACAAACCCGAAACCCCUCAAUGGCCCGGAUUGCUUAUGGAUAGAGGCGCAGCCAGUUUUGCUCUUGAAACUAGCAAAAUCUCUGAAGCCCAUGCCGCCGCAGAAGAAGAAGAAACACCUAAGAAGCUGGACACGCAUGGCAAACUUCUCUCGGAAACUGAGGACAUGAAGAAACCAGAAAGCUCUGAAUGUCCAGGACGGCAAAUAGAUGGAGGAUCAGGCUGGGGAAGCUCUGAAGAACCUUGUCCCAGAAAGCAUAAAGCCGGUGCGGCCGAAGAAACAUCUGAUGCGGCCGUAGGGGUUGGGACUAGCUAGCUUCUGUUGUCGUAGCCCGGUGGAUGUUUAUUUAAGUUUUUAUUUAUCAAAAUUUAAGUUCUUAUUUAUCAAAAUGUCUGCUAUAUUUAAGUUUGUACUUGUAUUUUGAACUUCAAACUCCGUUGUAGUAAUUUUAUGACUUCUCUUUUUAUUCUUGCAAUCUUUGGUUUUUCUUGUUGUUGUCUUCCUUCUGUUUAACCGCCAACAAACUCGGGCAUUGUUGUUUUUCUUCAAAUUCAUUUGCUACACCAUAAUCCCAGCAUCUUGUAAUCGGGGAAAGGAUUAUUCCCUUCUAAACCAUUUCCAACCUGAAUCCAAACAAGUGAUAUGCACUAAUACGACUGAAAUGUUAUAAAUUAAUUAAUUUAACCAAACAAAAUCGUUUAAGUUGAACUUAUGUUAGAGUCAAUGUAGAUUUAUGCACAUUCCAUAAAGUUCAGAUAGUUUAUUUGAAUUAUAAUCAUAUUAGAGUCGUAUUUAGCACAAACAUUAAGCAGGAUGGAAGUUGUUCGGUCAAAAUAAAUAUUUUCACUCUUGUAAGUUUAUAGUUGUUCUGAGAAGGUGCUAAUGUUGAAAUGGCUUGUCACAAAGCAUAACCAAACAUCCAUUCCUCAGAGACUUCCUCUUCCCUCCAACCUUAAAUCAUAAUCAGAUUCUACUUCUCUUACCAUGUGUUUAAUUGAUAAGCUUCCACAUUCUCAAAUCUUUCUUUUUCUGGGCAACAAUUCUAUGUUUGAUAUUUCUGAUUGGAAGAGAUAAAAUUUAUAGAUUUCCUCAGGAGUAGAAUAAACCUCGUUUGCUCCUUUCAAGUCCUUUUGAUGCAUCUGAAAUCUUGAAAAGACAUUUGCAAGCAUCUUUGUUGUCUUCACAAUCUUUCUUUGCUCUCAGUAAUAUUAGGAAAGGAUCAACCAGCUCUUCUUUUUUCAUGUCCUUUUUUAUGUACCUGGAAAUCUUGAAAAGACAUUUUUCGAUCAUGUUGUAUGUUGGUGCUCUUGGCUAAGUUGUUUCAGAACAUCAAAGGAGGAGGAGAUCUUGGAUUGGAAAAGGCAAGAAAGAAGUUCAUCAAGCACCCUAAGCCUCAAGAUUCGUCAACAGGAGGGGAGAUUGUGAAGUUUGAAGCUGAUGACUGGGAGAUAUUGUUAAUGUCUGGGGAAGAGAGUGAGAGCAAAAAGAACUUGAUGGCACAAAACACUGAGUUUUAGUCUAACAUUUUUAAUAUCAAAUCUUUGAAACUUUGUGAAUCCCCUAUACAUUAUUUGAUAAGUGGUUUUGACAAGUGUCUUUUUUACAUUCAUUAUCACUAAAAAAUAAUGACAUGGAUUUCAAAAAAAGAUGGCAUGACAUCAAUUUAAUUAUAUGUAAAAUAUCCUUAUAAAACAUUAUAAUUUUUGGAAAGACUUUUUAAAUAUGGUAUUAGCUAAUAAAUUUUACAUAAAAUAAACUUUAUGUAUAAAUAUUAUUUUAGUAAGAAUUUUGGAAUAUAUUAGUAACUAAUAUAUCAUAUAUCUCCAUUACAAUAAUAUAUAUACAUAUAUAUAUAUAUAACAUUAAUAAACAAAUAAACUAAAUAUAAGUACAUUGUAAAAAAAUUCACGUUAACUUAUAUAUCCAUUUUUUAUAAAUAAAUAAAUAUAUAUAUAUACAUAUAUUAAAAUUAAUUGUAAAUGUGCUUUAAAAUACAAAACUAAAGCAAUAUUAAUCAAAUAAAAAUUUAUUGAUAAUUAAUGUUUAAAUUUUUUUUUAGCAUUUAUUGGUUUAUUUAGGGUUUCCCCAAAAAAAAGGAAAAGAAUGCACACAGAUCCGUUCCGUUGAAAAUAUGUCAGCACCCUUGAUAUUUUCCUUUUUUAAAAAACAAAAAAUUGAGAUCCAAGAGAGAUAUAAAAACAUGCCCUCAUAGAUAUCUCAGCAAGCUGCAGCCUAGCUCUCUCAUCCGUCCGUGGAGAAAAGCAUUCAAAGCAAGAUCUAACCCCUAGCUAGAAGGAAGGUCUCUCCAAUUCUCAUCGUCAUCUCCGCAGAACCAUGGGCGAAGACGAUACCAUCGGUUUUGAGUCCUGUAAGAUCUCUCUCCAUCUAAAAUUGUUUUGUUAGAUUUCAUCUGAUUCGAUUAUAGGGGAAGUAAUGGUUUAUUUUUUCUAAUUUUUUCGUAAAUUCGUUUGUGUGUAGUGAAGCAGACGCUCGUGUACUGGAACAUGGAUGACUACCCAAUCCCUGUAGAUACUACCGAUGAGCUUGAUCCUGUUUUUGGUGAUAUCUUAAAAGCUCUUGAUGUAAUGGGCUUUCGUAAUGGGCAUAUAGACGUGUAUCUGUAUUCUGAGCAAAUCAACAGGGAGGAGGCUGUAGUCGACUGGACUUUACCCGAAAGUAAAUUCCUCACUCUCCUUUGCUCGUCAUCGUUUCUAUUUUAAAUUAUAUAUAUAUAUAUAUUGUAAUCGGACUUGUUUCUCUGUUGUUGUUUGUAGGCGAAUCUUACGGCGCUUGUGUUUACAAAGUGCCGGAUAUCACUUUGUAUAUGAUUCGUCACGCAUCGUGUAUUGGACCAGGACCAGUGAAUUUUUUUGUAAUUGCAAAACCAAAAAGGGAGUUACAUAGGGUUCUGCACUGUUUGCAAUCAAGGCGUCACAAUGUUCUUCUAGUAAAGCCGCCGCCUCCUGAUGAAGAAUUUCUCUUUAGUGUAGCCUCUCUACUUGAGAAUGCUCGAUUUUUAGGUGGAGGAAAGCCUAGAUUCAAAGAAUUAUAUGCUUCUUAUGCGCUUGAGUAUGAUAUGUGCUUUGAAGAGUAUGUAGACAUCCCAGAAGAUCUCUCCAGGACGGUAGAUUUCUCCGGUAAGACCCCAAAUUGUUUCUAGAUUUUUCUAUUUUUGAAAAUUUAUUAUAAAUGGUAUUUUAUUUAACCUCUCUUUAUUGCAUGUAUGUAUGGCUCAGAGCGUAUCCCAACCGUCAGAGGGCCUAGGACAGCCGUCUUCUGGGACGCCGUGGAUUGCCCUUUCCCUCCUUCUUCCACCCCUGAUGAGAUCUACCACUCUAUCUCAUCAGCUCUUGUUGAAAGGUAUCUUAGUGAUAAUAUUACUAUCUGGGCCUAUCUUGAUGAUGAUGACAAGAAAGGGUCUGCCUUACUGGGUGGUGACAAGACGUGGGCUUCCAGAAUCUACUUUCUUCCCGGAGGUGUGAUCAUUUCCCCCUCUCUUUUUCUUCUCUCACUUGCAUUUGUUAAUAUUUAUUUAUUUGAUUUUUUUUUUUCCUUUUUCCAGGGGAUAAAGCCUCGAGACGUAUCAGAAUGUUAAAUGACAUGUUUUUAUUGGCAAGGGACUCUCCUCAGUGCAGUAAUUAUGAAGCUAGUUUGGUCCUGUUCGCAAAUCAGUUCAUAGGUGCCGGCUACUACAUCGAUAUGCUUCAAAGAUUGGAUGCCAUUCGUUACCAUAUUCUCUUAGUCACUCCGACUCUGGACAUCAACAAACCCGAAACCCCUCAAUGGCCCGGAUUGCUUUUAGAUAGAGGCGCAGCCAGUUUUGCUCUUGAAACUAGCAAAAUCUCUGAAGAACCUCCUAGCCCCAAAAAGCAUGAAGCCCUUGCCGCCGCUGAAGAAGAAGAAACACCUAAGAAGCUGGACACGCAUGGCAAACUUCUCUUGGAAACUGAGGACAUGAAGAAACAACAAAGCCAUGAAUGUCCAGGACGGCAAAUAGAUGGAGGAUCAGGCUGGGGAAGCUCUGAAGAACCUUAUCUCAAAAAGCAUAAAGCCGGUGUGGCCGAAUAAACAUCUGAUGCGGCCGACGAAACACCGUAGGGGUUGGGACUAGCUAGCUUCUGUUGUCGUAGCCCCGUGGAUGUUUAUUUAAGCUUUUAUUUAUCAGUAUUUAAAUUUUUAUUUAUCAAAAACUCUGCUAUAUUUAAGUUUGUACUUGUAUUUUGAACUUCAAACUCUGUUGUAGUAAUUUUAUGACUUCUCUUUUUAUUCAUGCAAUCUUUGGUUUUUCUUAUUGUUGUCUUCCUUCUGUUUAACCGCCAACAAACUCGGGCAUUGCUGUUUUUCUUCAAAAUCAUGUGCUACACCAUAAUCCCAGCAUCUUGUAAUCGGGGAAAGGAUUAUUCCCUUCUAAACCAUUUCCAACCUGAAUCCAAACAAGUGAUAUGCACUUUUUUUUUGUCACAAAUUUCAUUAAUUUAAAUCUAAAAGGUCUCAACGAUUACAAACCGGAGUAGUUUCGACGGUACAAUGAACAAAAGAAGAAGCAGUAAAGCAAUAACACAUGAGAUAGAAGUGUUUAAAGGAGAGGCUUGCUCAAAGUAGAGAGAUCGGCAAAAAAAUCUUCACUUGAAUCCUUGAAACCACAGCCCGGAAGAGCUUCAAAUAGUCUGAGACGACGUUGAAAUACCCUAGUGAAAGGGAUUUGGAGGAGUUCAAUACUGGCUUGAACACCAAAAAAGAUUCACCUCUCGUGGAGAGGGAUGCAGGAGAGUCUAUCUCAACCGCAAUAGUAUCAAAAGGCCUUAAUUGCCUGGAUUUAUCAUUGAAACGCACACGAACAGCUCUAAAAACUGCAAGACUUACCCAAGAGACUAGGUGAAUCUCUAACUCUAGCUUCACUUUCGAAGAGCUUAGGACAAUGGAGUUUGGUGACGAAGUAUACGGUUUAAUCGGGUCAGAAGCUCGGACCUUGACAUUACCGUGUCUAGGCCAACUUAUUGUAACCGGAAGAAACUUGAGCAAACUGUCAUCGUACUCGUUUCCGUUGAGCGUGAGUGAGUAAGCAUCGGAUAAGAGGCAGUGAGAUUUGGAAUAGUCGGGUUGAAGCCUUAACUGCUUGGAUAUUGAAAUAAGGUUUCGAUGAGAUGCAGUAAGAGGAGACUCAAAGGAUAUGCGAUCCUUCACAAAAGAGCUCCCGAUUAGGGUUUCACCAGAGUCGGAGUGGAAGCUAAGGCCGCCGUGAGAGGAAGAUGAACCAUCGACUGAUGGGGCAUUGCGUUCACCGGAGCAUACCAGAACCAUAGCGGUGCUUGACGAAGGAGAUACAUGUACGAUGGAGAGGAAAGCUCCUCCUCCGGUGAGACAGAUCUGAAUUGUCUCUGUUCUUGACCCACGGUAGUAGAUCUCGUGGAAGAAACAUGAUGCCCUAAAUCCGGAGGUGGAGAUGGAGGGAAGUGAAAUAGGUGGGGAGGAGUGAGGCGGCGUCUGGUGAAGAUCUCGAAGAGAGGAUGAAGACGGUGGCUUUGAUUGGGAUGUAACCAUUGGGUCCGGUGGGUCAGGUGGAUCUGGAGGAUCUCGUGGGUGAAGAGGAUUUAACAGCACCGAAGCAAACAUCCACCGACGGCAAGCGAGAGAGAAGACCAGAUCCUGGUUCAUCGGCGCGGAGGGAGGUAGCGGGAGCAGAGCCAUCGGAAAAACUCAAACGAACUCGACGUCGGUGAAAGGAGCACAAUCGUUGGCCAGAGACAAGGACGAGGAGGAGCUUCAACUAGGAAGAGAACGCACCAACCGUGCCGGAGAAACAACGGUAGAACGAGCUCAUUUUUGUCGUUGCGGCUUCCUUGGUUUCCGUGUCUGAGAGAGAAGCUUCUCACAUCACAUGAUUCUCUAUAACAAGUGAUAUGCACUAAUACGACUGAAAUGUUAUAAAUUAAUUACUUUAACCAAACAACAUCGUUUAAGUUGAACUUAUGUUAGAGUCAUUGUAGAUUUAAUUCCAUGAAGUUCAGAUAGUUUAUUUGAAUUAUAAUCAUAUUAGAGUCGUAUUUAGCACAAACAUUUAGCAGGAUGGAAGUUGUUCGGUCAAAUAAAUAUUUUCACUCUUGUAAGUUUAUAGUUGUUCUGAGAAGGUGCUAAUGUUGAAAUGGCUUGUCACAAAGCAUAAACAAACAUCCAUUCCUCAGAGACUUCCUCUUCCCUCCAACCUUAAAUCAUAAUCAGAUUCUACUUCUCUUACCAUGUGUUUAAUAGAUAAGCUUCCACAUUCUCAAAUCUUUCUUUUUCUGGGCAACAAUUCUAUGUUUGAUAUUUCUGAUUGGAAGAGAUAAAAUUUAUGGAUUUCCUUAGGAGUAGAAUAUACCUCGUUUGCUCCUUUCAAGUCCUUUUGAUGCAUCUGAAAUCUUGAAAAGACAUUUGCAAGCAUCUUUGUUGUCUUCGCAAUCUUUCUUUGCUCUCAGUAAUAUUAGGAAAGGAUCAACCAGCUCUUCUUUUUUCAUGUCCUUUUUUAUGUACCUGGAAAUCUUGAAAAGACAUUUUUCGAUCAUGUUGUAUGUUGGUGCUCUUGGCUAAGUUGUUUCAGAACAUCAAAGGAGGAGGAGAUCUUGGAUUGGAAAAGGCAAGAAAGAAGUUCAUCAAGCACCCUAAGCCUCAAGAUUCGUCAACAGGAGGGGAGAUUGUGAAGUUUGAAGCUGAUGACUGGGAGAUAUUGUUAAUGUCUGGGGAAGAGAGUGAGAGCAAAAAGAACUUGAUGGCACAAAACACUGAGUUUUAGUCUAACAUUUUUAAUAUCAAAUCUUUGAAGCUUUGUGAAUCCCCUAUACACUAUUUGAUAAGUGGUUUGACAAGUGUCUUUUUUACAUUCAUUAUCACUAAAAAAUAAUGACAUGGAUUUAAAAAAAAAUGGCAUGACAUCAAUUUAAUUAUAUGUAAAAUUUCCUUAUAAAACAUUAUAAUUUUUGGAAAGACUUUUUAAAUAUGGUAUGCUAAUAAAUUUUACAUAAAAUAAAUUUUAUGUAUAAAUAUUAUUUUAGUAAGAAUUUUAAUAUAUUAGUAACUAAUAUAUCAUAUAUCACCAUUACAAUAAUAUAUAUAUAUAUAUAACAUUAAUAAACAAAUAAACUAAAUAUAAGUACAUUGUAAAAAAAAUCACGUUAACUUAUAUAUCCAUUUUUUAUAAAUAAAUAAAUAUAUAUAUAUACAUAUAUUAAAAUUAAUUGUAAAUGUGCUUUAAAAUACAAAACUAAAGCAAUAUUAAUCAAAUAAAAAUUUAUUGAUAAUUAAUGUUUAAAUUUUUUUUUAGCAUUUAUUGGUUUAUUUAGGGUUUCCCCAAAAAAAACGAAAAGAAUGCACACAGAUCCGUUCCGUUGAAAAUAUGUCAGCACCCUUGAUAUUUUCCUUUUUUAAAAAACAAAAAAUUGAGAUCCAAGAGAGAUAUAAAAACAUGCCCUCAUAGAUAUCUCAGCAAGCUGCAGCCUAGCUCUCUCAUCCGUCCGUGGAGAAAAGCAUUCAAAGCAAGAUCUAACCCCUAGCUAGAAGGAAGGUCUCUCCAAUUCUCAUCGUCAUCUCCGCAGAACCAUGGGCGAAGACGAUACCAUCGGUUUUGAGUCCUGUAAGAUCUCUCUCCAUCUAAAAUUGUUUUGUUAGAUUUCAUCUGAUUCGAUUAUAGGGGAAGUAAUGGUUUAUUUUUUCUAAUUUUUUCGUAAAUUCGUUUGUGUGUAGUGAAGCAGACGCUCGUGUACUGGAACAUGGAUGACUACCCAAUCCCUGUAGAUACUACAGAUGAGCUUGAUCCUGUUUUCGGUGAUAUCUUAAAAGCUCUUGAUGUAAUGGGCUUUCGUGAUGGGCAUAUAGACGUGUUUCUGUAUGAUGAGCAAAUCAACAGGGAGGGGGCUCUAGUCGACUGGACUUUACCCGAAAGUAAAUUCCUCACUCUCCUUUGCUCGUCAUCGUUUCUAUUUUAAAUUAUAUUUAUAAUGUAAUCGGACUUGUUUCUCUGUUGUUGUUUGUAGGCGAAACUUACGGCGCUUGUUUUUACAAAGUGCCGGAUAUCACUUGGUAUAUGAUUCGUGACUCAUCAUUUUACAGAGCAGGACCAGUAAAUUAUUUUGUAAUUGCAAAACCAAAAAGGGAGUUACAUAGGGUUCUGCACUGUUUGCAAUCAAGGCGUCACAAUGUUCUUCUAGUAAAGCCGCCGCCCCCUGAUGAAGAAUUUCUCUUUAGUGUAGCCUCUCUACUUGAGAAUGCUCGAUUUUUAGGUGGAGGAAAGCCUAGAUUCAAAGAAUUAUAUGUUUCUUAUGCGUCUGAGUAUGAUAUGUGCUUUGAAGAGUAUGUAGACAUCCCAGAAGAUCUCUCCAAGACGGUAGAUUUCUCCGGUAAGACCCCAAAUUGUUUCUAGAUUUUUCUAUUUUUUGAAAAUUUAUUAUAAAAUGGUAUUUUAUUUAACCUCUCUUUAUUGCAUGUAUGUAUGGCUCAGAGCGUAUCCCAACCGUCAGAGGGCCUAGGACAGCCGUCUUCUGGGACGCCGUCGAUUGCCCUUUCCCUCCUUCUUCCUCUCCUGAUGAGAUCUACCACUCUAUCUCAUCAGCUCUUGUUGAAAGGUAUCUUAGUGAUAAUAUUACUAUCUGGGCCUAUCUUGAUGAUGAUGAUGAUGACAAGAAAGGGUCUGCCUUACUGGGUGGUGACAAGACGUGGACUUCCAGAAUCUACUUUCUUCCCGGAGGUGUGAUCAUUUCCCCCUCUCUUUUUUUUUUCCCGUCUUUAUAUGUUACUCUCACUUGCAUUUUAUUUGAUUUUUUUUUUUUUCCUUUUUCCAGGGGAUAAAGCCUCGAGACGUAUCAGAAUGUUAAAUGACAUGUUUUUAUUGGCAAGGGACUCUCCUCAGUGCAGUAGUUAUGACGCUAGUUUGGUCCUGUUCGCAGAUCAGUUCAUAGGUGCCGCCUACUACAUCAAUAUGCUUCAAAGAUUGGAUGACAUUCGUUACCAUAUUCUCUUAGUCACUCCGACUCUGGACAUCAACAAACCCGAAACCCCUCAAUGGCCUGGAUUGCUUAUAGAUAGAGGCGCAGCCACUUUUGCUCUUGAAACUUGCAAAAUCUCUGAAGAACCUCCUAGCCCCAAAAAGCAUGAAGCCCUUGCCGCCGCUGAAGAAGAAGAAACACGUAAGACGCUUCAAAUGAUAUGAGUGCCAUGAGUGACUUCUUUGAUCCACUUCGUUUUUACAAGUGUGUUUUUGCUUAACUUUUAGUUAAUUGGCAUAUAUUCAAUUGUGUAAGUUUUUGUGUAGAAUCUCAGCUUGAUAAUGCACAACUUUUAGGUGGAGGCAUGAGGAGGAUUACGAAUGCAUGUUUGGACAGGGAUUUCAAAUCUUUUUAGGGUUUCCCGAGAAAAAAAAGGAAAAGCAUGCUACUUCGGUUGAAAAUAUGUCAACACCCUUGAUAUUUUCCUUUCUAAAAACAUGCCCUCUCUCAUCCGUAAUGAAUUAAGGAUAUUUUCUUAAAUAGAAAAGGAAAUCCAAGUUUUGAAAUUUUUAUAAAUAUGGAUGUAAUGGAUUGUAAAUUGUUCGUUCACAUAAUCCAUAUACAAAUUCUAAACAGAUAUUUGUUUCAAUAGCUUUUUGCUUUAUUAAGUUUCUUUUGAUUUUUUUUCAAAGUUAAUAUAACUUUGUUGUUCAUUCACAAAAAAAACCUAACUCCUAACUUAGCUAGAACACCAUGGGCGAAGACGAGGCCAUCGAUUUUGAGUCCUGUAAGAUCUCUUUCCAUCUCUUACCCCCUAAAUUGUUUGUUAGAUUUCAUCUGAUCGAUUAUAGCGAAAUGAUGUUCUUUUUUUUUUAAUUUUCCGUAGUGAAGCAGACACUGGUGUUCUGGAACAUAGAUGACUACCCAAUCCCUGUAGAUGCUACCAAUAAUCUUGGUCCUAUUUUUGGUGAUAUCUCAAAAGCUCUUCAUCUAAUGGGCUUUCGUGAUGGGCAUAUGACUGUGUGGCUGUAUUCUGAGCAACUGAACUACGACAGAAAAGAGGUGGGCGAGGCAGAAGUAAUCUACCACUACUUACCCCAAAGUGAGUUUCCUCACAACAACACUCUCUUUUGCUCGUCAUUUCUUUUUUUAAUUACAUAUGUAAUGAUCUGAGUUCUUUUCUCUGUUUGAUAUAUAUAGGUAUGUCUUAUUCAGCUGCACUUUACAAAGUGCCGGCCAUGACUUUGUAUAUGAUUCAGUACGCAUCAAAUAUUGGACCAGGACCUGUAAAUCUUUUGGUAAUCGCAAAACCAAAAAGGGAGUUACAUAGGGUUCUGCAGUGUUUGAAAUCGAGGCGUCACAAUGUUCUUAUAGUCGAGCCACCGCCGCCUGAUGAAAAAUUUCUCUUUAGUGUAGACUCUCUACUUGAGAAUGCACGAUUUUUAGGUGGAGGAAAGCCUAGAUUCAAAGCUUUAUUAAGUCAUUAUGCGCUUGAGUAUGAUACCUCCCAAGACUAUUAUGUAAAGAUCAAAGAAGAUGUCUCCAAGACGGUAGAUUUCUCUGGUAAGUCAUUGUUUGUUUUAGAUUUCAUCCAUUCAUAAUAAUAUUAUUACAAAUGGUAUUUAUUUAACCUCUCUCUCUCUCUAUCUAUUGCAUGGAUGGCUCAGAGCGUAUCCCAACCGUCAAAGGGGUUAGGACAGCCGUCUUCUGGGAUGCCGUGGAUUGCCCAUUCCCUCUUUCUUCCACCCCUGAUGAGAUCUACCACUCUAUCGCAUCAGCUCUUGUGGCAAAGGGUUUUAGUGCUAGGAUUAAAAUCUGGGCCUAUCUUGAUGACGACAAGAAAGGGUCUUGGAGGGAUGUGUUACUGGGUGACAAGACGUGGGCUUCCAGAAUCUACUUCCUUCCCGGAGGUGAAAUUUCCCCUCUUUUUCUUUAUAUAUCUACUUUGUAAUCUUUACCUCUCACUUCCGUUUGAUAAUAGUAUUUAUUUAUUUAUUUUUCCUUUUCUAGGGGAUAAAGCCUCGAGACGUAUCAGAAUGCUAAAUGACAUGUAUUUAUGGGAAAGGGACUCUUCUAGGUCGACCAGGUCUUAUGAAGCAAGUUUGGUCCUGUUCGCAGAUCAGUUCAAAGAUGACGCCUACUACGUCCACAUGCUUCAAAAAUUGUUGAAUGACAGACGUUGCGAUCUUGUCUUAGUCAAUCCGACUCUGGACAUCAACAAACCAGAAACCCCCGAAUGGCCGGGAUUGCUAUUAGAUAAAGGAGCAUCCUGGUUUGCUGACGAAACAAGCGAAAUCUCUGAAGAACCUAGCCCCCAAAAGCAUGAAGCCGAAGAAGAAAUACCUGAGAAGCUUCCAGUUAUGAGUGACAUGGAUUAUUGUCGUUUUGGGGAUUAAACAAGCGAAAGCUCUGAAGAUGAGGACAUGAACAAACCAGAAAGCCGUGAAUGGCCACCAGGAUUGCUAAUAGAGGGAGGAUCAGGCGUGGAAAGCUCUGAGGAACCUUGUCCCGAAAAGCAUAAAGCCGAUGCCGCCGAAGAAGAAGAAACACCUGAGAAGCUUCCCGUGUAUCGCUGGGAUCCUAUUACUCUGAUGUACAAACUAAAAAGCCUUGGAUGAACAGGCUGUGAAAGCUCUGAAGAACCUUGUCCCAAAAAGCGUGAAGCCGAUGCGGCGGCCGAAGUAGAAACACCAGAAGCUUCAAAUUAUAUGACAAUGAGUGACUUCUUUGAUCCACUUUAUUUUUCCAAGCGUCUUUUUUUACUUCACUUUUAGUUAAUUGGCAUAUAUUCAAUUGUGUAAGGUUAGCUAUUUUACUCAACUGCCUAUGUGCUGUUGGCUAUAAUAUUGUUGAAUGGAAUAUAGCUCUGUUUCUAAAUCUAUCGGACUAAGAAUAGGAUUUGAUUGUUUUUUCUUAUGAUUCAUGAAAUUAGGGUAAAUAAGAUGUGAUUCUUAGUUGUUUUCUGGUUUCAACAACUCAUUAUUCUUUGCUAAAUCCAUCUUCAGAAACUAGGAUGUACGAGCUUUCUAGUGUGUGAGGAAUUCUUUAACGUUAGGUUUCUGUACUAAUUGUAUUUCGUCAUAAUCCUCUUGUGUUUCAUCAGGGAUUCCCUUCUUGGGAAAAGGAAGCUAAAACUUUUUCAGCAUAUGAGUAACAAACUUGAUUUAAAAUUGUUGUCAACUCAGCCUUGUUUAUUUUUUGCCUUGGCUGACUUGACCUAGUUUUACCCUUUUGUAGUUUACAAAUUCAUCUCAUAAUAUAUGAAAUUCACAUUUUGGUAAAAAUAAUAAUAAUAAUAAUAAUAAUCAACAUUAUAAUGAGCCAGUUUCAAGGCUCCUCAGCGCGCUACGUCAACAUUAUAAUGAGCCAGUUUCAAGGCUCCUCAGCGCGCCACGUCAGCAUUUUGUGGGUCCCACCUUUAAAAAAAGUGAAAAAAUGUCAAGCCCAUAACUCGAACCCGGGUUAUUAACAUAUAAACACCAACAUUUAUACCACUAAACUAAAGGAUACUUUGUAUGUUGAUGGUUGAAACUAAUAUAUAUUUAUGAAGGUCAGUUUAAUAAUGUCCCACAAAUAAAUAAAAUGAUUUACAAAUCAAAUCACGUUCUCUAUUAUUUGUUGAUUGAUUUGUGAGCUUAUUUUUUAAACUCGCUAGCCCAUCUAUUACAUCAGCUUAUACAUUUGAUUAAAGCGUCUAUCUUAAUAAACCAUAAAACUGGUCCUAAAAAGCCUGCAAGUCGUCAGCUCUUCGUCUUCGACUGAGACCUAUGGUUUUCCCAAUCAUGCGCCUCCCCUCCAAUACACAGACGCUACUGUCUAAACUUCUCCAAUCAAAUCCAUGGAACUCUUAGUCUCUUUCUAUCUCUUCAUCUCCCCCUCUUUACGCACACCAUCAAAAACGCUAGCGUCUCAUAACUGAUACGAACGGCUUCGCUAUAUAUAGGUCAUGUUAGAUCCAGGAGUCCAACCUCUCAUAUCUACGAACACUUUUUGUUUCAAUUGUUGAGCAUGUCUGUCUCUGAUGCUAUUGCCGUCCUCCCCACCACCUUCAACGCUCUCCGCAUUUGUCGGUCUUCUCAAGUUUGUUGUUGGCCGUCUCCUCAGCUACUGGGAUCCCCGUAACAUCAAUAAAAAUUGUGAAUUUAAAAUUGUUGUCAACUCAGCCUUGUUUAUUUUUUGCCUUGGCUGACUUGACCUAGUCUUACCCUUUUGUAGUUUACAAACUCUUCUCAUAAUAUAUGAAAUUCACAUUUUGGUAAAAAAAAUAAUAAAUAAUAAUAAUAAUAAUAGUAAUAAUAAUGUUCUUGUGUCCUGAACGAUAUUAGGUGGAAAGGGUUUAAAAGUCGGUACAAACCAGUGGAUUGGAUUCGGAUCGGAGCUUGUGUCCUCGACGAUAUUAGGUGGAAAGGAUUCAAAAGGGUUUAAAACAAGGUAAUAAUCUUGUUCAUUCAGUUUGCCAUUUUCUCUUGAGCAAGUGACAACUUUUGAUUUCUGUAUUCUAAUGUACACAGGAAAGGAUAUUGGAAGAGCAUAGGAAAAUGUUGCACAACAGCACAAGGUAUAGUGAAACGGGACCAGAAAAGGAGAAAGAGAAUCUCGAAGCUGCUGGAAUAGAAUCUAAACAAUUUACAUAACUUUACAUGUAUUUGACCACAUUGGAAAAAAAUAUAUUUAAUUGUAGAAAAUAGCUUUUGGUAUAAUGUUAAACGAAGGAUUUUUGAAUUAUAAUUAGUUUAAUUUUUUUUGUUAUUUUAUAUUGAGGUUAUAAUAGGUAUUAUUUAAUCAUAUUAAAAAACAAGAACAAUACUUAAGUCUAAAACUGAAACAGAUGGAGUAAUUAUUAACGUGAUUAAUUUGUAUUAAAUUCUUUUAUAAAUAAAUUAAAUAAUUGUAUUUUUUUGAAAACACAGGUUAAUUUCCAAAUUUAAUAUUAUUAUGCCCUUUCAGUUUCAACUAAUGUUCGUAUUUUUAUAUAAAUAUAUUCUUGUCUUCUUGUUAUAUAGUCGUAUUCAUGUUUGGAAUGAAGACAUUAUUAAGAUUAGCUAAUACAAAAUGCAUAUUAAAAACGAGGAAAGUGAUUUGAAUCCUUAAAAUUGGAAUCAAAGAGUAUGUGUCUUUUUCUCCCCGUGUUUCGUUUCUGACAUUGCCACAUUUGUUGGAAUCUCUGGCAACUUAAUUAUUUUUAUUUUAUUCUGAUUCCACAUGACCUGUAAUCAAAUUAAUUCAGUUGUUUUGCUAGAUCGGGAAAUUAAUAUUUUUGAUCAUGAUAACCAACCGUUCUCCUGCAGUGAACUCCAGCAUUUUUUGGGGGUCAGUUACCGUUUCUGGACUCCGUAUAUUAAUAAGCUAACAGAGUUUGACUACAUUUGAUUUUGUGAACCAAAAUAUUAUUGCGGUUUCUUACGCUUUUUAUUUUCGCUCGUAAAUAUUAGUUUUAAAACAUCUUAUACAUCUUAAAAAAACAUCUUAUUCAUCUUAAACUUUUUUCUCAUUCAUCUUAAACUAAUUAUCUAAUAAAAUGUAGUUCACUAAAAUAUUAAAUAUUUAUGGCUUCAUAUCAAAAAAAUUCAAGUUGUCUUGGAAAUUAGAGAACAUAAAAUAUGCGGACUCAGAUGUGAAAUACGAAUCAUUACUCUGGAUAUGACUUAUUAUAUGCUUGUUUUCGCAGCAAAUUCUGGACUAGGACGUGUAAAUGUAGCGGUAAUCACAAAACCAAAAAAAGGAGUUACAUAAGGUUCUGCAGUAGUGUUUGAAAUCGAGGAAUCACAAAGUUAUCGUAAUAGAGCCGCCUUAUGAAGAAUGAAUCUUAUGUGUACAAUCUUUGCUUGAUAAUGCACAACCUUUAGGUGGAGAAAGGCCUAGAAGCAAUGAUAUAGAUUCUGAUUAUGAGGAGGAUUACGAAUAUGCAUGUUUGGACAGGGGAUUUCAAAACAUUUUUAGGGUUUCCAAAAAAAAGGAAAAUAAUGCACAGAUCCGUUGGUUGAAUAUGUGUGCAACACCCUUGAUAUUUUCCUUUUUAUUUGAGAUCCAAAGGGCUAAAAACAUGCCCUCUCUCAUCAGUAAUGAAUUAAGGACAUUUUCUUAAAUAAAAAAGGAAAUCAGAGUUUUGAAACUAUUAUAAAUAUGGGUGCAAUGGAUUGUAAAUUACUCAUUCACAUAAUCCAUAUACAAAUUCUAAACAGAUAUUUGUUUAUUUUAUUCAGAGUUUUGAAACAGCGUUUUGCAUUCUGAAGUUUUUUUUUUAAUUUUUUCAAAGUUAAUUCGACUUUGUUGUUCAUUCACAACAAACCCUAACUUAGCGAGAAAAAGUCUUCAAUUCUCAUACCCAUCUCUCCGUAGAACCGAACCAUGGGCGAAGACGAGACCAUCGAUUUUGAGUCGUGUAAGAUCUCUCUCCAUCUCUUACCCCUAAAUUAUUUUGUUGGAUUUCAAUUGAUCGAUUAUAGCAAAAUAAUGGUUUUUAUUUUAAUUUUCCGUAGUGAAGCAUACACUGGUGUUCUGGAACAUGGAUGAUUACCCAAUCCCUGUUGAUACUACGGAUGAUCUUGGUCCUGUUUUUGGUGAUAUCUCAAAAGCUCUUGAUCUAAUGGGUUUUCGUCUCGGUUUUAUGGACGUGAGAUUGUACUCUGAGCAACACAACUACGACAAAAAAUUGGCCGAUAUAAUCCGCCCAUCCUUACCCAAAUGUAAGCUCCUCACAACAACACUCUUGUCUUUUGCUUGUCUUUUCUAUUUUAAUCAUUAUUAUGUAAUCGGAGUUGUUUCUCUCUUGUUUAUUAGGUGGUGGUACUUAUUCGGGUUGUGUUUACAAAGUGCCGGAUAUCACUUUGCAUAUGAUUCGUCACGCAUUAUACAUGGGACCAGGACCAGUGAAUUUUUUUGUAAUCGCAAAACCACAAAGGGAGUUAUUCAGGGUUCUGCAGUGUUUGAAAUUGAGGCGUCACAAUGUUCUUCUAGUAAAGCCACCGCCGCCUGAUGAAGAAUGUCUCUUUAGUGUUGACUCUCUGCUUAAUACUGCACGACUUUUAGGUGGAGGAAAGCCUAGAUACAACCCUUUACAACGUUAUACGGAUGAGUUUGAUAGCUCUCUAGAAAAGUAUAUAGAGAUCAAAGAAGAUCUCUCCAAGACGGUAGAUUUCUCCGGUAAGACCCCAAAUUGUUUUUAGAUUUUUCUAUCUUUGAAAAUUUAUUAUAAAAUGGUAUUUUAUUUAACCUCUCUUUAUUGCAUGUAUGUAUGGCUCAGAGCGUAUCCCAACCGUGAAAGGGCCUAGGACAGCCGUCUUCUGGGACGCCGUGGAUUGCCCUUUCCCUCCUUCUUCCACCCCUGAUGAGAUCUACCACUCUAUCUCAUCAGCUCUUGUGGAAAGGGAGUUUAGUGAUAACAUUACAAUCUGGGCCUAUCUUGAUGAUGACGACAAGAAAGGGUCUGCCUUACUGGGUGAUAGGACGUGGGCUUCCAGAAUCUACUUUCUUCCCGGAGGUGAUCAUUUCCCCCUCUUUUUUCUUUAUAUCUAUCUAUCUAUCUAUCUCACUUCCAUUGAUAAAUAUUUAUAUUAUUUUCCAGGGGAUAAAGCCUCUAGACGUAUCAGAAUGUUAAAUGACAUUAAUUUAUGGAUGAGGGACUCUCCGCAGAUGUCCACGAGUUAUGAAGCCAGUUUGGUCCUAUUCUCAGACCAGUUCAAAGAUGACGACGUCUACUACAGAGAUAUGCUUCAACGAUUGGGUAACAUGCGUUACUAUGUUCUCUUAGUCACUCCCGCGCUGGACAUCAACAAACCAGAAACCCCUGAAUGGCCUGGAUUGCUUAUAGAUAGAGGCGCAUACUUUUUUGAUGAAGUAAAAAUCCAAAUCUAUCAAGGACCCGAUGCUGCGGCGGCCGAAGAAGAAACACCUCCGAUUAUGAGUGACAUGGAUUACAGUCUUCUCUCCCCUUUUGGUGAUCAAACAAGCGACAGCUCUGAAGAUGAAGGCAGUCCAUUCUGGCCACCUCGGACUGAUGACAUGCUAGAUGGAGGACAAAGCUCUGCCGAAAAAGAAACACCCGUCUAUCGCUGGGAUCCUUUUACUCUCAUGUACAAACUUGAAAGCCUAUUUCCCAAAGAGCAUGAAGCCGUUACUGCGGCCGAAGAAGAAACACCCAAGAAACUUGCCACGCAUGGCAUUUGUCGCUUGGAUCCUACAAGCUUUGAAUGGCCAGGACGGCAAAUAGAUGGAGGAUUAGGCUGUGAAAGCUAUGAAGAACCUUGUCCCAAAAAGCAUAAGGCUGAAGAAAACGCCUGAGAAGCUUGCCAUGUAUCGAAAUUUUCUCUUGGAACCUAUGAUUCCCGACAUGAACAAACUAGAAAGCCCUGAAUGGCCAGGAUGGUGGCAAAUAGAUGGAGGAGUAUGUUCUGCCCAUUUGAUGAUAAAAACAAUGUCAUGUUUUUUCUUAGAGCAGAAGAGAAACAAAAGAAGUUAGCAUGUCCUUGCUUAGGUCUUAGUCUCCUUGUUAUAUGUCAUGUCCCUGUAAUAAUGUGGUUUUAAGAGACAAUUCAUUUUCACCCUUAUGGUAAGAUGAAUUUUUUUUUUCAUUGUGGUUAAAGUGAUCGGAUGAUUGUUAUGGUAAUGGAGGAACAAAAUGAGUGUUUUUAGGUGAUACUAUACUUUAUCCUUGGGUCACGUUGUGGUCACAAUUUGACUGUAUAAGAAUCAUUUGGUUAAUGGAAAAGUUGACUUUGAACUAAGAAAAAAAAAAGUUAGCAAAUGCUGUAGGAAGAUUUUUUUAAGUUCUUUUAGCAAAUCACUUGGUUAAUGGAAAUUUUGAUUUUGGGUCAAAUUUGAAGCUUAUUUAGGGCCAAAGAGUUAUUAGUAUGUUUUAACAAAUAUGUCAAAUGAAUUCUCGUUGAACUUCUUUAUUAUGACAAAAACACAACAAACACUUGGACAUAAUUUUCUACAAAUAGGUUUCAAAUUUACAGUUUGAAGUGCAAGGGAAAAAAAGUUUAGAAUGCUCCUGUGCGUAGAGACUGGCUAGUAAAAAGGGACAAGGUACGACUACGACAUUUUACUGCUGUCGUCUGAUUGGGUACUCCAUAUACUACAUAUUAAAUUAUAAUUUAAAAUAAAAGUUACUACAUAUUAAAUUAUAAUUUAAAAUAAAUAAACUUUUAUGUAACUUUUUGAAAAGAAGUAAUUAAGAUUGUGCUUCUGAGAAUGAUAGUUUUAAUAAAGUUGAUUCUAAUUAUUUCAUUUUGUUAAAAAACAUGAACAUCUGCAAUAAAAAUGAAAAUUAACAAAAAUAAAUAUUUGUUACGGUAUAUUACUAAAGAAACCAUUUUAAAAAAUUUAAAUUAAUAAGUGAUUUAAAUGACUUAUUGUAUAAAUGUUUUUAUACUAGAAAAUAACAAAACAAAAAAUAUUUAGUAGUAUAUUAUUCUAAGCUGAUCAAACCAUCCAUUACAUUAUUUUGAUUUGGAACUAGAAGUCCAUGUGAGUGUUUAAUAGUCCAUAUGGAUGAAUGUUAUAUAUAGAACAAAUUUUUAUCUAUUAUUAUUUAUUUGUAUUCAUUUACGUAUUAUGUAUAUAAUUAAAUUAGAAUACAUCCAUAAAUAAAAAAAAAUACAUUUUGUUUAUUUACGAUACUUUUUUGGUAAAUAAAUCAAAACAAUCAUUUUAUUUAUUUUAUAUGGUAUAUAACUAAAUUUCAAUGACAUGGAUAUAUAUAUAUAUAUAUAUAUAAUAUUUUAAUAUAGAUAUUUAUUAUUGAGAAUUCAUAUUCAUAUGAUAAACACAAAAUUUCUAGGGAGAAUUUGGUGUAUAUACAAAAGAAAGAAGGAAAUGAAGAAUAUACCGUUGAUUUUGACAUAAUGAAAUCGAUGACAAUUAGCCCAAUAAAGGCCCGGUUUUGCCCCUUUCCAGUACAAGUUCCCGGUUACCGCGAGCGAAGGGAGAGGACUGAUAUGUUUCAGAUGGAAUAGUAAUCUCCGCUGUGUUAGAAAUGGUAUAUACAUGUGUAGCUGAUAUUUUACAGAAGACACGUUGCAGUUGUAAAAAUCGCAUACGGUAUCACGGUAUUCAUGAAAAACAUGUGGAAACUAGUUGAUACAAGUAUUCCAUUUUCACCUAACCACAUGCUAAAAUUCGAUGGUAUGGAAAUGAGUGGCCUGUAAACUAUUUACCAUCACAUCAUUACCAGAAGGCAACGUCACCAACGUAUUUACCGCAUACGUUGGCACAGUGAUCAGUAAACACGUGUGGAUAAUAAGUGGUGAUGUUCUCAUAUAUGUGUAUUCUAUUUACUCCAACCUGUUAGUCUACCUCUGUAACAAAAGACACUGAAGAAGGUGAACACAAAGAAAAAAUUAAUGCUUAACUGAAGAAGGUGAACACAAAGAAGAAGUUAAUGCUUAACCGCAUCGAUCAGGUAAUAGUUCUCUAAUCAUAUGAUAAUAAAUGUUGGGGAAUGUAUAUGCUUAUAACUUCAUUCAACAGUAUAACUACUGGUCCACAUAAUGGAAUAGUAUUUGUACAAUCUGCUUGGCAGUUCCGACUCUUCCAUUGCGAACCUAGCACACGAAAUAGCAAAGAAUGUUACAACAUAAUGGAAUAGAACAACACUGAUGUAUUUAUAUAAUGGAAUAGAACAAACCAUGACUGCUAAAAACAUGAUUAAAAUCCGAGAGCAACACAAAAUACAAUUUGGAAAUUGAGUACUAAACACCACGCAUGAACAAAUACGAAGGAUUAACGGGAACAAACGGUUGCGAUACACGUACAUCAGGUAGACAAUAAACCCCCAAAAUCCGAUUUCUUAAAAACAGAUCAUACCAUAUGACAUAGAACAGUGAAUACAUGGAAUAAAACAAAACCAAAAGACAAAAGCAUUUAUAAACAGCGAAACCUACCUUAAAAACAGAUCAUACCAUAUGACAUAGAUCAGUGAAUACAUGGAAUAAAACAAAACCAAAAGACAAAAGCAUUUAUAAACAGCGAAACCUACCUUAAAAACAGAUCAUACCAUAUGACAUAGAACAGUGAAUACAUGGAAUAGAACAAAACCAAAAGACAAAAGCAUUUACAAACAGCGAAACCUACCUUUGACAUGUAAUAGAAACAAAAGAGACUGACGAUUACAUAGUACAAAAUGUAAGGAGUCAGUCAAUUAUACAUAAAGACCAGAAAUAUAUAAACCCCCAGAAUCAGAUCUACAUGUCAACAGAACCGGAUUCAGACAUGCAAUGAGGGGAUAACCAUAAACGAAAGGUGAAGCGCAUGACCACAGAAAGAACUAACCUUUUCGAACUUCAAAUCCUCGACGAUUUUCUGGCUUGACGUUUCGGAAGAAGAAACCUUUUCGAAGUUUUCGAGCUUCAAUCCGCCUUAUACGCAAGCAAUUACCGACGCCCUUCACCGACACCGGAAUGAUUGUCGACGACUUUCCCCGGAGUUGUGAGAGAUGCCGUGAAAUUAAUCUUAGAGGAGAAGAUAAGUGGAAGUUACUUCCCUUGUGUGAAAAAUGAAAGGUCAGGGAAGUUACACGACGUAAAAACCCUAUAAAAUAAAAACAGGUUUAUAUAUUUAUUUAAUUUUAAUGCAGACGGUGGAACCGGUUAAUCAUGGGGGCAGAAUUGCAUUUAUACAUAUUACACACGAUGUAUCCUACCAGAUUAGGUCAAACAGUCAUAAACUGAAUUAUAAUUUUAUUUUGUGAUAUACAAUCCAAUUUCUCAAAUUUCUAAUGUGCGAUUUUUUGAAUGCAAAUUUCAAAAUUAAAAUAUUAAGGUUUUAAUACUUUUCAGAAAUUAUCAUAUUUGAGUAUUUUUCUAGGUUAUAUAGUUUAAUUUUAAACUAUAUUAAUAUAUAAUAUGAAUGUUUAGUAAAUGAGACUUCAUAUUCAUACGAUUUGUGAUCAUUUGUAUCUUGUUAUUAUUAAAAAAAAAUUAAACCAUUGAUCACAAAAUUUUAGUGUGAGACAUUUAACGUUUUUAGUAAUUUAUAGUCGUUUUAAAAUUUUAAAAUAUAACAUAUAAUGUGGUUGUUUAAUAUCUUGUACUAAUAUAAAAUUAAAAAAAUUAUUAUCAAAUAUUUAUAUUGGGCUCUAGCUCUCACACAUUCAAAGCACGAUCUAGCCCUAACUUAGCGAGAGAAAGUUUCCAAUUCUCAUCGUGGAACCAUGGGCGAAGGCAAGAUCAUCGAUUUUCGUUCCUGUAAGAUUUAGACUAUUACCCGAAAUUGUUUGUUAGAUUUCAUCUGAUGGAGUAAAUAUUAAUGGUUAAUGGAUCCGUUUUUGUUAAAGGGGAUAUGACAGACGUCUACUGGAACAUGAUGACUAACCAAUCCCCGUUGGUGCAGAUCUUGAUUCUAUUAGAAGUAAUAUCAACGAAGCUCUUCGUUUAAUGGGAUUUCAUGGGCAUGGGGACUACAUCAAUGUGCAUUGUAACUUGUAAGCAACUCAAGUGCGACGUAAAAGACGAGUUGAGCAAGGCCAGAAUCUUUUAAGAACCUAGCUUUAGAUAAUGAGAGUGCCAUGCAGUGAGUGACUUCUUUAAUCCACUUCAUUUUUUUCAAGUGUGUUUUUUUUUUUACUUCUUAAUUGGCAUAUAUUCAAUUGUGGAAGGUUAGCUAUUUCGCUCAACUGCCUAUUUGUUGAAUGAAUAUAGCUCUGUUUCUAAUUCUACCGGACUAAGAAUAGGAUGUAAAAAUAAAUGUAAGGAAAAGAGUGUAGUGUUUAUCGUUUUCUCGGAUUUGAUUGUUUUUUUCUUUUAUGAUCCAUGAAAUUAGGGUAAAUAAAAUGUGAUUUCUUAGUUGUUAUCUGGUUUCAACAACUCAUUACUCUCUUGCUAAAUCCAUCUUCAGAAACUAGGAUGUGCGAGCUUUCUAGUGUGUGAGGACGUUAGGUUUCUGUACUAAUUGUAUUUGGUCAUAAUGCUCUUGAGUCCUGAAUGACAUUUUACGUGUAAAGGUUCAAGUGUCGGUACAAACCAGUGGACUGGGUUCAGAUCGAGCGUAAACAAGGUAAUAAUCUUGUUCAUUUUCUUGUUCUCAGUUUGCCGUUUUCUCUUGAGCAAGUGAAUUACUGUUCUCUAAUGUCUACAGGAAAGGACAUUGGAAGAGCAUAGGAAAAUGUUGAACAAGGUAAUGAAACGGGAUCAGAAAAGGAGAAAGAGAAUCUCGAAGCGGCUGAGCUUGUAAGACAGUGGAGUAGUCACUCAAAAGCCAGAUAAAGGUCAAAUAGAUGGUAAAGAGAGACAACAAUACACCCCGACAGAACUGUACACUUUUACAACAAGUAUUUUAACUCGUCUUUAACCGAAAGAACGACUUUGAUAAAAUACCUGCGGUAUCACCUCCAACGUCUUACAAAAAUUAAAGAAGAGGUUUAGAUUUCUUCCGUCUGUGGAAUAUGUUGAAAUAAUCAAAUCCAGAGUGGGACGAGAGCUUCUUCAUAUGGUCGUCAUAAACUCAACGUUUCAUUCAAGAACAGUGGCACACACAAAUACUGAAACGACAUCUACGGUAAUGUUCGGUUCUUUGAGCUAGAAAUUUUGAAGGUGAUAUAACUAGGAAAUUUUGGAGGUUUUACUGGACCUAUCGCAAUAAGUUCGUAUAGAUAAAAAAAUAUUUGAAGAAGUGCAAUCGAGCUUUUUUAUCUAUACAAACUCAUAGCCAUCGGACCAACAAAACCUUCAAAUUUUUCUGGUUAUAUCACACUCACUCUUAUUGCUCAUUGCUUUUUAGUAGCUGAAGAAAAUAUACAAUAUAAGACUUGAGAGAUAGAGAGAGAGGAGAAGGAAACUGAUCUCUGUGUUUUUUUUUGCUGUGCGACUCGGUUAUGUAGAGAUGAAGCAUUUAUUUAUAGGCAAAGCUUCCACAUUAUAAAACAAGAGUGUAUUUCAAAAAUGAUGAUAAAUUAAAAGAAUACUGGUGACAAACUUGAGUGAAAGCAGUACUUGUGAAAACUCAUGUGGUGUGUAAGAAGUAAGAACUCAUGUGAUGUGUUUCAGAAAAAAAAGAAAAAAAAAAGAACUCGUGUGAUGUGUAAAUAUGUGUGCAUGUGUGAAAAUUGAUUCAUGGAGCGAUGUUUCUCAUCUCUCAUCCGUUGGAUUAUGUUUCUGUGUGUUAUUAAGAUAUGAAGCGUGUCCGCUGGUGAGAUCGAGGUCCUUGUGGAAAAGUUUUCUAUGUUCGUUUAAUAAAUAAAGCUCUCUUCUAAAGACAAAGUCACUACAAAAUAUGAUGUCUCUGAUAACUUCUAAUGCCCUUUAUCAGAUGAAUAAAUCUCUGAUUAUAUGUCGAGAUGCUGCAGACUGAUACUGGUUGCUGCAUUUUUGAUGAGUUCUUUCCGGGCACCGACCUGAGAUAAAAAAACAGAUCCAAGUUUGUGAAUAUGUCAUCAGUUUUUUUACACAGAAGAAUCAACCAAGUUUGGGACUUCCUAGCCUUACCCGAGCACCCAUAAGAGAGGAGAAUGUCAUGUUAGCUUCUGCUAUGUCAUCGACAACUAGUUGCUUCAGAAUCCUUGUUUCUGGAUUCAUUGUUGUUUCCCAAAGCUGCUCAGGCAUCAUCUCUCCCAGACCUGGAAAAGCAAAAACAUUAUCAUAUCAGCAAGUGAACUCUAGAUCUGGUUAUGUAUGUAUAUCUCAAACUCCUAACGUUUUUUUUUUUUGUUUAAACAUUUAUAUUUACCUUUGAACCUUUGAAUGGUGUAGGAUGCAUUUGCAGGGAAGUUAGAGGUAAUCUUUUUGAGAUCUGCAUCAUCAUAACAAUACUGUGCUUGUUUUCCCCUCUCAACCUGAUCAUUUCCAAGGACAAAACAUUUAUUACAAAAUAUGCUGAAGAUCAUAAAGUAUAUAUUACCUUAAAAAGAGGUGGAACUCCAACAUAGAUGCAACCGGCGUCAAACAAGGCUCUCUGUCCAAACAAACAUUCAGUUUAAGUUGACAACUAGAUUAACUCCACCAACUGUGUCUAAGGGAGAUUGUUUGCUUAAUCAUAAACUGGUUUUACCUGAUAUCUGAAGAAAAAGGUUAAUAGAAGUGUCCUAAUAUGUGCACCAUCAACAUCAGCAUCUGUUAAGAUGAUAAUCUUAUGGUACCGCAGAUUCUCCGUCUUGAAAUCUUCUCCCUGAAACCAAAUUAUUUAUCUCAUUGAGUUUUCCACAAAGAGAGGAGAGUGAAAAAAAUAACAAGAGACAGAAAAGGGAUUAUUAUUAUUAUUAUUAUUAUAUCACCUUUACUCCAAGUCCAAGGCCAAGAAUUAGAUUCUGAAUCUCUUCAUUCUUAUACAUGGCUGCUUCAUCCUUUCUUUCAAUGUUCAGAAUUUUACCUCUCAAUGGAAGUAUUGCCUGCAUAUAUAUCCAAAAUCUAUGUUAUAAACAUCGCUGCCAAAGUUCAUAUAGAGGUAGAAGUGUGGUUACCUGAAAACGUCUGUCACGGCCCUGUUUUGCACUGCCACCAGCAGAAUCUCCUUCAACUAUGAAAAUCUCUGAAGACAUUGCAAAGAUAUGUCACUAAACUGAAUUAGCAUGGCUUACAGAUGUUAUCAUACAGGUUCCUUUUUCACUUCUCAGUUGUAACAUAAGAAAUCAUAUAUUAUCUGUCGUGCUUAGCUUUCAACAAUUAUUCAAACAGCAUUUUUCAUACCGGCCAGUACAUACCAGAUUCUUCAGGAUUUGUUGAUGAGCAAUCAGCCAGUUUCCCAGGAAGUGAUGAUGACUUCAGAACGCUUUUUGAUCUCACCAGCUCCCUUGCCCUCUUGGCAGCCAAAGCAGCCUAGAUAAAGAGCACAUAGCGAGAAUGAGGUAGAUAAUUUAGUUGAAAGUUAGCAAGUAACAGAAGAAGCAUACCUUGUAAGCGUUAAGGGAUUUGGAAACAAUGUUGUCAAGUACAUCUGGAUGCAGUUCCAGAUACUCCGUGAGAUACUCCUGCACUGAUUGGUCCACAAUUUUUCUCACCUCUGGAUUUCCUAAUCUUGUCUGCAAGGGGAAGGAAGGAUUAGGAGAUGAGUUAUAAUUAGUGGGAGUAAAAUUGCACACAUGAGAGAGAAAUAAAUGCUUCCUGUUGACAGAGAUCAGUGCUAAUGAGACAAUCAUUAUGGGUUCAAGUACCUUGGUUUGACCUUCAAACUCAGGAUUAGGAAUCUUGACUGAGACAAUACAGGUCAGUCCCUCUCUAACAUGUUCCCCACUUAAGUUAAUAUCCUUCUCCUGAAAACACAUCCAACAAGAUUAUUUACAUACUAAAUAAAAUAAAAUAAAGAACAAUUAGGAAGUGCUCCCUGAAGCGCUAACAAUAAAUGCUUAAUUCAGUGCAAAAAGCAGGAUCUAUAACGUACACAUUCCUACAGUUCAACCACACAUAACGUCACAAGUACAUUGUUCAAAUUCAGUUCAGUUAACCAGGUCCAAGAAGAGUAUAUAGUUCUCUGACUACAUUAUCUCAGAGGACUCUUUCUAGUUUCAAGCAAGCUAUGAUCAAGAAAAAAUAGUAGUUGAAAAAGCGCAUGAGAUUUUCCGUUAACAUGAGAAAGAUAAUGGCCAAAAAGGGUCUAAACCUAGUAAACAUAGAAAUAGAACUGGUUACUGAUGUAUCACAUUACCUUAACAGUUUUUGACUUUUUUGCAAGGGCAUUAAGGGUCCUUGUUAAUGAAGCCUUCACACCUUCGAUGUGUGUUCCGCCAUCAAUAGUGCGAAUGCUAUUGGCGUAUCCCAGCAUCGUGUCAGAAUACGCAUCUGAGCACCUGGUACAAAAAAAUGUGUAAAUCCAUAAGAUCAUAUCACUUUAUAAUAGCCAUAUAAUAUGUGCUUUCUUAUGUACUAAGAUGGAAUGUUAACUACUUUUAUUGAUCCAAUUUACAGGUAAAUAGUAACCAAAGAAUCAUGCAGCCACUGUGUUCAAUCUUGUAACAGAGUAUGAGAUUAGGGAAAACAACAUACCAUUGAAGGGCAACGUCAAUGGAGGCACCGUUAGUCUCUUUCCUGAAGCCCAGCACGUCAUGAAUCGGACUCUAAACAAAAAUAAUCGUCAGCUAAUCUUUUCAAAGCAAUAUACUAAUUGUAAUAAGGGAAAAAACAAUGUAUAAGAGUUCACUUCUGUAUAACUUGAGUAAAUAAAUAGUCCAUAUUUAUACUAGGAUCCUUAAUAGCAACCAACUAAUCAAAGAAUAGUGUAUAUACCACAUAACCUUUGGCAUAAUUCUAGCCAUGUUAACCUAUGAGUAUGCUUCAUACACCUAUAAAAUGUUAUUUAAAAUGUGUAGAUUCUCACCUUAUCAAUGUUUAGCCAGCUAACAUAUUCCUUCAAUCCUCCAGCGUAAAAAUAUUCAGUAUAUUGGCUCUUCUCAGGAUCAUCCUCCUCUUUUUUAAGCGAUAUGGUAACCUGCAAACACCAAGAUAAAGAGCAAUUUCUUAAGACAAAAGAUUCAUACAACAUCAGCAUCUACAAAAAAAAGUGAGCAACUGUCAUGGUCGACCCUUCACCUUUGGAUUGAGAAAUGCAAGCUCUCUGAUUCGUCCAGCAAUAGUGCUAUGGUCGAAUUCAAUUGCCGUUGUGAACACUGAAAAAAAAAAAACAGUUCAUCCCAUAGAGGAAAAAAUUAAUCAUCAAAUCAAAAACUUGGGGAAAUGGAAAAGUAGUGAAGAGUGGAGAAAACCUUCUUUGUCAGGCCAAAACCUGAUGCUUGUUCCUUUGGUCCCCUUUGACUCUAGCGGCAGCUCACUGCGUGUGAGUAUAGUUAUGGGUUUCCCACGAGAAUAGUUUUGCUUAUGCUCCACACCAUCUCUCCAAACCGUAACCUCCAGUGCCUGCAAAUGAAUAGAUAGAGGAAGCUUCUAAGUUAGCUGACAAAUAUGAUAAAAAACCAUGUGAGUAAAGACUAAAGAGUAGAAGAGACCUCAGACAAAGCAUUGACAACAGAUAACCCCACACCGUGUAACCCACCAGAGACACUGUAACCACUACUUGUGCCACCAAACUUGCCACCUGCGUGUAACACCUGCACAUAUAACAAACAUGGAAAAAAUAAAUGGCUUGAUCAAUAAAGUAUCAUAAUAACUAAGGAAUGAACAAACUGAGAGACAAUUCAAGAGAUGUCGAUGAUAGUAGUAUGGUAAUGAAGCAAUACCGUAAGCACAGUCUCUAGGGAAGAUUUUUUAGUUACCGGAUGCAAAUCAGUGGGUAUCUGCACAAAGACAAAACAUGAUUACUGAUCUUUAUAUUCAAGGUUAAAAAUAAUAGUAUUAGAAGGUGUAACAUAUCACAUACCCCACGCCCAUCGUCCAUGAUACUAACUGAACCAUCCGCAUGUAGAACAACAUCAACCUUUGACGCAUAACCAGCUUGAGCCUCAUCAAUAGCAUUAUCUAGUAUCUCAUAAACCUUUUUAAAAAAAAAGAGAGAUUACAUUUAAACAGAUCACAACAACAGCGAAUAGGAACUAAAAUGGAGAGAACAUUUAACCAGAUGGUGCAGACCACGAGUUCCAGUGCUUCCUAUAUACAUCCCUGGUCGUUUUCUAACAGGGUCUAAACCUUCAAGCACCUAAUGCAUACAAACACUGAAGUUAAAAAUAGAAUAAUUUUGAACAAUUAAAGCAACAAAAUGUGUUCAAACUAUUCAGCUAAGAAAAUAAAUAAAGAGAAGGAUAAUUAUAUAAAGCUUACUUGGAUUUGCUCGGAGCUGUAACCCUUAGACGUGGCGCUCUCUUGGAAAGCCUCGGUGGAUAUGGUUGAUGACAUAAAUGACCUCGUUGAAAUUGCAUUCCUUUGUAUCAGCCCUUGACUCAAAACCUUGGUUAAUUGAACAUUUAUCCUGAAAAUUUUGAAAGAAAAAUUCAAUUAAAAAACAACCAAUUGACUAACAAAGCAUUACUAGAAUCAGACCAAGGUAGAAGAACAUUCACUUAAGCAAUAAUAACACAUUGAUAUUACUCUAAAGCACACUAACCUCAUAGUCUACAAAGACAUAGACUUUACAACACAACAACAAAAAAAAGCCAAUUUCAAUAAAGUUCGUAUUUUUAUCAGUAACACAAACCAAUUUCAAUAAAGUUUGCAUUUUUAUCAAUAACAUAAACCAAUUUCAAUAAAGUUUGCAUUUUUAUCAAUAACACAAAGCCAAAUUCAAUAAAGUUCGUAUUUUUAUCAGCAUUGAGAACAGAGUAUUGAGCAAGCAGCUACUCGGAGAAGCAAAGGGACCUGGGAGUUAGGGAGGAGAGCAGAGGCGAGGAGAGAGAUGAGCUGUGACGGUGGAGAGAUGGAGAGAGUGGAUUAGAGAAGAGACGAGGACGAGAAACCAUGAGACGUGAAUAGAGACGAAGAUAAGGAGCUCUCUGACGAAGAAGAAGCCCCAUCAAGUGAAAACUCUGUUUCUUUCUUUUUUGUCGCCUUUGUGUUUUUUUUUUCUUUCACCCUCGCUCUCGCUGUGUUAAGAUAAGAACCCUAGACGUACUUUUCUUGUCGGAAAGUUAAAUAAAUAUUUACAGAUAUAAGUAAAAUAGUAAUAUUUAGUUACGUGAAAAAAUGAAUUUUGCCGCCGAGAUUCAGAGACUUGGGCUGGCUUAGAUAUGUGGGCUUUAAUUUAAAGCCCAUAAUAAUCAUACAAUGAGCAACGAAUAUGAGGGCCAUGCGGACUUGACGUCAUCCCCACCUUCCUCCAACUCAUGGUACAAAUAUGAUCAAAUCUCUAACGUGUCAAAACUGGUAUACAUGUGCUCAGGAAGGUCUACUAGUAAAACAUGUUUUUUUUCUAUGUAACAUUUUACGUAUUACUUUAUGCAAAACAUAAUACAUUUUAACUUUUUUUUUUGAAUAACUUCAUAGGAGUUUAUGUAACAUUGUGAAAGCAACACUCUUCUGAGAAAUAAUAUCCUCCAUAACCAAGUUGUUAUCCCUCUGGACACGGUUUUCAGGAUUAUUGAUCGAAAGGUGCGAAACAUUCUCUUAGGAAGGAGAGGAAGGAGAAAAUGCAACACUCUCUUGUCUUCUUGGCUUAAGUUUGAGUAAGCUCUGUUCUAGAAAUCUGUAAAACUCUCUGUAAUACUUCUUUGUUUUUCCUUUUUUUGCUUUGGAAGUGUUGUCAUUAGGAUUACAACUUUGUAAGAUCUUUUUUUCAUAUUAUAUGAUAUUAACGUUUUAGCAAAAAAAAAACAUUGUGAAAGCUAACCGACAUUAAUGCCUAACUAAAGAAAACUUGGUAGAUUUAAACAACAACAACAGAGUUUUAUCAAAUUCCCUGUGAUCUUUUGAUCUUUCCAGCAAGUGUAGCCUCAUAUGUGUCUAGAUUGGGGUCUUCUGAUACGCCAACUAACGAUAAGAUGUACGUCUUAUCUUAUCUUAUCAAGAGCGGGAGCUAGGCAACCGGAAUGAUAUAGUAGACUGUAGAUAGGUUAGAGAGAAUGUGGGCUUCAUGCUCAUCGUCCUACCUUUCCUCAUCGCAUGAGCUGUCAUAACCCGUUUACACAUUUUCAGUUUGUUGUUGUAUGUUGGUUCCUUGCUUUUGUUACAACUUAAAAUGUGCAAUGUAAAGAUACUGUGUUAAAAGAUAAAGUGGAGUGUUACAAGGCGAUUUUCCGGUUUAGUUGAAUUCUAUAGUUUGAAACAAAUGUGCAAUAUAAAGAUACUGUGUUGUAAGAAAAUAAUCAAACAACUCAUAGUAUGGUUGAGUAUUACAUCUUGUUUUUUGUAAUACAUACAGUAUAAGAAAAUAAAAUAAUACUAUACAUAUAUAUAAUCAAAAGUAUAUUUAUAUAUUGUAAAAUAAAAUUAGCAGCGGAGCUCAACUUCACGUUCUGAAGAUCCUUGUUUGGAAAUCAAGACUCGGAGUUGUCUUGGCCUGUUAGACUAACUUAGUGCGCUAGCUGAUAGAGCGGCCUGGUCAUUUAGAUAAACCAUACGUUUGUACAGCGGUUGAGCCGGUCUUGCAUUUGCCUCAUAACCCUCAUGAUCAACAAAAAAACAUGUUUAAUUAGUUAAUGUGUAUAUGAAAAAAAAAAAGACAAGGUUCAAAUUUGUAGUAAAUGUUUAUGUGAGAGUGUUUUAUAUUCUUACACCACGACGAGCAUCGACUAAUAUAUCAAUUUGCUGACGUGAAACAGUCCCCACCUGCAUUUAGAUAGCAACUCAAAGUUUGAGUCAAUUAAUUUUAUAGAUUAUUGGAUAUAAUGUUUGCUAGAGUUACUACCUUGUAUCAAACUGUACGUUACUUUUCAAGUAAUGAAAUUCACAUUUUAUCAACAAAAAAAGGAGUUACUACCUUGUUGACGAUGGUCCAGAUGACAUCUUCCGUGCAAGGAGGAGUGGUGAGCGAUCCUCUAUAUUCAUAGAAUUUUGUAAGAUCCCAUCCGAACUCUCUUGGAUCUAUCUUUCCUAUGCUUGCCUCUCCGUGUAGGAUGUCAGCUAUGAAAUUGAUCUUGUCCUUUAUCUGUCGUAAUGUAUUUAACCAACACAUGCAAAAGCCAAUAAUAAGCUUGAGAGUUUUGGGUAAAAAGAAAACAAGGGUUAUCGUAGAUACAUAGUAAAUAAUUUACCCGUGAAAUGAAAGCAUUCGGUUCACCUUCUCUUAAGAGAACUCCAAUAACUGCUAAGUGUCCAUCUGCACUUUUAUGUACCAUGUGAAGUUCCAUGGCCAACCUUAAAACAAAUCAAGGCUUGAUAUUAUUACUUUGAAUUAAUGUAAGUAAAUGUUAGGAACGCUGUCAAUCUUUUCUUUUUCUUUCUCUUACCUUUUUCCAUUGAGGAAAUGCUCUGAAGGUGCGUGCCAAUGGCUUUGAAUCAACUUGUAGUCGGUAUUAUUGAUCACGAGCUUCCCUGCGUCUUCUUGCCAUGACACCUGAUGCACACAACGUAUCGGUCUUGCAUGAGGACUAAUUACUAAAAUAAAAGAAAAACGUAUUCUAGGGUUUCUUUUACAGUUGAAUAAUAAUUACCAUGAUGUCGUAUCCACGAUUCUUAAGAGUGGCUUCUACUGGUUUGUAAUAUGUCUGAAUAAGCGCCGUAGAAUUGUGAACUAGUCGAGCUACUUUUGGAGAAAGAUUGACUGGUGACUGUCUCUUCCCCACCCCACAAAUUUUCCAUUCUUGUUUGACACUGCUCCAUUUGGAGGGAUCAGCGUAUGCGCCUGUUACGUAAUGAAACUCAGUCUCUGUCUCAUCUGCAAAAAAGGAUGAGGCAGAAACAAACGUCAACAUGAUGAUUAAUAUAAAGUCUUGCAUUAAUGAAAUAUUUCAUACAAAAUGCUCCAGAGAUUAACACAACCACUAGAUUGUCAGCUUAUUAUACGGUUUAAAAUCAUCGUUAAAUUUCCUAUCAAUUUGUUGGAUCCAAAAUGGUAACAAUUAUAAGACGUUCAAGGCGAUGAGCAUAUUGCGAAAUUACCAGCCGCUAGAGCUGAAGAAGCAAGAGCAAGACAUGACACAAAAAGGAUAAUGUUGUUCAUCUUUUUUUUUUUUUUUUUUUUUUUAAAGAUUUUUAAUUAAUUUUUUUUUUUUUUUUUUUUUUUUUUUUUUUUUUUUUUUUUUUAACAGAUCUUUAAUUAGAUCUUUUCUUUUUUUUUUGUCAAUUAGAUCUUUUGCUUUAUUCUUCAGUUUUAAAUAUUCUUCCUUUUUUUAAAAAAAAAAAAAAAGGACUUUUGUUUAAAUAUUCUUCCUUCUUACAUCUCUUAUAUAGGAAUUUAUUUCGGCAAAUGAUGGAAGUCGUCUAAAAAAUAUGAAUAAUUCAAAGGUUGAGAAUUGUCAUCGAGGUCAGUUUCUAUUUAAUAUGUGAUAGUCCUCUUUUAAAUGGUUAAAAUUGGGAUAUGACUAAUAAGUAAUACCUCUUGCAAGAGGCCUAUUAUUGGAAAAAUAAUAAAAUUAGGUAUAUAUAAGAAAUUAUACUUGGCCACUUCUUAUAUAGGACAUACACUUUAAUUAGGAGUGUAAAUAAAGUAGCCAAAUAUUGAUAAGAAAACUUUUUUAAUUAGUGUGUAUAUUAUACACUACAAGGUGUGACUGGUAACUAUCGUAGGAACAAUAGGAACAGAUAUAAAAUGAAUGAGUAAGAAUAAAAUUUUAAGAAUGAUGAAGAAUGAAGGUUCUUUGUCAAAAUUAAUGAGGAAUUUAUUUAUUCUAUAAUUCUCUAUAAACAAAAAAAUGAAAAUGAAUGGAAAAGAAAACAUAUUCCUCAUAAAUAGUAAAAAAAUUAAAGAAUAUUAAAGAACAUAAUGUUCCUCCCGGUCACACCCUACAUGAACUAAUACACAUUAGUGAUAUGAAUAUUUAAGAUUUAAAAAAGAAGAAGCAUAUUGCUUUUAAGUGGUUGACAAAAAAAUUGCUUUUAAGUGAUGAAUAAAAAAGAUUCUUGAAUUGUGUAUCUUUACAAGGUUUAAGAGUUAGCUACCGUAGUUAUGUAAUUUCAAAUAAAUGUUAAAGAAUUGUUCAAGUUUUUAAGAUAUUGAUAAAUACAAGAUUUCAGUUAUUCUGCGAUUCAUCAAUCAUAUCUUAGACAGUUUUGCUCUAUUAUAUGAAAACAUUUUUACAUUGAAACCAUGAAGCUAAAGUAGAAAACCCCACACAAUUGACAGCCUAUGAACGCUAAUAAUGUUCGGAGCAUAUGUCAAUCGUAAAAGAAUGGACCCAAUAUUAUUAGUAUUACAAUGAUAAUUCUUAUCCAUCCUCUCUUUUGAUCUGUCCUCUUGUCGAAUAGGAAGUAAUCACCAAUGAGACUUGUCACCUUCUUUAGGCUUAUCUUUGUCGUGUCGCUACCAAGAACAUAAUAAUGGAGAAGCCACAUGGUACGACCAUGGCCUAGGGAAACCAUCACGUUUCAAAACUUGGAGAUAGGGUGCAACAAAACUUUAUGUUUAUACGGAAAGAUAUACGAAAAAGUUUAUGUUUCUUUUCAUCUUGCAUAUUACGACUUUGAUACGGAAACGUCUAUUUUGGGAAAGUUUUUUUUUAAUGUGGAUUUAUUUUAUAGAAAAUGACAAAUAUGAAGCUCCAAAGUAGAUGGUAUAACUAAAUUUUCUUUUUCUAAUUAGAAAGUUUUAUUUUACCAAAAAAAAAGUUUAACCCUAAACCAUAUUAAUAUUUGCUUACGUUUCAUCAGUCAAGUCUCAAGUGUAAUAUAUAUACUCACAUAGCCAGAGAGUUUGAGAGCGACUUCAAACAGAGUGUAUGCACUGAACUAACUCUGAAAAUAAAAUAAAAACAGAGCUACUUCCAAUGGAGGAAACUACAGUAACUGUCGUCGCGACCAAGCGUUACGCUCUUGAUCCUUACGUCAAGGUCAUUCAAAGUCGAUCAAACGACAUUGAUGUCUCCUUCUCCUCAUACCUAAAACCAGAUAACAAUAAUUACGAACAACAAAAGGAGCAAGAAGAUACUGAGCUAAGCAUAUUCGAAGCCCGAAGUUACUUUAGCGAAAGCGGAGGAAACGAUAAUGAUCCAAGAUUUUCUUCUGUUUCAUCUGCGAAAGUGUCUUCUUUUACCGUAAGACACACGGCAUCGUCUGAAGCUAGCUGGAACAGCCAAACCGGUUUGCUUUCCUACAAUAACCGGCAAGGGUCUGACCGAGACGGGCGUGGAAGCAGCAAGAAAGGACCCAGAUGGUUUUUUAGACGCAGGACAUGUCCUUGUUCUAGCUCCAAGUCGGUUCAGGUCCAAGAAACCAAACCUAGAAUCGCGGAAUCAAGAACCGGUUCUGAGCGAACCGUUUCUAACCGAACCGCUCAUCAUAACCACCAGACUAUAUCUUCGAACGUCCCUUCAUUUAGCAGUUUUAGUUUCCCGACUUUGAACGAACCAACACAAACCAUAGAAAAACACAAGAGUCCGGUUCUGAACCGAAUUGAACCGGCUCUGCAUCCGGUUAAACCGGUUCUGAGUCUGACAACACCCAAGGGAGUUAUUACAGACGAAGAAGCAGCGAGCGAUGAUAGCUCAGACCUCUUCGAGAUAGAGAGCUUCUCUACUCAACACGUAGCUCGUCCGUGUGCCCCACAUGCAGCUGAUCUCGUCAGGAACUCGAUAGACGACACUGCGACUGAGUACGGUUACGAGCCGAGCGAAGCAAGUGUUACGUGGAGCGUUACAACCGCCGAGCCUGCCUCCACAAUGGCGACUAACUUCUCAAGAAUCAGUUUGUCACAGUCGCCUCUGGCGUUUAGCGGUUGCGAUAAGAGAAGAACGUGCUUAUUAGGCUGUCGUUGUGAGAAAGCGGUUAUAGUUAGUGGCGAUAAGCGUUUGGUUCAGCCGCUUAAGAGAGUUAGGUUUCAGGAUGAUGUGGGGCAAAAGGUGUUGUGCAACAAUGGCAGUUCUAAACUAAGCUUGACAAGUCGAGAAAUGUUGGCUAAUAAUUCUUCUUUUUUGAAUUAGUUAUGGUAAUAGUGUUUAUCUUAGUUUAAUAGUGUUUAUCUUAGUUUGUGAGCCUCUCGUGUAAUAUUUGCUCUGAAUUUUGUUAACAUGUGGAUUCAUGUUUAUGAAGUAAACACAAGAUGGUCCUUAGCAAAGUAAAAUGAAACAUUCGCCUUUAGCAUCCAAUUUUUUUUUACAAAAGAAUUACAUAGAUAUAGAUUCUCGUAUAAGUUAUGAAUUAAAAAAAAUAUUGAAAUUUUUACUAAAUCGUCUAAGUUCCUCAAUAUCUCAAGUCCGGUUCGAGUAAACAAAGUCAAUGUGAAUAAAAUAAGAAUUAAUGCGUUUAUGCUCGUACGUGAAGUGAAGAAGAUGUUGCUAAAAUCAUACGUGGUUCGUCUCAAGAAGACUUUGCCGUUGCGUGCACGACGCAGUUAUGUGGUAUGGUCGGUCCUUUAGGAUUAAGCCAAGUUAGGUUGGUCAAUUGUCAAUUUAUUUUUCAACUAUUAUCUACGUUAUACAUUAAUCAGAUAACAUACAAUAUAUCUAAAUAUAAAACAUAUCUUGUUUCUUGCCUUGGAUAACUAGAUGGAAUGAGAAAAAGAAAAUGACCUCUCUUUUUCAAGUUCUAUAUAAUUCCAAUAACUAACCUCCUUAGAUUUCACUCAACUUAAACUCCUACCACUUUGUUCAAAAAAAAAUUUGUUCAAAAAAAAAAAAACUCCUACCACUAGUGGAUUACUUAUGACCAUCUCAAAAGUUUGGUUUAUGGUACAGAUUAUUGCUUGAAAACAUUAAUAGUACACCCAAUAAGAAAAAGUGUUCCACACCUUAAAGCAAACAACAAAUUAAUAUACUAUCUAACUUGACCUUCACUUCAAGAAACCUCAAUCAUAAAUACAAAAAUUAGCUCCAACGGAACAACACUUCAAACGAAAAGCUAAUAAACAACAACAAAAUAUUUUGUUUGCCUAUAAAGUUGUUUUAAACCUAAAGAAUCACAUAUAGCUAGAGACUCAUGGAUCCCCAAGGAGCUGUCAAGAGAAGACUAGCCGUUCUCGUCGGCUGCAACUAUCCUAACACAAAGAACGAGCUUCACGGCUGCGUCAACGAUGUUUUAGCCAUGAAAGAAACUCUUUUAACCCGUUUCGGAUUCAAACAAGAAGACAUGGAGGUGCUAACGGACGAGCCUGACUCAAAGAUAAAGCCUACCGGAGCCAACAUCAAGGCUGCUUUACGUAGGAUGGUGGAUAAAGCUCAAACCGGGUCUGAAAACGUCUUGUUUUUCCACUAUAGUGGCCAUGGAACUCGGAUUCCUUCCGUUAAACCUGCUCGUCCUUUUAAAAAGGACGAAGCUAUAGUCCCUUGUGAUUUCAAUCUCAUCACAGAUGUUGACUUCCGAGAACUGGUCAAUCAACUACCUGAGGGAACGAGCUUUACCAUGAUCUCAGAUUCUUGCCAUAGUGGUGGCCUCAUUGACAAGGAGAAAGAACAAAUCGGACCCUUCUCUGGAGUUAGAUCUCCGGCCAUAGAGCCAACGGCGACAACAAUAACAUCACGUGCCUUACCAUACAAGGAAGUUCUCGACCACUUGAGUUCUCUAACCGGAAUCUCAACUUCCGACGUCGGUACACACCUACUCGAGCUCUUUGGUGGCGACGCUGGUCUAAAGUUCCGGCUACCAGCUAUGGAUUUGAUGGAUCUUUUGGAGAACAUGAAGGCCCGUGAAAAACAUGUUGACUCCGGGAUACUGUUGAGCGGGUGUCAGGCGGAUGAAACGUCCACGGCAGGUCCUGACAUUUCCGAGGCCCAAUACAAAAAUUAUAAAUAAAUUUAAUAUUUUUAAAAUACUAUUAAAAAUGUUAAAUAGCAAAGAAACUAGUUCUAGAAAAAAUUUUAUGCUAUAAUGUUGAUAAGGUUAUUAAAAAAAAUUACCAGAAAAUUGCAUAUGAUAAUGUUUAUACAUAUUAUAUUUCUUUAAUUAGUUUAUUAUAUAAUAAUAUAUUAGUUUGAUAUAUGUUUGCCAUAAUAAUUUGUUAAAUAUAUAUAACAGUAGUUAUUUUAUUUGGGAGAAAAACAAAAGAGUUUAACCCCACAAAAAUAGGCCCCAUGCAAAUGUUUCUUGGGUGUGUGCCCAGGACCGGCACUGGAAACGUCUGCUGACGUCGUAAGUGGCGGUGGGAAGGCGUAUGGAGCGUUUAGCAACGCGAUUCAGACGGUGCUGAAGGAAAACGGAGGUGCCUUGAGGAACAAGGAACUAGUGAUCAUGGCUAGAGAAGUGCUUGAGAGACUAGGGUUUCAGCAACACCCUUGUCUUUACUGCAGCGACCAGAACGCGGACGCAACGUUCCUGUCUCAACCUUGAUGCGAUUAUGUUUAAUGAAUUAAAGCGUUGUCGUUGUGUUUCUUUUAUUUGUUCUUUCGCGUUUGGAUGUGUAUUUCCACUCUUUCAUGGUGUGUGUUCCAUAAUUAAAAGAAAGAAUAAAUUGUUAUGAUUAUAGAGUGACCAACGCAUGUAUAGUAUUGGUGGAUUUCUUUAUUUACAAACACAUGUUUUCUUUUUGACGAACACAUGUUCUUAUUGAUAUUAACAAGACCUGAGCUAGAAAAAGUAUAAUUAUAGUCAUGCUUUAUUAAAAAAGCUCUUGUUGUUAUAAUUUAUGAGUAUAGUAUAUACCAAAAAAAAUUAAAUAAUCUGAUCUAGUAAGAAAAGAAACACAUUUAGACCUUUUUUACUAACUAAAAUCGAAAAAGCACAUAAAGCCGGGACUGACAUUGAUACAGUAUCAUUUACAUAUGCUUACCUUCAUUUCAAUUAAUCCCAUUGCCCCCCCCCUAUAUAUACGAUGAUUAUUGGUAAUUGAAUUCUCGUGAAUUUUGAAAAUUUUAAAAUUNNNNNNNNNNNNNNNNNNNNNNNNNNNNNNNNNNNNNNNNNNNNNNNGUGUAUAUAUGAGGAUUAUUGGUAAGUUAAUUUUCAUGAAUUUUGAAAAUUUUGAGAUUCCAUUGUUAUUGGUUAUUGGUUUAAGAAUUUUCGAAAUCCAUUCAAAUCCAUUGUUAUUCAAAAAGUUUAGUUAUUGUUGAUUCUCUAAUUCUAACAAAAUCUAGUGUUAAUGGGAGAUGAAUUUUAUUCAUCUUUACUCAUAAGACUCAACUUUCAAAAUAUCACUAGGAUAAGACAUGCGCAUUGCGCAUAGUAAAUUUGUAAAUUUAUAUGAAAAUUAUUUAAGAAAUACCGUAUGGAAAAAAAUUGAAUUAAUAUGUUUGGCUCUUAAACAAUUUUUUAAAACUUUUUUUGUUAAUUACAUAAUUUGUUUACUAAUGAACUGAUCCCAUUUUUAAAAAUAUUUUAGGUCAAAAAAUUAUUUAUCGCAUAAAAACGUAAUGUUUAGGCCGAAGAAUCUCAUGUCUACUAUUUGGUUACAAUGAAACUAUGUCAGCUCGAUUUUAUAUCAUGAUUUAGCAAUUUAAAAAUUAAUUAUGGUUAUGAGAAGUUUACGUUCACGUGUCAAUCCUAUCUAUCUUCGAUAUUUUUCUCCUUUUUGUGUCAUUUUGGUUAUUAUUUGAUAUAAAUAUUGAUUUUUGAGUUUAUUCUCAUUUGUUUCUUUUAUUUUGGUCUGAGAUUUAGAUUAUGUUUAAGAUUCAAAUUAUUAAAGAGAUACAUAAUUAGGUUAAGAUCUGCGCCUUGUGCAGAAUACAUACUUAUUUUAUAUUUUUCUGCAUAUUAUGAAAUAAUACAAUAAUAAUUAUAUAUUAAAUAACUAAGAAAUCAAUUACUUUUUUUUUGCAACAAGAAAUCAGUUACUAUUAUAUAAUAAAUUGACUUGCAUAUAUAAAUCAAAUGACCGCUCUUGUUUAUUCGCAAUCAUUUUAGAAUAAAUAAAUUAAAAUAAUCAAUCUAAGCUAUCGUAUAUGAUAUAUAAUUAAAUUUGACGAUAUGAAGUGUAUAUAUAUAUAUAUAUUAACAUAAACACCUAUUAAAAUAAAAUUAUUUAUUAAUAUGAUUUUAUUAUCAUUGUAUCUUAUUAUAGAAAAAAAUUUAAACAUUGAUCACAAAAGUUUAUGUGAGACUUUUAACAGUUUUAGUAAUUUAUACUCGUUUUGAAAAAUUCAAAAUACAACAUAAACAAAAAAAUCUAAAAUUUUAAUAUAUGAUUAAUGUAAUUGUGUGAUUUAUUUUAAUAAUAAAGAAUUAAACGAAAAUAAUAGAAAACAUACUGAUUAUUAGCAAAUCUUCAUUGUUUAAAAUCAUUAAUUACUAUAUAUAUCAUAAUCACAUUAGGUAAUUUCGUAAAUUUUAUUUAAGGAAAUAAUAUAUAAUAAAUAGCUACCUUGUUUUAGUUAAUAUCAUAUGAUAUCAUAUAGUUGGUAUUAAAUGUUUCUAGUGAGAUAUAAAAAUCGAAUUGGACCAACAUGUUUUUUAAUUUCAAUGUGAGGCUUACAUGUAGGACUAAUUAACUACAUAAUUGAUUGACACAUAAGCAAUGAGUAUUUUUUAAUUAUUACAAAAUUAAGGUUACAUCUUUUGAGAUGUUCCUCAAUUAAUAUAUAGAGGAUAUGUAACCUUGUGAUUUUCAAAAUCCAUGUGAUAAGAAACUAGAAAACAAAAUAAUUAUCCUUACCAAAUAUCUAUUGCAUCUUAAAUCCAAAUUAUAUGUCCAAAACUAUAAUUCAUUACAUUUAUAUGCUUUUACAUUUUUCGAUAUAUAAUUAUUUUUAUAAAUAAUUAUUAUUUUGGAUAUAAAUAUUAAUAAUUACAUUUAUAAAUAUUAACAAUUUUAAAAUAAUUUUUUAAAAAUAGUUUCCAAGAAAAAUUUUGAAUUUCAAGAAAACAAGGGGUAAAAUCGUCUUUUGCUUUUUUCAUGAAAUUUUUUUUUUUGGUCAUUUUUCUCUUUGAAUGCCCUUUUUGUGAUAAAAACUUUAAACUGACUAUUUAAGAAAAAUUAUCCAAUUUUGUAUGUAUCACUAUUAUUUUCUUUUUUAUUUGAAAGAAAAAAUAAAUAAUAAUGCUAUAUGAUGUAGAAAAUAAAUAAAUUAUAUAUUUACUUUACAAAAAAAUGAUAGAAAAUAAUUAAUACAAAUUCAAGAAAAUUUAUACUAAUCCAAAAAGUUAUGAUCAAAUUUCAUAAGUCAAUGUAUAUAAUUUUUUACAAUCCACAUAACUUUUAAAAUCUAUCAACUCUGAAAAUUUAUAAACUCUAGGCAAAUUCAUUUGCCAAUAACCCCUCUAUAAUAUUUAUCCCACCUACCCCCGUCACGCACUCGCAUUUUAAAACACAAUUUUGUAUUAAAUUAUACAAAAAUCUCGUGUUAGCUAGCCAGCUCGAUCUAUAAGACUGCAACUACAAGUAAAUGCAUACACACACUUGUCUAGUAGCUUUCCUGGCAUCGUGAAAUCAACAUUUACAAGGCCAGAGUCGGGUAUAAUUUCUUGGCUACCCAAAACAUCAUGGAGUUUUGUCAACCAAACAAACACACCGCAACCACAACAACAAUAGGGCUGUUCUUUUGGUGAACGCGGGUAGUUGCGGCAGCGACUGAAAAUUUAAGCUAUCACCACUGCAAAACACAGCACCCAUGAAACACCGCCAGCCUGCUUUUUUUGACGCUGCGGCUGAUCGCGAGGAGUAAAUGGAACGCUGAAUAUUUCAGCGUCAGCUGCUUCCCCAUAUUUUGUACUUUCGGCAGUUUAUCAGCGUUCAUUUUAAUUUCCGUGCCGUUAAAUUUGCUUUCCCUCUAACUAUAAUUUCAGUCGCUGCCGCAACUAGCGGCGUUCACCAAAAGAACAGCCCUAAUCACAACAGCUUCAAGCGACCCGCUUAACUGGAACACAGCAGCGGAGUUUUGAAAGGGAGUCACCUGGAGGAGGUGAAGAAGAUGGUGAAUGACUUUAGAAAAGGAAGGGUACUGCUCGGUGGAGAGACGCUGACUAUCGGUCAGGUUAUGGGCCGGGGGGUGGCGGCUGGAGGAACAACGGUGGAGCUUUCAGAGGAGGCUAGGGCCGGUGUGAAUGCAAGUAGUGAGUGGGUGAUGGAGAGCAUGAACCGUGGUACGGACACUUAUGGGAUCACCACUGGAUUUGGUUCCUCUUCUGCUAGGAGGACUACUAAUCAAGGUGCUGCUUGUCAAAAAGAGCUUAUUUGGUACGUAUAAUCAUAGUAUAUAAAUUUUACGAAUAUAAUAAUUUUCCAGUUAUCUAUUAUUUUAGUUGACAUUUUUUAAUUAAUUGGUUGUGUCCGUAAAAAACUAUAUUAUGUGUAAAUGUGUAAAAAAAAGUACACAUGAAAAAACCUAAACUACACAUGAAAAUAAGUACUUGAACGCCGGAAUAUUCGCUACCGACGCUGGAGAUGCCGACACGUCAAACACACUUCCCCUCCCGGCUACAUAAGCGGCGAUGCUCAUCCGUGUCAACACUCUCCUCCAAGGCUACUCCGGGAUACGCUUCGAAAUCCUCGAAGCCAUCACAAAAUUCCUCAACCACAAACAACAUCACACCUCGAUCGCCUUCCUCUCCGCGGCACCAUCACCGCCUCAGGUGACCUCGAAUAUGUCUUCUCUUAUGUUGAUGACCCAAGUAGCCUCGCUAAACCUUUAAUGCAAAAGCUUAGAAACUUCCUUGUUGAAUACGGUUUAGCUGAACCGGGGCUGAGAUGAAAUCUCUCCUCCCUGAAGUAGUGGAACGAGUCCGGAUAGAGUACGAGAAGGGUGCGUCAUGAUAAGAUAUAGAAACAUAUAUAUUCCCUCUUUGUAAUUACGCUACAUUAAGUCCUGUAUAUUUGUUUACCAUGUAUGUAGGUAGAGCUCUCUGUAUAAAGCCAGACAUGUAACGAUACUAUUAUUUAUCUAAUAAUACAAACUCAAUAUGGUAUCAGAGCAAUACCUAGGUUAACACCUCUUUUUUUUUUUCUUUUUCUGUAGCCGUCAUCUCUUCUUCUAUCUUCUUCUUCUUCUUUUUCUUUUUCUUCUUCUUCUUCUUCUUCUCACGAUCUAUUUCUUAUCACCAUAAACAAUGAGUUCUGCAGCUACAGCUGAGAGAACAUCAGUUUUUAAUGCUCAAAACCCAGAAAAUACUCUGCUAUGACGAGUGUUACAAAACUUUCCAAUGAGAAUUAUCUCAUGUGGAGCCGCCAAGUCCGUGCUUUGCUUGAAGGCCAUGAACUUCACCAGUUCAUCGACUCCACCAGUGAUGCCCCACCCGCAACAGUCAUGAAUGAAGGUGUCGCAGUCCCAAAUCCAGCCUUCGCUCCUUGGCGUAGACAAGAUCGCCUGCUGUAUUCUGCUCUCAUCGGUUCGAUCUCUCUCAACGUUCAACCGGUUGUUACCAGUGCCACCACCUCUAAAGAAGUUUGGGAUCUCCUUGCUGCAACAUUCGGUAAUCCAACACGAGGUCAUCUUCGUCAACUCCGGCUGAAGAUUCGAGCAUGUGUUAAAGGCACACAAACAAUCAGUGAGUAUCUUCGUGGCAUCAAGACCAAAUCAGAUGAACUUGCGCAACUUGGAGCACCAAUAGAUCAGGAAGACCUUACUGAACAGAUCCUAGCUGGACUUGGUGAAGAUUAUAAACCUGAAGUUGAUGCUGUCAAUGAUAGAGAUCGCCCCAUCUCCUUUCAAGAACUUCAUGAACGGCUGUUGAAUCGGGAAGCCAUCAUACUCACCACUCAGUCUACUACUCCUCUUCCCAUCCUCUUCCCAUCGUAGCCAAUGCCACAGACACCCGUCCACGAUCUCAACACCAGAAUCAUAACCGCAAUCAGCCACAACGCAACACCACCAACAAUAACCGUCAGCAGCAGCGCUUCUCAAAGCCUUACUUGGGUCGUUGCCAAGCAUGUGGGGUACAAGGGCACAAUGCUAGGUACUGCCCUGAAUUUCGUAUUGUCAAAGGAAGUGCUCCAGCACCACAGUGGUCACAAUCAUCUACGCCACAAUCACAGUGGUUAGCAGCACCAACAAACUCCCACUGGCAGCCUCGUGCAAACCCAGCAAUGAUGUCCGACAACUCUACUUGGCUCUUGGACUCUGGCGCAUCACAUCACAUGACAUCCGACCUAGCCAAUCUCUCUCUGCACAAUCCAUACAGUGGAGGUGAUGAUGUCCUUUUAGGCGAUGGUUCAGGCCUUCACAUAUCUCAUUCUGGUUCUUCUUCUCUACCAUCUUAUACUAAACCUUUCUUCCUUAAUCAAGUUUUAUGUGUUCCAUCGCUAGAUAAGAAUUUGAUAUCUGUUUUUCAAUUGUGCAAAACUAAUGGUGUUGCUGUUACAUUUAAUCCUACAUACUUCCAGGUGAGAGAUUUGCAAACGGGGGCUCUUCGUCUGGAAGGCAAGCCUAAAGCUGGCACUUACGAAUGGCCAAAACUUCAUACUUUGCAGUCUCCUUCUCUUUCAUUUGCUUCAGUUCUUAAAACUACUAUGACGGAUUGGCACUCACGUUUGGGUCAUCCUGCGUUUUCUAUUCUUCAAAAAGUUGUUUCUCAAUUCGAUUUACCAAUUUCUUCAAAUGUUUUGCUUGCUCACCCUUGCAAUGCUUGCUCUAUUAAUAAAAUGCACAAGUUAUCUUUUGCAAAUUCUACUUUACAAACCUCUCAUCUUCUCCAUGUUGUUUUCUCGGAUGUCUGGACUUCUCCGAUGCUUUCUCUAGACGGUUUUAAAUACUACGUUAUUUUUGUUGAUCAUUUCACUCGAUACACUUGGUUGUACCCUUUAAAAAGAAAAUCUGAUGUUUUUGAAGUUUUUAGAAGGUUCAAAGUUUUGGUCGAAAAUCAAUUUCGUCAAAAGCUUCGAACUCUUUAUACGGACAAUGGGGGCGAGUACAUUGGUCUUGCUUCCUUCUUAUCGUCCAAUGGCAUUUCUCAUAUGACCAGUCCGCCUCAUACGCCCGAGCAUAAUGGUGUUGCCGAACGUAAACAUCGACAUAUUGUCGAAAUGGGCCUCGCCCUAUUAUCUCAUGCAUCUAUGCCUCGGACGUACUGGCCAUUUGCCUUUGCGGCUGCUGUCUAUCUAAUAAAUAGGAUGCCCUCUCAACCAUUGCAUUUUCAAAACCCCUAUCAGUCUUUACACGGUCAACCACCGAAUUUUCAAAAGCUUCGUAUCUUUGGAUGUUUGUGUUUUCCGUGGCUCAAGCCUUAUACAUCUCACAAAUUAGAUGCUCGAUCAAAACCAUGUGUAUUCUUAGGCUAUUUCAUUACUCAAAGUGCUUAUUUCUGCCUAGAUAGAGAAACAUCUCGAGUCUACACAUCAAGGCAUGUAGUUUUUCAUGAAUCUGUUUUCCCAUUUGCAACACCAACUUCUGCUAUGUCUCACAAAACCACUAAUGAACUGGAUCCUCCAGUGUCUACUUUUCCUGUUGUCUCUGUUGUUCCUCUUGCAGGUACCACGCCUCCAGCACCACCAGCACCACCAGCACCAUCUGAUUCAUCGCUACAACAUCAGACAGCUCCAGAACCACCACAUCAGCCAGUUCUGCAACAACAGCAAGCACCACCACCAAACGUUGCUGGAAUGCCCACUGCCACGACUUCAACAGAGACCACAAUACCUCCUGCUGCCACAAACCUUCCUUCUCUGGAGCGAUCAAAUAAGACAGCCUGCACCACCACCGGCAACUUAAGUGCUCCCACCACGGCGCACAAGCAAUAGAACUCCCAAGCCGAUUCAAAAACUCAAUCUCCAUACUGAAGUGUCUCCAUCACCACCUACAACAAUUCCCACUUCAGUAGCAGAAGCUCUCAAAAACCCAUAUUGGCGCAAAGCCAUGAUCGAUGAAAUUAAUUCUCAGCUUCAAAACCGUACUUGGGAUCUUGUUAACUGUCCUGAUAUUACAAAUGUUGUUGGUUGCAGAUGGGUGUUUACAAUAAAAAGACGGGCUGAUGGUACGAUAGAACGCUACAAGGCCCGACUAGUUGCGAAAGGAUAUAAUCAACGUCCCGGCAUUGACUAUAAUGACACAUUCAGUCCGGUGGUUAAGCCAGCAACUAUUCAUCUUGUUCUCAGCACAGCAGUAACCCGUAACUGGUCUUUAAAACAGCUCGAUGUCACCACAGCCUUUCUUCAAGGACGUCUCGAUGAUGAAGUAUAUAUGAUGCAGCCAACUAGGUUCCAGGAUAAAGACAAUCCAACAGCUGUCUGCAAGUUACGCAAGGCCAUCUAUGGUCUUAAACAAGCACCUCGUGCCUGGUACAAUGAGCUACACACAUUCCUCCUUCAAUCUGGUUUUAAGAACUCUUUGGCAGAUGCAUCUCUCUUCAUCUUCAACAACGGUGGCAUCCUCCUAUACAUGCUCGUAUACGUCGAUGAUAUCAUCAUCACUGGCAACAGCCAACAACACAUAACACGGUUUAUCGCUUCUUUAUCUCAUCGCUUUUCAUUAAAAGACUUGGGUGAUCUUACAUAUUUUCUUGGUAUUGAAUGCACUCGUACUGCUUCUGGACUCCAUCUUACUCAAGAACGUUAUAUUGCAGAUCUCCUUCAUCGCACAAACAUGAAGAAUGCGAAAUCAGUAGCAACGCCACUCUGCUCCACGUCUAAUCUGACACUUCUCACAGGCACUCCUCUAGAUGACGCCAGCGAAUAUAGAUCAGUCGUGGGCAGUUUGCAAUAUCUUUCCUUAACGAGGCCGGACAUCUCAUUCUCGGUGAACAAAAUGUCUCAGUUCAUGCACCGGCCUACAAAUGAACAUUGGACGGCAGUGAAACAGAUCCUGUGCUAUCUCUCUGGCACACAAAACCGAGGUGUCUUCUUCCACGCCAACAACACUCCAACUCUUCAUGCCUUCACUGAUGCGGAUUGGGCUGGAAAUAAGGACGACUACACCUCCACAGGAGCUUACAUUGUUUACAUGGGACGACAUCCAGUGGCAUGGUCUUCAAAGAAACAAACGGGGGUGGCUCGCUCUUCCACUGAAGCUGAAUAUCGGUCUCUCGCAAACACCGCAGCUGAAGUUUCCUGGACCAUAGCCUUACUCAUGGAGCUCGGGAUCACAGUUCCCACAACACCAACCAUCUACUGCGAUAAUAUAGGUGCCAACUACCUUGCUGCAAAUCCGGUAUUCCAUUCUCGUAUGAAACAUAUCGCACUUGAUUAUCAUUUUGUUCGCGGAUACAUUCAAAGUGGCACACUGCGCGUCUCUCAUAUCAACACAGCUGAUCAACUAGCUGAUGCCCUUACUAAGCCACUACCUCGUGCUCGCUUUGACAGUCUCUCUAUCAAGAUCGGCCUCAACUGACGCCCGUCCGUCUUGAGGGGGCGUGAUAAGAUAUAGAAACAUAUAUAUUCCCUCUUUGCUUACCAUGUAUGUAGGUAGAGCUCUCUGUAUAUAGCCAGACAUGUAACGAUACUAUUAUUUAUCUAAUAAUACAAACUCAAUACGUCAGAUGUGGCUAAUAGAGUCAAGGAGUGUCGGUCCUAUCCGUUGUACAGGUUCGUGCGAGACGAGCUGGAGACAGGAUUGCUAACCGGAGAGAAUGUCCGGUCACCGGGAGAAGAUUUCGACAAAGUUUUCACGGCGAUCUCUCAAGGCAAACUUAUAGAUCCUUCGUUUGAAUGUCUCAAAGAAUGGAACGGAGCUCCGAUCCCAAUCAGCUAAAACGUUCCGUCAAGUCUCUAAUCUAUCAACAAAAAUGUCAUACUAAUGUGUUAAUCCUACUGUGUUGAUAUGUCUGACGUCCUUAUAAAAUCGAUGCAUGUUAGCUUAUUUUUGAUAUCCAGUCCAAAAUACGUCUGAUGUCCUUAUAAAAUCGAUGCAUGUUUUCUAUAAUCAUGUCAACCAUAAACUCACAUAUAUAUACAAUCACAGUUCGUUUUAUUUCCAGGCAACCAUUUAUUAUGUGGUUAUAUCCAGUUAACAUGUCCCUUAUUAUAAUUCAAGGGAACUUUAUUCAACAAACUUAUUUAUAAACAAACUAAAACUAUGGCAACCAUAACAUUUCUUUUUAUCAAAUCCAUACAAUUAUAUUUGAAAGGGAAACAUUUCUCUCCCACUUAACAACAAAUCUGUCGUCUUCUUUACAGAUUUAUGUAUUUUUUAAUUUGGAAUCAUAACUUGUAAAGUUUCUAUUUGGGGUAACGCCGUCGUCAGAAAUUUGUAAAUAGUCACAAUCAAUUAACACGUCACAAAUUUUCAAAAUAGUUAUAGCCAUUGUAUAUAUGACAUAUAGGUCAUGAUUGUUUUAGGUUUCUAGAUUAAUUUUUGGUUUUUGUUUUUUUCAAAAACCAUUUUUUAUCCAAUCAAAAACUGUUUUUGAUUCCCUAAAAAUUAGAAAAACUAAUUUUGCAAAACUAGUUUUAAACCAAUCAAGAUUUUGACAAAAAACUUUCCUAUAAAAUAAGAAACUGGUUUUUAGAUGUUUUGACCAAAUUUCAAAGAAAAACCAAAAGCCAUGUUUUGAUGGUUUUGCAAAGUAUACGGUUACUUUUCAUAUAUAUUUUUUCUUAUUUUUGUAAAUAUCAAUAUAAAAUACAUGACCAUAAUAUGUAUAUACUUUCUAUCUUUUUGUUUAAGUAAUUUUGUUUUAAUAAUGUGAAAUCAUUUAUUUUUAUUUCAUAUCUGUAAAAUAAAUUUAGAUAUUUAUUUAUAAUAUUAACUAAUUGUAAAUUAAUUGUAAAAAUUAGUUAUUAAAUUCUAUAAAUAGAAUUAUUGAAUAAUUUUAAUAAUUAUUAGACAUUCAAAAAUAACUAAAAAGUAUAAAAACAUAAAAUAUUUUUUAAUAAUAUAUUAAUUUUUAAAAUAAAAAAGUUUCCAUUCAAUUUUUAAAAAAUAAAAAUAAUUUAGAUAUAUUUAUAAUUUAUAUUUUAGUAUAAUGUAAGUUAAAAUAUAGUAAUUAAAAACAUGUUAAUGUAUUUUUAUGUUUUGAAUAAGAAUCACAAUAUUUUGAUCAAUUUUAAUAGUAACUUCUAAAUGUUUUAUUUGUAUUUUUGUUGUAUUAUUUUAAAAUAACAUAUUACUUUCUUUUUUGAAAAACUUAAAAACUACAGCAAAACUAAAAACCAAAAUCAAAAUCUAAAAACCAAAAACCAAAACAAAAAGUUGAAAAUCAAAAAUAAAAAAGUAAAAACCAAAAACCAAAAACUAAAAACUAAAACCAAAAUCUAAAAAUCAAAAACAAAAACUAAAAACUACUCCAAACAAUCAUCACCAUAGUACAAUAACUUGAUGAAGAUUGUACUAUGAUUUGAUAGCUACCAUGAGUUUAUUGUCCACCAUGUGAUCGUGUCCUUACAUUUAUUGGUACAAUAUGCUUCUACGUGUUUUAUUCUGUUUCACUUUCAUCAUUUUGGCAUAGUUAAACUUUACAAUUAACCAACUAUUUAUAAUAAAACAAUAAUCCAAAACAAGUUUAUACUAUGUUAUUCAGCUUGUAUUAGUAAAAAUAUUUGUAAUGCAGCAAAAAAAAAACGAAAAACCGUAGACAUCAUUCAUUUAAUCGACGUAAAACAUACAAAAGACUAUAUAAGUGAAUGUUAUGUGUUGUGAAAUCGCAAGUGAAACUAGAUGAAAUCUUUAAGGCGUAAGAAUAAAAGAAGGCGAUUGUAGCAAAACACUAUUUUGUUGUGAGUUUCUGAUCAUUGUGUGAAUAAUAAUCUUAAUAAAUCGUAAAGAUUGCUUUAUAUAGGUAAUAAAGAUUAGAGACUAUAUAAUUCAUUGACCAAAAAAAAAAAGACUAUAAUUCCUGGUGUGCAGAGAUGUUAUGCUCUUACUAACUCUCGUGUUGAUGACUUUACCAAUUUGAUGUACUUAACACUCGAAUCCUUUUGGUCCUGACCUUCUUUCACAGAAACCUAAACGAAAAUGUAUUCACAUCACAUGUUCUCUUCUUAGAAAAAAUAAAUAAAUCAAAAGCAAAGAGACAAAUCUUUCCCAAGUUGAGCCACUUGAAAACAAAGUUCUGGUACAAUGUAUAACACACCAUAAUGUUUGAUUUGAUUUGGCAUAAAAACCAUAUUUAGAACAUUACAAAAAUAGAACAAUAACAGAGAAUUAAUAACAAGUGAUAGACCAGAAAAACAAGUUGCUACAAGAUAAUCGUGGAACUGAGAUUAUGACUGUACAUAUUUAUAACAAAUGGUAAAAACAUUUAAAAUCACGAAGGGUUCGAUUUGUGUUCAAUAUCUUGUAGUUCUUGAUCUAUCAUAUUACUUAUAAGGACCCGAUUUAAAUAGGAACUAAAGAAUACCAGAUGAUCAUGGAAAGUACAGUUCAACUAUUGCAUAAUUUUAUACAUCCAUUCAUCAAUACACAAGUUAAGAUCAAAGACAAAAUAGUUACAAAUUCACUAUAAUUAAGGCCCUAAUCCGUCAAAGAAAAUACGUAUAACACACAAAAUGAAUGUGAUAUGUAUAGGUAACACACACACACACACACACAGAUAUAUAACAUUAAUAAAGCUGUAAACAUGUUCAUACACAGAACAAAGAUUCUUAAAAGUAACCAAGAGAGAAAUUUAGUUUCUUGAGUUUCUUACCGAAGAUCCAGACUUCAUUCUAUAGCUUUAGGUAUUGUGUAUAGCCGUCGGUUGUUGAUGCAGCAUCAUCAAGAUUCUCAUAUACAUAUCAAAACCCUAAUUAAAAAUUAGGAGAAUUUUCAAUUUCCAUGUGAAUCUUGAUGGUGCUGCGCCUACAAAAAACGACUGAUGAGCUUUCUUCAACGGAUCCGCCGAUAACUUAUAUCAGGUUUAUACACACACGCACACAAACACACUCAAAGAGAUCGGUCGAGUAUAUAUUAUUGUUUAAAUUAAUGAAUCAAAAAGGAAUUUGAUUGAAUAGUCAAAACUAAUAAUCGCAAACUAAUAAGUUGAAAAAUAUCUAACUUAUCUUUUCGAAAUCUAUCCAAUUUGAGAAGAAAAAUGAAGAAAAAACAUGAUGCCCUUUUUAAAAAAAAAUGGAGAAAAGCAGUCGAGCUGAGGAAAGUAGAUAUAGUGAUAUUUAGAUAAUAGAGAGAACACAUCCAAGGGCUAACGUGUCUACCUGUAAUUGGUUCUUUUCUUCAUGAGAAAAAUAUGGACUAUAUUCUGUUUUUAAGACCGUAAUUUUUUAGAAAAUCAUUUUUUGAUGCCAAAGAAAAAAAAUUAGGGGAACAAAAGAGCUAAGAGUAAUUGCGUGAAAAAAUAAGCGAUGAUCCUUAAAGAACGUAAUAGCAUAUACUGGUCGAAGAUAUAGUAACUAUAAGCAAUACUGAAUGGCUAGUUAAUUUUCUGAUCUGCCUAUCGAAACUCUCAGGAACAACAAAACCAAUCUUGUAACUCAAUACCAUAAAUGCUUAUCUAAUUUGAAAACUAUAACCAAGUUGCUUUGGUCUAGUGGUAUAGGAGCUCCAGCUGGAGUGCCCGUCCCUGGAUUCGAGCCUUGGCCACUGCAGAAAUUUACAUAUAGGCUGCAGCACCCGAGACCGAAGACCGUUACAUGGUGAGCCAUAUGGUGACGUCCUGACAGCGUCCAUGCUCACUUCGGUCUCUAGUCUGGACCACUUCGGUGGGGCCAAGAUACUCGGUUAGCAAAGAAAAAAAAAAUUGAAAACUAUUUACUUAGGAGAGAAGAGUACUUAUAUACAAUGUUCACAGGUGUGUCUAUACAUAAGCAUAAGAAGACGAGAAAGAGAGGGAGCGAGGUGAAGUAAAAAUUUGGAGUUAUGUAUUUAUAGAGAGGGAAUAGCAUAGAUGAAUUAAACCGAACGAAAUCGAACCAUAUUUUAUGGUUCCUUGUUGGUGUGAUUUAUUUUCUCUAAACCAAGUCCUACAGAUCAUUAAUACUACCAAUACCAAAUUAUAAAAUAUAUACAUAUAUACAUUAGUAUUUAUACUAUUAAAACAGAAGUCAUGUCUUUUUUUUAUGUGUGAUAUUUUAAAAUAGACCAUCCUCUAGAAUGUUUAUCAAAUUUUAUAUAAUUUAAUUAUCAUAUCUUUUAAUAUCUUUAUCUUUUAUUUAAAAUACAAGUAAAUAUUUUUUAAGAAUAAUUUAAAUUAAUUAAUUUUCAGAAAUACAUUUUAUAAAGAUCUUAAGAAGAUUUUGUUAGAAAGAAAUAUUCAUUUCUGUUGAAAUGAAAUUAAAAAAAUCUUAUCCAACUUUAUGUAUUUGAAGCAAUUUUUCAAAUAAGAUUUUUACUACAAAAUUAGUUUGCAUGUACAAUAUAUUAUAGUUUCUUUUUAAAAAAUAUUUUUUGUUGUUCUUAACAAUAUCUCAAAAUAUUUAUUCUCUAUUAUGUAGGUCUAAUUUAAUUUGACUUCCAUAUACAUUUCGAACUUAGAAAUAAAAUUAAAAAUUAUUUAAAAUAGUAUUAUUAUAUAAUAAUGUUCUAAAAACAAAAUUUGUUAUAAAAUUUAUAGUAAUAACAAUAUAAGCCACUUAAAUAUAGGCAUUAUAGAGUUAUUUAAUACAUAUAAAUUACAUUAAUUUAGUAUAAAUUUUGUUAUAUAAACUUAAAUGUUUUAGUAUAUGAAGAUUAAACCCGCAAGAUCUAGUUUUGGUUAAGAUAAAAGUAUUGGUUUUGUUGAAUGAUGAAAUGAUCAGAUCAAAUACGUUCAUUGAAAGGAAUAAUCACCGUGAUAUAUCUAUUUGUACUAAUAUGCAUGUACAAAUAAAUUUAGGACAACUUAUGAUGAUUUUUGCAUCUCCAAUAAAAAUACUUUACAUUUUUGGGGGAUAAAAGUACAAGUUCCAUAUGAUGGUAAGUUUAACUUAUCGUCGACUCUCAGUUAAUCUAGAGCAUUAGUGUAUAAAAAAUUAACUACAUCGACCAAUUCGAUAACAUAAACAUUAGAAAAAGAAAAAUUGUUUAGAUAUAUUAGUUAAUAUAUCCAUUGACUUGGAACUGAGUGUGUAAACACGUAAAGUGCUCAGGGCAAGUUGAUCAUAAACAUAGUACACUACAGAUCAACAAAGAGAGAUUUCUUGUCUCCCACAACUUCACCUGAAGAUCAUCGAAAAGCCACAAGCCUAGAAACCAAAACCACUAUGCAUAUGUAUACCAUUUUCCUUCUUUAUAUUAAUAAACACAUUACUAAAUGUUACUUUGAAAAAAACUAUAUGUAAAUGAAUCCUGCUUUUUCGCUGCCCUCUUUUUGCCACGAAAGUGAUGUCUUUUCUCCAAAAGCUGAUAUAUAUAAUAAUAACAUUAUAUGGCUUUGGUGAUGUGUUUCAAUAUUGAUCAUAAAUGCUAAAUCAGCAUCCAUGAAUUAUGAUCCGUUUUCAAACUCUUACGUAGAUAUUCAAAAUUGUUUGAAAUACUCAUUUUUCUUUUUAUAAAAUCAUUAAAUAGUUUUCAAUACAAAAGAACUUUGCAGACAGCUAUUUGGUUUGAGAAGAUGAGUUAGAUACCCAUGUCAUGGCAGACAACCUGGUACGUUUGCAUCGGUCAGCGUUUUCAUAGUUUAUGGAUCAAUAAUGGUAGCAUGUGGGAUAACUGCGGAACAACUGCUGUACGAUUCUAAUAACAAUAAAAACAUAUAAAUACAUAUGUAGAGAUUUUUUUAUUAUUAACGGCGGUGCGGUUCAUCACCAUUGGAAACUUAUAUUUGGUUUUAUAUUCCAUGACUCCGAAUUUAAUAUUUUAUUUUUAUUAUUUAGAUAUAACGUUUUGACAUAUGAAUUUAUGAUAUUAGGUCAAUUGUUUUGACUCAAUACUGAUCAAGUGAAAUCGCAGUGUGAACGUCGUAUUACAUAUAUACUAUCUUAUUCAGUUUGUUGGAAUCUCUCGGAAUGUACAAAAUAUUUUUGGGUAAGGCUAAACAAAUGUUUAAGCACCACCAAUGGAAUAAUAUUCAAUACAAUAAUCCAAGUGGUACCGAGAUAUUAAUUUACAAUUGUAUUUACUCUUUCAUAUUUAUGUUCUGUAAAGCUUUUCUCGAAUCUUGACAGCCCAUUGUAGUAGUUCUAAACUGUAGAUGUGCGAAUGAUAAUCUCUAUAUAAACCACACUAUAUUCGUUGGAUAAUCAUUACUUUUAUAAAUCAAGAUGAUUUCAGUUAUAAUUUUUUUUUGAAGUUUUAAGUUAUGAAAUGAUCUCUUAUAUAUAAUCUCAAAUUCCUUUUCGAAUUAAUAUAGAUGUUUAUAUCCCAAUAUUUAUGUUUUUAUUGGAACAUGCGAUUUUUGUGUACCACGCCUUGUUUCUAUUCACAUUUUUUUUUUCUAUUUACAUUUUGCUUAACUAAUGAUCGUAAGUCAACUACAUGUGUCUAUAUGGUAACGUGGAUGUUUAUAGCUAAUCCACAUGAUUACUAUUUUACUUCGUAAUUUUUCUGAAAUGGAAUCAUUUUAUAUAUUUACUACUACGCAUGCAAGACCUUAAAAAUUGAAUUACGUUUUUCCUUUUUGCAAAGUCAUGUUUAUUUUUUAAAAUGGACUCGUGGUAUUUCUAAUUUUCUCCAUAAAAUCUGGAGUUCCGAUUUACUGAAUAUCAAAUAUAUGUAAAAGAUGAAUAAUAUUAUAAAAACACUUUGUCUUCCCAUCAUACCAUUGAACGCUUUACACACACCUACACUGCUCUACACUGAGAAGUUAUUUUUGACAAAGAGCAUUUGAGAAGUUUUUGUUUAUAAAACAUCUGAGAAGUUAUAUAUAUCUGCGUAUAUGUUUUUAAUAAAUCUAAGCAUUUAAUUCAAUAAUUUUUUUAUACCUGAUAUAUUUUUACAAGCACCAAAGAAAGCUUUGUAUUUUGGGUAUUUUAAAGAAAACCCUAGAAUACAAAACUUUCUUUCAUGCUUAUAGGGAUAUAUUGAAGCCUUCGAAAAUAUUUCUGACAUUAGAAUUUCUUUAAAAAUCUACCAAAAGCCUUUUUACGACUGAUUUAGGAAAACUGUAACUUUUUUGUUAAUUUAAGAAUUUUAGCAGAAUUUUUUUUUUUUGAGAAAAAUUUUUAGCAGAAUUUUCUUCUUCUACUGUUAACUAGAGAAACAUUUCUGUUAAAAUAACAUGGAUAUGUACUACUAGUAUAGUAGGAAGAAACGAAUACUCUUUUUAAUAAAUGUGGGAAGAAAUGAAUACAGUUCCUCUUAACUUUUUUUGGUCCAAAACUAUGGGCUGGUUAGAGCUAUUUUAUUAAUCAAUGCGUAAUUAGGUCAUCUAAACGUUCUGACUUGGAUCGCACUUGGAAUCAAGCUUCCAGUCUUUUAUUUUAAUUUUGUUCUCAACUAAAAAUAUUCGCACGUAGUUUUAUGCAUGGUCUAAUCAUAAUAAAGUAAAAAUCCCCGACUAAGUACAAAUUGAUUAUCGAUAUAUAUAAUUGUUAUUUUAAAACUUUGGAAUUUUAUCUGUUUGUAAAAAUAACAUUUCUAGUUAAUCAUCCCUAUUAUCCACUACAACGUCAAAACCCUAAACGGCAAUUAAAUGCAAAGAUGUACAUAUGUAAAAUUACAAACGAAAGGUUCGUGUUAUUGAAAAAAACAUGAAAAUGACAAAGUCAGAAUGUAAAGAAACCCCUAAAUCGACCACACAAAAACUAUAAGUAGUUAACAGUAAAUCCACUAGGAUAUUUCUAAAGAAACAUGACUUCAUUAUACAUCGGGUAAGUUUUUUUUCCAACAAAGGCUAUACUAAACUACAAAGAUCCGGAUCUUAGAGCCAAUUCGAAAGAAUCGAAUUAACAUACAUCAUAGCAAAAGACCGAGUCCGAUCAUCUCCUGCAGCCGUUAUGUUUUUUGCCUUCAGAAUAUGUUAAAUGAUUACAACGAUGAAAUUAUUCCAGAUGCAUAGUGAAAACCAGUGAGUAUUCUGGUGUACACACUAUUUUCGCUAAUUGAGAACAUUCACCCACAAACACCAUUGGCUAAGAUAUUUUCUAAAAUGAUUGAGAUUCAAAAUUUUAAUUACUUACGCACAUAUGCUGAUAUAUAUGAGAAGUUUUUGUUAAAAAGUGGGGUUUUCAAUGGCUUAAUUAAUCUGUCUUCUAGAUCUUCCCUCGCCAUCAUAGUCUGCAUGAAAUAUUGUAUCUCUGGUCUAUGAGCUUAACCGAAUAGGCCAAUGUUUCAGGCCCAUUAAAAGAAAUUAGACAUGAGCCUAGACCUCAUAUGAUGAUGGUGACUCACCUAAACUACUACCUUCGAGAGUUUCAUCUUGUCAUCAAUAAUACGAUUCAGAUACAAGCUUCGUUGACAAGUGGAAGAUCGAGGUAAGACGAUUAUCUUCGUAUUCCUCAAGCAUUUUCUCGGGAAGACGAAGUGUUUUGGGGUUUUCGAUUAUUUAGGGUUAGGGGGUUAAACAUGCGAGGCACAGCUUAUAUAUAUAUAUAGAUCUCUCAGCGAGGCGCAGUCAUUAAAAAAAAAUUCUCUACACAAGACAUUCAUAAUUACGGCUCUCUCAUCUAACCCUAAUUUAGCGAGAGAAAGUCUCCAGAUCAUCUCAUCGUGGAACCAUGGGCGAAGAAGGCGAGACCAUCGAGUUUUAUUCCGGUAAGAUCUCUCUCCAUCUCUUCUUACCCGAAAUUGUUUGUUAGAUAUCGAUACGUCAAUAUUAUAAUAAAACAUGGAGAAAUCCAGAUUGAACAAGGCGUUUUUUUUUGUUAGAUAUCUUUAUUUUAGUAAAAUUCUUUUAUGCCUUGUCCUUUUUUUUUUCUUUUUGUCAAAGGGGAUGAAACACUGGUGUUCUGGAACAUGGAUGACUACCCAAUCCCUGUUGGUAUCGAUAAUCUGAGAAGUAAUAUCGAAGAAGCUCUUGAUCAAAUGGGCUUUCGUGGGCAUAAGGAUUCAAUGUGCAUUGUGAACAACUCAACUGCGAAACAAAAGAAGAGUUGGGCAAGGCCGGAUUCUUUUACUUAGGGCAUCCACAAUGGUGGAUUCCAUUAAGGAGUCCUUAGCCAUUAUUUUAUUAUAUUUUUUUUUAAUUGAAUAGUUAAAGAUUUUAAAUCAAAAAGUGAGUCCAAUGGUGGAUUCCUUUGAGGAGUCCUUAUAUUCACAAAUAAAUGAGAUUCAAAAUCGGAAGGGACGACGGAGACCAGAGACCUUGGAGCUUCUCACAUGACGUCUCCCUUUUCUCAUCCCUUAAUGAAGAAGCUCGUGAUCUUCAUCUUAUCUACUCUGUUUCUCACCACCGCGAACUCUGAAACGCAGUGCCGGCGUUUCAAGUCGAUCAUCAGCUUCCGCGACUCCAUUGCCGACACAGGAAACUUGCUCGACCUCUCUGAUCCUAACGAUCUUCCUCAUGUCGCGUUCCGUCCAUACGGAGACACAUUCUUCCACCAUCCCACGGGCCGUUUCUCAAACGGUCGCCUCAUCAUCGUACUUAUCCCCACUCUUCCAAUCGUUGCGCGCCACGUCGAUACGGACCCGGUCCUUAAAACCCUUUAUGUAAGGAUUGAUCCUUACCUUUUCUCCUUUUUUUUUAAUUUCGAAACCAAAAACUCAUAUGUUUUCGUGCUAAGGAUUCACUACGGAUCGCCGUUGUGGAUGGUCUUACCUUCUUGUAAAAUCUUCAGAACACUCUCUCUUUCUUGUUGUCGUUUCUACUUUAUUUUAUGUCUCUUCUUUACUACCUUUGAUAGGUACAAGGACUUGCAUGAAUUCGGCUGCUGUUAACAAAGUGACUACUCUGGAUAUGACUGCUUUUUGAUUCUUUUUGCAACAAGUAAUGCAAAUCCAGUCAAUUUUGCGGUAAUCGCAAAACCAGAACCAGAAGGGGAGUUACAUAGGGUUCUAAAGUGUUUGCAGUCGAGGAGUUACAAAGUUCUCAUAGUAGAUCCAACUGGUUACACCGGAGUAGAUUGUCUACUUGUUAAUUCACAUCUUUUAGGUGGAGGAAUACAAAGGUUCUGAUGCUAGCGAUGGCUUCGAAGAAGAUCUCCCCACUUACGGAUUAGAUCUCUCCGAUCUUCUUGCUCAGGAAGACAAAGAUCUCUCCCAGGGCGUAGAAGAGAAAGAAGACCUGUCCCAGUGCAAAGUCCAGGGCCAAAAGAUCGAAGAAGAAGAUGAUCUCUCCGAGAUCGAAGAAGAUGAUCUCACCAAGAUCCAAGAUUUUCUCGGUAAGACCAUUCCUAGACUAAAUUCUAAUGUAAAUUUUCUACGGUUACAGUCUAACCAAUCACCCCUAAUAUCUCUAUAAAUUAAUAGAAUUUUAAAGUCUCAACAUUAUUAAUUUAUAGAGGUUCUACUGUAUUAUGAAGUUUUACUAAAUUAAUAGGCAAAAAAUUAAAAUGAUGCUCAUGUACCAUGAAAGAGAGUUUAAUAUACAUUAAUACAAAUGUAGAAUGUGUUUAGAAAUUUUAAAACAACACUAAAGAUCAUAGGCUUCAGUAUAUAGAACAUUUGCCGAAAAACUCAAUAUUUUCGUUGGGGGUUUGGAAUCUUUAAUGUUGUCUCCGUUUCUCCAGAAAAUAGCGAUUUUAGUGCAUAGAUUUUGAAAAAAAAAUAAAAAAAUAAAAAUAUUGUUUUAGUGUAUAGUUGCAUCUUUCACUAACAUAUGAUGAAGGUCAAAGAGGCUUGGAACCUUUGUUGUCUCCGUUUCUCCAGAAAAUAGCGAUUUUAUAGUGGUUAGUCCACCAAUUUAGGGAAUAUUAUGAAGUCUUACUAAAUUAAUUGACAAAAAAUUAAAACGAUGUCCAUGUACCAUGAAAGAGAGUUUAAUAUACAUUAAUACAAAUGUAGAAUUUGUUUAGUAAUUUUUAAAAACCACUAAAGAUCAUAGGCUUCAGUAUAUAGAGCAUUUACCGAUAAAAGAACAAAAGUUCAAAAUACAUUAAUACAUAAGUAGAAAGAGUUUAUAAAUUUUAAAACAACACUAAAGAACAUAUGCUUUAGUAUAUACAGCAUUUAGAAAAAUUCAAUAUUUUCGUAGGGGUUAACACAUAGAUUUUGAGAAAUAUUCAAAAAUAUGAAAAUAGUGUUUUAACGCAUAGUUGCAUCCUUCACUAGCAUAUGCUGAAGGUCAAAGAGGUUUGAAACUUUUUUUGUCUCCGUUUCUACGGAAAAUAGCGAUUUUAUAGUGGUUAGUCCACAAAUUUAGAGAAUAUUAUGAAGUUUUACUAAAUUAAUUGACAAAAAAUUAAAAUGAUUCCCAUGUACCAUAAAAAAAGUUUAAUAUACACUAAUACAAAUAUAGAAUGUGUUUAGAAAUUUUAAAACAACAUUAAAGAUCAUAGGCUUCAUUAUAUACAACAUUUACCGAAAAACUUAAUAUUUUCAUAGGGGUUAACACAUAGAUUUUGAGAAAAAUUCAAAAAUAAGAAAAUACUAUUUUAAUGCAUAGUUGCAUCAUUCAUAUGGGUUAAAACAUAGAUUUUGAGAAAAAUUCAAAACUAUGAAAAUACUGUUUUAAUGCAUAGUUGCAUCAUUCACUAAUAUAUGAUGAUGGUCAAAGAGAUUUGAAACUUUUGUUGUCUCCGUUUUUCUAGAAAAUAGAUAUUUUAUAGUGGUUAGUCCACCAAUUUAGGGAGUAUUAUGAAGUUUUACUAAAUUAAUUGACAAAAAUUUAAAAAGAUGUUCAUAUACCAUGAAAGAGAGUUUAAUAUACAUUAAUACAAAUGUAGAAUGUGUUUAGAAAUUUUAAAACAUCACUAAAGAUCAUAAGCUUCAGUAUAAAGAGCAUUUACCGAAAAAUUCAAUAUUUUCGUAAGGGUUAACACAUAGAAUUUGAGAAAAAUUCAAAAAUAUGAAAAUAUUAUUUUAAUGCAUAAUUGCAUCUUUCACUAACAUAGAUGAAGGUCAAAGAAGUUUAAAACUUUUUUGUCUCCGUUUCUCCAGAAAAUAGCGAUUUUAUAGUGGUUAGUCCACCAAUUUAGGGAGUAUUAUGAAGUUUUACUAAAUUAAUUGACAAAAAAUUAAAACGAUGUCCAUGUACCACGAAAGAGAGUUUAAUAUACAUUAAUACAAAUUUUAGAAUGUGUUUAGAAAUUUUAAAACAACACUAAAGAUCAUAGGGUUCAGUAUAUAGAACAUUUACCGAAAAACUCAAUAUUUUCGUAGGGGUUAACACAUAGAUUUUGAGAAAAUUUCAAAAUUUCAAAAUACUAUUUUAAUGCAUAAUUGCAUCAUUCACUAACAUAUGAUGAAUGUCAAAGAAGUUUGGAACCUUUGUUGUCUCCGUUUUUCUAGAUAAUAGCGAUUUUAAAGUGGUUAGUCCACCAAUUUAGGGAGUAUUAUGAAGUUUUACUAUAUUAAUUGAAAAAAAGUUAAAACGAUGCCAAUGUACCAUGAAAAAAGUUUAAUAUACAUUAAUACAAAAGUAGAAUGUGUUUCGAAAUUUUAAAACAACACUAAAGAACAUAUAUAGGCUUCAGUAUAUGGAGCAUUUACCGAAAAAUUCAAUAUUUUCGUAGAGGGGGUUAACACAUAGAUUUUGAGAAAAAAUCAAAAAUAUGAAAAUACUGUUUUAAUGCAUAGUUGCAUCCUUCACUAACAUAUGAUGAAGGUCAAAGAGGUUUGGAACCUUUGUUGUCUCUGUUUCUCUAGAAAAUAGCGAUUUUGUAUUGGUUAGUUGAUACCACUCAAAUUACCCUAAGGAGUGAAUUAUUAUCUCAAAUAAGAGGUUCAGAUGCAAUACUUAGGGAUCGAAUCCACAAGUACUCUAUGAUUACUCAACAGAUCUAAGGGAUUAGAAAUAAAGAUAGACUAAGAGGUUUAUUUGUUUAAAAGCAGUAAAUGAUGAGUCGAACAAGGCAAUUGUUCGGCGCUUUAAGUUGAAGUUGUUUUAAGGAUGGGAAAACAACUAGACUUAGGCAAAUUCUCAGGUAUGAAAAGCAUAUAACUUAGUUUAUACUAAAGGGUUUGACGGUUUUUGAACUCAAACAAUUGUAAAACCAGAUAGGUUUUCAUUACUAGAUCUCGGAUCUCAACUGUCGUCUUUUGAUCUCAAGAAAGAGUCGUUCGAUGUGACUUGAUGCACAUCGUUUGAUACACCUUUCAAACAAUCGAUCGACACAACGAUAGUCGCGUGGAUCGACGGUUCUUCUAGCAAGCUUUGCGAGCGGGUUUGAAGCUGUUCUCUAACCUUCUAGACCAAUUCUCGUUGUUAUCUAGUCAGUUAUAUCACGCUGGCUAUUUCAGGUAUUGAGGGUAACAGUUGGUUAUCUCAAUUAAUCCUAAGAUCUAAAAUGAGGGUGAUCAAUCCUAAUUUUAGCAUUAAGCUCAAUAAGCAUGAAAGAACAAUCAAAACACCUUUUUAACAGUCUUAUUAGCAGCACACAUUUUCAAUCUUUAAACCUAAAUCUAACAAUUGGGUUUACUCGGACAUAUUCAUGAGAGACAAAGUCAUGAUGGUUUAAAUAAAACUCAAUUGAAAUAUUGAACACAGAAAGUAAGAGUAAUAGAAAUAAAAGAGUUCAAGAUCUUCUCUGUUAUGCAGUCUCAGAUCUAUCUCUCCAAUCCUAAGCUCUUCUAAUGGUAGCCAAAAUGCUUCUUCUCCAAACUAGGUCUUUUUGCAAGUCUACCUCUAAAAUGAUACAAAACCCUAGUACAUAUAGCCUCACAGACGGCUAAGGGCUUAUGUUGCAAUUAAGAAACUUUAUGGAAAUGAAGUCUUCUAAUUUCGUGAUUAAUCCUCAAGUAAUCCAAUAUUGAUCGAUGACGCUGAACGGCUGUCGAUCAAUUUUAAUUGGCUCCGGGCGAUCGAUAUUGCUCUUCAAGCGUUGAUCGAUUCUCUACGCGUAAAAGUAGUGCCAAAGUGUCCCAAAAGCAUCAUUUCCUUCUAUCAAGUAACUGAACCUGUAAUUGCUUUGAAAAGACUCUAAAACAUGAUAAAUAUAACUUAAAACACUUAUAUACCAUGACUAAAAAUGGGUGAAAUCCAUGGUAUAUCAUUAAUCCACCAAUUUAGGGAGUAUUAUGAAGUUUUACUAAAUUAAUUGACAAACAAUUAAAACGAUAUCCAUGUACCGUGAAAGAGAGUUUGAUAUAUAUUAAUACACCUGUAGACUGUUUAGAAAUUUUAAAACAACACUAAUGAAAAUAGCGAUUUUAUAGUGGUUAUUACAUCAAUUUACGGUGUAUUAUGAAGUGUUACUAAACUAAUUGACAAAAAGUUAAAACGAUGCUCAUGUAAUAUGAAAGAGAGUUUAAUAUACAUUGAUACAAAUGUAGAAUGUGUUUAGAAAUUUUAAAAGAACACUAAAGAUCAUAAGGUUCAUUAUAUACAACAUUUACCGAAAAACUCAAUAUUUUCGUAGGGGUUAACACAUAGAUUUUGAGAAAAAAUUCAAAAUAUAAAAAUAUUGUUUUAAUGUAUAGUUGCUUCAUUCACUCACAUAUGAUGAAGGUCAAAGAAGUUUGAAACAUUUGUUGUCUCUGUUUUUCUAGAGAAUAGCGAUUUUAUAGUAGUUAGUUCACCAAUUUAGGGAGUAUUAUGAAGUUUUACUGUAUUAAUUGACAAAAAGUUAAAACGAUGCCAAUGUACCAUGAAAAAAGUUUAAUAUACAUUAAUACUAAAGAACACAGACUUCAGUAUAUAGAGCAUUUACCGAAAAAUUCAAUAUUUUCGUAGGAGGGGGUUAACACAUAGAUUUUGAGAAAAAUUCAAAAAUUCAAAAAUAUUGUUUUAAUACAUAGUUGCAUCCUUCACUAACAAAUGAUGAAGGUCAAAGAGGUUUGGAAACUUUGUUGUCUCCAUUUCUCCAGAAAAUAGCGAUUUUAUAGUGGUUAGUCCACCAAUUUAGGGAAUAUUAUGAAGUUUUACUAAAUUAAUUGACAAAAAAUUAAAACGAUGUCCAUGUACCACGAAAGAGAGUUUAAUAUACAUUAAUACAAAUUUUAGAAUGUGUUUAGAAAUUUUAAAACAACACUAAAGAUCAUAGGCUUCAUUAUAUACAACAUUUACCAAAAAACUCAAUAUUUUCUUAGGGGACACAUAGAAUUUGAGAAAAAUUCAAAAAUGUAAAAAUACUGUUUUAGUGCAUAGUUGCAUCCUUCACUAACAUAUGAUGAAGUUCAAAGAAGUUUGAAACUUUUGCUGUCUCUGUUUCUCUUGAAAAUAGCGAUUUUAUAGUGGUUAAUUCACCAAUUUAGGGAGUAUUAUGAAAUUUUACUAAAUUAAUUAACAAAAAAUUAAAACUAUGCCCAUGUACCAUGAAAGAGAGUUUAAUAUACAUUGAUACAAAUGUAAAAUGUGUUUAGAAAUUUUAAAACAACACUAAAUAUCAUAGGCUUCAGUAUAUAGAGUAUUUACCGGAAAAUUCAAUAUUUUCGUAGGGGUGUUAAUACAUAGAUUUUGAGAAAAAUUCAAAAUAUAAAAAUACUGUUUUAAUGCAUAGUUGCAUACUUCUAACAUAUGAUGAAGGUCAAAAAAGUUUGGAACCUUUGUUGUCGCCGUUUUUCUAGAGAAUAGCGAUUUUAUAGUGGUUAGUCCACCAAUUUAGGGAGUAUUAUGAAGUUUUACUAUAUUAAUUGACAAAAAGUUAAAACGAUGCUAAUGUACCAUAAAAAAAGUUUAAUAUACAUUAAUACAAAUAUUGAAUGUGUUUAGAAAUUUUAAAACAACACUAAAGAUCAUAGGCUUCAUUAUAUACAACAUUUACCGAAAAACUCAUUAUUUUCGUAGGGGUUAACACAUAGAUUUUGAAAAGAAUUAAAAAAUAUGAAAAUACUGUUUUAAUGCAUAGUUGCAUCCUUCGCUAACAUAUGAUGAAGUUCAAAGAAGUUUGGAACUUUUUUUGUCACCAUCUCUCUUGAAAAUAGCGAUUUUAUAGUGGUUAAUUCACCAAUUUAGGGAGUAUUAUGAAAUUUUACUAAAUUAAUUAACAAAAAAUUAAAACUAUGCCCAUGUACCAUGAAAGAGAGUUUAAUAUACAUUGAUACAAAUGUAAAAUGUGUUUAGAAAUUUUAAAACAACACUAAAUAUCAUAGGCUUCAGUAUAUAGAGUAUUUACCGGAAAAUUCAAUAUUUUCGUAGGGGUGUUAAUACAUAGAUUUUGAGAAAAAUUCAAAAUAUAAAAAUACUGUUUUAAUGCAUAGUUGCAUACUUCUAACAUAUGAUGAAGGUCAAAAAAGUUUGGAACCUUUGUUGUCGCCGUUUUUCUAGAGAAUAGCGAUUUUAUAGUGGUUAGUCCACCAAUUUAAGAAGUAUUUUGAAGUUUUACCAAAUUAAUUGACAAAAAGUUAAAACGAUGCCCAUGUACCAUGAGAAAAAGUUUAAUACACAUUAAUACAAAUGUAGAAUGUGUUUCAUAAUGUACCAUGAAAAAAGUUUAAUAUACAUUAAUACAAAUUAGAAUGUGUUUCAAAAUUUUAAAACAACACUAAUGAAAAUAACGAUUUUAUAGUGGUUAGUACACCUAUUUAAGGUAUAUUAUGAAGUGUUACUAAAUUAAUUGACAAAAAAUUAAAACGAUGCUCAAAUACCAUGAAAGAGAGUUCAAUAUACAUUGAUACAAAUGUAUAAUGUGUUUAGAAAUUUUAAAACAACACUAAAGAUCAUAGACUUCAUUAUAUACAACAUUUACCAAAAAACUCAAUAUUUUCUUAGGGGACACAUAGAAUUUGAGAAAAAUUCAAAAAUGUAAAAAUACUGUUUUAGUGCAUAGUUGCAUCCUUCACUAACAUAUGAUGAAGUUCAAAGAAGUUUGAAACUUUUGCUGUCUCUGUUUCUCUUGAAAAUAGCGAUUUUAUAGUGGUUACUUCACCAAUUUAGGGAGUAUUAUGAAAUUUUACUAAAUUAAUUGAAAAAUAAAUAAAAUUAUGCCCAUGUACCGUGAAAGAGAGUUUAAUAUACAUUUAUACAAAUCUAAAAUGUGUUUAGAAAUUUUAAAACAACACUAAAGAUCAUAGGCUUCAGUAUAAAGAGUAUUUACCAGAAAAUUCAAUAUUUUCGUAGGAGUUAAGACAUAGAUUUUGAGAAAAAUUCAAAAUAUAAAAAUACUGUUUUAAUGCAUAGUUGCAUACUUCACUAACAUAUGAUGAAGGUAAAAAAAGUUUGGAACCUUUGUUGUCGCCGUUUUUCUAGAGAAUAGCGAUUUUAUAGUGGUUAGUCCACCAAUUUAGGGAGUAUUAUGAAGUUUUACUAUAUUAAUUGACAAAAAGUUAAAACGAUGCUAAUGUACCAUGAAAAAAGUUUAAUAUACAUUAAUACAAAUUAGAAUGUGUUUCAAAAUUUUAAUGAUGCCAAUGUACCAUGAAAAAAGUUUAAUAUACAUUAAUACAAAUUAGAAUGUAUCGAAAUUUUAAAACAACACAAAAGAACAUAGGCUUCAGUAUAUAGAGCAUUUACCUAAAAAUUCAAUAUUUUCGUUGGGGGGGGGGUUAACAAAUAGAUUUUGAGAAAUAUUCAAAAAUAUGAAAAUAGCGUUUUAACGCAUAGUUGCAUCCUUCACUAGCAUAUGCUGAAGGUCAAAGAGGUUUGAAACUUUUUUUUGUCUCCGUUUCUACGGAAAAUAGCGAUUUUAUAGUGGUUAGUCCACAAAUUUAGAGAAUAUUAUGAAGUUUUACUAAAUUAAUUGACAAAAAAUUAAAAUGAUUCCCAUGUACCAUAAAAAAAGUUUAAUAUACACUAAUACAAAUAUAGAAUGUCUUUAGAAAUUUUAAAACAACAUUAAAGAUCAUAGGCUUCAUUAUAUACAACAUUUACCGAAAAACUUAAUAUUUUCAUAGGGGUUAACACAUAGAUUUUGAGAAAAAUUCAAAAAUAAGAAAAUACUAUUUUAAUGCAUAGUUGCAUCAUUCACUAACAUAUGAUGAAGUUCAAAGAGAUUUGAAACUUUUGUUGUCUCCAUUUUUCUAGAAAAUAGCGAUUUUAUAGUGGUUAGUCCACCAAUUUAGGGAGUAUUAUGAAAUUUUACUAAAUUAAUAGACAAAAAACUAAAACUAUGCUCAUGUACCAUGAAAGAGAGUUUAAUAUACAUUAAUACAAAUGUAGAAUGUGGUUAGAAAUUUUAAAACAACACUAAAGAUCAUAGGCUUCAGUUAUGCUCAUGUACCAUGAAAGAGAGUUUAAUAUACAUUAAUACAAAUGUAGAAUGUGGUUAGAAAUUUUAAAACAACACUAAAGAUCAUAGGGUUCAGUAUAUAGAAUAUUUACCGAAAAACUCAAUAUUUUCGUGGGGGUUAACACCUAGAUUUUGAGAAAAACUCAAAAAUAUGAAAAUACUGUUUUAGUGCAUAGUUGCAACCUUCAAUUACAUAUGAUGAAGGUCAAAGAGGUUUCGAACCUUUGUUGUCUCCGUUUCUCCAAAAAAUAGCAAUUUUAUAGUGGUUAGUCCACCAAUUUAGGGAAUAUUAUGAAGUUUUACUAAAUUAAUUGACAAGAAAUUAAAACGAUGCCCAUAUACCAUAAAAAAAAGUUUAAUAUACAUUAAUACAAAUAUAUAAUGUGUUUAGAAAUUUUAAAACAACACUAAAGAUCAUAGGCUUCAUUAUAUACAACAUUUACCAAAAAAUUCAAUAUUUUCGUAGGGGGUUAACACAUAGAUUUUGAAAAAAAUAUAAAAAUAUGAAAAUACUGUUUUAAUGCAUAGUUGCAUCAUUCACAAAAAUAUGAUGAAGUUCAAAGAAGUUUGGAACUUUUGUUGUCUCCGUUUCUCUUGAAAAUAACGAUUUUAUAGUGGUUUUUUUUUAAACACAUUUCGAUUAAUAUUAAGGGUUAGUUGUGAGCAAUAAAAGCAUCACCAACCACCAAGGUUCCAGUUACAUUCAAGGCAUCCUUUGCCAAUCUAUCAGCUAAAACAUUUUUCUCUCUAGCGAUCCAAGAGAAAGAUACAGAAGAUAAGCCUGAGGUAUGGGAGAUAAUAUCAGCAACCACACUAUAGAUUUCAGAGAUGGGAACAUCAGCCCUCACCGCCUUUAUCAGUUGUACAGAAUCCGAUUUGAAAUGCACCUUCUGUAACCCCUGUUCUGCGCAGGUACGAGCUGCUUCCCGGAGGGCAAGUCCUUCUGCUGCUAGAGGAGAGGCAACGCAGUUCUGUGAUGCUUUGAAGGUUUGGUUUCCUGAACUGGAGAUGAUGACCCAUCCUAAUCCCGCUCUGUUGGUUGUGGAAUCCCACGCCGCGUCCGAUCGUAUCAUUAUGGUAUCAGGUGGAGUUGCCAGCGUCAGAGGGAAGAGUGUCCCGCCGAUGAUGCUUUCCUUCUUCACUUCUAUGCUCCAUUCCCGUGCUAGUUUAAUGGCCGAAGACAGAGUAUCCUCUGGUGAGGCAGAGUGUCCUUCAAACACAAACUUGUUCCUUGCCUUCCAUAGUGCCCAGAAAAUCCAAGGAGCUAACGAACCAGUCGUAAUUCCCGCGGGGGGAAGGCAUUUAAGGUUACACAGAAUCUCCCAGCUAGUCAUUAAAUCUAGUAUUCCGCUAAUAUCCAGGUCAGUGUGGAGAGGGGCAAGCUGCCAAACUCGUUGAGCAAACCGACACUGGAAUAGUAGAUGAGUAAUAGAUUCCGAGCAGCCACACCGUUUGCAUAAAGGAUCUACAGGGACAUGCCUUUCUACCAGUCUUUCCCCAACCGGGAUAGCUCGCUUAAGUAGUUUCCAGGAGAAGAGUUUGACUUUUGGUGCACACGGCAGAUUCCAGACGCUACUUUUCCAUUUGAAAGCUCCUGCAAUGGGUAAGGGUUCUCUGUCCCCGGCUCUGUUAGCUGCUGUAAAGUACCCAGACUUUGUUGAGUACACUCCCGACUUGGUACCUAGCCAUAUUUGCUUAUCAGGGGCACCGGUAAGGCUUUGCUUUAUGCUCAAGAUUGUUUCCUCAAAGUCUGGCAGGAUGAGUCUGAUUUUUCUGUUGUCCCAUUCCUUUGUUUCGGGGAUCAUCAGUUCUGAGACAGUGAGGUUCUGGUGAGGUGCGUUCGGAGGCCCCAUUGGCCUUCUCUGAGCUGAGUGGCUCAGCCUGGGAUCGCCCCAGAUACUUAUAGAUGCUCCAUCGCCCACUAUCCACCCAAGGUUCUCUAACAGUAGGUCUCGUCCCACUAAAAUGUUGCGCCAACCGUGUGACAUUGUUGAGGUCUCGACUGCUUGUAAGAUGUUCUUAUCCUGGCAAUACUUCCCAAAGAGUAUUUUGCCUAGCAGGCAAUCUUAAUGUUGGAAGAGUCUCCAGCUAAUCUUAGCAAGAAGAGUGACGUUGAAAUCCUGAAAAUCCCGCAGGCCGAGACCGCCCAUAGCUUUGGGCUUUGCCAUGCUCUCCCAAGAGACCCACUCCAUUUUCCUCUCAGUUUCGUUCUGAUCCCACCAAUACCGUGUAACCGCGGAUUGAAUUCUUUUACAAAGAGAGACCGGCAAUAAGAAGCUAGACAUUGGAUAGGAGGGGAUAGUAGAGAGUACACUUUGCUACAAGCUUCCCGGCUGCCGAUAGAUAUCUAUUCUUCCACCCCCUAGCCUUUUGUUUGAUACAGUCAACCACAGAGGAGAAGAGGUCGUGUUUCCUACGUCCGAAAUGCUCGGUAAGCCCCAAGUAUUUUCCUGUUCCCCCCUCCUUCUCGAUUUGGAGUUCAGCUUUGACCAUUUGCUUUAAGUUUGCUGGUGCUUUUCGCGAGAAAGUGAUAGCCGACUUUUCCUUGCUUAUAGAUUGGCCCGACGUUUGUUCGUAAUUGCUUAGAAUAGUCUUGAGAGAAGCACAGUUCUCCUUAUCCGCUUGGAGGAAGAACAUUGUAUCGUCCGCAAAGAAUAGAUGAGAUAAUCGGGGACAGCCUCUUGCGACUCGCAGACCUUGGAGUGAGCCUUCCUCCUGCGCUCUGUUACAUAAUCCCGAGAGAACCUUGCUACACAUAAUAAAUAUGUAGGGAGAUAGAGGGUCGCCUUGUCGGUUUAGAACUUUUGUUGUCUCCGUUUCUCUUGAAAAUAACGAUUUUAUAGUGGUUACUUCACCAAUUUACGGAGUAUUAUGAAAUUUUCCUAAAUUAAUUGACAUAAAAUUAAAACGAGGCCCAUGUACCAUAAAAAUGGUUAAUAUACAUUAAUACAAAUAUAGAAUGUGGUUAGAAAUUUUAAAACAACACUAAAGAUCAUAGGCUUCAUUAUAUACAAUAUUUACCGAAAACCGUAAUAUUUCCGUAGGGGGUUAACACAUAGAAUUGAAAAAAAUCCAAAAAUAUGAAAAUACUGUUUUUAAUGCAUAGUUGCAUCCUUCACUAACAUAUGAUGAAGUUCAAAGAAGUUUGGAACUUUUGUUGUCUCUGUUUCUUUUGAAAAUAGCGAUUUUAUAGUGGUUACUUCACCAAUUUAAGGAGUAUUCUGAAAUUUUACUAAAUUAAUUGACAAAAAAUUAAAACUAUGCCCUUGUACCAUGAAAGAUAGUUUAAUAUACGUUGAUACAAAUGUAAAAUGUGUUUAGAAAUUUUAAAACAACACUAAAGAUCAUAGGCUUCAGUAUAUAGAGCAUUUACCGAAAAAUUCAAUAUUUUCGUAGGGGUUAACACAUAGAUUUUAAGAAAAAUUCAAAAUAUAAAAAUAUUGUUUUAAUGCAUAGUUGCAUCCUUCACUCACAUAUGAUGAAGGUCAAAGAAGUUUGGAACCUUUGUUGUCUCCGUUUUUCAAGAGAAUAACGAUUUUAUAGUGGUUAGUCCACCAAUUUUAGGGAGUAUUAUAAAGUUUCACUAUAUUAAUUGACAAAAAGUUAAAAGAUGCCAAUGUACCAUGAAAAAAGUUUAAUAUACAUUAAUAAAAAUGUAGAAUGUGUUUCAAAAUUUUAAAACAACACUAAAGAACAUAGUCUUCAGUAUAUAGAACAUUUACCGAAAAAUUCAAUAAUUUCGUAGGGGGUUAACACAUAGAUUUUGAGAAAAAUUCAAAAAUAUGAAAAUACUGUUUUAAUACAUAGUUGCAUCAUUCACUAACAUAUGAUGAAGAUCAAAGAGGUUUGGAACCUUUGUUGUCUCCGUUUCUAGAGAAAAUAGCGAUUUUAUAGUGGUUAGUCCACCAAUUUUGGAAAUAUUAUGAAGUUUUACUAAAUUAAUUGAGAAAAAAAUUAAAACGAUGCCCAUGUACCAUAAAAAAAAGUUUUAUAUACAUUAAUAUAAAUAUAGAAUGUGUUUAGAAAUUUUAAAACAACACUAAAGAUCAUAGGCUUCAGUAUAUAGAGCAUUUACCGAAAAAUUCAAUAUUUUCGUAGGGGUUAACACAUAGAUUUUAAGAAAAAUUCAAAAUAUAAAAAUAUUGUUUUAAUGCAUAGUUGCAUCCUAAUAUUUUCGUAGGGGGUUUAACACAUAGAUUUUGAGAAAAAUUCAAAAAUAUAAAAAUACUGUUUUAAUGCAUAGUUACAUCCUUCACUAACAUAUGAUGAAGUUCAAAGAAGUUUGGAACUUUUGUUGUCUCCGUUUCUCUUGAAAAUAGGGAUUUUAUAGUGGUUACUUCACCAGUUUUGGGAGUAUUAUGAAAUUUUACUAAAUUAAUAGACAAAAAACUAAAAAUAUGCUCAUGUACCAUGAAAGAGAGUUUAAUAUACAUUGAUACAAAUUUAGAAUGUGAUUAUAAAUUUUAAAACAACACUAAAGAUCAUAGGGUUCAGUAUAUAGAAUAUUUACCGAAAAACUCAAUAUUUUCGUGGGGGUUAACACCUAGAUUUUGAGAAAAACUCAAAAAUAUGAAAAUACUGUUUUAGUGCAUAGUUGCAACCUUCAAUUACAUAUGAUGAAGGUCAAAGAAGAAAAAUUUAAAAAUAUGAAAAUACUGUUUUAGCGCAUUGUUGCAACCUUCAAUAACAUAUGAUGAAGGUCAAAGAGGUUUGGAACCUUUGUUGUCUCCGUUUCUCCAGAAAAUAGCGAUUUUAUAGUGGUUAGUCCACCAAUUUAGGGAAUAUUAUGAAGUCUUACUAAAUUAAUUGACAAAAAGUUAAAACGACACCAAUGCACCAUGAAAAAAGUUUAAUAUACAUUAAUAUAAAUGUAGAAUGUGUUUAGAAAAUUUAAAACAACCCUAAAGAACAUAGGCUUUCAGUAUAUAGAGCAUUUACCGAAAAAUUCAAUUAAUAUUUUCGUAGAGGGGGUUAACACAUAGAUUUUGAGAAAAAUUCAAAAAUAUAAAAAUACUGUUUUAAUGCAUAGUUACAUCCUUCACUAACAUAUGAUGAAGUUCAAAGAAGUUUGGAACUUUUGUUGUCUCCGUUUCUCUUGAAAAUAGCGAUUUUAUAGUGGUUACUUCACCAAUUUAGGGAGUAUUAUGAAGUUUUACUAUAUUAAUUGACAAAAAGUUAAAACAAUGCCAAUGUAACUUGAAAUUUUUUUAAUAUACAUUAAUACAAAUGUAGAAUGUGUUUCGGAAUUUAAAAACAACACUAAAGAACAUAGGCUUCAGUAUAUAGAGCAUUUACCGAAAAAUUCAAUUAAUAUUUUCGUAGAGGGGGUUAACACAUAGAUUUUGAGAAAAAUUCAAAAAUAUAAAAAUACUGUUUUAAUGCAUAUUUGCAUCCUUCACUAACAUAUGAUGAAUAUCAAAGAGGUUUGGAACCUUUAUUGUCUCCGUUUCUCUAGAAAAUAGCGAUUUUAUAUUGGUUAGUCCACCAAUUUAGGGAGUAUUAUGAAGUCUUACUAAAUUAAUUGACAAAAAAUUAAAAAGAUGUCCAUGUACCAUAAAAAAAGUUUAAUAUACAUUAAUACAAAUAUAGAAUGUGUUUAGAAAUUUUAAAACAACACUAAAGAUCAUAGGCUUCAUUAUAUACAACAUUUACCGAAAAACUCAAUAUUUUCGUAGGGGUUAACACAUAGAUUUUGAGAAAAAUUCACAAAUAUGAAAAUACUGUUUUAAUGCAUAGUUGUAUCCUUCACUAACAUAUGAUGAAGUUCAUAGAAGUUUGGAAUUUUUGGUUGUCUCCGUUUCUCUUGAAAAUAGCGAUUUUAUAGUGGUUACUUCACCAAUUUAGGGAGUAUUAUGAAGUUUUACUAUAUUAAUUGACAAAAAGUUAAAACAAUGCCAAUGUAACUUGAAAUUUUUUUAAUAUACAUUAAUACAAAUGUAGAAUGUGUUUCGGAAUUUAAAAACAACACUAAAGAACAUAGGCUUCAGUAUAUAGAGCAUUUACCGAAAAAUUCAAUAUUUUCGUACGGGGGGUUAACACAGAUUUUGAGAAAAAUUCAAAAAUAUGAAAAUAAUGUUUUAAUGCAUAGUUGCAUCCUUCACAAACAUAUGAUGAAAGUCAAAGAGGUUUGGAUCAUAGUUUUGAGAAAAAUUCAAAAAUUUGAAAAUACUGUUUUAAUGCAUAUUUGCAUCAUUCACUAACAUAUGAUGAAGGUCAAAGAGGUUUGGAACCUUUAUUGUCUUCGUUUCUCUAGAAAACAACGACUUUAUAGUGGUUUGGCCAACCAAUUUAGGGAGUAUUAUGAAGUUUUACAAAAUUAAUUGACAAAAAAUUAAAACGAUAUCCAUGUACCGUGAAAGAGAGUUUAAUAUACAUUAAUACAAAUGUAGGAUGUGUUUAAAAAUUCUAAAACAACACUAAUGAAAAUAACGAUUUUAUAGUGGUUAGUACACCAAUUUAUUGUGUAUUAUGAAGUGUUACUAAAUCAAUUAACAAAAAUUUAAAACGAUGCUCACGUACCAUGAAAGAGAGUUUAAUAUACAUUGAUACAAGUGUAGAAUGUUUUUAGAAAUUUUAAAACAACACUAAAGAUCAUAUGGUUCAUUAUAUACAACAAUUAUAGAAAACCUCAAUAUUUUCGUAGGGGGUUAAACACAUAGAAUUUGAGAAAAAUUCAAAAAUAUGAAAAAACUGUUUUAAUGCAUAGUUGCAUCCUUCACUCACAUAUGAUGAAGGUCAAAGAAGUUUAGAACCUUUGUUGUCUCCAUUUUUCUAGAGAAUAGCGAUUUUGUAGUGGUUAGUCCACCAAUUUAGGGAGUAUUAUGAAGUUUUACUAUAUUAAUUGACAAAAAGUUAAAACGAUACCAAUGUACCAUGAAAAAAGUUUAAUAUACAUUAAUAUAAAUUUACUAUGUAUUUCAAAAUUAUAUAACAACAAUAAAGAACAUAGGCUUCAGUAUAUAGAGUAGUUACCGAAAAAUUCAAUUAUACAUUAAUCUAAAUGUAGAAUGUAUUUCAAAAUUUUAAAACAUCACUAAAGAGCAUAGGCUUCAGUAUGUAGAGUAUUUACCGAAAAAUUCAAUAUUUUCGUAGGGGGGUUAACACAUAAAUUUUGAGAAAAAUUCAAAAAUAUGAAAAUACUGUUUUAAUGCAUAGUUGCAUCCUUCACUAACAUAUGCUGAAGUUCAAAGAGAUUUGGAACCUCUGUUGUCUCCGUUCUCUAGAAAUUGCGAUUUUAUAGUGGUUAGUCCACCAAUUUAUGGAUUAAUAUGAAGUUCUACUAUAUUAACUGACAAAAAAUUAAAACGAUGUCCAUGUACCAUGAAAGAGAGUUUAAUAUACAUUAAUACAAAUGUAGAAUUUGUUUAGUAAUUUUUAAAAACCACUAAAGAUCAUAGGCUUCAGUAUAUAGAGCAUUUACCGAUAAAAUCAAUAUUAACACAUAGAAUUUGAGAAAAAUUCAAAUAUAUGAAAAUAUUAUUUUAAUGCACAGUUGCAUCCUUCACUAACAAUAGGCUUCAGUAUAUAGAGCAUUUACCGAUAAAAUCAAUAUUAACACAUAGAAUUUGAGAAAAAUUCAAAAAUAUGAAAAUAUUGUUUUAAUGCAUAGUUGCAUCCUUCACUAACAUAUGAUGAAGUUCAAAGAAGUUUGGAACUUUUGUUGUCUCUCUUUCUCUAGAAAAUAGCGAUUUUAUAGUGGUUAGUGCACUAAUUUAGGGAGUAAUAUGAAAUUUUACUAAAUUAAUUGUCAAAAAAUUAACGAUGCCCAUGAAUCAUGAAAAAGAGUUUUAUAUACAUUGAUACAAAUGUAAAAUGUGUUUAGAAAUUUUAAAACAACGCUAAAUAUCAUAGGCUUCAGUAUAUGGAGCAUUUACCGAAAAAUUCAAUAUAGGGAUUAACACAUAUAUUUUAAGAAUAAUUCAAAAAUAUGAAAAUACUGUUUUAAUGCAUAGUUUCAUCAUUCACUAACAUAUGAUGAAGGUCAAAGAGGUUUGAAACUUUUGUUGUCUCUGUUUCUUGGAAAAUAACGAUUUUAUAGUGGUUAGUCCACCAAUUUAAGAAGUAUUUUGAAGUUUUACCAAAUUAAUUGACAAAAAGUUAAAACGAUGCCCAUGUACCAUGAGAAAAAGUUUAAUACACAUUAAUACAAAUGUAGAAUGUGUUUCAAAAUUUUAAAACAACUCUAAAGAACAUAGGCUUCACUAUAUAGAGCGUUUACCGAAAAAUUCAAUAUUUUCGUAGGGGUACACAUAGAUUUUGAGAAAAAUUCAAAAAUGUGAAAAUACUGUUUUAAUGCAUAGUUGCAUCUUUCACUAACAUAUGAUGGAGGUCAAAGAGAUUUCGAACCUUUGUUGUCUCCGUUUUUCUAGAGAAUAACGAUUUUAUAGUGGUUAGUCCACCAAUUAGGGAGUAUUAUGAAGUUUUAAUAUAUUAGUCGACAAAAAGUUAAAAUGUUGCUCAUGUACCAUUAAAUAAAGUUUAAUAUACAUUAAUAUAAAUGUUGAAUGUGUUUAGAAAAAUUUUAAAACAACACUAAAGAUCAUAGGCUUCAGUAUAUAGAGCAUUUACCGAAAAAAUCAAUAUUUUCUUAGGGUUAGUUAACACAUAGAUUUUGUGAAAAAUUUAAAAUUAUGAAAAUACAGUUUUAAUGCAUAGUUGCAUCAUUCACUAACAUAUGAUGAAUGUCAAAUAAUUUUGGAACCUUUGUUGUCUUCGUUUCUCUAGAAAAUAGCAAUUUUAUAGUGGUUAGUCCAUGAAUUUAGGGAGUAUUAAUAAGUUUUACUUAAUUGAUUGACACCAAAUUAAAACGAUGUCCAUGUACCAUGAAAGAGAUUUUAAUAUACAUUAAUGCAAAUGAAGAAUGUGUUUAGAAAUUUUAAAACAAUACUAAAGAUCAUAGGCUUCGGGUAUAUAGAGUAUUUACCGAAAAAUUCAAUAUUUUUGUGGGGAGUUAACAAAUAUAUUUUGGGAAAAAUUCAAAAAAAAAAAUAUUGUUUUAAUGUAUAGUUACAUAUUUCACUCACAUAUAAUAAGGUCAAAGAAGUUUCGAACCUUUGUUGUCUCCGUUUUUGUAGAGAAUAGCUACUAUAUUAAUUGGCAAAAAGUUAAAACGAUGCCAAUGUACCAUGAAAAAAGUUUAAUAUACAUUAAUACAAAUGUAGAAUGUGUUUAGAAAAAUUUUAAAACAACACUAAAGAUCAUAGGCUUCAGUAUAUAGAGCAUUUACCGAAAAAAUCAAUAUUUUCUUAGGGUUAGUUAACACAUAGAUUUUGUGAAAAAUUUAAAAUUAUGAAAAUACAGUUUUAAUGCAUAGUUGCAUCAUUCACUAACAUAUGAUGAAUGUCAAAUAAUUUUGGAGGUUAACACAUAGAUUUUAAGAAAAAUUCAAAAAUAUAAAAAUACUGUUUUAAUGCAUAUUUUCAUCCUUCACUAACAUAUAAUGAAGAUCAAAGAGGUUUGGAACCUUUGUUGUCUCCGUUUCUCUAGAAAAUAGCGAUUUUAUAUUGGUUAGUCCACCAAUUUAGGGAGUAUUAUGAAGUUUUACUAAAUUAAUUGACAAAAAAUUAAAAAGAUGCCAUGUACCAUAAAAAAAAGUUUAAUAUACAUUAAUACAAAUAUAAAAUGUGCUUAGAAAUUUUAAAACAACACUAAAGAUCGUAGGCUUCAUUAUAUACAACAUUUACCAAAAAACUCAAUAUUUUCGUAGGGGUUAACACAUAGCUUUUGAGAAAAAUUCAAAUAUAUGAAAAUACUGUUUUAUUGCAUUGUUGCAUCCUUCACUCACAUAUGAUGAAGGUCAAAGAAGUUUGGAACCUUUGUUGUCUCCAUUUUUCUAGAAAAUAGCGAUUUUAUAGUGGGUAGUCCACCAAUUUAGGGAGUAUUAUGAAGUUUUACUAUAUUAAUUGACAAAAAGUUAAAACGAUACCAAUGUACCAUGAAAAAAGUUUAAGAUACAUUAAUAUAAAUGUAGAAUGUAUUUUAAAAUUUUAAAACAACACUAAAGAACAUAGGCUUCUGUAUGUAGAGUAUUUACCGAAAAAUUCAAUAUUUUCGUGGGGGUGGUUAACACAUAGAUUUUGAGAAAAAUUCAAAAAUAUGAAAAUACUGUUAUAAUGCAUAGUUGCAUCCUUCACUAACAUAUGAUGAAUGUCAAAGAGGUUUGGAACCUUUGUUGUCUCCGUUUCUCUAGAAAUUGCGAUUUUAAAGUGGUUAGUCCACCAAUUUAUGGAGUAUUAUGAAGUUCUACUAUAUUAAUUGACAAAAAAUUAAAACCCCAUGAAAGAGAGUUUAAUAUAUAUUAAUACAAACGUAGAAUUUGUUUAGAAAUUUUUUAAAAAACGCUAAAGAUCAUAGGCUUCAGUAUAUAGAGCAUUUACCGAUAAAAUCAAUAUUAACACAUAGAAUUUGAGAAAAAUUCAAAAAGAUGAAAAUAUUGUUUUAAUGCAUAGUUACAUCCUUCACUAACAUAUGAUGAAGUUUAAAGAAGUUUGAAACUUUUGUUGUCUCCAUUUCUCUAGAAAAUAGCGAUUUUAUAGUGGUUAGUGCACCAAUUUAGGGAGUAUUAUGAAAUUUUACUAAAUUAAUAGUCAAAAAAUUAAAACGAUGCCCAUGGAUCAUGAAAGAGAGUUUUAUAUACAUUGAUACAAAUGUAAAAUGUGUUUAGAAAUUUUAAAACAACGCUAAAUAUCAUAGGCUUCAGUAUAUAGAGCAUUUACCGAAAAAUUUAAUAUAGGGAUUAAUACAUAUAUUUUAAGAACAAUUCAAAAAUAUAAAAAUACUGUUUUAAUGCAUAGUUUCAUCAUUCACUAACAUAUGAUGAAGGUCAAAGAGCUUUGAAACCUUUGUUGUCUCCGUUUCUUGGAAAAUAACGAUUUUAUAGUGGUUAUUCCACCAAUUUAAGGAGUAUUUUGAAGUUUUACUAAAUUAAUUGACAAAAAGUUAAAACGAUGCCCAUGUACCAUGAGAAAAAGUUUAAUACACAUUAAUACAAAUGUAGAAUGUGUUUCAAAAUUUUAAAACAACUCUAAAGAACAUAGGCUUCUCUAUAUAGAGCGUUUACCGAAAAUUCAAUAUUUUCGUAGGGGUACACAUAGAUUUUGAGAAAAAUUCAAAAAUAUGAAAAUAUUGUUUUAAUGCAUAGUUGCAUCUUUCACUAACAUAUGAUGAAGGUCAAAGAGGUUUCGAACCUAUGUUGUCUCCGUUUUUCUAGAGAAUAGCGAUUUUAUAGUGGUUAGUCCACCAAUUUAGGGAGUAUUACGAAGUUUCACUAUAUUAAUUGAAAAAAAGUUAAAAGAUUCCAAUGUACCAUGAAAAAAGUUUAAUAUACAUUAAUCUAAAUGUAGAAUGUAUUUCAAAAUUUUAAAACAUCACUAAAGAGCAUAGGCUUCAGUAUGUAGAGUAUUUACCGAAAAAUUCAAUAUUUUCGUAGGGGGGUUAACACAUAAAUUUUGAGAAAAAUUCAAAAAUAUGAAAAUACUGUUUUAAUGCAUAGUUGCAUCCUUCACUAACAUAUGCUGAAGUUCAAAGAGAUUUGGAACCUCUGUUGUCUCCGUUCUCUAGAAAUUGCGAUUUUAUAGUGGUUAGUCCACCAAUUUAAGAAGUAUUUUGAAGUUUUACUAAAUUAAUUGACAAAAAGUUAAAACGAUGCCCAUGUACCAUGAGAAAAAGUUUAAUACACAUUAAUACAAAUGUAGAAUGUGUUUCAAAAUUUUAAAACAACUCUAAAGAACAUAGGCUUCUCUAUAUAGAGCGUUUACCGAAAAUUCAAUAUUUUCGUAGGGGUACACAUAGAUUUUGAGAAAAAUUCAAAAAUAUGAAAAUAUUGUUUUAAUGCAUAGUUGCAUCUUUCACUAACAUAUGAUGAAGGUCAAAGAGGUUUCGAACCUAUGUUGUCUCCGUUUUUCUAGAGAAUAGCGAUUUUAUAGUGGUUAGUCCACCAAAGAGAGUAUUAUGAAGUUUUACUAUAUUAGUUGACAAAAAGUUAAAUCGUUGCUCAUGUACCAUUAAAUAAAGUUUAAUAUACAUUAAUACAAAGGUAGAAAGUUUUUAGAAAUUUUUUAAAACAACACAAAAGAUCAUAGAGCAUUUACCGAAAAAAUCAAUAUUUUCGUAGGGUUAGUUAACACAUAGAUUUUGAGAACAAUUCAAAAAUAUGAAAAUACAGUUUUAAUGCAUAGUUGCAUCAUUCACUAGCAUAUGAUGAAUGUCAAAUAGUUUUGGAACUUUUGUUGUCUUCGUUUCUCUAGAAAAUAGCAAUUUUAUAGUGGUUAGUCCAUGAAUUUAGGGAGUAUUAAUAAGUUUUACUUAAUUGAUUGACACCAAAUUAAAACGAUGUCCAUGUACCAUGAAAGAGAGUUUAAUAUACAUUAAUACAAAUGAAGAAUGUGUUUAGAAAUUUUAAAGCAACACUAAAGAUCAUAGGCUUCGUUAUAUAGAGUAUUUACCGAAAAAUUCAAUAUUUUCGUAGGGGGGUUAACACAUAAAUUUUGAGAAAAUUUUGAAAACAACAAAAUACUAUUUUAUUGCAUCGUUUCAUCCUUCACUGACAUAUGAUGAAGGUCAAAGAGGUUUGGAACUUUUGUUGUCUCUGUUUCUCUGAAAAAUAGGGAUUUAUUGUGAUUAAUCCACCAAUUUAGGGAGUAUUAUGAAGUUUUACUAAAUGAAUUGACAAAAAGGUUAAAAUGAUGCCCAUGUACCAUGAAAGAGAAUUUAAUAUACACUAACUAUCAUAGGGUUCAUUAUAUACAACAUUUACCGAAAAACUCAAUAUUUUCGUAGGGGUUAUUAACACAUAGAAUUUGAGAAAAAUUCAAAAUUAUGAAAAACUGUUUUAAUGCAUAGUUGCAUUAUUCACUAACAUAUGAUAAAGUUCAAAAAAGUUUAGAACUUUUGUUUUCUCCAUUUCUCUAGAUAAUAAUGAUUUUAUAGUGGUUAGUUCACCAAUUUAGGGAGUAUUAUGAAAUUUUACUAAAUUAAUCGACAAAAAAUUAAAACGAUGUCCAUGUACUAUGAAAAAGAGUUUAAUAUACAUUGAUACAAAUGUAAAAUGUGUUUAGAAAUAUUAAUACAACACUAAAUAGCAUAGGCUUCAGUAUAUAGAGCAUUUACGGAAAAAUUCAAUAUUUUCGUAGGGGUUGUUAACACAUAGAUUUUGAGAAAAAUUAAAUAUAUAAAAAUAUUGUUUUAAUGCAUAGUUGCAUCCUUCACUCAAAUAUGAUGAAGGUCAAGGAAGUUUGGAAUCUUUGUUGUCUCCGUUUUUCUAGAGAAUAGCGAUUUUAUAGUGGUUAGUCCACCAAUUAGAGUAUUAUGAAGUUUUACUAUAUUAGUUGACAAAAAGUUAAAUCGUUGCUCAUGUACCAUUAAAUAAAGUUUAAUAUACAUUAAUACAAAGGUAGAAACGAAGUUUCACUAUAUUAAUUGAAAAAAAGUUAAAAGAUUCCAAUGUACCAUGAAAAAAGUUUAAUAUACAUUAAUACAAAUGCAGAAUGUGUUUCAAAAUUUUAAACUAACACUAAAGAACAUAGGCUUCAGUAUAUAGAACAUUUACCGAAAAAUUCAAUAUUUUCGAGGGGGGGUUAACACAUAGAUUUUGAGUAAAUUUCAAAAAUAUAAAAAUACUGUUUUAAUACAGAGUUGCAUCAUUCACUAACAUAUGAUGAAGGUCAAAGAGGUUUGGAACCUUUGUUGUCUCCGUUUCUCCAGAAAAUAGCGAUUUUAUAGUGGUUAGUCCACCAAUUUAGGAAAUAUUAUGAAGUUUACUAAAUUAAUUGACAAAAAAAUUAAAACGAUGCUCAUGUACCAUGAAAGAGAGUUUAAUAUACAUUGAUAGAAAUGUAGAAUGUUUUUAGAAAUUUUAAAAUAACACUAAAGAUCAUUGGCUUCAUUAUAUACAACAUUUACAGAAAAACUCAAUAUUUUCGUAGGGGUUAACAUAUUGAAUUUGAGAAAACUUCAAAAAUAUGAAAAAACUGUUUUAAUGCAUAGUUGAAUCAUUCACUAACAUAUGAUGAAGUUCAAAGAAGUUUGGAACUUUUGUUAUCUCCGUUUCUCUAGAAAAUAGUGGUUUUAUAGUGGUUAGUUUACCAAUUUAGGGAGUAUUAUUAAAUUUUACUAAAUUAAUUGUGAAAAAAUUAAAACGAUGUCCAUGUACCAUGGAAGAGAGUUUAAUAUACAUUUAUACAAAUGUAAAAUGUGUUUAGAAAUUUUAAAACAACACUAAAGAUAAUAGGCUUCAGUAUAUAGAGCAUUUACAGAAAAAAUUUAGUAUUUUUGUAGGGGUUAACACAUAGAUUUUGAGAAAAAAUCAGAAUAUAAAAAUACUGUUUUAAUGCAUAGUUGCAUCGUUCACUCACAUAUGAUGAAGUUCAAAUAAGUUUGGAACCUUUAUUGUCUCCGAUUUUUCUAGAGAAUAUCGAUUUUAUAGUGGUUAGUCCACCAAAGAGAGUGUUAUGAAGUUUUACUAUAUUAAUUGACAAAAAGUUAAAACGAUACCAAUGUACCAUGAAAAAGGUUUAAUAUUCAUUAAUAUAAAUUUACUAUGUAUUUCAAAAUUAUAUAACAACAAUAAAGAACAUAGGCUUCAGUAUAUAGAGUAGUUACCGAAAAAUUCAAUAUUUUCGUACGGGGGGUUAACACAGAUUUUGAGAAAAAUUCAAAAAUAUGAAAAUAAUGUUUUAAUGCAUAGUUGCAUCCUUCACAAACAUAUGAUGAAAGUCAAAGAGGUUUGGAACCUUUGUUGUCUCAGUUUCUCUAGAAAAUAGCGAUUUUAUAGUGGUUAGUCCACCAAUUUAUGGAGUAUUAUGAAGUUUUACUAUAUUAAUUGACAAAAAAUUAAAACGAUGCCCAUUUACCAUGAAAGAGAGUUUAAUAUACAUUAAUACAAACGUAGAAUUUGUUUAGUAAUUUUUAAAAAACACUAAAGAUCAUAGGCUUCAGUAUAUAGAGCAUUUACCGAUAAAAUCAAUAUUAACACAUAGAAUUUGAGAAAAAUUCAAAUAUAUGAAAAUAUUAUUUUAAUGCAUAGUUGCAUCCUUCACUAACAUAUGAUGGAGUUCAAAUAAGUUUGGAAGUUUUGUUGUCGCUCUUUCUAUAGAAAAUAGCGAUUUUAUAGUGGUUAGUGCACCAAUUUAGGGAGUAUUAUGAAAUUUUACUAUAGUAAUUGUCAAAAAAUUAAAACGAUGCCCAUGAAUCAUGAAAAAGAGUUUGAUAUACAUUGAUACAAAUGUAAAAUGUGUUUAGAAAUUUUAAAACAACACUAAAUAUCAUAGGCUUCAGUAUAUGGAGCAUUUACCGAAAAAUUCAAUAUUUUCGUAGGGAUUAAUACACAUAUUUUAAGAAUAAUUCAAAAAUAUGAAAAUACUGUUUUAAUGCAUAGUUUCAUCAUUCACUAACAUAUGAUGAAAUUCAAAGAGGUUUGAAACUUUUGUUGUCUCCAUUUCUUGGAAAAUAACGAUUUUAUGAUGGUUAGUCCUCCAAUUUAAGGAGUAUUUUGAAGUCUUACUAAAUUAAUUGACAAAAAGUUAAAAUGAUGCCCAUGUACCAUGAGAAAAGUUUAAUACACAUUAAUACAAAUGUAGAAUGUGUUUCAAAAUUUUUAAACAACUCUAAAGAACAUAGGCUUCAGUAUAUAGAGUGUUUACCGAAAAAUUCAAUAUUUUCGUAGGGGUACACAUAGAUUUUGAGAAAAAUUCAAAAAUAUGAAAAUAUUGUUUUAAUGCAUAGUUGCAUCUUUCACUAACAUAUGAUGAAGGUCAAAGAGGUUUCGAACCUAUGUUGUCUCCGUUAAUUCAAAAAUAUGAAAAUACUGUUUUAAUGCAUAGUUUCAUCUUUCACUAGCAUAUGAUGAAGGUCAAAGAGGUUUGGAACCUUUGUUGUCUCCGUUUUUCUAGAGAAUAACGAUUUUAUAGUGGUUAAUCCUCCAAUUUAGGGAGUCUUAUGAAGUUUUACUAUAUUAGUUGACAAAAAGUUAAAACGUUGCUCAUGUACCAUUAAAUAAAGUUUAAUAUACAUUAAUACAAAUGUAGAAUGUGUUUAGAAAAAUUUUAAAACAACACUAAAGAUCAUAGGCUCCAGUAUAUAGAGCAUUUACCGAAAAAAAUCAAUAUUUUCGUAGGGUUAGUUAACACAUAGAAUUUGUGAAAAAUUCAAAAAUAUGAAAAUACAGUUUUAAUGCAUAGUUGCAUCAUUCACUAACAUAUGAUGAAUGUCAAAUAAUUUUGGAACCUUUGUUGUCUUCGUUUCUCUAGAAAAUAGCAAUUUUAUAGUGGUUAGUCCAUGAAUUUAGGGAGUAUUAAUAAGUUUUACUUAAUUGAUUGACACCAAAUUAAAACGAUGUCCAUGUACCAUGAAAGAGAUUUUAAUAUACAUUAAUGCAAAUGAAGAAUGUGUUUAGAAAUUUUAAAACAAUACUAAAGAUCAUAGGCUUCGGGUAUAUAGAGUAUUUACCGAAAAAUUCAAUAUUUUUGUGGGGAGUUAACAAAUAUAUUUUGGGAAAAAUUCAAAAAAAAAAAUAUUGUUUUAAUGUAUAGUUACAUAUUUCACUCACAUAUAAUAAGGUCAAAGAAGUUUCGAACCUUUGUUGUCUCCGUUUUUGUAGAGAAUAGCUACUAUAUUAAUUGGCAAAAAGUUAAAACGAUGCCAAUGUACCAUGAAAAAAGUUUAAUAUACAUUAAUACAAAUGUAGAAUGUGUUUCGAAAUUAAAAAAAAAACAAUAAAGAACAUAGGCUUCAGUAUAUAGAACAUUUACCGAAAAAUUCAAUUAAUAUUUUCGUAGAGGGGGUUAACACAUAGAUUUUGAGAAAAUUUUAAAAUUAUGAAAAUACUGUUUUAAUGCAUAUUUUCAUCAUUCACUAACAUAUGAUGAAGAUCAAAGAGGUUUGAACCUUUGUUGUCUCCGUUUCUCUAGAAAAUUGCGAUUUUAUAUUGGUUAGUCCACCAAUUUAGGGAGUAUUAUGAAGUUUUACUAAAUUAAUUGACAAAAAAUUAAAAAGAUGCCAUGUACCAUAAAAAAAAGUUUAAUAUACAUUAAUACAAAUAUAGAAUGUGUUUAGAAAUUUUAAAACAACACUAAAGAUCAUAGGCUUCAGUAUAUAGAGUAUUUACCGAAAAAUUCAAUAUUUUCGUAGGGGGGUUAACACAUAGAUUUUGAGAAAAUUCAAAAAAUAAAAAUAUUGUUUUAAUGUAUAGUUGCAUCCUUCUUCACAUAUGAUAAGGCAAAGAAGUUUGGAACCUUUGUUUUCUCCGUUUUUCUGGAGAAUAACUAUUUUAUAGUGAUUAGUCCACCGAUUUAGAGAGUAUUAUAAAAUUUUAUUAUAUUAAUUGGCAAAAAGUUAAAACAAUGCCAAUGUACCAUGAAAAAAGUUUAAUAUACAUUAAUACAAAUGUAGAAUGUGUUUCGAAAUUAAAAAAAAAACAAUAAAGAACAUAGGCUUCAGUAUAUAGAACAUUUACCGAAAAAUUCAAUUAAUAUUUUCGUAGAGGGGGUUAACACAUAGAUUUUGAGAAAAUUUUAAAAUUAUGAAAAUACUGUUUUAAUGCAUAUUUUCAUCAUUCACUAACAUAUGAUGAAGAUCAAAGAGGUUUGAACCUUUGUUGUCUCCGUUUCUCUAGAAAAUUGCGAUUUUAUAUUGGUUAGUCCACCAAUUUAGGGAGUAUUAUGAAGUUUUAGUAAAUUAAUUGACAAAAAAUUAAAAAGAUGUCCAUGUACCAUAAAAAAAAGUUUAAUAUACAUUAAUACAAAUAUAGAAUGUGUUUAGAAAUUUUAAAACAACACUAAAGAUCAUAGGCUUCAUUAUAUACAACAAUUCCCGAAAAACUCAACACAUAGAUUUUGAGAAAAAGUCAAAAAUAUGAAAAUACUGUUUUAAUGCAUAGUUACAUUCUUAACUAACAUAUGAUGAAGUUCAAAGAAGUUUGGAACUUUUGUUGUCUCCGUUUCUCUUGAAAAUAGCGAUUUUAUAGUGGUUACUUCACCAAUUUAGGGAGUAUUAUGAAAUUUUACUAAAUUAAUUGACAAAAAAUUAAAACUAUGUCCAUGUACCAUGAAAUAGAGUUUAAUAUACAUUUAUACAAAUGUAAAAUGUGUUUAGAAAUUUUAAAACAGCACUAAAGAUCAUAGGCUUCAGUAUAUAGAGUAUUUACCGAAAAAUCAAUAUUUUCGUAGGGGUUAACACAUAGAUUUUGAGAAAAAAUCAAAAUAUAAAAUUAAUGUUUUAAUGCGUAGUUAUAUCCUUCACUAACAUAUGAUGAAAAUCAAAUAAGUUUGGAACCUUUGUUGUCUCCGUUUUUUCUAGAGAAUUGCGAUUUUAUAGUGGUUAGUCCUCCAAUUUAGGGAGUAUUACGAAGUUUUACUAUAUUAAUUGACAAAAAGUUAUAACGAUACCAAUGUAUCAUGAAAAAAGUUUAAUAUACAUUAAUACAAAUGUAGAAUGUGUUUUGAAAUUUUAAAACAACACUAAAGAACAUAUGCUUCAGUAUAUAGAGUAUUUACCGAAAAAUUCAAUAUUUUCGUAGGGGGGUUAACACAUAGAUUUCGAGAAAAAUUUAAAAAUAUGAAAAUACUGUUUUGAUGCAUUGUUGCAUCCUUCACUAACAUAUGAUGAAGGUCAAAGAGGUUUGGAACCUUUAUUGUCUCCGUUUCUCUAGAAAAUAGGGAUUUUAUAGUGGUUAGUCCACAUAUUUAUGGAAUAUUAUGAAGUUUUACUAAAUUAAUUGACAAAAAAAAACGAUAUCCAUGUACUGUGAAAGAGAGUUUAAUAUAUAUUGAUACAAAUUUAGAAUUUAUUUAGAAAUUUUAAAACAACACUAAUAAAAAUAACGAUUUUAUAGUGGUUAGUACACAUAUUUAUGGUGUAUUAUGAAGUGUUACUAAAUUAAUUGACAAAAAAUUAAAAAGAUGCUCAUGUACCAUGAGAUAGAGUUUAAUAUACAUUGAUACAAAUGUAUAAUGUGUUUAAAAAUUUUAAAACAACACUAAAGAUCAUACACUUCAUUAUAUACAAUAUUUACCGAAAAACUCAAUAUUUUCAUAGGGGUUAACACAUAGAAUUUGAGAAAAAUUCAAAAAUAUGAAAAUACUGUUUAAUGCGUAGUUGCAUCAUUCACAAACAUAUGAUGAAAUUCAAAGAAGUUUGGAACUUUUGUUGUGUCCGUUUCUCUAGAAAAUAGUGAUUUUAUAGUGGUUAGUUCACCAAUUUAGGGAGUAUUAUGAAAUUUUACUAAAUUAAUUGACAAAAAAUUAAAACGAUGCCCAUGUACUAUGAAAAAGAGUUUAAUAUACAUUUAUAAAAAUGUUAAAUGUGUUUAGAAAUUUUAAAACAACACUAAAGAGCAUAGGCUUCAGUAUAUAGAGCAUUUACCGAAAAAAUUUAAUAUUUUCGUAGGGGUUAACACAUAAAUUUUGAGAAAAAUUCAAAAUAUAAAAAUAUUGUUUUAAUGCAUAGUUGCAUCCUUCACACACAUAUGAUGAAGGUCAAUGAAGGUUGGAACCUUUGUUGUCUCCGUUUAUCUAGAGAAUAGCGAUUUUAUAGUGGUUAGUCCACUAAUUUAGGGAGUAUUAUGAAGUUUUACUAUAUUAAUUGACAAAAAGUUAAAACGAUGCCAAUGUACCCUGACAAAUUUUUAGAAUACAUUAAUACAAAAGUAGAAUGUGUUUCGAAAUUUUAAAACAACACUAAAAAACUUAGGCUUCAGUAUAUAGAGCAUUUACCGAAAAAUUCAAUUAAUAUUUUCGUACAGGGGGUUAACACAUAGAUUUUGAGAAAAAUUCAAAAAUUUGAAAAUACUGUUUUAAUGCAUAUUUGCAUCCUUCACUAACAUAUGAUGAAGAUCAAAGAGGUUUGGAACCUUUCUUGUCUCCGUUUCUCUAGAAAAUAGCGAUUUUAUAUUGGUUAGUCCACCAAUUUAGGGAGUAUUAUGAAGUUUUACUAAAUUAAUUGACAAAAAAUUAAAAAGAUGUCCAUGUACCAUGAAAUAGAGUUUAAUAUACAUUUAUACAAAUGUAAAAUGUGUUUAGAAAUUUUAAAACAGCACUAAAGAUCAUAGGCUUAUCCAUGUACCUUGAAACAAAGUUUAAUAUACAUUAAUACAAAUGUAAAAUGUGUUUAGAAAUUUUAAAACAACCCUAAAGAUCAUAUGCUUCAGUAUAUAGAGCAUUUACCGAUAAAAUCAAUAUUUUCGUAGGGGGUUAGAAUUUGAGAAAAAUUCAAAAAUAUGAAAUUAUUGUUUUAAUGCUUCGUUUCAUCUUUCACUAACAUAUGAUGAAGGUCAAAAGGGUUUGGAACUUUUGUUGUCUCCGUUUCUCUGGAAAAUAGCGAUUUAUAGUAAUUAAUCCACCAAUUUAGGGAGUAUUAUGAAAUUUUACUAAAUUAAUUGAUAAAAGGUUAAAACGAUGUCCAUGUACCAUGAAAGAGAGUUUAAUAUACGUUAAUUCAAAUGUAGAAUGUGUUUAAAAAUUUUAGAACAACACUAAAGUUCAUAGGAUUCGGUAUAUAUAACACAUAGACUUUGAAAAAAAAUCAAAAAUAGGAAAAUACUAUUUUAAUGCAUAGUUGUAUUAUUCACUAAUAUAUGAUGAAGGUCAAAGAGGUUUGGAACUUUUGUUGUCUCCGUUUUUCUAAAAAAUAGCGAUUUUAUAGUGGUUAGUCCACCAAUUUAUGGAGUAUUAUGAAGUUUUACUAAAUUAAUUGACAAAAAAUUAAAACGAUGUCCAUGUACCACGAAAGAGAGUUUAAUAUACAUUAAUACAAAUUUUAGAAUGUGUUUAGAAAUUUUAAAACAACCCUAAAGAUCAUAUGCUUCAGUAUAUAGAGCAUUUACCGAUAAAAUCAAUAUUUUCGUAGGGGGUUAGAAUUUGAGAAAAAUUCAAAAAUAUGAAAUUAUUGUUUUAAUGCUUCGUUUCAUCUUUCACUAACAUAUGAUGAAGGUCAAAAGGGUUUGGAACUUUUGUUGUCUCCGUUUCUCUGGAAAAUAGCGAUUUAUAGUAAUUAAUCCACCAAUUUAGGGAGUAUUAUGAAAUUUUACUAAAUUAAUUGAUAAAAGGUUAAAACGAUGUCCAUGUACCAUGAAAGAGAGUUUAAUAUACGUUAAUUCAAAUGUAGAAUGUGUUUAAAAAUUUUAGAACAACACUAAAGUUCAUAGGAUUCGGUAUAUAUAACACAUAGACUUUGAAAAAAAAUCAAAAAUAGGAAAAUACUAUUUUAAUGCAUAGUUGUAUUAUUCACUAAUAUAUGAUGAAGGUCAAAGAGGUUUGGAACUUUUGUUGUCUCCGUUUUUCUAAAAAAUAGCGAUUUUAUAGUGGUUAGUCCACCAAUUUAUGGAGUAUUAUGAAGUUUUACUAAAUUAAUUGACAAAAAAUUAAAACGAUGUCCAUGUACCAUAAACGAGAGUUUAAUAUACAUCAAUACAAAUGUAGAUGUCUUUAUAAAUUUUAAAACAACACUAAAGAACAUAGGCUUCGUAAGGGUUAACACAUAGAAUUUGAGAAAUACUGUUUUAAUGUAUAGUUGCAUCCUUCACUAACAUAUGAUGAAGUUCAAAGACGUUUGGAACUUUUGCUGUCUCCGUUUCUCUAGAAAAUAGUGAUUUUAUAGUGGUUAGUUCACCAAUUUAGGGAGUAUUAUGAAAUUUUACUAAAUUAAUUGGCAAAAAAUGAAAAUGAUGCACAUGUACCAUGAAAGAGAGUUUAAUAUACAUUAAUACAAAUGUAAAAUGUGGUUAGAAAAUUUUAAACAACACUAAAGAUCAUAGGCUUCAGUAUAUAUAACAUUUAUCGAAAAACUCAAUAUUUUCGUGGAGGUUAACACAUAAAAUUUGAGAAAAAUUUCAAAAAUAUGAAAAUACUGUUUUAAUGCAUAGUUGCAUCAUUCACUAACAUAUGAUGAAUUUCAAAAAGGUUUGGAACUUUUGUUGUCUUAUUUUCUCUAGAAAAUAACGUUUUUAUAGUGUUUAGUCCGCCAAUUUAGGGAGUAUUAUGAAAUUUUACUAAAUUAAUUGAAAAAAAAUUAAAACGAUGUCCGUGUACCAUGAAAGAGAGUUUAAAAUACAUUAAUACAAAUGUAAAAUGCGUUUAGAAAUUUUAAAACAAUACUAAAGAUCAUAGGCUUCAGUAUAUAGAACAUUUACUGCAAAAAUCAAUAUUUCCGUAAGGGUUAAUACAUAGAUUUUGAGAAAAAUUCAAAAAUAUGAAAACACUAUUUUAUUGCAUAGUUGCAUCAUUCACUAACAUAUGAUGAAGGUCAAGGAAGUUUGGAAGUCUCCAUUUUUCUAGAAAAUAGCAAUUUUAUAGUGGUUAAUCCACCAAUUUAGGGAGUAUUAUGAAGUUUUACUAAAUUAAUUGAAAAAAAUAAAACGAUGUCCAUGUACCGUGAAAGAGAGUUUAAUAUAGAUUAAUACAAAUGUAGAAUGUGUUUAGAAAUUUUAAAACAACACUAAAGAUCAUAGGCUUCAGUAUAUAGAGCAUUUACCGAAAAUUUCAAUAUUUUCGUAGGGAACACAUAGAUUUUGAGAAAAAUUCAAAAAUAUGAAAAUAUUGUUUUAAUGCAUAGUUGCAUCUUUUACUAACAUAUGAUGAAGUUCAAAGAAGUUUGGAACUUUUGUUGUCUCUCUUUCUCUAGAAAAUAGCGAUUUUAUAGUGGUUUACUAACAUAUGAUGAAGGUCAAAGAGAUUUGGAACCUUUGUUGUCUCCGAUUUUCUAGAGAAUACCGAUUUUAUAGUGGUUAGUCCACCAAUUUAGGGAGUAUUGUGAAGUUUUAUUAAAUUAAUUGACAAAAAAUUGAAACGAUGCCCACGUACCUUGAAAGAAAGUUUAAUAUACAUUAACAUAAAUGUAGAAUGCGUUUAGAAAUUUUAAAACAACACUAAAGAUCAUAGGCUUCAGUAUAUAGAUUAUUUACUGAAAAAUUCAAUAUUUUCGUAGGGGUUACACACAUAGAUUUUGAGAAAAGUUCAAAAAUAUAAAAAUCCUGUUUUAAUGCAUAGUUGCAUCAUUCACUAACAUAUGAUGAAGGUUAAAGAGGUUUGAAAUUUUUGUUGUCUUCGUUUCUCUAUAAAAUAGCGAUUUUAUAGUGGUUAGCUAGUCCACCAAUUUAGAGAGUAUUACCAAGUUUUACUAAAUUAAUUGACAAAAAAUUAAAACACGUGAUAUCGAAGAAGCUCUUGAUUAAAUGGGCUUUCGUGGGCCUAAGCAGUUCAGUGUGAAUUGUGAACAACUCAACUGCGAAACAAAAGAAGAGUUGGGCGAGGCCAGAUUCACAUACCUAUAUGUAAAUUCUUCGGAACAUUCUCUCUUUCUUGUUGUCGUUUCUAUCAAAGGAUUGCUAAUAGAUAGGAGGAUGGUGCCCUUUUAAUGAUGAAACAAGCGAACCUUGUUCCAAAAAGUAUAAAGCCGGCUGAAGAAACACCUUAUGUGCUUCCUUUAGUUUGGGGUCGGGUAAUCUUCGAUUCCCUUUGGAAUCAGCAGAUUAUUACUAUCUUUUAUCUUUUUUUUGUCUUAUGUGCUUCCUUUAGUUUGGGUUACUGUUUUUGAAUUUCGUUAUGCUUGUGCUUCAAUGUGUGUGGUGUUAUAACCCCCUGUGAUGCACCACUUACGUAUGUUCGCUAUAUGUGCGAGGAAUAAAAAACGAUAUUCGGUUUGUUACCUUUUUAAUUUUAUUGAUAUACGUACUGCAACAUCUUCUAGAUAUAGGGGGCUGAUCAUGCUAUGCCUUUAUUGUAUCAUCGACAUAUGAUUCACGUAUAUAUUGCUUUUGUUAAAAUGAUAUAUCUACAUUUCUUUUUGGUAAAUAUGAACGUGAAUCACAUGAUACAUGAAGAAAAACAUUAUUUUAUUAAAGAGAUAGCAUUAUACUAAUAGUUCACGUGGGUUUGGGUCGAUCACUUUCGCUGAUCGCCUGGCGAUGGAUGAGUCCAUCAGAGAGAUGCAUGGAAGGGACUUUGGUGAUCGGGUCAUCUCAGUGAACAGAGCUGAACUAAAAAUGGGGCGAGAUGAUGGGAAAGUCACGGCUCUAGAGUUGGUGGCAGAGACAGUGGCUAUUCAUUUGCUGGCAAGGGAAGCUUUGGUGGCCGUGUUGACUGUUAUACCGACCGUGACCGAUAUGUGGACCGUGAACGUUACAUAGAUGACGUUAUGAUGGUGGUAGAGACAGGUUUGACAGCAGAGAAGCCUACUUCCCCCGCUGAUCGGUUUGCAGGCGGUGAUAGAUACAGCCGUGGACCAGAAUGUUACACUCCAGCGAGGCAUGACAAGCCCCGGUCCUUUGAGAGAGACAUAGUCUCAAGUGCGGGCAGUGACAGGUACGGCGGUGGUAGAGCUGGUGUACACAUACGUGGAGGAGACGAGGGAAGAGGGUUUAGAAGCAGAGCCGGUGGUCCUUAUGAGAGGCCGAGCAGAAACGUUGGUGGUGGUGGUCAUAUGUCGUCAGCUACUUUUGACCGUUACUAAGGCAUACAUGAAAAGUUAUCUACUCUCACUUGUGUGUAUGUGUUAUUUGAUAUUUUCUGCUGCAGUAAUAAAAUUAUUUCUAAAUAAAAUCAUUCGUUACUGACCAUAUAGACAACGACCGUCUCAGAAGGUUAUCGAGCUUUUCUAAUUUUAAUCUUCUUUAAAUUUGGCUUUCUACAUUUAGCAUAAAUCGAUAUAAAAGAAGAGAAGACAGAUUUUAACGCAUAACCUCCAAGAAAUUAUAUAAGAAAACUUGUAUAAAUACAUCAAUGUGAGUUUAACAUUUUCAAAAAAUUGAACACAAAAAUAAAAUAAAAAUGAAACUUUUCAUAAUUGCUCUUAUUGUUUUAGGGGUUUGUGUUGAAGAUACGUUUGGGAAAAACUCAUUUGGGAUCGUAAACAAGUUUCGUAGGCAUACAAAGCUCAGUGUCCGUUGCUGGUCCGGAAACGACAAGUUUGGGACUAUAUUCUUAAUGAAUGGGCAAGAAAAACAUUGGAGAUUCGACGAUGCGUUUUUUCAUGAGACAGUCUUUCAUUGUGAGUUAAAGCAUGGAUAUCACUUCAUGCAUUUCCAAAGCUUCGUAGCUUAUACGUCAAAAUGGAAUGGCUCACUCAAAAAUAGAUCUAACGCGACAUGGUUAGCCGCAGAGAAAGGUCUCUACAAAAUAUGGGAACAUAGGUCUCCUGAAUUUAUGUAUCAUUGGUUAUAGACCAGUUGUCUAAUAUUUAACCUGUUGCAAUUUAAUAUUCGAGAAUAUUUUAUGUAUAUAUAAUAUUUGAGACACAAAAGAUGUCCUCGCAUAUAUGAUUGUAUAAAUGUUUCAUAUUCUAAUUAAGUUGUAUAUUUGAAAGCCAUAUAUGUUGUUUUUAAUAAAUACAAAUGUAUUGUUGAUAUUAGUUGGUCAGUUAUACUCUGUAAUAUUAUUUAAAUCUAUUAACUCAAAAUAAUAUUCUGGAUUUAUUUAUUGUUAUGAUUAUUUAUGGGCUUAAUAAUGAUUUUGUUUAAUUUGAAACCAUAUAUGCAAUAUAUAUAUAUAUAUAUAUUUAUUUUUGAUGACAUUGCAAUUAAUGCCAUAUCAAUUUAAUGUAUUUUAGUUAUUCUAUUACGUAUAUAAUCUUGUUCUUGAAUCUUGACCAACAAAAUCACAUAUAACAUUUUCAAAGAAGUUAUUCAGUUUUAUUUAUUUAUUACAAAAUUACGUAAAUAAGAAAACAAUUCAUGGAAAAAUUAUGAUAUUGCGCAAAAUAUUAAGUACGGAGAGGAUAAUUAUAGAUUUUGAUUAAGGGUAUAUUAUAAAAAUAUAUAAUACUUUUUGUAACUUUACAAAUAUAAUAACUUUUUGAGAGAGUUAAUAAUAUAAAUAUAAUAACUACUGAAGAUAUGAACUGCACUUGUUGAUUGCUUGUUACUUGGUAAUAUUCUUGACGUGGAGUGGUGCUCUUCACAUCAUGCAUCCAUGCAUUAACGGAAUCCGUAUAUACCUUUUCUGCACAUACACACGCCAACAUGUGUUUAUUUAUUAUAUGCAUUUCUAUUUAUCUCUUUUAUUUUGGUAUUUUAAUAUUAUAUAUAUGUUUUUAUGAGAAACUAAUAUUAUAUAUGUGCAAGUGAAAUUUCUAUAGUAUUAUGGUGGAAAUAUUCGAUCAUUUUAACAGAUUCUGGAGAUUUUUUACCGGUUGAAUUGAUAUCACUAGAGAAAUAAGUAAACUUAUUUAUUUACUAUUUUCCAGUACUUAUGUUAUUGUCUCAAAUCUCUCUUGAAAGACAACCGAUUAAAACUUAACACGACUUUAAUAACAAUAUAUCGACAUUUACAAGGAGAGAUAUAAACUACAAAUGAUCUCGGAUUAUAUUUAAAAAAAAAAUAGAAAACCUAAGUCAUUUAAAGUUAUAAUUAAUUAUAUUUUAUAUAAUUAAAACUACAAGCGUAAUGUAUGUUUUUGUGAUAACCUAUCUUGCAAUGUCUAUUUUGAAGUGAUGCCUAGGAUUUGUUAAAAUGCUCUCAUCAAAGUGAAAACUAAUUUAAACAAAAAAAAACUAACCAAGCUAUUUGAUAUGUGAUCACACCAAAAAUAAACCGUUAUACAGAGUAAGAAAACGGAAAAUGAAGUGGAACAAACAUAUAUUACUAUACAAAUUGUCUAAAAAUGCACAUUUAUUGUUUCAGAUGGUUACACACACUCUUUCUCUCUCUUUCUAUCUAUCUAAUAAUUAUAUUGUGAUCAGUUUGCCAAGUUGGGCAAAUGGUAAAAGAGAGACAAUAACAGAAGUACUAAAAUUUAAGAGGCUACAAAAAGAAAAGUCGAAACACAUUCACACACUUAAAAAGUUUUUUUUUUCACAUAUAUUUUUGUUAUAUACGUGUGGUGACUCUCUUUGACUCCUCUCUUCCUAUAUCACUCACUAUUUAUGUAUCCAUCUCUCCACACAUCUCUCUCCAUCUCACACACAUCUUCUUCUUUAACAUAAUACUAUAUAUUCAUUUCUUCAUGAUCAGCACUAACAAAAGUCCUCUUCUCCUGUGUUAAUCUUUAUCUCUUGAUCUUGAUGGAAGCGUUCGAAGAGGCAAUAGCAGCCUCAAAGGAGCAAUCACUGAUUCUUAAAGGAAAGAGGGAAAAACGACAACGUUCACAAUCUCCUGUUCCUUUCUCUAUCUCUCCUCCUAUAGUUUCUUGCCCCUCACGCGACGUUGAAGAGGAAUACACUAAUCUUGAUUCCAAGGAAAAUGCCUUAGCCAAUAAUGUGGGAAACCACAAGAAGGAUGGUGUGAUCACGUCUUUGUUGGAUAAGCUUGAAUAAUACUUGUGAUGAAAGUUUCCUUUUUCUAUGUUGUGUUUAUCUUAAGGAUUAGGAAAUAUAAUGGGAAUAGGAAAUUGUUAGUCCCUAUAUAUAUGAAUGCAUAUUGUGAUGCAUAUCGUGUGACUUUAUGAUUUGUGAUUGAUUGAAUAAGAGAAGGACUUCUUAUUAUUGAGUUUGUGAUUCUAUAUUUGGUAUCAGAGCUUAAUAAGCACCUCGACAAUCUUACACAGCCAUGGCCGACGUCAAAGAAGAUAUCGCGACGACCAAAGAAACCGGACCAGCCACCAUCAAAUUUCCGAUGCUAACUUCCUCGAACUACACGGUCUGGUCCAUGAGAAUGAAGAUAGCGCUUAAAGUUAGUGAAGUUUGGGAAGCUAUAGAACCUGGAGCUAAGGAUGAAAAAAAGAAUAACAUGGCCAUCGCAUACCUAUUUCAGUCCAUACCGGAGGCCUUGAUCUUACAAGUAGGCGACUUAGAUACAGCAAAGGCAGUAUGGGAUGCGAUAAAGGCACGAUAUGUUGGAGCUGAGAGGGUAAAAGAAGCUAGGUUACAAACUUUGAUGGUGGAUUUCGAUAGACUCAAGAUGAAAGAUGAAGAUACAAUCGAUACCUUCGUUGGCAAGAUAUCCGAAAUUUCCUCUAAAUCUGCUUCUUUGGGAGAGAUGAUAGAAGAACCAAAGCUUGUUAAGAAAUUCUUAAAGAGCUUGCCAAGAAAAAAAUUUAUUCAUAUUGUAGCUUCGCUUGAGCAAGUUCUUGACCUUAACUCAACGAGCUUUGAGGACAUUGUAGGACGACUUAAGGCGUACGAAGAAAGAGUCACUGAAGAGGAGGAAGAAACCGAUGAUAGCUUCGGGAAGCUAAUGUAUGCUAACUCAGACUCAAGCGGCGAAACUUGCGGCUACAAUAACCGUGGUCGAGGACGCAGCGGUCGAUCAAACUGGAGAGGAAGAGGCCGCGGUCGCACAACAUUCCUACAACAACGAGAAGCGUAUAGACAAGGACGUGGUGGAGAUCUCUCUCAUAUCACUUGCUUUAAGUGUGAUAAAACUGGACAUUACGCCACAGACUGUCCCGAUAAAGCUCUAAAGCUUCAAGAAACUGUAGAGAAGAAAGAUGAUGAUACACACGAAGCGGAUACCCUCAUGAUGAAUGAAGUAGUUUACUUAAACGAGAAGAAGGUAGAUCCAAAGAAGUUUGAAGCUGAUACAGAUACGAUAGAUGUGUGGUAUCUUGAUAAUGGAGCCAGUAACCACAUGAGUGGUAAUCGUAUGUUCUUCUACGAACUAGAUGACACUAUCACUGGAAAAGUACGUUUUGGCGAUGAUUCCAGGAUUGACAUAAUGGGUAAAGGUUCCAUUCGAUUUAUCAACAAAGGAGGCGUGAAAAAGAUGUUAAAUAACGUCUACUACAUACCGGCUCUUCGAAGUAAUAUUGUUAGCUUGGGUCAAGCUACUGAAGUGGGUUGUGAAGUUCGAAUGAAAGAAGACGUUCUAACUUUAUUCGAUCGUGAAGGACAGUUGAUGAUCAAGACUACAAGGACAAAGAAUCGAUUAUAUAAGGUUACACUACAGGUUGAUAAAAUGCAGCAGUGUCUUCAGGUUAAGAGCCUUGGAGACGGAAACUUAUGGCAUGCGCGCUUGGGACAUAUCAACAAAGAUACAAUGAGAAUGAUGGCUAGCAAGGAGUAUGUCGAGGGAUUACCGAACAUCAAACGCGACACAGAAGCUUGUGUAUCUUGUCUGCGCGGGAAACAAACACGAAAAACGUUCCCACAAGCAACGAGCUAUCGAGCUUCAUCACUUCUUGAACUCGUACAUGCGGAUCUUUGUGGACCUAUCUCCCCGACGACACCAGCACUCAACAGAUACGUCUUUGUUCUUAUUGACGAUCACUCUCGCUAUAUGUGGACAGUACUAUUAAAAGUCAAAAGUGAAGCCUUUGAGAAAUUUAAGCGCUUCAAGAACCUUGUGGAGCAAGAAACACAUACUAAGUUAAAGUGUUUUCGAACAGAUAGGGGGGGUGAGUUCACAUCCAACGAAUUCCAAACCUACUGCGAGAAACAUGGUGUUAAGCGACACAUGACUGCGCCAUAUUCACCUCAGCAAAACGGAGUAGUUGAGCGACGCAAUCGAACACUCUUGGAGAUGACUAGAAGUAUCCUAAAACAUAUGGACAUGCCGAAUCAUCUCUGGGGAGAAGCCAUACGACAUGCAACCUAUCUGAUUAAUAGGGUUACAACGAGGUCCUUGGAAGGACAAACUCCGUACGAAGUGAUGAAAGGAAGAAAACCAAACCUGUCUCACCUAAGAGUGUUCGGGUGCGUGUGCUACGCAAGGACAGAAACCACGACAAGAAUCACAAACUCAAUAAUAAGAAGUCCUUCUCUUAUUCAAUCAAUCACAAAUCAUAAAGUCACACGAUAUGCAUCACAAUAUGCAUUCAUAUAUAUAGGGACUAACAAUUUCCUAUUCCCAUUAUAUUUCCUAAUCCUUAAGAUAAACACAACAUAGAAAAAGGAAACUUUCAUCACAAGUAUUAUUCAAGCUUAUCCAACAUUCUCCCUCUUAAGCUUGAUGUCAUCUUCACUCACAUCUUGUACUCCAAUAAGCUUUCUCAUUUCCUUAAACUUUAUUCUUCCAAGCGACUUUGUAAGGAUAUCAGCUUUCUGUUCACUACCCGGGACAUGUUCAACUUCGACUUGUUCCUUUUCGACACACUCUCUUAUGAAAUGAAACCUCCUGUGUAUGUGUUUACUUCUUCCAUGGAACACUGGGUUCUUUGUAAGUGCAAUAGCAGACUUGUUAUCAACCAUGAUGACCACCGGUUUACUUUCGCUUCCAACGGCUUCACUUAGCAACUCCUGAAGCCAGAUAGCCUGCUUUGCUGCCUCAGUUGCAGCCAUAAAUUCAGCCUCGCAUGACGACAAAGCUACUAUCUCCUGCUUCGUUGAGCUCCAUGUAAUGGGACUCUCCCCAAGAUAGAAUAUGUGUCCUGAAGUGCUUUUGCCGUCGUCUGUGUCCACAUUGUGGGAGCUGUCACUAUAACCUACCAGCUUAGCUCCACUUUGUCGUGAGUAGUGAAGCCCAAGAGAACAAGUUCCUCUUAGAUACCUAAGGAUCUGUUUCAUAGCUGCUGCAUGAGAGGCUUUAGGUUCGUGCAUAUAUCUGCUCAAAACCCCAACGCUAUAUGAUAAAUCUGGUCGCGUAUGUAGCAGGUAGCGUAGGCACCCAAUGCUCCGACGAUACUCUUUUGCAUCAGCCUUCUCCUCCUUAGGAGCUUUGGAGAACAUCGCAUUUAACUCCAAUGGUACGUGAGUCGGAUUGCAUGAGCUCAUGCCAGUUUCUUCGAGUAUUUUGCGAGCAUACCUAUCUUGUUUGAGUAAGAUUCCUCCUUCAUAUUGUAUAACCUCAAUACCCAAAUAGUAUGUCAACCUUCCGAGGUCACUCAUCUCAAACUUUGUAGCCAUCUCUCGUUUGAAUUCAAGUAUCGCAUCAAGGGAGGUACCAGUAACCAGCAGGUCAUCAACAUAGACCACCACGACAAGAACUUCUCGACUUUCUUCCUUCCGAUAGAGCGAGGGCUCUUUCGAGCAUCUUGUGAACCGCAAGCUGCGCAAUAUCUCAUUAAGCUUUAUAUUCCAAGCUCUUGGUGCUUGUCGUAGACCGUAGAGAGCUUUCUUAAGCUUGUAAACCUUGUGUUCUUGUCCAUCAACGAUGAAACCCUCUGGUUGAGUAACAUAAACCUCUUCCUUUAGUUCUCCGUGCAAGAAAGCGGUUUUUACAUCAAGGUGGUGUAUUUCCCAACUGUGUGAUCCAGCCAAAGCAAUGAUCAUCCUAAUAGUUUCAAUGCGAGCCACCGGAGCAAAUACUUCUUCAUAAUCCACACCAUGCCGUUGAACGUAACCUUUGGCUACUAAUCGUGCCUUAUACUUACUUAUUGUUCCAUUAGCAUUACGUUUGAUCUUGAACACCCACUUAAGGCCGAUAGGUUUGAUUCCUGUAGGUAGUUCCACGAGAUCCCAAGUUUUAUUUUUUUCAAUAGAUACGAUCUCAUCUUUGCAAGCAUCAACCCAAACUUUUAGUUCCUUAGCAUCGCUGAAACUCCAUGGUUCCUCAUUUAUGAUCAUCAACAACUGCUCACCCUCAAGUUCUGCGAGCAGAACAUAGUCAUCGAGGUAGGUUGGUUUGUUAGAAACCCUCGUUGUUCGUCUUGGCUGAAAGUCGUUUUCAUCGCCACCCCCAACUUGAUUUUCAUCAUCAUGAUUAUCAAGAGCUUCAUGAUAAUCAUUAUUGUCGUGAUUAUCAUCAUCUGUAUCAGAUGAAGCUUCGAGUUCGUGAUCAUCUUGGCCCAAGCCUUUCACGGUGAGCUCAAAGCCCUCAUUAUCGAGUCUCGUUGUCACACUUUUAUCACUCCAUCUCCAUCGCAUUGCUUCUUCGAACACAACAUCACGACUUAUGACAAUUCUCAAGCUCAGGGGAUCAAGUAGUCGGUAUGCUUUAGACCCCGGCUCUGUUCCGAGAUGGACCAGAACUCUGGAUCUAUCGUCGAGCUUCUUUCUUCCAACCGUCGAGCAUCUUCGUCAGCCUCUUGGUCCUCUAACAACAACCCAACAUUAAAGGCCGAAGAAGACGAGGAAGAUCUAGACAUAGCCAGUUGUUUGAUCCUCCAUUCCCAAGGCCACUCUCUUCCACAGCUCAAGAUACCUAACCAUGAAACAAACAACAAUAACACGUAUAAAUUUAGCAGCAGGAGGUUCCUAGAGACUUCUUCAUCUAACGGUGGCGGUAAAGCUUGUCACUAUGUUUAUCAGUGCAAAACAUGUGACCGGACCUUCUCUUCUUUUCAGGCUUUAGGUGGCCAUAGAGCUAGCCACAAAAAACGUAAGGCCACCUCCUUUUACUCCAACCUUGACCACCUCAAGAAGAACAUAUACGAAAAUGAUUCACUCGCCACAACCACAACUAUUUACAAUAACAGCAAGAAUAGAUCGCUUGUCGUGUACGGUAAGGCAGGUAACAACAAGGUUCAUGAAUGUCGAAUCUGUGGAGCCGAGUUUACGGCAGGACAAGCCUUAGGUGGCCACAUGAGACGGCAUAGAGGCGCGGUUGUUGUUGCUCCCACUGUGACGGUGGCCUUAGCUGCAGCCAACACGGAGUUAUCAUUGUCUUCGAUGUCGUUCGAUCAAAUAUCGACAAAGAGAGCUAAGAAGAUGGUUGUGUCAUUGGAUUUGGAUCUGAAUCUACCCGCACCGGAAGAUGAGAAUAGGGUCAACGGAUUCAGCUUAUGUUUUAAGCAAAAACAUAAACAAGAACAUCAACACAGACAAAGCAAAGAGAUGAACCAAAGUGUCUUGUCUUGUCUCCUCCUACUUUGGUGGAUUGCCAUUACUGAUUUAUUAUUAAUAUAUUAUAAACCAUAAUCUUAAGAAAAAAAAUUGGUUUGUAUAUCAAACGUUUAUUGUUUGUAUAACCGAUUCUUUGCUUGUUAAAGACUUGUGAGAUUCUUUUUUUCUGUUUUGUCUUUUUUUAAGAGGAAUACUAAAAUUUAAUCACUUUGUUAGUUUCGAUUGUAUAAAAUUGAUAUCAUGUUCAUUUAUACGUUGGAUCAAAAAGUUCUUUUUUUUAAAAAAAAAGCUAAAUUAAGUUCAUGAAAAGGGCAUGACAUGGCUCGAGUCUUGUUGUUUUAUUUCUUCCUCUCUUUUUUGGCAGUUGUACCAAAAGUUCUCUUUUCUAUUUAUAAUAGUUAAUUUGAUAUUCGUGAAUUUUCAACACUUUCUGAGUUUUCACUGAACCAUAGACAAAUGUUGAUUUGAAACAAUGAGAAUUUAUAUGGCAGACUUCUUAGCUCGUGGUUUUUAUAUUCGUGAAUUACGACACCAAACCCACAUUUAAUCAUUCGCCUCCUUCAGAUAGUACUUGUUAUGUUCUAGUUUUGAAAAUAAAGUAACGGAUCCUUUUGUUUUCUACAGAAACAGGUAAAUUAUAGUGCAUGCAUUAAAGAAAACCUCUACGAUAUUUUUGGAGAGUAUUAAAAUUAGCUAUAAAAGCUUUUGUUGACCCAAAAAAAGAUUUUUUUUUUAAAUGACCCAAAAAAAGAUAUACAAAUAGUGCAUGCAUUCAUAUAUUUGUGUUUAAGUUAUUAUUUGUAUAUACAAUUUUAGUAUACAUUUGGUAUACUAGACAUUGAACUUAGACCAGUUUAUAGUAAAAAUUAACCGCCAUAAGAUAAUCAAGACUGUAAUAGAUCAAAAGAUAAUCAGUGUCCAACAUUACAGGUAGAUUAACAAUAUAUUUAACAUUUCCAACGUUUAUAACAGAAGAGGAAGACAGAUCUUGUAACGCAUAACCUCCAAAGAGAUAUAUACUAAAACUUGUAUAAGUACAUCAAAAUCUCAAAUUUUGAAAAGACCAAAAAAAAAAACACAUUCAAAAAUCUUAAACACAAAAUUAAGUAAAAAAUGAAACGUUUCAUAAUUGCUCUCAUUGUUUUAGCGGCUUGUGUUGAAUACACGUUUGGGAAAAACUUGUUUGAGAUCGUAAACAAGUUCCAAAAGAGGACCAAGCUCAGAGUCCAUUGCUAUUCAGGAAACGACGAUCUAGGGGUUCAAUACUUGAUGAAUGGGCAAGAACAACAUUGGAGAUUCAACGAUGCUUUUUUUCAUGCGACAGUCUUUAGAUGUGAGUUAAUGCAUGGAUAUGAAUUCCAGAAUUACCAGAAAUUCGAAGCUUAUAAUUCAAAAUGGGAGAACGACGGGAGUAAGAAAAACGUGACAUGGUUAGCUGUGGAAAGAGGUCUCUACAAGAUUUGGAAUCAUAGGACUCCUGAGUUUAUGUAUCCUUGGUUAUAAAUCAGUUGUCUAAUGUUUGACCUGUUGCAAGUGAUGAUAAAAUCGAUGCUUGAAGUUCUUGUAACGCUUAUUUAUGUUUUUUCUCUCACACAAAAAUAUUCAAGUAAUUUCCUUAUUUGAAAUAUAAACAAAUAUGUCUCGUCUCUUGAAUAGCAUUUUAUUUGUACCAAAAUGUACAAUGUUUUAAGUCAAUGUAUAAUAAUUACUAGAGAAUUAUUUUUAUUGAAAACAUAUCAUUAAGAUAUAAAUUAACAGUUAUUCAACUAAUUACAAAAUAAAUUAAAAAAUAACAUUGGUUACACAUAUUUUAAUACAAUUAAAUCUCAUAAAAAUAUUAAAUCAUAUUACAUAUCGAAACAUCAAAAAUUCUCUUAAACAUCAUUUGUUUAAAAAUGAAAAAAAAAUAUUUUAAUUCACUAAACAUUUGCUAGUUGUCCAAAAAAAAAAUUCACUAAACAUUUUCUAUGUGCUAUCAUUUGAUAUUAAAAAUUGAGUGGUAAUUUAUAAUGUUUUUUCUAAUAUCAAUCCCAUCUUUAACUGUAUAAAAAAACAGCUAAUAAUAGAAACCAAUAACUAAAAGUGAAUAUAUAAAAUAAUGUUGUAAUAUAUACUAAUAUAUACCAGUGAUCGUCUCUCUCUCUCUCUCUCUCUCUCUCUCUCUCAUUUCUUUCUUCUGAAAACCCUAAUUUUCUCAAAUCUGAAUUAUCCAUAAAACUUCGACCUUUCUUGCUCACCGAUCAAUGGGUCGCGGCUCAGCAACGUCGCUAGCUCCUGGGUUCCGUUUCCACCCUACAGACGAAGAACUCGUCCGCUACUACCUCAAGCGCAAGGUCUGCAACAAGCCCUUCAACUUCGACGCCAUCUCCGUCGCCGAUGUCUACAAAUCCGAGCCUUGGGACCUACCAGGUUAGCUCGAAUUGGGUUUAGCUCAAUCUUGAAUUAGGUUUGAUUCGAUUGUGUUUGUAGAUAAGUCGAAGCUCAAAGGCAGAGACUUGGAGUGGUACUUCUUCAGCAUGCUCGAUAAGAAGUACCGCAACGGCUCCAAGACGAAUCGCGCCACUGAGAGAGGCUAUUGGAAGACUACAGGGAAGGAUAGGGAGAUUCGUAACGGGACGAGAGCUGUAGGGAUGAAGAAGACUCUUGUUUAUCAUAAAGGUCGAGCUCCACGUGGCGAGAGGAGUAAUUGGGUUAUGCAUGAGUACAGGCUUACUGAUGAUGAGUUGAAGAUUGCUGGUGCCCCACAAGUAAUAAGAUUGAUUUUGAGUGUUGUUUCUACUUUUAUGAGAAUGGAUUCAAAGUUGUUGAGUCUGUUUUUGUGUAGGAUGCGUUUGUCCUGUGUAGGGUGUUCCAGAAGAGUGGUACAGGGGAUAAGUACGGUGCUCCUUGUCUUGAAGAGGAGUGGGAAGAGGAUACAAUGACGUUUAUACCAGAACAAGAGGCUCUUUGUGAAGGGUUGGGCGUUGGUGAUGAUGUUUAUUUCGACAUUGAAGAGGUUUGCUAACCUUUUUCUUCAACAGUUUAAGAAUGUUUUGUAGUGUGUGAUUUUGCAUGUGCUAAAGAGAUAUAUAAGUGAUGUGGUUAUAGAUACAGAACAUGAUACCUGUUUAGAUUGUUGAUUAGUUAGCUUAGGUUUCUUUUGUAUUAACGUCUGGUUAUCCUGAUUUUGUUUUGCAGAAGCCUGAAGAUCUGGUGGUCUGUGAUGCCAUUCCUGUUCAGACUAAUUAUUGUCAUGGAGAAUCAAGCAAUAACGUUGAAUCAGGAAACUAUGAAGACUGUGGAAACUAUGUUGUGGACUCUGAACAACCUAUUGAGGAGGAGGAGCUGAAGCCUAUUAUCCGGGACGGUAGCAUUCAGCCUUGUUCUCUGUUUCCCGGUGAACAAAUUGGUUGUGGUGUGGAAGAUGAGAAGGCAGUGAAUCUGGAAACUUCCAAUGAUAAUGUGUUUGUGACUGCUGAUACUUGCUACAGCGGCAUUCCNNNNNNNNNNNNNNNNNNNNNNNNNNNNNNNNNNNNNNNNNNNNNNNNNNNNNNNNNNNNNNNNNNNNNNCGUUCCUGUUGAUGAUGCUAACUAUAUGCCUGAGGAGCCAUUCAUCGAUCAUAGCAACAAUCUUUCACUCAGUGAUGGUCUCAGCGGUGCUCCUCUACAAGAUGAUUUUAACUUUGAAGAUUAUCUUAACUUCUUUGACGAUGAGGAUGCUCAGAGUUUGUCUCUUGAUGUUUCUCAAUUGUUGGGAUCUGAAGAAGGACUCGACCAGAAAGUAAGCUUCUCUGCCUCUGACUUGCUUAGUUUUUUUUUUAUUUGUUGAAUCCUUUCUAACUUACUCUUACAUCAGCAGCCUUCCCCUGAAGAACUGGAGAAGGAGAAGGAAAGUGGCGAAGGAUCUUCUUCAAAACAAGAUGCAGAUGUCACGGACCCUUUCCUCAGAAAGGCCAGCCACAUGUUUGCUCCACCUUCAUUUUCUUCUUCUCAGUUCCAAACAAAGGACGCUGCAAUCAGGCUACACGCAGCGCAAUCUUCAGGUUCGGUUCACGUUACUGCAGGUAUGAUGAGAAUAUCAAACAUGACAACUCUAGCGGUGGAGAGCAGUAUGGGCUGGUCAUAUGACAAGAACGGUAACCUCAACAUAGUCCUGUCUCUCGGCUUGGUCCAAAGCAAGACUGGAGGAAUUACAGCAACAAGAGCUAUGUUGAUCUUCAUGUGUUUUUGGAUUCUCUUACUUUAUGUUAGCUUCAAAAUAGGAACCAUAGUCUCUGCUCGGUAAUAGCAUCAAAAGUUGAAUCGUAUGGGGAAAAACUUUUGUAAGUGUUUGUACCUCUCUAAUUAUGUAGACUUCAACUCUGGCAGUGCUUUGCUGCUCAAUAGUUUGAACUCUCUUUACAGUUUCUAGCUUGAGCUUCAAAAUUUAAAUACAAAUAAGAACACAAAAACUAUUAUGAAAGAAGCAAAUGCAAUGUUAUGGGCUGUUACAACAAAACUUCAACAAAAUGAAAUAAAGUUAUUAAAAAAACAAAUGAAAAUAGCACAUCUAACUCCUAACAUUGUAUAAUGUCAAGACCCAAAAAAAAAACGAAAGAAGAAACAAAGAUCCUAGAGAACAUUCUCUGCCUCACUCAAAAGACUUCAUCUUAAAGCUUAAGCCUCAAACCAAUAAAUAAAACAGACAAGAGAUAGGAACCAAUGAUGGAUACUCUAUUCGGUGGCUCUCUCUGAUGCUGAAUCAACUUUCUGUUUUAUCAUCGUCUCAGCUUGUUGGAUUGCUCUUUGUGACCCUGUGAUACUCACUUUCCUGUCAUUUUUUUUUGCCAUUUUGAACAAUGUUUAGACAUGAGAGGUUCGGUUUUAACUCAAUAAUGUUUAAACUUUUUACCUGUCAGUGGUUCCAGACAUGAAAUCGCCUCGGUCAGAUAUUUUUAUUCUGGCACCUGUCAUCUGAGUGAUUUCCAUGAUGUUUCUUCCUCCACGGCCAAGGACCAAUCCUAUAUGCUCAUCCGACACACCCACUGUCACUGUUGUACUAGCUUCUUCCUGUAAUAUAUACCAAAACACACAGCUUAAGCUUAAUAAAUGGUAAAAACCGAAAGACCACAACAUUCAUUCAUAUAUCUGCAAAUUGAUACACCACACUAUCCAUAGCAGUAACAAUGAGACUCGUUCAUAUAUAUGUGCAUGAAUACGGUGGAAGAUGGUGCAAAGAGACUAACCUUGUGGUUUUGAUACUUGCCUCCAGAACCGUUGGGUGCGUAGUUAACUGAAUUGUAUCCUGCUGUUGCUACGAAGGAAGUACAUACGCAUAUUGAAGACCAUGAAAACCAGAGUUGAAAAGACCUAAAGUGCCGAGUUAAAAGGAACUUACAAGACAAAAAGGCUCAACAACAGACAAGCAUCAUACAAUGUCCACAACAUAGAAUGAUUUUCCAUGUAGAUGAAAUAUAUUACAUCCAUUAAUAGUUUAAUACCUUAGUCGACAUAUCAGAAUCUAAAAUUCAGUAGAAUAUCCUACUCUAAUCAAACGCACUUAGAUUGUCCACAUGACCCACUCUAAUCCACUAAACAGUCCAUUUUCAUAUAAAAAAUAAUUUAGAAGAACUUGAUGAAUAGUCCGAAAAUGAUCUAACCAUUUACUUUAUAGCUUUCCCACAUGGAUAAAUGAAAUGCAAUCAAAGACAUACAACAAAAGAAACUUCAAGGAGAUAAACAAACUUAACUAAGCUAAUACUGAGUUGAUAUACCUGCAUAUGAAUAUGGAGAAUGCACAUUCUGGGAGUAAUGAUCAUCUUCGGUAAGCUUAGCCAAAAUCAAAUCAAUAGCCCGCAUCUGCUCCUCGAAGGUUCCAGACAAUGUGACUAGCCUAUCACUCAACCCAUAGUAGGUAUUAUCCAGAGGAGAUAUCUUAAUACCAGCUUUAGAUUCUUCAAUGAAUGACCUGUGUCAACAGAAAAAAAACGUCUUAACGGUUGGUGAAACCAGUACUACUACUAAAUUCAAUAUUCCUGACGCCAAAAACAAAACAAAAAAUGCAAUCCCAUAUUCUAAAACUUAAAACUCUAAUACUAUGCAUCUGUGAGUUUCUCACCAAUUAUAUUAAUAUUUAAUCGAAAAGUCUCUCAGCUUUUCUGAGAAAUUUCUCAAUUAAAUAUUAAUAUAAUUGGUGACAAGACGCUUUGCACCUGUUAUAAAAUCUUUACUUGCAUGUACUCUCAAAGCAUGGAAGCAGUUCAAUAACAUAUGAGCAGAUACAAACUUACUUAAUGGUGGCCCCUCCUUUACCAAUAAUGCCUCCACAAGAACUAUUAGGAACCACAAGUCUCAGUCUCCUCCUAGGCUCAACAUCACUACCAUCUUCAGCAUGAAGCUAAACGUUAUGGUGGAGCCUCCUUUCCCAAUGACCGAGCCAGCUGCGGCAUUGGAUACGAGAAACCGAACGUGCGUUUGCUUCUCCGGAGAGUCUAAAAAAAAAAAAAAAAAAAAAAAAAAAAAAAAAAAAAGUCAAAAACAGCUCUCACAAUAUAUAAAAACAUGAAAUACAAAUGCGGUCCUGAACCAAGCCAGAUGAAACAUUCGCCCUCAUGCGCCCCAAAAAAUGUGAAAAAAAUUUAGGCCCCCGAACUAUUGAAAUCUUUAUUAAAUCGUAUUCAGCCCCCAAAAUCUCACGGCCGGGAAUGAGUCUAUCUACCUACCUCACUGUGCAAUUUAUCAAGGAUAAGUUCAAGUCCAGUAACAACUUCUUUAACCGAUCCGGAUAUCAUAAUAAUCCUAUCAGUAGUCCCAGGGAAAAACUCUUGGUUACGCGAGAGCUGGAUCCUCGCCCCGGACUUGGCCUGAAACUCAGUGAUGGUGGAGCCUCCUUUCCCAAUGACCGAGCCAGCUGCGGCAUUGGAUACGAGAAACCGAACGUGCGUUUGCUUCUCCGCAGAGUCUAAAAAAAAAGUCAAUAGCAAUCAAUCAUCAUCAAGCUCAAGAUACGGAUCCGAUUUUCACAAUGUUAGGCAAACAAUUUUAAGUCGAGAGUGGAUCGGAUCGGGGAUACCAGAUUCCGAAGGCUCUGGGGAUCUGUUGUUGGUGAGCUCUUCAGGGGCGUAUGACUCCAUUGCUAGAGAUGGAGAUAAGGAUCGAAUCAACAUUAAACGAAUACAAUGAACGAAACGGAGAAGAUACAGAUUGAAAGAUGAUUUGGAAGUUUACCAGAAUUUGAAAUCUCCUCUCCUUCCUUCCGUCGCCGCCGUUUGAUUUGAGAAGUGAAUGAAGGUGGGCUCUCUGCUCUCUAUCUAUCCACUAGGCUUGCUCUCCUUAUUCUGUUAUUUUCUUUUAUUUUUUAUUUAAUCUAAUUUUAAUUUAUAGCAUUAUAAUACUAAGAUUUAUUUUACACAGUUAAAUUAAUUUAUUAAUUUUUUUACACACGUCAAUAAGUUUUUUUCUUACAUUAAUUAAGUUAUAUGUGAGUAUCUAAGCAUAUUCAAAUAAAUCCCUCUUUAAAAUUGGUUCUCAUAAUUUCUUUUCAUAUCUCCUCUUUUUAGUAUGUUAAUUUGUUUUAAUCAAUUUGGUACUUAGUUAGAUAGCCUAACAUUAUCUCAUUUUUUAUUGUUAAGUAGUUGUAGUUCCUUCUUCAAAAUAUGUACUUCUUCAAAUCUAAAGUUGAUGUGUAUAGUUUCUGAAUUAGUUGAAAUUUAAAUUAAAUAAGAAAGAAAGAAAGUUGGGCUUGCAUUGAUUGAUUCAUCUCUCUCCUAUUAAUCAUACUUUCAUGGGCUGAAUUUUACUUUAGCCCAAACUAUACGGGUCCGCCGUGGGCUGAAUCAAGAAUUGAAAAAACUCAGCUAAACUAUCUGGUUUUCCAGGUUAAUCGGUUUGACGUUUCAGUUUUUUUUUUUUCCAACAAAUUUAGUAAAAACAAAUUGCGUGAUGAUGUUGGAAACAAAUUUUGUUUGUAUACUAACAAAAUAAUACUGUUUCAUUUAAAUGUGUAGACAUGGCUCCUCUUUGGUCACAGGUACCAUUAUAUACCUUUCUAUUUCAAUGCCAUUAAAAUGUUUGAUAUAAUUCCAUUUAUUUCACCUCUACCCCUGUAACCUAAUUUUGUAAGCUAUUAAUUACAUAUUCAUUGUAUAUAUAUCCACAAAACUUUUUAAAUACAGUUUAUUCCACUCCCCGUCUAUAUAUAUUUCCAAAAGUAUUUUUGGGUAAAACGAUUCUUAAUUUAUGCAACUAUAGUUCAUUAUUAACCAGAAAGGAACUAUAUAUAAUUCAGUAUAUUACUUAUUUUACGCCUAUAAUUCAGUAUAUUCUGAUAAAAGUUUGCAGAAUUAACGACGUUAUAGUGUUAUACUAUGCCAAACAAACCGGCUAACUUUUUUUUAACGUCAAACCGGCUAAUUAUUGUACACCAACCUGUUGUAUGUAUACUAAUAUUGAAUAAUACUGAUUUUCAUGUUCUCGAUUAAUCAUUGUGUUGAUUUUUACGGCGUGUAUAAAAAUAUUACUUUAUAUUGUAGGUGUUUUACGCACGAUCUAAUAAAAUAAACCGGAUCAAGACCAAUCAACCACGAUCAUAGAAAUUAAUACAAUAUAGUAUGUCAUCAUCGUGCUUAUCCACCUUUAUCUACAUCGCAUUUACAAGGUAUCCGUGAAAAGUAAAUCUACAUUGUAAACUGUAUUAUAUUAUUUAAUUAUCUUUUGUUUAAUCUCAUAUACUUCGUAAAUUUUGUACUAAUAUGUUAAUAAUAUGUCACUAAAAAGUACAGUAAAUAUUGACAACGAAAUUCUAUAACUAAGUCGGUACGAAACUCAAUGUUUAUAACUUCGAAGUAUAACUCGACGCUCAAAUAUUAUAUCUGAAUGUAUACAUAAUGUAAGUUUGUGAUAUUUAAGUAAAAAAUCGAUCACAUCACAUAAUUUAAAGCUCCGUCUUCUCUCUAGGUAUCUUCCGGUGGAUUAGAUUCUUCGGUCGAUGAGAUAGGCUUCCACAGUCACCGUCGGUCCGGUUUGUGAGAAGGGAAAGGUCUGUUUCUUCUGUGCAUGUCUUUUGAGAGGGAAAGAUUCUGUUUUGUCUUUAUUGUGGUUCGGUUUAUAGAACUGGUUUUUGAUUCCGUGAUGUAGAGGCUUAUACAGCUCUGUGGUCGCCAGCUUAUGACUCCGGAGAUGAAGACUUUCAGAGCUCUGCGCUGCCGGUUUUAAACCCGUCGUCUGAUUGGGUUUUGGUUCUGAUUUUGACUCGUGGGGUGUGAUGGAGUGUUGCUCUUGUCUUCAGUUUGACGGUUCGGUCCGAUUGGAUGAGAUCUCGGCGGUCAAUGAAGCUCUCUGACGGCUAUGCUAUGGUGAUGAAGACACAGGUUAUGAUUUGGGGAUCAAUUUAUGUAUGGAUGGUUUGGUGAUCCGGAGGAGAUCUCGGUUUGGUUGAGGGAUGCUCUCCGUGGGAAGAACCUCCGGUGUUAGGAGGUAUGUGAAGCAGCGCUUGUCUCCGGUGCGGCGCCGAUCAGUUUCCGGCGUAAUCUCGGGACGGUGAAAGUGAAAGGAGUCGGUGACGUGUGUUAUCCUUCGUUGUGGUGCGGCGCCGAUUAGUUUCCGGCGUAAUCUCAGAACGGUGAAGGUGAAAGGAGUCGGUGACGUGUGUUAUCCUUCGUUGUUGAGGGAUUAACACGUGUCCUAAACAAGUUUACAAAAUUUGACGCGUGUUUUUUUCGAUUUUUUUUUUUGGAUGGGUUUAAGUUUAGUGAGCUUUAGGCCCGGUUGUUUGUAUGUAUUGUAUGAGUCUCUUUCGGUUGGGUUUUAGGGCUUUGUUAUUUUGUAUGGUUUGUGGGCUUUGGUUUUUAAUAAAACUAGAUGGCAAAAAAAGAAGUAAAAAGUAUCGAAUUAUAUCUAUACGUAUAUUUCAAAGCAUAUAAGUGUCCUUUUCUUUUGCUGUCACAAAUAUAUAUAUAUAUAUAUGUUAUUUAGUACUAGUAAUUUUGAUCGUUUUGUUCAGAGUGACGCUGAAUUAUCAAACAAAAUGUUCACUAAAUCCAGAUUUGCACUGUAAUUACUCUAAUCGUGGGAUACUGACGUAUAACAUUUAGUAUGAAAUUUUGACAUCCGGAAAUUCCGAGUAAUUGGGGGAACCACCCGUAAUGAUUUUUAGAUAUCUAUAAGCGUCAUCCACAACCACAUUAAAGUACAUUUAAUUACAUUAAUUUACAGAUCCCAAAGCCGUAUUUAUCGGUCUAUCUGUCAGCUCAAAACUGUCAGAGAUCAACAUGAAUUUCCGAUCAACUUUUCUCGAUUACAAUAUUACUCAAUUACCUUGCGAAAUAAUUAUCAGUCUAUUUUUUAUUUAUACAAAAAUAUUAAUUCAAAUAUAGUUGGAUCAAGGCAUCAUUAUCUUUUUCGUGGCGUCUUUCACAAGCACAUAAGACGCGGAACCAUUAUAUAAUUCUAAAUGCCAUUACUUUCUAUCAUUCGCAUUAACCUGAACUUCUUCUUUUUUUUUCAUUUAAACCUCAUAUGUUUUCACAAUUCUCAAUAUUACCUUCCGAACUUCACUUAAUCUUGACGAUGAUGUCAUGAAAAUUAUAUUUUUUUACCUUACUAGACCAUAAAUAUGUGGUGUUUAUUAGAUCUGAUCGAGGCAUAUAAUCAUGCACACCAUUGUAACACGUUAUAUAAAUCCUAUCGUGGCCGACAAAAACAAUUGCUUGCUAAUAAGGCAACUCAUUUUCAUAUAUUAGUUACCAUCAUAAUAUAUGUUACAUUUAUUCAAUAAUUUUUAUUGAUUGAUUCAUGAAUUUCAUAUAUCCAUUUCACGAAAGUGCAUCGAACAGCUGUUGUGAGAAAGUAAUGUUUGGCCACUAAACAAAUAGUAAUUGUCAUGGGAUUUCACUGUUCAUUUUCUCAGUCGAGAUUAUUCGGUUUUUGUAAUCAGUCGAAAUAUUCGUUUUUUUUUUCUUCUGAAUUGUUUUUUUUUUAAUCGAUUUAGAUUUUUACUAAAGAAUCACCUACUCAGUUCUAGCAUAUGCGAGUGAUCUUUCGUUUACAAAACAGCUAGGAAAAAUAUAUUAUUGAAAACGUUCAUAAUUCAAAUGAAAUUAGUAAGAAAGUUAAAAAGAUUCCAUCGAUGGAUGGCACAUGUAUAUUUAUAGAGUGGGUCGACGCGUAAACUAAAGCUGGGAAUCAUUAGAUAAAAUAAAUAAAAUAGAAAAAGCUACCAAGAUAAAGGAACCUUUAACAUGAUUUUGGUUAAUUCCAAUUAUUGAUCAUCUCCGGGAACAAGAACGGAAACUUCUACGUCGCCUAGCCACCGGGAGGGUCGACGUGGUGGUGGUGGUGGGGGAUGACGUCAUCGUCUGGUUGUAAACAGAGGAGAAGAAGCGAUCUAUCUCAUCUUUGUUAGCAAUAAUCUCAAACUUUGAUGACGUCAAAAGCUUCCUCUUGCAAGAUCUGUAGACGAGGGGCGGCGGAAGUGCACGGCGUUUCUGCGGCGGAGGAGGAGGAGUAGUGGCGGAGGAGGGAGGAAUCUUGUGGUCGGAGGAAGUGGGCGUGGUGCAACCGCCGCCGCCGCCGUCAGCAUCUCUGUUGUUGGAUAGGAUCUUGAUGGGUGAUGGGAAGUUCAACAUGGGAAGAUCUUGUAAUAAAUCGAGAUCCAUUUUCUAAAUAUAAAUAACAAAAUGAUAUGUUCUUGAAGGUUUUGUUUUUGUGUUUUAGCGUGUGCCUGAACAAAUCUUCUUAGAGAAGUGGACUUGUGGGUUUAGUUGUAUAUAUGUGGUUUUGUCUUUACAUACAUGUUUUUCUUCUGUAUAUGUGUACUAUAUAUCUUAAUAUUAGAAAGAUAAGAGAUAAAAAAAAGAGAGAUCACAUUACUUCUAUUUACAGCUUUUGACAGGUAACCACAUUAAUUCCAAGUUAAGUAUUACCAAUCAAUUACAAAAUUCUGAUACUUAAUUAAGUAAUAAAUUUGUACUUUAUACCUAAGGCUGAUCGUUAAGAUAAGUAUUCUUUUUGAUUAAAAUAGUCUAAAUAACAAUGUGGUAAAAUUUCUUCUAUAAAUUUCGUAAAAAAACAGAUCUACAAGAAUUUGAGAUUUUUGUUUUUAAUAUAUAUAACUUGGUCAAUUUUACUUGAACUUAGGCAUUUAAAAUUAUACACAAUCUUUCAACUUUAAACUUCUGAUAACUAUUUUUCAUAUCAGUACAUAACUAAAUAUCAAUUGUUUGUACGGAAGAGAAAGCAGCUACGUACAUAGUAUAUACAUGUAUCUCUCUACUGAACGAGAUAACAAAACUCCUAAUUGCAAAAUUAAGGAAGAUAGUAAUUAUAACGUAAAAAGCGGGCAUAGAUUCAUACUGUUAAUUGGAGUGAGAGUUACAUCCACUAAAAGAAGAAUCAAAUCAAGAAAAUGGAGGGUAGCUAUUUGUAUAUAAGGAAUCUUACUUUAAUUAACAAAGAAAGAAUAGUUUUUCGAAUAAAUCAAAUUUCUAUAAAUGAAAUGUAGAAAUAUGGAGAACUUGCUUAAAAUACACUAAAUUAGAUAUCACUUUUCAAAAAUAUUUUAGUAUUCAGGUUUAAAGUUUAGAUAUUAUUAUUUAUGGUUUAGUAUUUAAGGAGUAAAGUUAGGUUUAUAUAUAACCUUUAUAAAUAAAUUUUAAACAUUUACAAAAUGAUUUAGGAGGAUUAAUUUUAUCUUUUUCAUAAUAAACUUAAAAUAUUUAUAAGAUGGUUAUCAUCUAAAGUAAUUUGAAAAGUAAUAUCAAGUUUGUGGUAAAAAUGGAAUUUUCUUUUAAAUAUGCAUAUACUUUUAUUUUUGGAAAUUUAAAAAUGUAAAAAGAAAUCAAAUUCUACUAAUGCGGAUAUAGAGUAUACAACAUGCACAUUUGUUAAAAAUAUCAACAUGCAUAUGUUUGGAAAAUAAUGAGGCAUUUUUUUUUUGUUUUUUUUUUUAUAAUGAAGCAGUAACAUUACUGCAUGCAUACUGCCUACUGGUACAAGUUUUGACUAGUUUACAAUAAUUAAUUUUAUUGAUAAGAAAAUCAAUAUUACAUAGAGAUUAGGUUUUAUAUAACAAUGAUUAAAAUUUCAGAUCGAAGUUUUUAAUCUAGAUCUAAACGUAGAGUUUGGUUAGAAUUUACCGCUAAAGAAACUAGAGACAUGUCAUGUAUAUAGAUUUUAAGACUUUUUGUACAUGCAUCAUGUAUCAUUACAUGCAUAUUUUAUAUCAAAUAUAUUUUCGUCAGAUUUAACAAAUUGUUUACUAGGUGAAAUCUAUUAAUAUUACGAUCUGGGAUAUAAUUACGAUCUGUUAAAUUUUAUUUGUUCAGAUCAAUUAAGAUCCAUUUAGAAAGGACGUAGCCAAAUCCUUUUAUUGAAUUAAGGUUCCAUGGAUAUCUUUUUACGAUUCUUAAAGAUACUUAGUUUUGAUCCUUAGCUCUUUUUAACCACGGUUUUAAUAUAAAAAAAAAUACUUACAAGAAAGUAGUGUAUAAAGCUGUAACAAAUUAAAUUAUUAUUAUUAUUAUUUUUGAAUUGAAUGUUAAAUUUAAUUAAAAAAAAAUACUUUUUACAACUUUUCAUAUCAUGUUUUUAAAUUGUAAAAUAAAAGGAUAAAAAAAAAAUCAACUCUCCAUAAGCUUUUAUCCCAACUCUCUUGACUCAAACCACAUGGCCGUACUAUCUCCAUAUUCUCUAUCACCCCUCCUACAGAUAACAGUAAACUGAUUUCUCAUAGCCUUAUCCAAUCUCCGAAUCAAAACUAGUGCAGUAACAACAGAUUCCCCAUGUCUUCUUUUGUUCUUCUCCCUCCAAAGUGUAUGAAUAACUGAAGAGCAUAUCUCACAAUAAACAGCUUGACCCCAACUCGAGUUAUGAGUUACAAGGCGAGUAAGCCUUUCCCAGUGAUCUGUGUAUUGAUCUUUCAUAUAGUUAUUUGAAACUAAAAGUCAGCAUAUACAUAAUACAUGAUGUAUACAGGCUUGGUUACAAAAAGCAGUUACGUAUUAUUGUGCAGAGAAUCUAUCAUCUAAAGAGAUGCCGUGUGUUUACUAUUAGAGGAUGCAUGUGGUGUGAAUCGUGUGAUGUAGGGUAGAUCUGUGUAAGUGACUGGCAAUAUCACGGUAAAGGCCCAGACAAAGGUACAUAAGAAGAAACGAUCUCUCUGAUCUUUCCUAAGUAUCUGAAUCUCGUUAUUGUUUUUUAUUUUAUUUUCUUUGAUUUUUAACAGAAAAGUAGUUUUUUUUAAUCUUUUACGUCGUGGACAUGCAUGGACAUUGGACGCUUUUCUUUUUCCUUUUUUUUCUGAGUUAAAUUUGAUUUUUUUUUUCUGAACCACUGCGUUUCUUUUCGAUCAAUCUUUCUGAACUACUUAGUUGUUGACAACAAAAACAACUUGUAUUGAUACUCGAACGUUCGUGGUUUUUAAGCUCCUUUUUUUGUUGUUGAGGAUUUUGGUAUCACUAACCUAGCUCGUAUCUAAGAUAGUAAGAUUAAUGAUCUUAAAUAUAAUGAUGUGAAAGGAAUUUAACUAACAGAAACAGAUUCAUGUAACUGGUAAAUCGAAAAUUGAGUGCCGGUUUGAGUGAAUUUGAAUAUCACACGCUGUAUUUAACAAAGAAAAAAGGAAUAAUUCAAGAAUUUCAGUUUUAUACCCAAGGUGCGUUGGGCUAGUGGUUUAGUGCUUGGAGUAGGUUCCAUUGCACCCCUAGUUCGAUUCCCAUGGGGAGGGGUGCUUUACGCCAUGUUAUCGGUAUCAGCGCCGGCCGGCCCCGGGCCUGGGGUGGGAUUAAGGCCGAAGGCCCGAACCCAUCCUAGUCUACAAAAAAAAAAAAAAAAAAAAAAAAAAAAAAAAAAAAAAAAACACUACAUAAAAAAAAAAAAAAAAAAAAAAAAAAAAAAAAAAAAAAAGAAUUUCAGUUUUAUGUGAGUAGCUAUAUGAACAGAAACCUAGCUAGGUAGAACUGCUAGGUGUAAAAAAAUCGCCAACAUGAUAUUAUAUUAUUUUUACUUGGUUGAAAAUUUGCAUAUAUGAAUACAAUUCAUACGUGGCUAUGUUAAUAGGUAUUCAUUGUAUAAAACAUUUUAUUCGUUGUAAAGUACGAUGUAGACAAGCGAAGCAAGUAAAACGUAACGUGCAUGCAUCCAUAUUAAUUUAUUUAUCCUUAUAUAAUACUUAUCAAACUAGUUUCCAGAAUUUUAUUUCAGCAUUUAGUGGGUAAUGAUCAUGAUGGUCCUCUCUUGGAUGUUUACGUUUCAUUUCAGAUUCUUUUUAACAAAUAUAUCAUCAUCUAAAGAUCCUAUAUAUAUAUUAUAUCUAUUGACUAUACAUGACAAAAAUAAAAUAAUACAGUACUAGUACUGAAAAAGAGAAAUUAUUAUUUGUAUAAAAAUGAAAAAUCAAUGUAAUUAAAAAGCUAACAUAUAUAAUUAUGAUGGACAUUUGCACCAGAAACUGAUAUAAAAAUAUUUCGUUACACAAAAAUAUAAAUAUACAUAAUGGGACUCGAUAAAAAAAAAAGAGAAAUUAGGUCACAUAUGCCUAGAAAAUUUCAUAUUUAAGUAAAUACCUUAAACACUAUUGAUAUUUCUAAAUCUCAAUACUACCCCUGCCCAAACUACUUCUAUCUCUCUCUUUUUACUACAUCUGCCCAAGCUCUCUCCCUCUCUCUUUCUCUUUCUCAUUCUCAUGUUACAAAACAUACUAACAUUUUUCAAAAUAUGUGGGUAUGAUGUUUAUAAAUAUCUUGAGUUAGCUAUAUAUGUUUUUUUAAAUGCUAUAAAAUAGAUUAUCAGACUAACUUAACCAUUAACUGUUUAACUUCUAUAUUUUUAACGGUUAAUCAUUAUUGUAUGAUAAGUAAACUAAUAAGUUACAUCUAUCAUAUUUUUUUACAUGGUAAAUAACAUAUAACAUUGAGAUCAUUGAUAUUGUUACAUGAUAAGUAUAUUUUUAUGAUAAACAAGUUAUCCACUAACAGCUUCUAUAAUAUCUUAAGUUAAAGGUUAGCAUUGAACUUCUUUUGUUACAAAAUAUUUUUGUUCAUAUGAUACAAAGUUUGUUAGAUGUUUUUUAAUAGUUAACCAUGAUAACUUAAUCAUUAGCAACUAUGAUUUUAGUUAGAUGUUAUCAAAUAUUUUAGACGAGACGCUUUUUAAACUGGUUGGUGAGAUGUCCAAAAAUAACUGGACUUAGCUUAUACAUAAUUUGUUAGAUGCUAUAAAAUAGAUUACUUGUUUAACUUAAUUGUUAUCCAUGUAGCAUAUAUCACAAUCCAUAAUUCAUCCAUUGAAUUUCAGUUUUGAAAGAUUAGAUGAGAUAUAUAUAAACUGGGAAAAAAAAAAUCUCUAACCGUGAUUGGAAUUGAAAUCCCAUAACUCAUGUUUGGAAUCUUGGUUCUCUUUGAAUCUGUGAUUCAUUUGCAUACAUAUGGCUUCAAAUAAUACUAUUCUGAUGUGAUAGUGAUGGUGACGAUGACAAACUAUGGAAGAGGAGAAGGUUAGCGUAUGAUUGGUGCAGAAAAUAAAGUAAGUGAUGAUUGAGGGAGAAGAAGAAGAAAACUAAUUUAUUUGAGAAGAAGAUUUUUCAAUAACAAUUGAAAAAGGGAGAGAAAGAAAAGUGUAGAAAUGAAGUUGGGAAAGAAAGAGAAACGGGAUGAGAGUUUGGGCAGGGAUAAAACUGUCGUUCUACUUGUAAAUUGCUAUAGAAACUAGAGUUUUUAUGUGUUUGGGAUAGUUUCUUAAUUUUAGGUGUCUUUAGGUAUAUGUAGCAAAUUAUCUCUAAAAAAAAUACAUAAUGGGCGAACAGAUAAAUCUCCAGAGUCAUAACUGGAGAAAAAUGAAAAUUUCCUAAGAAACUGAGGCUGUAACUGGAAACUUAAUCUAGGAAUGUAUGGAAUAAAUGGAAUUGGAAUCAAUGGAAUAAAAUGGAAUGGAAUAGUGAUAAUUUUUGGAAUUAAAGGAAUGAUAUAUGUAUUUAUUUUUUAAUUAUAUUCAAAUUAUUUCAUUCCAUCCAUCCCUUUCAUUCCUCCUCUUUUUUUAUCAUGAAUGAUUUUUAACGUGAUUCCUUUUUUUCCUCAUUCAUCCCACAGGAAUUUAUGGAAUCAAAAUUUUUGUUUUUUCCACUUAACUGGUGAAUUUUUUUUGGAAUGUCUAUGAAUGACUAAUUCCACAUGAUUCCAUUCAUAAAAAAAGCAUUCCAGUUACAGCCUGAGUCUACAACCAAACUUAAAAUUACAACUGUUUUAAGUCCCAAACAGAUAACGAUAUAAAAUCGAAUUAUUUGGAAUUUGCAACAAAACCGACAAAAGACUUUACAUUCAAUUAUUUCUUUUUGUUUAACUUAAGAAAUGGUUUUGUUUACAAAGAUAUUUGAGAAAUUCUCUAUGAUAGACUUAAAACAGUUUUUGUCACAAAUAUAGACUUUAAAAAUAAAAAUGAUCAAAAUAGACUUAAAUAUCUUAUAAAAAAAAUAAAUAUACACUUAUACCCCUAGAGUUAAUCAGUCUAAACAUUAAAGUUUAGAGUUAAGGAGUAAAGUUUAUGGUUUAGAGUUGAGCAGUGGAGUUUUGGGGAUAUGAUUUCAAAUUUUAAAAAAAUUUAAAAAAUUAAAAUUUUCAAAAUAAAAAAUACUAUUUUGAUCAUUUUAAUUUUUAAAGUGUAUUUUUGUAACAAAAACUAAAAAAAAUCUAUGUGAGAGAAUUGCCCAAGAUAUUAUCUUCAACGAGAUUUAACCACAUGCCAUCGGCUAAAAUGGUAAAACAAUUAAUAGGCUGGGGCAAAGUUAGAAAGUAUUGGGACCAUUUAUAUAAAUAAAUAUAUAGAAUAUAUACCAAACCCCCCCAUCAACUUUUCUUGAUUCUUCCGAUUGUCCUCAUGCCAUUUAAUUUUGUGAAGUCGUUACUUCACUGUUGUGAUUGAUAUCUAGUUCACAAUUAAAUAAAUGCCUCAACUCAUUUGGUCAGUUUUUGAUGCAGACAUGAAGAAAAGGAAGCUUUGCACGGUUUAGCUUUCCAAAAGUUUGUGUAGGAUUUAAUUAUUUAUGGCCCCUCUUUGUUUAGUAGAUGGCUGAAAAAGGGUUUGUUAAAGGAUUUGAUUGAUUCCAAACUCGCAUGUGAAUCGGGCUGUCUUCAAAUUCUUUUGACUAAAGGGAUUGACAUAUAGAUCAAUUGGGUACUAGAGAUAGCUAAGCUUCAGUAAUGAUUUAUCUUCUUCUUUUCUUUUUCUUAUGUCGAGGGUUCCACUAUGAAAAUCAAACACGAGGUCGUUGGCAUUGUUGGUAUUGAGUCAUGUCAUCUUCAACAUCUGUACAGGGGGACUUCACUUUUCAAAAAGUCCUUAUUAUCACUAAAAACUUCAUUUGUUUUUGAAAAGUGGAGUGUGAUCUCUAGGUUCUUUUGUCCAAUACACAGUGGCCAAGGCUGGUCCAAUUGUAAUCAUAAUAAAGAUGAAUGAAAUGAUGCAGUUAUCAAUAUCAAAAUUGCUUUUUUGUAGCGUAUAUACAAAAAACCCAUAAAAGAUAUAUAAAACAUAUAAACCUAAAUCAGUAGCUAAAAAGUAAAUCUUUGCUUUCGAUGGUAUCUCCACGUGAAUCUCACGUGUUUUCCUUUCCUCUUGAAAGUUGAGACUGAGACAGAGUUGUUGUUAAUCCAUUCCAAAGUAGAUCUCUCUCUGUGUUUCAUCCUCCAAGUGAUUUCUGCUUGUAACCAUUUUUUAUCCUAUCAUAAAGUUUCUCCUUAGUUUUACGUUUCUUGUCCAUUUUCAAACGAUAUCUUUCUUCACGUUCUCUCUCGUAAACGCCUUUCCAAUGCACUUCUCCCGUUAGUGGCCACAGCCACCUUUCCCUUGGAUGGUCGUUAUCAUCUGCUGCUUCUGCCAAGUCCUCGUCCAUGCUUUUCAACAAAGUGAAGUUAAAGUACUUAGCCCACAUGAAACCUUUCCGUUGCGGCAAAGGAUGUUGUUCCUCGAGUGAACCGUCUCUCGGGUUUAUGUAAACCAUCUUUCUCCCGCUGUGAUACGCCCAGACGUUAACCAACAGUUCCAGAACCCGGCAGUAACAGUGCUUUCUCUACUUAUUGUUGAAAACAAAUCAUUAAUUUGUGAAGAUGGGAGAGUAAAGUCAAAGAAGAUUUUUAAUUUACCUCUAGCUGUGAUGAAGCCAGUGAGCAACUUUUGGAGUCGCUAUGCAAUGCAUCAAGAGACUCCGAGAACAUCCUGUGAUUGCGGUUUAAGCUAGGAAAGUGAGUUUGGUUGAUGUUUUGGUGAAUUUGUUGAGUAAAUAAUUAUUUUACCUUGAGAACAUGACAAACUCGAGGAAAGAUGGAGUUGGCAUCACCCAGUUGUGGAGAGAAGACCAAUGAUGACCAUCUUCAGGCAUGGGAGGAAGCGCUUCUAUGUGUUCUGGUAACCCAUACAUAUGCCUGAACGCCUCUUCGAACGUAGUCCUGCAUCAAUUUAAUAUGGCUAAGACAUAUUUUACGUAAAGACAUGAUUAAAUAAAUAAAACAUUAAAUAUAUACCUGCAAUUUCCUCGGUAGACCAGAACGAAGCGCAUUUUUAAUUCCGAGUGCGUCAGCAUCAAUGUCUAAUCUUGUCCAGAAGUAAACAAUCUCCCCCUUGGUAUCCUUUUGUAUAAUGUUUUCCAGGGAGCCUUCGGCUUUAGACGAUAACGAGACCUGUCUCCACAGCAAAGUGUCAAAGUUAGACGACGGAUGCAAGACGAGUAUGUGGCUGUGUGCUAAAGAAACGACCUUCCUACCAGCAGAACGCCAUGACUGAAACCCAAUCCAAGGUCUCAUGUGAAUGCUAUCCACUUUAUUCGCAACUGAAAACAUUCCUCCAAUUUCACAGAGAAGAUCUCGAUAAUAAGUGUCCUUCAGUAGAGGUAACCUGUCUGCUGCAUCUACAUCGUCCGAGCUUAGCCUUCGGUCUUUGCUGGACUAAGAAAUAACAAACCGGUAGAUUUGAUAACCGUUGGAUAGAACAUCACAAACCAAUUAGAGAAGCCUUACCAGGCUCAAACCACGGUACAGAGAUCCAUGAUGCAGAAAGGGCCAAGCACCAGCUCCAUUGUAAAUCUCAUAUAUACAUAGAGGCUGACCAGUUCGUUCCAGCUCUCCUUCGUCCCGCUCGUUCACCUUAAAUUUUAGCUUCUCGGAUUUGCGAGCGUUACGGUAUAUCUCUUCCCAGUCUUCAACAUCUCUUUCGCUUCUGUCCUCCAGCUACAUAUCAGACGAGGAAGAGAUUGAUUCAACACAAUAGAAACCAAUGCAGCUAUUAGCAAGACUCACAGAACAAUGUCUAGGGAGAACCUAGAGAUAUGUCUGAUGAUACCUCCUCAGAUUCUAGUUUCUCGAUCUCUUCAAGGACAUCCCAGUCUAAUUUGGAAGGAAGCUCAUCCGAAAAAACUAUGGUAUCGUUGUCAACAGUGUUUGUUGACUCAACAACACUCGUGAACUUCUCUUCGACUUGGAAAACAAUGGAUCCAUAAGCAGAGUCCUGAGUUAAGCUUUCUGCCUCCUCUAUUACUCUCCUGAACAGACUCCACUCCCACGCGGCCACUUGAAGUUGAGAAACAGAACCUGGCAAGAAAGUAUCGGACGGAAAGUGGAGUACGUUCUCCAAAAGCCUAGCGUAACCAGUUAUGCACUCUGUCGCCAUCAUGUUCUUAAUUAAAAGUCUUCCUGAAGAAGCAACUGUUUGCGCAAAUUUAGAGAGACUUCCAUCUGAUAUCAAGGGUGAGAAUGCCUUUAACAGUGUAUCAGGGUCGUUUCUUCGGAAAAAUAUCCCAUGAACUCCAUCAGCCAUCUGCAGUAAAAGGUCCAUAAAUAAGUAAAAAUAAAAAAAUAGAAAAUCAUAAACUUCAGGUGUACUCACAUAUUUUUUCAUGAUGGGAAAGUCAGGUGUUACAAUAGGGAUGCCAAAGCUCAUAGCUCGCACAACCAAUGAGGGAAAACUUUGUUCCUCUUGGUAAGAGGCAUAAACAAGAACAUCAGCCAUCAGUAGAACUCUAUUCACAUCCUCAUUCAGACCAAAAUCAGUGUCUUGGGUCAACCCAAGCCUCGAUGCAACCUCCUGCAUUCAUGUAUCAACACACAAAUUAUGUCUACAGUAUACAAUCCCAACCAACACUAAUCAUAUAGUAUUCACAUGGAUGAAAAAUUCUUACCUGUACAGCAUUGGUAGAAUUGCCAAAUAGAAAUAUAAACUUAAAGGGACCACCGGUCUCUUUUCUCCUCCCAUAUUGUGUUAAAAGUGGUCCCAGCAUGUGCAUUGCCACGGCGUUAUCCCAAGAAAAAUCAUCAUAAAAGAAGGAGCUCCCAAGCACCACGAUGAUCAGGUCAUCUUCGCCAAAACCGUUACUCUCCCUCAGCGUUUGCUUUGUGUGGGUUUCACUGUAGCCUUCAGCAGCCCAAACAUCUACUACUGAUUCCGGAAUCACAACGAAGUUCCCAUCAUCAAGAACGCUGUGCAACAUCUCAACAAAUUGUAUGAUCUUAGGCAAAUAUACAAAGCAUACUCUUUGGCACAACUGAAAAGCUUAUUGCAGACAGGAAUAUACCGGCAGAGUAAACUGUGGAAAGACAACUGCACUUGCUCUCGCAAAAGCACUUCUCCAGUGGGAGAUUAGAGAAUUUUGGCCCAUCUUUUGGUAAACAGGCAACCGAUUUGCAAGAAUAUCUUCAUGAACUAUCCAUAUAAGUGGUACUGAACGAAACGGCUCCUGCAUGAGACUGCAUAAUAUAUAAACUCUUGUUAUCAUAGAAUAUUAAUUAGAGAAGUAAUUGGCAAAAUUCACUAUGAUUUUUCACAUCUUAAGCAGAAACAACCAGAGUAUAAGCUCUGAUAGCAGGCAACUAAACAAGCUUAAUCUACUCACCUUGAAAUGGCUUCUUUCGCUUCAAGCGAAUCAGCAAUAACACCUUCAAAGCUGCAGAAGAUGAAUCACUGUAACUUGAUCCAAGUGGGAGUGGAGAAAUAAAAUAUAUUCAAUAAAGUUAUUAAGAAUUGAUAGGACUCAUACACUGUCCAAUCAGCGUACCCCAGCUGCCCUGAAACCAAAACUUUAACGUGGCCAGCUAACUGUUCCCACAAUGGACGUGCUUCACCAUUCUCUACGGCAAAAACCUGACAGCUUUUAAGGUCACAAGAUUUACCAAGAGAUGCAAAAUAAAAGACACAUUAUAAACUUUGUAUCCACUUUUCACCGCAUAUCUCCAGUAGAUUCAAAUUUAACCAUUCUGCUUAUACCAUAUACAUAGCCAAAGAGUUUCACCUGAAACACAUAACCCAGUUUUUGAAGAUUCUUCACCACCGUGAUCAACACUAGUGUCCGAGGAUCUUUCCUCAUAUUCCCUAGUAUCUGUCAAUCAUAAUACAUCAAAAUAAUAAUAAUGAGUGAACAGAAAGUGCAUAGAGCCGAACGAAUGAAAAAGCAUCCUGUAAGAUCGAUCAGAGAAAAUAAAACAGUGUUGGUAUACAUAACAACGACACUUUAACUAUGCCAAUAAUUACAAAGUAACUAUGAACACCUCAACUGCCAAGUUCAAGCAUGAUAAUAUAUCAGCAGACUCCUUGGUGCAUCUACAAAAGUCAUUUAGCUUCAAUUCCAUAAGUGCAAGAGCAUAUUUAAGAACCGAUUCUUACCUUUUUAAUUUAAUAAAUGUCUCACUCAAAAAAAUAAUAUAUAAGCUAGAUAUCAAUUGGUUUUAGGUUUGAAGCUCAUCUAACAUAAAACUAAGCAUGCAUUAACUCACGAGAGCAAGCCUCGGGGGACGAACGCCUAUUCGAACCUCCGACCGCAAGGAAUGAAUCCCUUCUCCUUCGAUCAACUUCUUCGCAACUCUUCCAGGGACAUACUUCAACGCACUCCCCAAUCCAAUCCGCCUUCCCACGCUCCCUCCCUUGGCACUCCCUUGCCACGUAAUCGAACUCUGAAGCAGCAGCGAGGACGCUACGAAGGCGCAAACCGCGAACGCGACGAGAGAGUAGAGCAAACACGUGCCGCGCGGCUUGAGCAGCGAGAGGAGGAAGCCCUUGCGGUUCNNNNNNNNNNNNNNNNNNNNNNNNNNNNNNNNNNNNNNNNNNNNNNNNNNNNNNNNNNNNNNNNNNNNNNNNNNNNUUCGGCGAUCGUGGGGGAACGUGGUGGUGAGGAGGCCUGGUACUACGCAAGGAGGACCGACGCAUGUCGGUUGGAUUCCUCUUGAGACGGAGACGGUCUCGCACGGAGACGUUGUUGUUGUGAUUCGCCGCGCCGUUAUUGUCAUGAUGGAUCUCGAGAGAAAGAGAGUUUCUCCCCAUGGAGAAAACAAGCUGUGUUCAAUGCGAAGCUCUCUCUCUCUCUUGUUUCAGGUGAUUUUGAUUUCAGGUGACACACUACUCCACCAUGAGAAGAUAGUUAGAGAGAGAAAUUAUUGAUCAUUGAUUUUUGCGUAUUUUUGAGUUGUGAAUCUGUUUAAGAGACAGUAGUGAAGAGAAUGAGCAAUUUUUGUCAAACUUCUCUACGUGAUAAUAAUAUUUAUUUCAAAAAAUAUUAUUUUACGUCUCUGUUUUUAGGCGGUGGGACCAUAUUGUAUAUCCUGGGGUAUUUAAGAUAUUUUUAAUAUUUUUUUUUACUAUAUAAAACUGAUAUAGUAAUAGAUUUGGAUCCGAAUCUGGAUAUCCAAACUUAAAAUUCGAUUAUCUAGACCUGUAUACGGAUCUAUAAAAUCAGUUUUUUGAACCGGAUGGAAGCGGAUCCCAUAUCGAAUAUUAAGUUCGAGGUUUAUAUGUUUUCAAUUGCCAUUUUAUCUAUAUUAUUAAAAUAUUUCACCCGUUUUUAAAAGAUACAUGUUUUAGAAAAAAAAUGUUUCAAAAACUACAUUUUUCAUAUUUUCAAUGUAUAAAUUAAAUGUUAAUUGUAAACUUCAAAAAACAUAAUUGUAUUUAUUAAAAUUCUAUUGGUGAAAACUUAUUGGAAUUAGUUGAUUACAGAAAAUAUUGUAUUGGUAAAUAAAAUUUGAUAUAUUUUUUAAUAAAUGUGAAAAUCUUAAAAUAUAUAUAUUUUAGAAACGGAGGGAAUAGUAAAUUAUUUUUGUUAAAGAGGGUGACAAAGCAAUGGCUUCCUCAAAAAGAUCAUAUAUUUCACGCGUUUAUAGAGGUCCAACCAGCUUUUUUGAGUAGUAGUUGUCACUAUUAGUGUGAUAAUGAUAUUUCACCAUCUAAUUAAUUUAGUUUUGUUGAUGACCGAGUGUUAACUGUUAACAUAUGGUUUUUGCCAAUAAUUAGUAUGUAAAUUAUGGUGAAAUUGCAUGAAUCAUUGAAUCUUCUAGCGUGACGACUGACGACCGAGUAGAAAACAAACAAAAUAAAAUGAAAACAUUAUAUUAUUAUUUGUAUCACCAAUGCAAUCAGCAAAUGUAUUCAACGUAGCCGAAUUUUAUUUUUCAAAGCCGCGUAUGGUUGGUUACAUCCGUCUUUCAUCAAAACUAAUGAAAGAAAAAAUAAAUACCAUAAUUGAACGUCGUCUCCAAAAACAUGCGUAGAUGGGAACUAUUCAAAUGGAUUGGAAGUAGUCAUGUAGAUAGUGAUCUCGUGUCUUUUCAUCGAACAAUAAAUCGAAUUUAUGAACACACAUGCUCAUCGUUCUCGUUAUUAAUUGUACCUUUUGUCAAUCGUUCUUUUAUGUAUUGGGGUCCCUGAUAGAGCUCUCACAUGAUUAAUAAUACUGUUUAUACUGUCACUUAGCAUGUUUCAAUAUUUUGGGGGCAUUAAACUCAAAGUUUAUGUACUAUUCAGUUAGUCCACACCCACUCUCCAAUAUAUAUAUAAAUGUGGUCUAAUCUUUUUCAAAUUUACAGUCAAGCAUUAGUAGUCAGUCAGUUUUAAAUAUGAUGUUUUAAGACUGGCGGAUUCGCAUCCAAACCUUGUUUGAAAGCGAUGAUUCGUAUACUUAGUUUACUCGUCUCAAGUAUUAAAAUGCAAUAACGUCCACGUCUAGUCAAAGAGAUUAUAUGACAAAAACUAUGAAAGUUUAUAUAUAUUAUAAGAGGACAAAACAAAUUCUCAGUUAAAAUAUUAAUUAGUGUUUUUGAACUACGUAUCCAUUCAGAAGAAGAAUCUAGAUUACGUUGACCUUCUAAAUAUAUUAUAACUUUUUUAAGUAAUCAAUCAAAGCCAAAUCAAGCUUAACUAUAUAAAAUGUCUCGAAUAUCAAGAAUUUCAGACAGAUUAGCUCGUGGCUCGGGUCGAAUAAUUUUAUUCAAACAUAGGUUUGCAAGAAACUUCUUUGUCGAAAAACAUCUUUAUCAGAUUACUUUACUUAUUACUCGAGUCUUGGGUACCUUCACCAAUCACCAAUCACAUGAACUGGAAAAAAAAAAACACAAAUGGACCACUAAUAAAUUGAACAUUGGACAUUAGUAUGUAAGCAUUGAAGUUUUGGAAACUAUUCGGGUAAAAUGAUUUCUAUGAACUAUAGAAGAAGAUUCAGACUAUAUAUAUAUAUAUAGGAAUACAAAUGUAAUGUAUAUUGAAUUAAGAAAAUGGUACCUCUCUAUAUAGCUAACAACAACCAUGACUCUAUGACUAUGAGUAGUUGGCAAUUGAUAUAUUGUUGACAAUUUACGAUAUUUUAGGGAUGCAUUCCCAAUUAAUGGACAUACUAUUUUAAAAGAAAAUUUGCGUAAAUAGUAACAAUGCAUAUAUUAGGAACUCCUCGAAUAUAUUUUCAAAAGUGCAUGAAAUACAAAAUGCACAGCUGGUGGAUCGUUGUCUUAGAUCAAUGAAUCUAUAAGAAAUCAAGAAAAAAAAAUAUUGUGACUAGUUUGUUAUUAUCGUAUAAUAAUAAUUGAUUAUAAGUUUAUAACUAAUUUGUAAUGAAAUCCAUAAUUUAAGUUUCUUCAAGUAAGUGUAGGCCUGAUGAUUGUCCAAUAGGCCGGGGUAUUUUAUCUGGAUUUACAAUGCCAGGCCUAGUCCAACUCUUUAAAAUUCGUGGCAUGACGUCAUCCCAAAGCAGGUUCUGGUAAAAAUAAGGAACAGACAUGCCAAGUAACGUAUCCGCUUAUCCAUUCCACUCGUAACCUUUAUAAUCCCCUCGCCUACGCUACGCGCCUCCAUGCGGCGUUUUUUGUUCUUCGUUUCCUGCUUUGGGUUGUUCGCUUUGAUUUCCAUAACGUACGCGUGGCUCGCGUUUUCGCCGCAUAUUGGACGCACGGAUCAUGUGUCCUCUUCUUCGCUAGGUUGCAGAGAGGAUAACGAGGGUUCCUGGUCCAUUGGAGUUUUCUAUGGCGAUUCUCCCUUCACUCUCAAACCCAUUGAAACCGUGAGUCUCCUGAUCUACUCAGUUUCGUGCAAUUUUAUUAGAAUGCAAAUCGUUUGAUAGCUAGGGUUCAUGAGUUUUCAUAUGUAAUGGAAAGAUGGUUCUCGUACAGAUGAGUUUUCAUAUGUAAUCUUUAUUUUUUCAGCAAAAACCAUAAGAUCAUACAAGUAACACAUAUGUAAAAUGUUUUUUUUUGUUUGAAUUAAUUUAACAUUCAUUCACAAAAAAGGGUUCAUGAGUUUUGAAUCAACAAUUUUAACCACAUUGUAUCUGGUGAUUUUGGAAACAGAUUAAUGUAUGGAGGAACGAGAGUGCAGCAUGGCCUGUAGCUAAUCCAGUUUUAACAUGUGUCUCCUUGACCAAUUCUGGCUUUCCAAGCAACGUUGUAGCUGGUCCCUUUCUCUAUGUACAGGUAUACACAUUAUAGUCAUCUUCAUCGACACAAAACAGGUCUUCAAAAUUUUGGAGGCUAUAGACAAUUUAAUAAGAAUUUCUAUUAACAAUUUUUUUUUUACAAUUUUAUGGGUUAUAUAUAUGUAAUUUUUUCUUAAUUUUUUUGGAAGUUGUAAGCCAAUACUCCACUAGUCUAUGCUUAGGACCGACCAUGCAUCAUCGACAUUGCACUAUCUUUGGCUUAUCAUGAACACAUUCUCUAGUGAAAGUGUUAUAAGUCCCUUUUGCUCAUGUCGAUCUUUUGUCAUUCUUAUCUUACCAAAACAGGGUGAUACUCUUUACAUGUUCUUUGAAAAUAAAAACCCCAUUACAAUGCAAGGGGACAUAGGAGUUGCACAAAGUACAGACAAAGGAGCAACUUGGAAACCUCUUGGUAUAGCUCUGGAUGAGCCUUGGCACUUAUCUUUUCCUUUCGUCUUCAAUUACAACGAACAAGUAAGAGAUCAGUUUCUUACUAGCAACGUUCCAUGCAUGAUACGCACUCAUUAUAUAAACAUUUUUUUUUGUUUUCUUUAUAAUAGAUAUACAUGAUGCCGGAGAGCAACCAGAUAGGAGAACUUCAUCUCUACCGUGCUGUUAACUUCCCUUUAACUUGGAAGCUAGAGAAAGUCAUCUUACAAAAGCCCCUUGUUGAUUCCACCAUACUCCACCACCAAGGAAACUAUUGGCUAUUUGGAUCAGAUGAUAGUAGCUUCGGACAGCUAGAAAUUUGGUACAGCGCCACUCCUCUUGGCCCUUGGAAGCCACACAAGAAGAAUCCUAUCCACAACGGGGCAAGAAACGGAGGGAGAGCGUUUUUACAUAACGGUAAUCUCUACCGUGUUGGUCAAGCUUCCAGUGAGAGUUAUGAGAAAAAGAUAUGCAUUUAUAAAAUAGAGGUUCUUUCUAAGGAAGAGUAUAGAGAAGUCCAAGUCCCCUUUGAUUUAGAAACGUCUCAUAAAGGUCAAAACUCUUGGAACGGAGUUAGGCAGCAUCGUUUAGAUGUAGUAAAGCUAAGCUCUGGUGAAUACAUUGGUCUUCUUGAUGGUGACCGUGUAACAUCAGGUGAUCUGGUUUUUAGGGUUUUUCUAGGGUCUGCUUCUCUCGCAGGUGCUAUUACAGUUGUUGUGUUGCUAGGGUUUUUGCUUGGGAUCUUGAACUGCAUUGUUCCAUCAACCUGGUGCAUAAACUACUACAAAGGAAAAAGAACCGAUGCGGUUAUGAAUCUGAAGACCGCAAGCUUUGUGUCUGAACAGUUAAGAAGGAUGUGUUCUAGGUUAAACCGAGUACCGCCUUUUCUCAGAGGACUUGUGAAACCUAACUCCACGUUUGGAAGAUUGACACUCGGUUCGUUAUUAGUUCUAGGAGCUUUGCUCACAUGUGUAGGGAUUAGUUAUAUAUACGGUGGAAGCGGAGCGGUGUUGCCUUACACAUUUAAAGGUCAUGCAUCUCAAUUCACGUUAGCAACUAUGACGUACGAUGCACGUCUCUGGAACCUAAAAAUGUACGUUAAGCAUUACUCUCGAUGUCCUUCAGUGAAAGAGAUCCUCGUCAUAUGGAACAAAGGACCACCUCCUGAACUCACCGAGCUAGACUCGGCCGUGCCAGUUAGAAUCCGAGUCGAGAAGCUGAACUCUCUAAACAACAGGUUCAAUAUCGACCCGUUGAUUAAAACAAGAGCCGUUCUUGAGCUUGACGAUGAUAUAAUGAUGCCUUGUGAUACCAUCGAGAAAGGGUUUAGAGUGUGGAGAGAGUAUCCGGAGAGACUUGUUGGAUACUACCCGCGUUUUGUUGAUGAGACAAUGAGUUAUAGUGCUGAGAAGUUUGCGAGAAGUCAUAAUGGAUACAAUAUGAUUCUCACUGGAGCAGCGUUUAUGGACGUUGGUUUCGCGUUUGGUUUGUAUCAGUCGGAGAAGGCGAGGCUUGGUCGAGAGUUUGUGGACGAGCAGUUUAAUUGUGAAGACGUUUUGUUGAAUUUUUUGUAUGCUAAUGUGAGUGGUUUGGGAAAGGCUGUGGAGUAUGUGAGACCCUCUUUGGCUAUUGACACUUCGAAAUUUUCUGGUGUAGCGAUUAGUGGGAAUACGAAUGACCAUUACAGGAAGAGAAGCAAAUGUCUUCGGAGAUUCUCUGACUUGUAUGGGAGUUUGUCUGAUCGGAGAUGGGAGUUUGGUGGAAGAAAAGAUGGGUGGGAUUUGUAGAAAAACGAGUUGUUACUUGUAUGGCAAGUAAAUAUGAUCACGCAGGCUUUGUGUCCCACUCUUAAAUCCUUACCUCAACUGGAACACGAAGCAGUCUUCUUACAAGAAUGAAGUUAACGUCUCCUUUUGCAGCACUAAACGUCCAUGUUUUGGCAACAAACACUAUACUCUCUCAACUUAGCUCUCUUGGUUCAAGUCUUUUCUUUUUUUUUUUUUUUGGUUUUUCCAAAAACAAAGUGUAAAUAUAUUCUUAUGAAUGUGUUUUGUUCUAUAUUUUUAAAACAUUUAUUUUUCAUUUAUUAAAUUUAGAUUUAAAUAAAAUAAUUGAGUUAGAUUUAGCAAAUGCAAAAGUCACCAAAGUUUAAGUAAGAUAAUUGAAUUAUUAACGUCUCUUUUGCAAAUUCCUCUAACUUUUUGAUUAAAUUUAAGUUACAUAUCUACAUGAAUAGAAAAAUAAUUAGUUACAUAACUUGGAUUAACAUUAGAGAAAAUCAUAUCUUGUGUGACUGGUAUAAAGCUGUUUGGUUCAAGCAUGCGACACCUAAAUAUGCUUUUGUCACUUGGAUUGCUAUGCGUGGAAGAUUGGCAACAGGGGAGAGAAUGAAAUGCUGGAAUACUAAUGGCGAUGUAUCCUGCAGUUUCUGCAAUGAGCCCUUGGAGACUCUAACGCACCUGUUCUUUGAAUGCUCAUACUCUUCACAGGUAUGGGAAGCUCUCAUGAAGGGGGUUAUGUAUGAUCAUUACACAGACUGCUGGGGAAGAUUACUCGACUUAUAACUGACUCGGGUUGGGGUAAAGUUAAACUCUUCACUGUGAGAUAUGCCCUUCAGUUAACAGUUCAUACACUUUGGAGGGAGAGGAAUAAGAGGAGACAUGGGGAAUCUGCUGUUACCGCACCAGUUUUGAUCAAGAGAUUGGAUAAGGCUAUGAGGAAUCAGUUUACUGUUAUCCGUAGGAGGGGUGAUAGAGACUAUGAAGAUGGUAUGAUCAUGUGGUUUGAGUCAAGAGAGUUGGGAUAGAAGCUUAUUUUUUAUCCUUAGUAUUUUUAUAUUUUCAAAAACAUGAUAUGAAAAGUUGUAAAAAGUAUUUUUUCUUUUGAAUUAAAUUUAACAUUCAAUUCAAAAAAAAAAAUAAUAAUAAUAAUUAGAUCCGAUUAGGGUCAAAUGAAAAUUUAAUUGAAAUGGAAAGAGAAUAGAGAUUGUGUUCCUCAGUUCGGAUCGACACGAAUAUUUGCAAUUUACUCAUCUCCUAGCCUGUAUUUUGUGUACUUUUUGCCAUUAAAAGCCCAGUUUUUUCAUGUAUUCGUGACAAAAUUUGCUUAUCAAAAACUAAGUAAAUAAGAAAUUGUGGUACGUAUCAAGCAAUUUAUAUCGUUGCUCAAGGAGGGAGGGACUGAAUCGAGAAUGGCAUUAAAAGAUGUACCCGAAACCUCACAGCUACAUAAGCUGCAACGUUAACUGGGUCUUUCUUCUAAAUGAUACUUUUUUUUUUUUUUUUGUAAAAAAGGCUUUCAUAUUAAAUGCAUAAAAAGGGUACAAGUAUGAGUUUUCACUCAUAAGUUUUGGAAAGCUUGGAACAAGAAGAGAGUUAUCACAACCCUAAUGAAUGAUUCAGUUAAGAAUCAUAAGCAGCAAGAAAUUAAAAAAAAAAGAUUGAUCAAUGGUUUUGGUUUCCUCGGCCACGGCCACGGCGACCUUUACCUCUUCCACCGACCUUCGUCCAUCCCAUGUCUUGAAUCUUUUGAGUUGGUUUUAUUGAUCUUCCUCCUCUAGUUAAGUAACUAGAAGUCUCUCCAACCACAUCAUUACCAUCUCUCUCAAAAGAAACCGGAAUUUCCGGCUCAAUAUGAAAUUGUUGAUGGUUGUGAGCGAGGGGAGUGUAGGCACCAAUAUGUUGCUCCCUUUUAGAAGUGCCAGAGCCUUCCAAAGUGAUAAUUUGUGAUGGAACAUCUUCCAUAAUCUGUGACUGAUGUGGCACAGCAUUUGCAGCUGCUAAUAUUGGCAAAAUGAUAUCAUUCUUUGAGCAAGGGGCAGUAUGUACCUCAUGCGACUGUGUGGGUGAACUAACAAGAACCUCGGGCGGUGGAGUGUCAUGAGACUCAGUUGGAGCCUCGUGUAAUUGGCGGGAGGAGGGAGAUUGGGAUCCUGGUUCGAGAUGGUCAAUAUGUGCACUUGGAGUGUUAUGCAACACCUUAGCUAUGUCCACAAUUGGGAUCUCUUCAUUGGCAGCCGGAGCUUCUUUUGCAGUAUGAACUUCUAGUGGCUUAGGAGGAAGAAGACACCUCUUUUCCUUAGGGCCAAGUGCUCCGCAUCUUCCUCAAGCACUAGGGAUCCAAGAGUACUCCACAUCUACGAAGAAGAUAUUGCCUUGCUUAUCAUCAAGCGCAAUGAGCUUCGGAAAUGGUUUAUCUAACUCCACCUCCACUAAAAUUUUAGCUUCUCCCAUGUUUGUUGGAUCUAAUCGAGGCUUGUGUGUAAGCAUUGGCUCUCCCAAACCUGAAGCUAUAUGACUGAUGCCUAAUCUAGAGAAGCAUGAAUCCGGUAUAUUCUUAAGUGUUACCCAGACCGGUAAUGUAGAUAUCUCGGGGGUUUUAAAAGAAUUUACGGGACUCCAAGGGGCCACAAAAAGGAGACAGUCAUCGAUAUGCCACACACCCCGUUGAACAACCCAUUUACGAGUAUUUUCAUGAGGGAUAUGUAAUAAAAACGAUGAAUCUCCUAAUUUCCGGCAAGAAAUCUUACAUUCCCGUCCCCAUAACCUAUUCAAGACAGCAUGAAUAAGACCCCCAGGCGGGCUAGAGCACCUAUGGAACUGUCCAAUUAUGUAUUCCUCGUUAUUCUCCGGUCCUAACUUUAGAACCUUAGAAGGAAUAGUCACCUGAGGAGUGCCAUCCAGUCGGUAGGUUGGUUCCGCCGCACGAUAGAGGUUUCUGGAGGAUUGAUUCAUCCGGGCAGCCCAAGGAAACCGAAGGUUUCCAUCUUCCUUGAGUGUUGGAGGAGGAAAUUUUCUUACAGGCAGUUGAGGUGUUGCUUGAACCAGAAACAGCUUCCCCUUCUUUUGCUUCUGACCAUUUGUGGAAGUUUCACCAAGAGAAGGCCAGAAUGAAUCGAUUUGGCUUUUUACCGCUUCAGAAAUGGUCAGCCUUGGAGUGGCUGGUUCCGAAGGAGUAUGUGGGGGCGUGAAGUGAAGCGGCUUCGACCAAGCACCUAUGGAACGGACAAAGGCGAUACCUUUAUCGGAUUCAGCUUCACUGUCUUUAUCGGAUUCAGCUUCACUGUCUUCAAUUCCAUAAAUCACAUUAGCCGAAUCAUCUGGUGCUAGUGUUUCCUCGGCAACUACGUUGAGCUCGUGGAUGAGAGAACCAGGAGGAGGAGGAGACUUGGUGUUUGUAACAGUUAAUAUUGCAGGAGAAGGAAAGGCGAUGGUUUGAGGAGAAAUGAUGGUGAUUGCAGAAGCAGGAGGAGUACCGGUGGUUUCAGUAGCAAGAGGGGGUACGAUGAUGGUUUCAGUAGCAGGAGGAGGAUCGGUGGCGGAAGCCGGAGGAGCAUCGGAUUCUGUUUCUUUCACCAAUGACAAUGGAGUUACAGGAAUGAUGGGUUCUGGACUUGACCAGCGUCCUAGAUACGGCCAUCGAGGGUCCGGGGUAGGAGUCUGACGCAGGGCUUCGCCUUCAACGGCUACACCAGAUGACUUUGGCUGAGAUUCAAUGACUGGAGAGGAAGGGUCUUGCGAGUUCCCAUUGAAAGGAUCCAUCAGAGAACAAGCGAGAGGACUAUGCAGAAGAGGAUAGGUGAUUCAGGUGUGCGGAGAGACCCAGCAGCGGCGACUCACGACGGAGAGCGCCGACAGAUCGAACAUAGGCUAGAUCUGCACUGUUUUUUUUUUUUUUUUUUUUUUUAAGCUUGACCUCAAACAGUAAAAUUCUUCUAAAUGAUACUUCAAAAUUAUUAAACUAGUAAUUAGAGAACAUUUCAUACCAAAGUCGUGAUUUAACCAAAAUUUUAAGCUACUGUAGUAACAUUUUACAAAUGGACCCAUGACCUUACAGCUCUCUAUGAUCAAAAUUUUAAUCAACUUAUAUUCAACAUAGAUGGUAAACAGAAUCGUAUGGGAGUUUUAGUAAAACAUUUUAAGAAACCACGAAUCUAUUGUUUGUAAAGCGAUUUAUAAAUUGCAGGAGCUAUUAUAUUUGUAAUAAUUUAACAUUCUCUUCUAAAAUUCCUUUUUAGUAUAAGAGCAGCCAAACUAUUGUCUCCCAUGUUUCCACUAAUAUUGUAGACUCAUUGGACCACAAUUUUCUAUUUUCAUGUAAGGCUCCAGUCUUUGAAGUUUGAACAAAAACAAAAAUGUAAAUAAGGCUCCCCUAUCUAACAAUGAUACUGAAUAUGCAUUCAAAGGUAAUGUCAGAGAGUUUGACAUUUCACCCAUCUAUAUAUAUGUGUAAAUAAAUAUACAAGACAUGUCUAUAAACUGAACACAUGAAAUUUAUUGCUCGCUCUUACUCAUAAAUGGGUAAACCACACCAAUGCAAAUCUGUCAAAAAGUAAAUGCAAACAACUAUAAAUAUACACAAAACUGUUCGACACUGUUCAAAAAAUCUACCUCUACACCAAUUAUUGGUCACUAGCUUAAAAAAUUUAAAAUUCAUGGAAAGAAAUAGUAAUAACUGCGAGUAUACUUGUCGAUUAUUACUUUUAUAUUAAAUUCAAAACGGGGAAAAGAGUAGAAAAGUAGUCGAAUAUAACAACUUGUCGGUCUAAACGUUACAAAUAAUACAAACUUCAAACACACAAUAUUUCAUAAAUAUAUAUUGGAAAAAUAUAUUUUUCGAUCUUAUUUUCCACAUUGCUUACUUGUUAUGGAUCAAACACGAAUAAAGCUCAUGGUAUCAUCAUUGAUCCAGUCAUACUUCUCAACGAACGGGUUAGGGAUCUUGGACAGUUCAGGAUAUCGAUCCAUGGAAUCUUCCCAAACAUUUUUACCAUCAAGAUUCUUAAGAACCUCCCAAACACAGUUGUUAGACUCGAACCCAGCUCCCAUACUCAUCAUUAGUAUCUUGUCACCUUUCUUUAACCUCUUCUUAGCUUCCAUAUAACCAAGAACAUACCACAAACCACCAGAGGAUGUAUUACCGAACCUAUGAAGCGCCAUUCUCGACGGCUCAAUAUCAAACUCCGUGAGCCCUAAGCUUGUUCCGACACCUUCGAUAAUAGCUCUCCCUCCAGGGUGAAUACAAAAAUGCUGCAGCCCUGUCUUCAAGUCUAGACCUAUCCCCGAGCUCGUAGACUCUCUUUUUGUGGUGGUUCUUCGUUUAAUCGCACGUACAAUCGCGUAGCGGAUCAGUUCCUUGACGGGCAAGACUCUUGGCAGGAGGACUUGGAGGUUCUUGGUUAGGGCACGAGAAGCUGCCUUUUUAAGGUACUUCGUUAGGAGGAACCCUGGGUGACCAUCUUUGUCCUCCAUCUGCAUGCAGCACGAGUAAGCCUCGUCUUCAGCCCCCACGUGGGCACGUGCCACAGUCACGAGCUUCAUCAAAGCCCGGUUCUUGAACCUAGCGGCGUUGGUUAACAGCACUGAGCUUCCUCCAGCUCUGAAUAAACAGUUUGACAACAUCAUCGACCUAUCUUUACCGCAAUACCAGUGAGGACCCAUCGUCUCGGUGCUAACCACGAGCGCAAACGCGUUUUCCCGCGUUUCGAAAAUGCGUUGCACUAUAUCUAUCGAUAUAACGCUCGCGCUACACCCUAGCCCCGAGAGGUUAAAGGAUUUGAUGUCUUCCCUCAUCUUGUAUCUGUUGAUGACGCGCGAGGUCAGAGAAGGAGACGGAGCGAAGAGAGAGACGUUGACGACGAGGAUGUCUAUGUCCGAAGGAGAGACAAAGCCUUUUGUCUUGUGGAAAAGCUUGUCUAGGGUUUCAAACAUGAUCUCGUCCAUCUCAGAGUAAGCGUCGAGGAGAGUUGGAGAGGCUUCUCUGCCUUGGAGGACGUUUAUUGGGCCGUAGGUUUCUUCUCCGAUGCCUGAACUAGCCAUCGUGCGGAGAAGGAACCUGUACUCUUCGAGACCUAAGUGUUUGUUUCGUUCAACGACCUUGGCGCACGUCUCGGUGUCGAGUUUUCUCUCGUCUUUGCCCUUGAAGCACUCGUAGUGAAGCAUGUAACAGUUUCUUUGGCUUCUUUUGUUGAGAAACUUGGAGAUGUAGAAGACGAAGAGUGUGGAGAGAAGGAACAGAGAAGGGAGUGAAAAGAGCUCCAUGGAAGAGAGAGAGAGAAAGUGUAUUGUGUUUUUUUUUUUUACGUUUCCAAGUUGUGUCAAAGUUGUAGGAAUUGUACGGAUUUUAUAGAGUUAAGUGACAUAGUGAGCUUUUGUCUUAAAUUACCUUUGUCACAUGGAAUUAUAACUUCUCCACCAACUACUUUUUUUAUUUAAAUAUAGUUAAAAGAAAAUUUAGUAUGAUUUAAAUUAAUUAAAAAUAUUACGUAUAUAUAUAUUUCUAUUUCUUGUGACCAACUUGUUUUGAUACGUAAGAUUGAUAGAUAAGUCUCAUGCAUGAUUUAUUUUUAUAAUGGUUGGUUUUUGUUUACAAAAUUAAAAAUAUAAUAGCUUAAAUAUUAAGAAAAUAAAAUUUUAAAUGAAACGUUAAUAUAGGUUUACUAGUUUCUAAGAAAAUUUCACAUCACUCUGAAAACAAAACACUCUAAUUUACUAGUCGUCUUAUAACCACUACCAUAAGUUAAUUUAGUGACGAUGAUAUAUACAUUACACACCUAUCGUCUCUGGUCACCUAUUUAAAUUCAAAAGAUAAGAGAACUCAUAUAUAUUACAACAACCCAACCAACAUAAUAACUAUGUUUGGUGACAUAAAAUUAAAACUCACAUAUGUACUACGUUGGGUUGGAGAUUGAAAUUCGACAAAGAAUUAAAUAAUUACUGGAGGUUUUUAGAGGUUGUUUGUAACAUCAAAUCACCAUGCUUGAAUGUCUACUGGUUAAUGGGUAAAAGAAAGUAGCAUUCAUCUGUCAGUGAACCCCAUGCGACAUGUAUGUCCACGAUCUCUGAUGCUUUAAUUUUUGAAUGGUCAUUAAUUUUUUUUUUGUCACAACUAAAACUUCAUUCAUAAAUUAGUUUGGUGGGGGCAAUAACUCAACCUGACCCACUUCUUGUUCAUACAAAGCCAACGCUCUUUCUGCAAUACCGUCUGCCUCACAGUUCCUCUCUCGGAGAAUCCAAACAAAAACAACAACAUCAAAAUACGCAGACAGGAGAAUGAUAUCUUCUACUAUGCCAUAGAUCUCCAAGUUUGGGCAUCUUAAGUUGAUAGCCCUAAUCAGCUGAACCGAGUCCGAUUCAAAACGUACCUCUUUGAGACCGCGAGCUCUACAUUCCAGUAUCGCCUCUCUCAACGCCAUACCCUUUGCAAUAAGCACCGAGGCAGUAAAGCUUGCUCCUCUCUUUCCAAUGGUCCUCGGUUCCGCAUUCAUCACAAUCCAACUCAGCCCUGCGUUCAAAUUAGAUCCCAGCCAAGCAGCAUCUGACCUAACGACUGUGGCGACCUGCAGUAGUGGCUCUUGAUAACGGACGUGGUGGCCCCUCUCCUCCUGUUCCUGUGCAUUCUCCCAUUCUGUCGCUGCAAUGAUUGCUUGCGUUAGCGUCUCCACUGGACUCCCAGCAUGGUUUUCAAACUUUAGCUUGUUGCGUCCUUUCCAUAAUGACCACAUGAUCCAAGGAACUAGUGGAGACUUUGUGAGCCCCGUCGGGGGAAGGCAUUUUUGUCCAUGAAUAUAAUUCCAAUCCUCUCUCAAAUCUGUCAAUCCGCUAACUUCAACGCUUUCAUCAAGAGGGGAUGAAUUCCACACAGCUCUUGCGAAAAGACAGUGAAAAAGAAAAUGAUUGAUAGAUUCAGAGCUUCCGCAUCGUUUGCACGUCGGGUCUACGUUGAUGUGUCUAGCCAGCAGUCUUUCCCCUACCGGUACAAUACCUUUCAAGCAUUUCCAAGCAAACAUCUUGACCUUGGGCGCUAAUUUCAGAUUCCAUACCGUUUUUCGCCAGUCAAAUUCAGGGGAAGCUUCAUCCUCAAGUAUCUCAGUCGUUGCCUCCGCCAUUGCAAUAUGAUACCCUGUUUUCACUGAAUAUUCUCCAUGCUUCUCUCCAAGCCAUUUAAGAACGUCGGGACCCCCUUUCGAACUUGGUUUAAGCCGCAAAAUGCGUUCUUCUUCAAAAGGUAAUAAGGCUUGGAUGAGAUUCGUAUUCCAUUCCCUUGAGCCCUCGUGAAUGAGAUCUCGAACGGUUAACAAAGCUGAGUCUUUUGUAGUUGGGCCCAUGGGUCGAGUGGGAGAGUUAAGGCUCAACCAUGGAUCCUCCCAGAUCUGGAUAGAAGCGCCAUCCCCUACAACCCAUCCCAAGUUCUCCAGUAGUAAAUCCCUUCCUACAAGUAUACUCUGCCACCCAUGAGAUGAUGUGUUGGGAGGGAUACAUCUUAGAAGGUUGCCCUCCGGGCAAUACUUGCUCAGCAAUACUCUCCCCAACAAUCCUUCCGGUUGCUUCAGCAGGCGCUAGCUGAGCUUAGCUAAAAAUGCAUUGUUGAACGCUUAAAUAUCUCUAAUCCCGAGGCCAUCGUUGUUCUUUGAUAGAGUCAAUUUUUCUCAAGCUAUCCAAGCCAACUUCCGCAGCCCUUUACGAUCAUCUCAAUAAAACCUGGUCAGUGCAGACUGAAUCCUUUUACAGAGAGAGAUUGGGAUUUUGAAGCACGUCAUUGCGUGCGAAGAAAUCGGAGAGAGCACGCUCUGGAGCAUCACUAGCUUUCCGGCUGAUGAUAAUUGUCUAUUUGCCCAUCCGCUCGCUUUUUGCUUAAUUCUAUCCACAAUGGACGAGAAAAGGUCUCUCUUCCGUCUAGCGAAGAGUUCCGGUAAGCCAAGAUAUUUCCCGGUACCUCCCUCCUUUACAGAUUUGGAGUUCGCUGUGUACCCGCCUUUUUAGGUCUGUCGGUGCCUUACGCGAGAAGGUAAUAGAUGACUUUUCCUUAUUUAUUGUCUGUCCUGAUGCUUUCUCAUAUUUGAUCAGUAUCGACUUCAGGGCACUUGCGACAUCCUUAUCUGCUCGGAGGAAAAACAUCAUGUCAUCCGCGAAGAGUAAGUGAGUGAGACGGGGACUCCCCCUUCCUCUUGUGCUCUGUUACGAAUGGUCAUUAAUUAUAUGUCCCAUAUAUCAACCUUUACGUAGUUAAGCUGUUCUCUCAAACUUGGAUACUAUACAAUAUACAUACCCAAUCUUGCUUAUCCUAUCAAUCAGAUUAGGUAUAUCCACGUAUUUAUUUCAAUUAGUUGUGAUGAUAUACACUAUAAAAUUAAAAAAUAAUGUCUCAUUACCCUUUAUAGAUUAGUCUUCAACUCUAGGCUGUGAUGAGUUUUGUCAUCCUUGUGUGACAAAAAAAAUUGCAAAAUAGUGUUCAAGCCAACUAACGUGCCAAAAUAAAAUAAAUAAAAAAGAGUAUACAAAAUGUUAGGGAUGAUUGGAAGGAACUGUAGCUUUAUAUUUUUGCUUUAGAAUAUUAGUUGUAGGUUUAAAAAGAUUCAAAGACUUACAUAUAAAUUUUCUAAAGCAAAAAAUAAGUGUUCUAGAUUUAUGGUUUUCCACAGCUAAAAAUAAAUAAAAAGGAAAGAAAAAUCUGUAACUUUAAAAAAUCUUUACAAAGCAUGAUUGACAAAAUUUUAGGCUGUAUAAAUAAUUUAGGCUGUAGAGAGAUAUUACAGCACUUUUAAAACCCUUGCCGAUCAACUCUGUUCUAUGCGAUGUUGCCGCAAAUUGACGGGUCUCAUAUAAAUGCGAUAUUUAAUGCAUCGAUCACUCGGUACGUCUAACCUUCUAACCAUCUUUUAGUUUUUUUUUUACUUUCUUGAAAUCGAUUGAUAACCACUAGCGUUUGAACAAGAGGUGGUUUUUAGGAUAAUGUUCACACCAUGUUGGAUGACCCCAUUUUCUGGCACACGACAACACGAUCACGUGACCCAUGGCCUUGUCGCGUGGUCCGUAGCCACAGCCCCACACAUUCAAAGUAAAUAAUCUAUUCAUCAAUAGAAAACAUACAAAUUCGAAAAAAAAUCCACAAAAUAAAAUAAAAGGUCACUAAUCAAACCAUAUAUAUACUUAUGGUCAUUAUCAACCAACCAAAACAAGAAUCAGAUAAUCUAACUUUCUCAAUGAAGCUACACAUGAUCGCAUUGCUAUACAGGAAGUUAGUUCCCGAGAUAAACUAUGCUCCUCUUUACUGUUGCUAUGCUUUUACUCUGUCAAAAAAAACUGCACACAAGUCGUUGAACUAGGGCCAAUUUAGUGAGACGUGUAGUAGACUGACUCUCAUUCAGCUGUGAAGUAGCUAUCGUAGAUGGAGAGUUUCUCAAACGCCUCGAAGUUUGCUUUCAACCCAACAAACUGGCUCCCGUUCUGAGCACAGCAACCCGCAUCAGGCCAUCGACAAGUUCCUUCUCUGGCACGCAACGGACACAACAACGCUUCGCAAACUUUGUCUUCACUCACUGAUGAGAUAGAUUCCGAGACAUCAUGGAGAAUCGAGUGAGAACAUUUCUGUGGCCCGUCUUCUACUUCAACCGUGCAAUCUCCGUUCCUUGUGAAGUUAACUUUGCAGCCGAGUGACUGCACGGCUCGUGAUAUGACACCGCGCUCUUUGAUAGCUUUCUUUGCCGAUUCUUUAGCUGCACGACUUAUAUUCCUUUCUUUCCGCAGCUCUUCGUUAAGUGACUCCACUGUAGAGGAUAAAGCAUCUACCUUCCUCUCUGCUUCUUCUUUCCCCUGUUCCAAAAUUUUCCAACACAAGAAGCAAUCAGACCCUGACCCUGACCAUAAUAGCAUGUUAAGGCCGAUGAAUUUACCUUUUUCAUCUCUAAAUGCUUAACAGACAUGGCUCUACAUUGGACCUCGGUUUCUGCAGCGUCCGGUUCCUCAGGGCAGGCCCAUCGAAGGUGAAACUGGGGCCAGAGAGUCGGGGCUAGAGCUGCAGCAGGAGGUAACAAUGGACCAUUAUAUCUUGAAGGAUCGUAAAGCGGGUUGCAAUGUGCAUGAGAAGUUCCACCAAAGGAACGCAAAUCAGUUAAGUAAGCCCAUAGGCAUCCGCUGGAUUCAGUAAUCCUACAUUCUUGCCUCUCCUUUUCACUGUAAUUAUCAAGAAAGAAUAAAACAUAUAUACUUAACUGGUCUGCGACUGUCACUUACUAUGAUGAACUUCUAACUUAACAAUUAAACUACCGAAGAAAGUUUCAAAUACGAGGUUACCUGUUGCACAAGAAGUUCCCAAAACGACAUGAAAGCAAGCAGUCCGUGAAAUCUACCAGGAAAGUCUGAAACAAAAUAUUGAAAGGACAGAGAAUAGAUUUAGCAGAAAAUUUCAUAAUGACACUAUCAGACAUCUGUAGACAGUUUAUAUGCAUACCGGAGAAAAUUCGAAAGCACAAGGAUACAUCCGCAUUAGCUGUGAAACGCAAUCAACCCACUGCAAACAUACUCAACUGUUGUUAGUAGAUCUGCCACACCAAAAAAAGAAAUAUAUAAAUGCAAGCAAAGAGCUGCUUACCUGCAAGAAUAUAGGAGAAUAGUUGUUCAGACCAUGUGAAGAGCCAGGCGAUUGAGUAGCUGUUGAUCCUGAAGUUUGCCGCACUGGAGACGAAGGGAAACUACUAGCAGAAGACGAUUGAAUUGGUAAUUCGAAACUACCAGAUCCAGCAACGUUGGGCAUUCCUAUACGAUCUGAAAAUGGGUGACCGAAUGCUAACCAAUCCUUUUCGACGAGAGCCUGAUGCGAAGUCAGAACAGGAGAAAAGAUUAAGUAAGACAAUGGUGGAUCAAACAAAAAUCUAAGAAAGGCAGCUUAUGCAGGUGAAUUAGCUGGUAAGAACGUCUGAAAUGUUAGCAUUCGCUACAUAGUAUUCUAUGAGUAGACAAUAUCAAGUUAAAAUCCUAAACUUGAAAUCUAUAAAAUUCGUAAAUUCAGUCAAAACGAGAUCAUUAAUCCAGAAAAGUAUACCUGAAACCCAGCAAAUGUUCUAUAGUAUGGAUCAAGUAAUAAGCAUGCAAGAGAAACCAGCUGAGUUGUUCUGUCCCAUCCAUCACUGCACAAAGACAUUACAAUUCACAACUCGGGAUAUAAGAAUAAUUCUACUUAGAGUAGUAAACUGCAUGAAUUAACAGAUUGAUUUGUCUGCUUGAGACAGAUGCAUCUUUGUCUUAACACAUAUAAACAUUGGUAUAGCCUAGUAAAACAGAUCAGUGGCCUUAAGUUAGCUAACCUGCAGUGCACAAGAACUGAUGCUGACUCCAUAGCAACACGUGCAGCAAUCCAAGCCACACCAGCUAAGAUGCUCUGGAUGUGGCUCAACCAACCACUUUCUCCAAGCAAGGAUACUGAAGCAGACAUACUACUAAGAUUACCUCCACCCCAAGUCCAGCCACCAUGUCUCUAUAAAUUUCAAACAAACAGAUAUCUCCACCUUUAGCAACGGAAGAGGGAUUAUGGUUCCAAACAUUCAUUUGAACGUUGAUGUAAGAUCAUGUCAACAUGCUUUAAGCUUAAUACAAUAGAAGCAUAUUUGAUUUAGCUGAACCACCUAAAUGUUAUUCCCUUGAAGUUACUUACCAAGAAUGAUGACGUCCCAUCGGAUGAUGUUGUACCGUGCAUAUCUAAAUAAUCCCUAAGGCGGGAAAAGCUCUCUCUCAUUGCAUGUAUGUUGUCUAUCCCAAAGAACACAAUCUGAAGAGAAACAGUGUCAGUAAGAACAGUUCACGACGACAAAAAUAUUGAGCUUCAAACCAGGUCAUACUUCAGAUUGCAAAUAAUUUGAAGAUGAUUCUGAGCCUCCUCCCAUUGCUCCAUUUGCUAACGCAUUUUUCCUAGGUCUUGCAUCUGCGAUGUAAAGCUUCCUAUGACAUAAAAACAAAACGAGAGUAAGUGCAUUUUUUAUAACAAAAUAGCAGCAUUCAACCAUAUAGAAGGAAGAUAUGAACCAACAGACUAUUAUUUUAUUCUACACAAAUAGACCUUUCUGAAUAUUUCAGAAAUCAUCCCACGCUCAAUUGGGCCAACAGUUAUAUGCAUAUGCAAUUUAUAUUUUCUACUAGCACUCUUUUUCAGCAAACACAAAACCAUACAAGAAAUGCAAGCACAAGGAAGUGUCAUGGGCUUAAAGAUGAUAUAAAGGAGAUCAAUAGUAAAUCCAAAUGUUAACUUUAACCAAAUGAGAACGAACAUAGGAAGCUCACCGUGGUGCUCCCUUGUGACCAGCUAACUGAGUGCAGAAUGAAGCAACAAGUUUUUCAUCAAAGUUACUGUUGAAAAAGAGCAAAACAUAAGAAACUUCAGAAUCCAUCACUUCAAGCACUUUGAGAUUCAAAAUAAGAAACUCAAUUAUCAUGAAAAUUCUGGCAUGAAACUGAAACUUCUAUGUACCUCCUCAUGUUCAUCAUCAGAUCAACUAAAGGUUGUGAAGAGCGAGCAAUCACAGCUCCAGUUCCUGCAAUUAAAGAAAGAAACAUGUGUAAAUGCGGAAGCUAUACGAACAAAAUUCAAAUGGAAGCAACAGAACAGCUGCAUUUCUACCUGGAUGGCACCACGAGAUCACGGGCAGGCGACUUUUUGCCCGGAAAGUAGACGCUUGGGUCAGCUCUUCAUCACUGACAUAAAACAUACGGUAAUUUUAGUUCAAGCCUAUACUUUCCAGGAAGAUAGUUUAAACAAAAAAAAACAGAAACUCUAAACGCUGGUAGAGACCAAAUUAAACUCUUUUCAUUCAUGUUCAAAGAACCAAUGUCCUACCUAAUGGAUUUUGGAACCAUCAAAGCAAACGGAUAAGUCGGACACAAGUUAUAAUUCGAGUUCAAGUCAGUUAUCCGCCAAAAGUCAUUGGAAACUGAGAAUGAACCGUCUUUAAUCAUAUUCAUUGACGCUCGCAAUGAACCUUUUCCGAGAAGUCGAAAAUAUUCGUUAAGCAAUCUUUCCUUUGGGUUUUUGUUGCCGAAUUUGGAAGGCCCACAUGUAAAAGCAUAAAGAUCCCAUACUCUCUCUAGAUUGCUACACCUCAAUAGUGCAUCAACUAGAGAACGUCUCUGCAAAGUUAUGCCAAUAAAAAUCAAAUAGGACCAUAUAGGCUUCAAAAGGAAAUGCAGAAAACGAGAGUCAAAGCUUCACCUGCUUGGUUCCAGGGGGAAAACCAUAGACAAUUAUCCUCAUAUCUUUGCCUGCAAAAUGCACAUGAUUCACAAGAAUAGUUUCAAAACUAACAUAAAGAAGGUAUCAGAUAACAAAAUCUCUCAACCAGUAUUAGUAUAGUGGUAUUGGUUAAGCAACAACAGAGGAGAAAGAAACAGAGUAAAGUAUCAGAGUGAAUUUUAAUAUAAGGUGUAUAAACCUGAUAAAACAAGACUACUGGAAUCAGUUUUAGCAAAUGGUGACACACGGAAACAUACCAGUGACCUGUAAAAGACGUUUUGGUGGAUUCUUGGUGGACUGAUGUCUGUUUGAAUGAACUUUCUGCACCUACAUACAUCACCCAACGACACAGAACAAACAAAUUAAAGCCCAUUUUCACUAAGAUUAAACUCAAAACGUUACUAAUAACUAAAAACUGACCGUUUUGUUAAACUUCUCGAUAGCCACCAGUGGAAUAGUACCAAGUGGAACAGGAUCUCUGGUUCCUUCCCUCUUCACAAAGAUUAAACAAGGAUUGAUUGAUGUGAUGCACCAUUUUAAACAUAACAAGACACAAAAGAAGAAGAAAGACAAGCCAUAAUACCAAAAAAAGAAUACGGAAAUUUGUGAGUAAGAGGGUCCCCGCUUCAUUGGUGUUUAUGAGUAUAACUCCACAACACUGUAAUCAACAGCCAUAACAAGAAUAUAAAUAAUUUUUCAACAAACACACACACACACACACAAAGACUCUCUGCAAUACAAUAAUCUUAUAUAAACCGCCUAACUACCUAGCGAUUUAUUUAACAUUGCUAAUUUUGAAGGAACGCUAAUGAGAUACCUCGAAGGUGAUCCUCUCAGAAUCCAGCAAGCAAUCCAAGUUUGAGUACGAGCUUGACCAAGAAGCUUGCUGAAAAGAGAAAAUAAUUAAACAUUAAACAUUAGGCGUCAAUCGAUUAACCCUAAUCAAUACCCAAUAAACAAGAUGAGCAACACGAUUGAAAAAGUUAAGAGAGGUAUACAUCGAGUUUGGUCCAUUCAAGCACGUCCCAGCUUCCGGUACCUUCCAUCUUCUCCGAAGAAUAUCGCAGCGAUCGUAAUCGCCUAGAGGAGUUUCUCGGCGCCGUCAUUUAAACGGUGACGAGGCUUCGCCUUUCUCUGCCUCUUAACGGUGGGAAACGACGGAUUUCGCACGCUGCCUUUUGUUUCGCUGCGAAGACAAUGAGACUCUCGAAUACGGCGUAGUUUCUUCCGUACGGCCAACGCUUUGCGUUUUAGACUUUUUUUUGUUUGAUUAAUAAUGGGCUUUCUUACCUAUUUUAAACAGAUUUUGUUGAUAAAAAGUCCUCUAAUGGAAAACUUGAGUGUAGUUUCGGAUAAUUAAAAUUUCAGCAAGAGAAAAAUUGGAUAAUGCAAAAAUAACAAUAACAAUGUUUUAAUUAUAAAUUAGAUAUAUAUAUAUAUUUUAAAUCGUAUUAUAAUAUCCCAAAAUGAAUUUAAAAACUGAAUUUGUAUUUGCAUGUGUAUGAUGAACCAUAUGUAUAUUUAUGAUCGUAUAAAGCAAACACCAUACGCAUUCGUAUUGUAUGCAAUAUACAAGAAUAUUAAUGGUGUAACCGUAUACGUAACUGAAUUUUGAGAUUUUUACCAAAAAAAAAAAAACUGAAUUUUGAGAUUUGCGACUUAUGAAUUGGUUUCCAUGAAGAACCCACACCAGUGACAUCACCAUACGAAUAAACUCUGACCGAGGGAACAACAAGCAGGAGUUAUAAUAAUACAGACAUAACUUGAACAAGUCGGAACUUAAAAUCCCCAAAUCAAGGAUUCUUCUGUAUCAUCACCAUUACAAUAAUCAAAAACAACCUUGGCACAUACGUAUAUGCAGCAGUAGUAUGUAUCAUCUCAACCACAAUAAAAUCUCGUAGAACAAUAUACAACGCAUCAUCACAUCCUACUACAAGUCAGAAUAGUUAAGGAGAUAAAGAUAAAAGAGACGCUCACAUACAUCAUAAUACCUCUCGUGGUAAUCUAGCAAUGUAACAGCUUUUCGUCCUCGGGUUUGGUCCAAGCUGCACGGUUUGGUUGAGUUCCAGUGCCAGUUUAGGUCAAAGAAGUAGUAAAAUAAAUCUAGUCUUGGAAAGCUUCGACUAGUUAUCUGUGUCUAAACAUUUCUCAAGGGUUUGACUACUAGUACACUCUUGAAGAGCCUUGGCGUUAAGCUCUCUGCCAUAUCUCCAGACAUAGUUGAGCCCGACAAGAAGCUCCGUGAUGAUGGUUUCUGUUUUCUGCUGGUUCGCAAAGAAGAGAGUCUGCGCAAGAACUAUGUGCGUCCUCGAGACCAAGCUUUGGUUCUCGUAGCUCCUCUCAGACUGCCAUUUUAUCAUGUUGUGAGCUAACGGACCCAACCAUUCCAAGAUGCCCGCCAUUGCGUCUGUCCACUCCUUCGCUAGCCCUGGAUCAUAAACCGCGGAAGAGCUCAAGUUUUUCGAGUAGGGCUUUAGCUCCUCUCUCAGCGAUUUUCUCACGCUCGCAGGUAACAUGUUGUAUAGGUCGUCUCUCGCGUCGUCGCCUAUCAGAUGAGGAGAUGCAACAAACCUCUCUAUCACGAUGAUGACAUUAGCGUAGUGUAACGCUAAGCAAGCGGCGCCGAGGGUGUUAGGAGCAGCAUCUGACAACUUGGGUCUUUCAACGUGGACAGUGUUGGAACUUCCUUGAUGAUGCUCGGCGCUACUAUGCCUAGCUCCGUUCUGGGUCCUAGUGCUGAGAGGAGUGAUACCGUCUUGAGAUACCAUGCAUCCUUUAAAGGGACCAACCUGUGUUAAACGGUUGGGUUUUGACUGCUUUUUCGCUGAGGAGACCGAAGGCCUUUCCGGUGUCUGCACCACCGUCUUCUUGUUGUGUUUGCCCAUUCCCAUAAGCGGUCCUGAUUUGGAGGUGAACUUCCCGAGAGGACCCGAGUAAAACUUGAAACGUUUGUUCUUUUCUGGGGCAAGAGGACCUGACUUAGGGGACUGGGUAGUGAGUGAGCCCGAGAGGAAAUCACCCAUCUUCGUGGACUUUGUAGCAGCUGAGCCUGACGCUGGACCUGUAAAUCUCCCAAGGGGACCAGAAGCAAAUCUAGGAGGACGGGUAGUCUCGGACUGGUGCGUCAAAACUGUGGAAACCGAGUGGCCGCGAGCGAUGAAAUCAGAAUCCGCAGAGCUAACAUCGCUAGCCUCUGCUCUGUAACUAAUGCCGAAAACAUGUUUAGUCCUAGUCAAGAUUGUGAAGAUCGAUCUCACCAAGAGAAGGACGGUGUAGUCAUAAGUACGGUUCCAAAGAGACACCUCCCUUAGAUUCUUCACUUCAUGUUUCUUCCACGUGACUUUUUUCUUGUACUCCACUAUAUUAUCGGUUGCAGAUUCAUUGCUCUGCCUUCUCUUGAGACUCUGCUCAAGCUCCGUCAGAAUCUCAGUCUCCUGGUAAAGACUCGCAUUAGACGAGAUAAACCGCUCCAUCCUCUUAACCUUUCUAUCCAUUUUUUUCCACCCAAACUGCCACCCGUAAGGGUCAGCUCCCGUCUUCAUCAUCUCGCCGAAACAACUCUCGAAGCUCUUCAGCUUGGGAUCGUUGCAUUUUACAGCGAGCCUAGCAACAGCUUUCGCUACGUUCUCAACGUUCUCCAUCAUCUCGUCGCGUAUUAGCCUCACGAUGAAGUCAUCGUCAUCUGAAACUAGCUUCUUGAUGCCCGCGGAACGCGUUAUCUCUUGCCUGAGCCUCGCAACGUUCUUAUCGCUCAGGGACUGCCAUAGAUGAACGAGUUUGGAGAGUAGACUCGCGACCUCGAAGGCUAAUACUCCAAGCACAUCCUUCUCUUUAUGACCUUCGUUUUUCUUUGGGAAUUUCCACAGGUUACGAAACCAAGUCUCUGAAACCAUCCUCUCUCGAUACAAUCAACAGUGUCUCUCUCCUACACAAUGAAUGAACAAUCUGUGAACCAAUACAAGUGAGGAAACGAAGAAUCAAUCAUUCACAUCAAAAACUCGAAAUCUCGAGGUGGGAUUAUCAUCAAGAAAACAGCUCUUACGCACGUAAUAUGAAAGUUGGAGAAAUCUAGCAGCUCAAGUUACGUGGAAUCUCCAAUCCUACCAACUCUCUCUCUCAAACUGCUGCGUUACAAUCAACAGUGUCUCCUACACAAUGAAUGAACAACAUCACGAACAAUCUGUUAGCCAUUGAAACGUAUAAUCAAUCAAUUCACAUCAAAAAGUCGAAAUCUCGAGCUGGAAUCAUUAAGAGAACAGCUCUUACGCACUUAAUAUGAAUCGAUUUUGCUGAAAUUAGGCGAAAAUCUAUGCUACAGAGCUCAAGUUACGCAGAAUCGCCAAUCCUACCAACUAACAAGUCUCUGAAACCAUCCUCUCUCUCAAUACAAUCAACAGUGUCUCCUACACAAUGAAUGAACAACAUCAGGAACCAAUCAGGAAUCAUUCACAUCCAAAAUUGAAAUCUCGAGCUGAAAUUAGCUCUUACGCACGUAAAUAUAAAUCGAUUUAGCUGAAAUUAGGCGAAAAUCUAUGCUACAGAGAUCGAGUUACGCAGAAUCGCCAAUCAAAAUCACGAACAAUCGGUUAACCAAUACGAGUGAGGAAACGCAGAAUCAACCAUUCACAUCAAAAAAAACUCGAAAUCUCGAGCUGGAAUCAUCAAGAAAACAGCUCUUACGCAAGCAAUACGAAUCGAUUUAGCUGAAAAUUGGAUGAAAUCUAGCUACAGAGCUCGCCAAUCCUACCAACUAACCAAAUCGAGCUUCUAAGAAAAGAAAAUCUCCAGCUGCAGUAUGUAAACACGGCCUCGCGAAAUCACUAAAAGGCGUAUGAACGAUUCGAAUUGGAAUUGUCGGCGAAUCGAGAAACAGAUAUGGAAACAGAAGAGGCGUCUGCAAACGAGGAAGCGCGUAGAGCGCGAGAGGAGAAGAAGAAGCUUACCGAUUAUUCGAGGAAAUGAUGGGAGUCAGAGAGGAAAAAAUUGGCGGAAGAGAGGAGAGAAAGUGGCGAGGAAGGUGCAGUGAAAGACGACUAUAGCCACAUCCCACAUGGAAGAGAGAGAGAGAGAGAGAGAGAGAGAGAGAGAAAAAAGUUAAAGCAGGAAAUUAUGGGGAGAGAGAGAGAGAGAGAGAGAGAGAGUCAAGUUCGUGUGAAAGAAUCCUAUAUUUGCCUUUUUAAUCUUUUUUUAGUUUCAGUGCUUUUGGUUAAGAUUAUUACGUUUUUCGCGUUGAACUUUUAUGAUUGUGACUUUCUAGACCCCAAAUGUUUUUUUACAAAGUAUUUUUCAUUUAUCCAUUCUACUAAAUCAAAAUUUGGUUGAUAAAUUGGUUGCUACUUGUAUAGAUAAUAAAUUGUUUGUAUUCAAACUUUGUUGUAGUGGCAUCAUCGAAUAUUUAGCACAAGAAAAACAUGAAUUAAGCUACUUUUAAAAAAUUAAUUAUUUUCAAAGUAACAUAUUGAUAAGUAUCUAUUUUCACUAAAUAUAAAACAAAAUGGAAUAAUUGAUCAUAAGAAUGAAAGAAAAGAAUAUUAGAUCAGUCACAUGUUAUUUGAAAUAAAUUUUGAUCUCCAUUUUAUUCUUACUUAUAAACAUUAAAUUGUUUAAACUUAACCGACACGUUAGGGAACAAAAUUGACCCAACUAGUUUGGUUGACGUUGAACUUGUCAAACAUGAAAGCAAUAUAUUUCCAAUUAGGUAUUUAUUUCUAUCUAUUGUAAGCUAUUUGAAAGGUGUUGAGUGGAUGUUACUUGUUGGACCAUAUGCACCUUACGUGUUGUAUGCUAGAGUGAAAACAAAAACACAAAACAAUUGAAUGCCACGUUUGCAUCUAAUUGUGCAAAUGAAGAUUAAACCAAAGUUGACCAUUUCAUCCCCACGGGGCAUAGAAAUUCUGAAACAGAGCAAACGAAUCUCAUAAUAGUGAAUCUUGACUCGUUCAGACGGAAACAACUGAUUCAUAACUUGUCGACUUGCGACAUGUCUUGCUUUGGGGGACUGCGGAUAGAAACUAAAUAUGUGGGAGUCAAAAUGUAAUCUCUAAUAAAAUAAAGGAGCAACAGACAAGAAACUACUGGAUCAGGUAUCCUUUCCUUGUUUUGAAUAAGAUAAUCAUAAAUAUGAAAACUAUUUUGGGUUAGGAUUAGGAAGAAGAGAUCCGUCACAAUCAUUAAUGGCUAACACGCGUAAACUUGUCGUUUCUUUUAUGUUAAUCCAUUAUCGGGGCGGGUUUUGGUUUGAAACGGGUCAAAUUGUACUUUAUUUAUUAAGCUUUCAGGCCCAUAUCUGUGGUCUUCAGGCCCAUAUAUAUUUGCACUUUCUUCCUCGCAUCUCGGUUUCUUCAUGAAUUAACACAGCUUUUAUAAAUUCUCUGAUAAAACCCUAAUUUUAUCCCGACUCUGAUAAAACAAUGGGUGCCAAGGCGAAGAAAGCUCUGAAGAAGAACAUGAAGAAGAUCUCAGCUUCGGCUGCUGCUUCUUCUUCUUCUUCUUCUCAGCUGGCUGUUCCCGAGAACCCGAAACCAUCGGCUGAUUUUUUGGUAAUUUUCUUUUCUGAUUCGUUUCGGAUUCUGUUUGGGUUUUAAUUUGAAUCUCGUCUGUUGAUAGCCACUAGGAGGCGGUCCAGCUCGAAAAGCACCAGUGACCAAACCUGUUGAGAGCAAAGCCACGGUGCUGUACAUUGGUCGUCUCCCUCAUGGGUUCUACGAGACUGAGAUCGAAGGUUACCUUUUUUUUUACUUGAUUACCAGCUAAAUUGACACUUUGAUUUGAUGUCACGGACCGCUCAAAUGUUGUCUCUUUUGGUGCAUAGCUUUCUUCACGCAGUUUGGAACAGUCAAGAGAGUCAGAGUCGCCCGAAACAAAAAGGUUGUUUUAAUUCUUUGCUCCUGUCUGGUCUCUUGAGGUUAUGUUCUGUCUUUUUUUCUCAUUAUUAUUUAUUUUAUUUUUUAAUAGACUGGGAAGUCAAAGCAUUUUGGGUUCAUACAGUUUGAGGACCCUGAGGUAUAUACUCGUGAACCUUAAUAAAAUGGUGAAACGCUUUAUAUAUUGUUAAAAGUUUUUUUUUUUUAACAUUUUGGUUAUGUGUAGGUGGCGGAAAUUGCAGCGGGUGCAAUGAAUGACUAUCUGUUGCUCGAGCACAUGCUUCAAGUCCGUGUCAUUCCACCUGAGCAUGUUAAACCCAAUCUGUGAGUCACUUCUUUACAUCCACUUCAUUUUUUCUAGCGUUUUUUUACUUGGCAUAUUCAGUUGCGUAAGGUUAGCUAUAUUGCUUAGCUGCCUAUGUUGUUUAAUGAAAUAGCUAUGUUUCUAAUGCGAUCUCUUGUGGUUUAAUGCAAAGCUUAGAAGGACCGUGUCUAUGGUUUGUAGAGUUAAGACGUUAUGACAUGCAGGUCUAAGGAUAAGAUGUGAAAAUUAAAAGUGAAAUUAGGGUAAAUAAAAUGGGAGUUAUAGUUGUUAUCAGGCUUUACAACUCGAUACUCUUAUCUUCACUUUGCUACUGAUCCAUCCUCGGAAACUAGCAACUAGGGUGUGUGAGUUUCUCUAGUGUUUUGAGAAGAGAACAUGUGAAGAAUUGUUAAACUUUAGAUUUCUCUAACGUUUGUUUUAGGUGGAAAGGGUUCAAGUGUCAGUACAAACCAGUGGAUUGGGUUCAGAUAGAGCGUAAACAACAUAACAAGGUAAUAUAAUCUUAAUUCUCUUUUCUCGUUCUCAGUUUUGCCAUUUUCUCUUGAGCUAUUGACUGUAACUUUUGAUUUUUUUUUUUUUUUUCUAAUGUACACAGGAAAGGACAUUGGAAGAGCAUAGGAAAAUGUUGAACAAGGUAGUGAAACGGGAUCAGAAAAGGAGAAAGAGAAUCGAAGCUGCUGGAAUAGAAUAUCAAUGCCCUGAGCUUGUAAGUAUCCCGACUAUACACAGUUUCUUCUACUUUCUCUCUACAUCUUAUAUAAACCGAACAUAGACCAAGUAAAUAACCGUGUGUUCUUUGGUUGCUGCUUCAGGUUGGAAACACACAGCCAUUACCUAAGAAGAUCAAGUUUAGUGAAGACUAAGCUGUGGAGAGAAUACAUUUUUUUCGAUAAGCAUUUUUGGAGUAGGAUCUUGUUUGUUGUACUUCUGACAUGGGAUCCAAAUCUAAACCUUUUCAAAGUAUCUGUUAUUGCAAUAAAUAUUUAUUUCUGCACGAAUCUCAAUUCCUCUUUACCACCGGUGAUGGCAACAGUUGCAAUGAUAACAAAGUUGUGCAAAGAAAUGUCUGAACUAUACACAUAACCAGAUGAGUCAUCAUCAGUGUGAUUUCUGCAAAGUAAGACGAGACCAGUUUAAGGUUUAAAACCCCACUUGAAAACAAACACUUUAUCCACUAAACAAUUCUAACUAAUGAACUAACAAAAACAAGACACGUGUAAACUUGAUAUUGUUUGUUUAAAAAAACUGGCAAAAACUUUUCUCAUAAAUCAUAUGAAAAACUUCAUUCAUUUAAUGUCAAUAUACCGAAACCAUGAUUUUAUCCCUAAGAUCUUAUACAUCAUAUGAAAAAUGCACAACAUUUGUCACUACAUUUUUUUUCUCAAAUCAUUCAUGAAUAUUUGUAAUCGAAGGUAAUCGGUUUUGUUAUUCUUUAGUUCUAUAGUAGCAACAUCUGGUUAUUGUAUGCAGUUAUAAAUUUUUGUAUCAAACGUGAAUUGCUUUUUGAUUUUAAAUUGUUCUAAGUUUAUGAAGGCAAUAACAACAUGUUUCUGCUGCUGAGUCGGCAGUAUUCAAUAUCGGGAGGAAAGUAAUGGUUUUUGAAGCCAGUUACAACUAAUUCACCUAAUUGAAAUCUUGGGUUUAUUCUCUUCAAUGACAUCUCGAUGAAAUUUCUAAGGCUAGUAAUCUGGUAGGGGUAAGGAGGUAGCUUCGCAUUAUCGUAGUCCCACACAGUAUUGACCACAAUUGGACUAUGGUCAGAGGUAGAUCCCUUGGAGCUGGAACCCUUCUUCAAAAAAGUUGUUUUUUUUCGAAAACAUUAUAUUUGACUCUGUAAAUCACAUACAUAAUAGAGACUCCUGCUAAAACAGGAGACAGAGAAUCGGAGAUAGGUGUACACGAGAACUAUAAUCUCAUAAGAACAAUUAAAACAAAUUUACAGAAAGGGCCCUUGUGCAAAUCAUAAUCUAAUAAGAACAAUUAAACAAUUUGGAAAUUAUAAUCUCAUUAGUAAUGGAUUAUGAGAACUAUAAUCUCAUAGCGUGAGUCCUAAAGCAUUUUUUUUAAUUGUUCUCAAAGAAUGAGUCCUAAAGCAUUUGUUUUAAUUGUUCUUAUGAGAAUCGGAGAUAGGUGUAUCACACUAAAGCAGAUAUCCUAAAUUUUAGAAUUAUUAUCACCUAAUCCUUUACAAAAAUUAGGAAAAAAAUUCAUACAUGCUGCAAAUGCACUUCCCGCAAUAUUGUACGUGUAUCUAUUGGCAUAUCCGGUAUCCCACCUUGCUUCGUAUCCCAAUCAGUUGCAGGAGAAGGAAACAAAUUUUUGUGUUUUUCUUUAUGUGGUUCUGAAUAAGAUGAAAUAUAUAUUUAUAUGCAAAGAUAACUUUAUGUUUGCAGUGGUUGUGUGUUUAUUAUCUUCAAUAAAUUUUUGUGCUUACAAUAGUUGGGUGUUUAUUACCCUUCAAUAUAAUAACAUAGUUUGGUGUAGUUUCAAAAAGAUAUCCUCCAUGAAAUAGUUAAUAAAUAAUUGAUAAUCUUAUGUUUUGAUUAAAUCCAUUCUUCUUUCAUUUAAUGUCGAUAUACCAAAACCAUGAUUCUAUCCCUAAGACUUAUACAUCACAUUAAAAAUGCACAAUAUUUGUUCACUAUUUUUUUUCCUAGAAUUAUUCAUGAAUAUUCGUAAUCGAAGGUAAUUAGUUUUGUCAUUCUUUAGUUCUAUAGUGGCAACAUCUGGUUAAUGUAUGCAGUUAUAAUUUUUUUGUGUCAAAGGUGAAUUGUUUUUUAUUUUAAAUUUUUCUAAGUUUACGAAGGCAAUAAUUGAGUCGGCAGUAUUCGAUAUCGGGAGGAAAGUAAUGGUUUUUGGAGCCAGUUACAACUAAUUCACCUAAUUGAAAUCUUGGGUUUAUUCUCUUCAAUGACAUCUCGAUGAAAUUUCUAAGGCUAGUAAUCUGGUAGAGGUAAGGAGGUAGCUUCGAAUUAUCGUAGUCCCACACAGUAUUGACCACAAUGAGACUAUGGUUAGAGGUAGAUCCCUUGGAGCUGGAAUCCUUCUUUGAAGAAAUUGUUUUUUUUCGAAAACAUUAUAUUUGACUCUGUAAAUCACAGACAUAAUAGAGACUCACGCUAAAGCAGUAGACAGAUAAUCGAAGAUAGGUGUACACAAGAACUAUAAUCUCAUAAGAACAAUUAAAACAAAUUUACAGAAAGAUCCCUUGUGCAAAUCAUAAUCUGAUAAGAACAACUAAACAAUUUGGAAAUUAUAAUCUCAUUAGUAAAGGAUUAUGAGAACUAUAAUCUCAUAGCGUGAGUCCUAAAGCAUUUGUUUUAAUUGUUCUCAAAGAAUGAGUCCUAAAGCAUUUGUUUUAAUUGUUCUUAUGAGAAUCGGAGAUAGGUGUAUCACGCUAAAGCAGAUAUCCUAACUUAUAGAAAUAUUAUUACCUAAUCCUUUACAAAAAUUAGGAAAAAAAAAAUUCAUACCUGCUACAAAUGCACUUCCCGCAAUAUUGUAUGUGUAUCUAUUGGCGUAUCCGGUAUCCCACCUUGCUUCGUAUCCCAAUCAAUUGCAGGAGAAAGAAAUAGAUUUUGUGUGUUUUCUUUAUGUGGUUCUGAAUAAGAUGAAAUAGAUAUUUAUAGGCAAAGAUAACUUUCUAUUUGCAGUGGCUGUGUGUUUAUUACCUUCAAUAAAUUUGUGUGCUUGCAGUCAGGGGCGGGGGCGGAGGCAGAGAGGGGAGUGUGGGGUCAGGUGACCCACUAAAAUUGGAGAAAAAAAAUUUGAUGUAUUUUCUUGAAAAUUAAUGUAAUAUUUAGAUAAAAUAUAGUAUUUGACCCCACUAAUUUAUGUAUAAAUUUUUAUAUGUCCUUUUGAUUUUGUAAAAAAAAGUAUAUUUCUGUAAUAAUAAUAUAUACAUAUUAAAUUUAUAUAUUAUGAUCUCAGUCAAAAAUAUUUCUUGCUCCGGCACUGCUUGCAGUAGUUGGGUGUUUAUUACCCUUCAAUAUAAUAACAUAGUUUGGUGUAGUUUCAAAAACAUAGUUUGGUGUAGUUUCAAAAACAUAUCCUCGAGGAAAUAGUUAAUAAAUAAUUGAUAAUCUUAUGUUUUGAUUAAAUCCAUUUUUCUUUCAUGUAAUGUCGAUAUACCAAAACCAUGAUUCUAUCCCUAAGAUCUUAUUAUACAUCAUAUGAAAAAUGCACAACAUUUGCUCACUAAUUUUUUUUUCCUCAGAUUAUUCAUGAAUAUUAGUAAUCAAAGGUAAUUAGUUUUGUCAUUCUUUAGUUCUAUAGUGGCAAAAUCUGGUUAAUGUAUGCGGUUAUAAAUUUUUGUGUCAAAGGUGAAUUGUUUUCUGAUUUUAAAUUGUUCUGAGUUUAUGAAGCCAAUAACAAUGUCUCGAGUGUAUCUCUGCUAUAAUAAUCAUGGUUGGGAUAAACCUACCGACACCGGUGGUCGUGAAAACUUGAUGAAUCAUGCUCCAACAAUAAGGAUGAAGAAGUAGGAUUUGUGCCUGUAAAUCGUUUAAAUGCUCUCACAAAAACAGCGGAGAACGUAGUCAAAUGUCUACGUUGAUCUACAAACAACCGAGUUUACGGAUCUUGCUAAUUCAAGAACUCAUCUGGUGUUAAUGCUGUUUAUUUAGUCAAUUAUUUUUAUCAUUUUAUUUUUAUUUCCAUUUCCAUUAUACCAAGUUAUCAACACAAACUUUAUAUUUAGAUACAAAACGACAAGAAAGAGUAACAUGCAUUCCCAGUUCAUUUGAAAGAACUGGAUUACAUCCACUUUUUACGUUACAUGAUAUAAGUUAUAUAUCAGCUCGGCUUAAGUCAUGUGGAUUAACUUUAAAGUAGAAAAAUGAGAUUAACAAAUAUGUCAAAUGAAUCCUCGUUGAACUUCUUUAUCAUGACAAAAACACAACAACCACUUACACAUAAUUUCUUACAAAGAGGUUUCAAAUUUUACAAUUUGAAAUGUAGUGGGAAAAGGAGUUUAGAAUGCUCCCUGCCAAAGUGAAUGAAUCGAUGAUGCAUUACUUGUGGGAGCUACGUCCCUUAUAUACACAUCGUAAUGAUCAAGCAAUCCCCACAAUCUAGGGAUUAUACAAUUGCUUGGGAAACACUGCAAAUCACAGAAUAUACGACUACAUUUACAUCAUGUCGUUUAAGGUAAAUGAGUGAUACGAGUAUCUUGCUAAUACUCCCCCUCAAGAUGGCGCGUGAAGGUCUUGAACACCCAUCUUGCAAAGUAGAUAUCUGAACUGUCGAGAUCCAAGGGCUUUGGUAAGCAAGUCUGCAAGUUGUUCAGUAGUCUUGACAUGCUGCGUGACAAUUGUACCAUCUUGGACUCCAUCUCUAACAAAGUGACAAUCAGCUUCAAUAUGUUUAGUUCGUUCAUGAAAGACCGGGUUUGCGGCAAUGUGAAGGGCUGCUUUGUUGUCGCAGAACAGUGACAUUGGCGAGGAUUGUGCAACACCAAGGCUUUCAAGUACCGCCUUUGUCCAUAUAAGUUCACAAAACGCAAGAGCCAUGGACCGAUAUUCCGCCUCUGCCGAUGAUCGAGACACUGUCUUCUGUUUCUUUGUUUUCCAAGAAAUCAGAGAAUUACCCAGCAUAACAAUGUACCCCGAAAGGGAUCGUCUUGUAAGCGGACAUGCCGCCCAGUCUGAAUCACAAUAUACAGAAAGCUUUAAAUCAUUCCUAGAACUUAACAAUAUUCCUUGACCCGGUGAGCCUUUCAAGUAUCGCACUAGUCUAGUGGCUGCAUCCCAGUGCUUCUGUCUUGGAGAUUGAAGAAACUGUGCUAGGAUAUGAACACCAUAGCUGAGUUCAGGACGAGUCACAGCGAGAUAAACAAGUCGUCCUACCAACCUUCGAUAUUUUGCAGGAUCAGAGAAAUAUGGACCAUCCGCCCGAGCCAGAUUGUGAUUCUGUUCAAUUGGUGUAUCAGCUGGCUUCGCACCAAGCAAACCACAUUCACUGACUAUAUCUAAUGCAUACUUUCGCUGAGACAAGUAGAUGCCUUCGUUUGCUCUUGCGACUUCAAUACCCAAAAAAUACUUUAACACUCCUAAAUCUUUCAUAUGAAAACAUCGAUGGAGAUGGUCUUUAAAUCGUGAGAUGAGAGCAGAGUCAUUACCACCAAUUAUCAAGUCGUCCACAUAAACCAAAACAAAGAUUAUCGAGGAGCCUUGAACCAAUGUGAACAAUGAAUAAUCAGCCUUAUUCUGCUGAAAUCCAAAACCAGUAAGUGCCGUAGACAAUUUUGAGAACCAGCACCGUGGGGCUUGUCGUAAUCCAUAAAGAGAUUUGUUCAACUUACAAACUUGGUUCGGUACUGUAGACUUAAAACCAGGAGGUAACUGCAUAUAAAUCUCUUCUUCUAAGUCACCGUGAAGAAAGGCAUUAUGAACGUCCAUUUGGUAGAGUUCCCAACCCUUAGCCGCAGCAACACCAAGUAAUAUACGUAUUGUUGUCAUCUUAACUACUGGGGCAAAUGUUUCUUUAUAGUCAAUACCUUCCUGUUGACGAUUUCCAAGUACUACCAGACGAGCUUUGUAUCUCUCAAUAGUCCCAUCGGCGUUGAACUUGAUUUUAAACACCCAUUGACACCCAAUAGCAUGUUUCCCUGCGGGAAGUGUCAUCACAGUCCAAGUAUUUGUGUCUUCAAGUGCACCUACCUCACCUUUCACUGCCUCUCUCCAAACUCGUUUCUUGAAAGCUUCUUUGAAAGACCGCGGCUCUGUCUCUGAUGUGAUUGCUGCUGAGUAAGCUUGUUGAGCAGGAGAAAGACGAUGACCAGAUACAUAAUCGGUCAGAGGAUAUGUGCAUGCACCUGAAAGUGUUGUCUCGCUACUCUUGGGUACAUGAUCCUGAUCAGGCGCUUCUCCAGCAAGCGCAGCAUAUACUUUAUAUGGUUGUAAGAGAACAGACUGGGUUUUUGAUCUUUUCCCACGACCAAGGUCCUCUGUAGGUGGCACUGAAUCUGAAUUAGAGGAAGCUGUUUCUUCUACUGGUAGGGCAUCGCUUUCAGUAGCUGCUGGUUCGGGAGUCAGCUCUUGAGCUCCCCCUGUCGAUGCCUCCCCAAGUGAGUCUUCCUCAUCAAAUAUGGCAGGAUGUAGCUCGUUAUGAGGCUCUGGAUCAGUGCUAUCAGUCUGUUUCUUCAGUGCAAAGGGAAAUAUAUUUUCAUGAAAAACUACAUCCCUUGAUGCAAACGUCUUCUCUUCUUUCAAGUCAUACAUCAACCAUGCUUUCUUUCCUACUGGAUAUCCAAUGAACAAACAUCGAACACUUCGCUCUUGAAAUUUAUCAGAGCCGCGAGAGAUACGUUUAGCAUAACAUAGGGUUCCAAACGUCCUCAGGUGAUCAAACGAAGGAGGCUUCCUGAACAGUAUUUCAUAUGGAGUUUUGUUUGCCAAGAUCUUACUAGGUGUUCGGUUUAUCAGGUAUGUGGCAGCCAAAACACUUUCUCCCCAGAAGCGAAUUGGUAAGCUCGCUUGAAACAACAGUGCACGUGCGACAUUAAGAAUGUGACGGUGUUUACGCUCGACACGGCCGUUCUGUUGUGGAGUCUCAACACAUGAGGUUUGAUGAGAAAUUCCAUGGUCAGCAAAGAAUUGUUUGAGACAGAUGAAUUCAGACCCGUUAUCACUCCGUAUCAUUCGAACACGUUUAUGAAAUUGUCUCUCCACGAAAGAGAUAAACGUUUUUAAAGCAGUAGGUGCUUCUUUCUUUUCUAGCAAUAAGAAUGUCCAUACUGCUCGUGAAUGAUCGUCGACGAUAGUCAAGAAGUAACGAGCUCCACUCAAAGACUGCUCACGAUACGGACCCCACAAAUCGCAGUGUAUCAAAUCAAAAGAAUCAUCUGCUUUAUUAAUAGAAUCAGGAAACUUAUUGCGAGUUUGCUUAGACCGUACACAGACAUCACAAACUUUUUCAGAGUCCUCUGAAUUUCGAGAAAAAGAACCAACAUGAGAUAAAACAGAAAGCACAGCUGAUGAUGGAUGACCUAAGCGACGAUGCCACAACUCUCUCGUAGUCAAGCAGCGUGCACGACCAGAAUGAGCUGCAACAACUCCUUUGUAAUGAUAAACACCAUCUUGCUCUUUACCCGCACCAAUCAAAGUCCUCGAAUUGAAGUCCUGUACAACACAAAACUUCCUUGUAAACAGCACAAACCCAGCAAUAUCUUUUAACAACUGUCCGACUGAAAUCAGAGUAAUGGACAGAUGAGGUGCAUACAAAACUCUGCUCAGAAUAAAACGUCCUCCUAAGUUCAGUUUUCCACAACGAUUAGCCCAUGAAUGUUUUCCAUUAGGAAGAGUAAUUGGACAUGGGUCAAUGCUUACUAAAUCAGUCAACAGAUUAACAUCACCCGUCAUGUGAUGUGACGCGCCGGAAUCAAUGAUUAUGUCAUAACGACUAUUAGGACCAAAGAGAUAGAGUUUACCAGAGAGCUUCUCAGAAGCAUUUUGCUUUUGAUUGUUCAAGAGAUUUGCGAGAGAGGCCCACUGAUCUUGAGUGAAGUUGGGUAUUCCAGAGGUUUGGGAUUCGCCACCUCCAGAGCUUUCACUGACGAGAACAUUAUGUGCUCGAAAUCCAGAGCCUCUUCCGCCACGUCCUCGGUUCUGAUCCACUCCACGACCACGACCAUUUCCUCUUCCACCCGUUGGUUUUGACUUGUCGGACCACCAUUCAGGAAAUCCGAUCACUUGGAAGCACGAGGUUGAAUCAUGUCCCGUCUUUCCGCAAUGAGUACAUGUGACUUGCGGUUUUGUGAAACGAGCUGCAGCAGCUUGAGGAUGCACUGUCAUCCCUGAGAGUCCAACAACGGGAAUCUUUUCUUCAUUGCUUCUCAUUACGGAGAGAUGACGUUCCUCCUGAAUGACUUGAGAGUACACGGUUUCCAGGUUCAGAUCCAUCUGUCUACUAAGUAGAUUAGACCGAGCCGUACCGAACCGUGUUGUGUCUAGUCCCAUAAGGAACUGAUGAACAUGAAUCUUCUCUCGGCUCUUCUCAUACUUCAGCAUUGAUGCACAGUCAGCACUCUUGCAACAACACUGAAAUCCUUUGUCUAGAUCUGCUAGAUCAUCCCAUAAGAUCUUGAUUCUCCCAAAAUACACCUCGACCGAAUCUCCAUUCUGCUUACACGCUGCAAUCUCAGCAUGAAGCUGAUGUAUACGAGUAUCAUCGCUCACCGAGAAACGCCUUUGAAGGCUUCCCCACAUUGCCUUUGCACUGUCAACAAGAGAAAUCGAUGGACGUAGCUUCGAUUCAAUACUGCUGUAUAUCCAGCCUAUUAUCAUGGAGUUGACCAUGUCCCACUUCUCUGCUUCAUCAGAGUUGUCAGACGGUCGCUUCAAGGUUCCAUCAACGAACCCAAUCUUCCGUUUCGCACGAAGCGAGUUCAGCAUUAGCUUCGCCCACCUUUCGUAGUUUGAUCCAUUCAACAGGAUUGGUGUCAAGACCUGCCCCGUGUUGUCUGACGGAUGGAGGUAAUACGGAGACACCAAUGAAGUUGCGUACAGUCAUGCUGGCCAUUUUUUUUUUUUUUUGUUUUUAAGCAAUCAAAGAAAAUGAUUUAGAUGGAAAAGGUUUGGCUCUGAUACCAUGCCAAAGUGGAUGAAUCGAUGAUGCAUUACUUGUGGGAGCUACGUCCCUUAUAUACACAUCGUAAUGAUCAAGCAAUCCCCACAAUCUAGGGAUUAUACAAUUGCUUGGAAAACACUGCAAAUCACAGAAUAUACGACUACAUUUACAUCAUGUCGUUUAAGGUAAAUGAGUGAUACGAGUAUCUUGCUAAUACUCCCCUGAGUAGAGAUUGAUAUGGUUAAACUAAUUGUUUUCCUACUCCUUCGAUUACUUGCAAACCAAGUCUGCCUAAACUUUCCUUAUUUGUAGAGUAAUUUUCUUGUUGAGUUUAAUUGUUUCCAUUUUUUUACGAAAAACUAUGUUAACCGAAACUGUAAAUUAAGUAAACCGAAGAAACUGCAAUCAAUUUGGUUGUAAAUUCAGCAUUUAUAAACCUAGACUAAACUUACACGUUUUAUUUAACUAAACUAAAUAAAUAUACGCUAGGUUAAGGCUCGCGCCUUGCGCGGAAUAAAUAUUAUAUAAAUUAAUUUUACAUAUUACAUGUUCUUUUACAUAUAUUGUAUUACAUGUUCUUUUACAUAUUAUUAAAUAAUACAUAUAUAUUGAUAAUUUAAAACUCAGUAAAUAUUGCGUAUAUGAUUAAAUUGAUGCAAACACAUAAAUAAAUUUUAUUAAUUCAAACAAACACUUUUUCUAUUUUAUAUGAUAUAAAAUUAAGUUUUAAUGAUAUUAACGUAGAUAUAUAGUACAUUUUUAAUAUUGAUAUCUGUUAAAUAAUAUUUUAUACUCAUAUUAUUUUUUGAUCAUUUGUUUUUUCUGUAACAAAAAUUUUGAAUCACCGAUAAAAAAUUUUUUUGUGGGAUGUUUAAUAGUUUUAGUCAUUUAUAAUUUUAAAAACAUUAUGAAAAGUUUUAAAACUAAAUAUUAAGUUGUCAAUAUUUGUUCAAAUUUUUUAUCAAACGAAAAAUCAAAGCAACUUUCGAAAUUAAAAUACAUAUGUUAUAUGGUACAUAAUUUAUAUUAAAAAAUAUUAAUAUUUAUUAAAUUAGACUUCUUAUUAUAUAAUUUUGUAAUCAUUUAUAUCUUGUUAUAACAAAAAAAUUUAAACCAUGAAAAAUUCAAUGUGAGAUUUUUGACAACUUUAGUCAUUUAUAUCCGUUUUUAAAAUUUCAAAAUAUAACAUAUACAGAAAAAUCUAAAUUUUUACUAUAUUAAUGUGGUUGUUUAAUUUAUUUUAAUAUGUUAAAAUUUAAAAAAUGAUAGAGAAUAGAUUUUUAUCAAAUCUUUAUUAUUCAAAAUCAUUAAUUGUCAUAUAUACUUUAACCACAUUUGGUAGUUCCGUUAUUUUUAAUUAAGGAAACAAUGAAAAACAUUAAUAAUCAAUUUAUGAUUAGUUUAAUUAAAAAACUUAUCAUAUAUUUUGAUGGAUGAACUGACAUGUUUUUUUAAAGAUUCUAAGAAUGAUUGUGAUGAUGACACGUAGUUACAAAAAAAUGUUAUAAUGUUUCUUUUUUAAUAUAUAGGGGAUGUGAUUAGUAGUUUUAGUUAUAUUACUAACCACAAAAUUGAUAUAAGUCUAUUAAUGACAGAAAACACCACAUGGCUACAAAAGACGUAGGAUUGAUCAUUGCCAAACAUCUAUACUUUUUCUUUUUCUCAUUUCUUCAAAACUAUAAUAGUCUGAAGAAAAAAAGAAAAAACAAAGUGAGGAUGGAUCAUGUUAAGGUAAGUGAGGUACCAACACACAAAAACAAAAAACCUAAGAAAAAUCUAAACCCUAUUUGGCUAUUUACAAUAUCACCGUAGAAAAACUAUACACAUUAACAAAAAGGCUAUACAGAGACCAUACUCUCAUAUCAUCAUCCCUCUUUGCAAAAAAAAAUGCCCCCAAAAUCCCCAAAUCUCUUUACAAGCUUGUAUUUUUUUUCUUCUAUCUUUGCUAAUAUCUAUCAGUUCAAGAAUAGGUUUCUGGCCAACUCGAUCGGUUCAGCUGCUUUCUUGGCUUCUGCAAUCUUAAGAGCCAUCGUGGCUUUGUAAACAGCCAAAUCUGCAUUCUCUCCAAGAACUUGCGCUCUUCUUCUACUAGCAAUGGCUAUCUCCAUGGUUGCAUCAGCGUAGGCCUUGGCUUCUUCCACUCUACGAAAAGCCUCUUGUUCCUCCCAAGCUUCUUGUUCAGCCAUCUUUAGAGCCACUGUCCACGUUAUUCAGCUUCAUCAAUAUCUAAAACUCUUCCUUGAUAAGAGUGCAACAACUUUCUCUACCACCAAAUCUAACAAUUACAAAACAGGAACUCUGUGGAUAAUCUACUCUACUUAAGUGUUCUUCCCCAAGACUAUUCCAUCUAACUCUUAACAAAUACAUCACAACACUAAUGUACAAAGAACAUACCAAGAUUUAGCUGCUUGCCCUUUCCAUGCCUUUUGAAGGAUCUUCUCUUACGAAACACAGUUUUGGAAGGUCGUGGAGUUUUCUUCGCUUGAUGACGACCCUGUUUAUAUUAACAAAACAUCAGUUUUUGUAACAAACAACAUUGAUCCCAACUAGUACACAUGACUGUUAGUUACCUGGAAAACUCUAAGGAGUGGUGCCUUUCGCUUCUUCCUUUUCCUCAACCAGUAAUCAUGCACUGCCUCAACCACCUCUUGCCUAGCAACAACGGCUGCUUUCUCAUCCACUAGAUCAUCCCCAAGGCUAUGGAAACACCGCUUCUCAAACCCAUCAAUCAUCAACUCAAAAGCAUCUCGCUCAAGAACUUCUUCAUAUUCUUCUUCACCAAAAACUUCCACAUUCUGCUUCCUCAGCCACUCUUCAUCAUCAGAAUCCAUCUCGUAAAUCGCACUGCUUCGACCCAUGGCCCUUGAAAACUCAUCUUCUUUCACAGAGAUAUACUGAACCGGCAUAGAAAACAAGGGAGAAUCAUCAUCCGCAUACCCACACACUUCUCUUACGCCAGGUAUAGGAAUGACUUUCACAUUCUGCUGCGUCACAACAUUGUACUUGUGUACACUUUGCGAAAUGUUUCUUCCACCUCGUCUCUUUCUUAAAGAGCUUCUUCUCCCCCUCUGGAUAUUAUCAAAACCUAAACUGCUUCUACACUGAGCAUCAUUCCCUACAGUUAACGGAUGUAACCCACUGUUCCUCGGACUACAAGGUGGAGAUAGAACUAACUCAGACUCCGAAUCACACUCUUCAACAGGAUUGUUCAUCAAAUACAGACAUCUCUCCACGAAAGCAAAGGACCGUGGUGCAACUCUGAGAACUAGAGUCAAAUGCAAAUCCAAGAAACAUCCAGGAACAGCAGAAAAAUCAACUGACAAGAGAGGAAGACGAUUCACGCCCCCAAAGAACCUGCAGACACCUCUCGAGCUAAGAGGAGGCUCCUGAAAAAAAAUCAGAGAGAUCCAUCCACACUUCAUAUCAUAAACACAGUGUAGUACAGAACCAGCAUCUUAGUAAGUAGAGAAGCAGCCCCUUACCGCAAGAAACCGCACGCCAUGAUCUGCAAACACGUCGUUAACAGGUUGAGACAGGAAGAAAGAAGCUAAAGCACUAAGCUGUUGUCCCCUCCUCAAGUACCUCAUUACCAAACCGAAAACAGUAGACAACCAGCAAUCCUUACAAGACCAAACUACUCUAAGAGUAAUCACAGGAACAACACAGAGUAGUCUUCUUCUCCUUCGCCUGGUAUAAAACUUGAGGCUUUGAAGUGGUUUUUUCACUGGUCUAUUACUACUACUACUACCACUAGAUUGGUUAGAAAGAGUCUUCCUUUUCCUAUUAUAUACAAUCCCAAACCUCUUAUCAACAGCUUCAUUACUCACUUUCCUCCGCUUGUUGGCAGUAAAGUCUUCACCUUUGGAGGUUUUGUUCCCUUUGAAUCGCUUCGCCUUAGGUUCGUCGACGCUGUGAGAGAUUCUGCGACCCGAGCGGAGGACGCGGGCUGCUCCGCCUGGGGGUUUAGCGACGCCGAAGACUCUGGUGGUUCGUCUCAUUCCCAUCUCGUACGACACCGUUUCACUCAAAGACUCUUCUUUUGAUCUAUGCCCACCACUGAUCUGUGAACUUUAAUCCGAAAAGAUCUCUCCUUUUUGAGGAAAUCGAAACGGGUAAUUGAAGGGAGAUGGGGGUAGAUUCUUUACCAAUUCGAUUCUUUGGAUCAAACUUAGAUCUCUGAAAAUGGGAGAGAAAUUGAGAAAUUUUGAUUGAGAGGAUUCGAGAUCUGAUCACAUGGUGAAGAAGGCGUAAGAUGGUCGUUUCGCCAAUUUCUCGAUUUGACGAGAAGAGAGGGAACUUUUAGGGUUUAUGAUCGGAAACAACAAUCAAGAAAGAAAGGGGAAAAAAAUGAGAUCUUUAGUGUUGAUUAGUUUUGGCCGUUGGAUGAUAUAAUAGACGGUUGGGAUUGAGUCUGGUUCGAUGGGUCCAAAGACGAUUUUUUUUUCUUUGGGUUACGCGAAUAUUAAAGAAAAAGAAUGGGUCGAGGUUUCAAAAGGCAUUAAUAUUAAAUGACGAAAAUACCCUUGGUUUUAAAGCGGGAGAUGUCUGUAUCUCGAGUGGGGUUUUUUACUAGUAGUGAAGAAGAAGAAGCACCUAAAGAUUGGCUUUGCUUAGACAAAUGUAAGAAGAAUAAACACCUAAAGCUUGUAUGUGAUGCUAAACGUGUUGGAUUACCUUUUUUUUUUUUUUUUUUUGUAACAGUAAACGUGUUGGAUUUCAUUACUGCGAAAUAAACACACACGAAGAGAGAACCCCAAGAGAUAAUAAUGAUUACUAGACAAAACAUUUUUUCCAAAGAUAAGAUUUAUUGAGUUCUCGUUACAUAUGAUAUUUUAUUUGUAGUAAUCUCUCUGCUAAUAAAACAGAGUUAUGACAUGAGAUGCUUUAUUGGCUUCUUCCAGUUUAGGCCUUGGCGGUUUCAGCCUCGUCGGCACCCCAGAAACUGGUUUUCUUUCCAGUCUUUGAGACUGUCUGGAGAACAGCUUCUGGCUCCACGUUGCCUUUCACUGUCACCUUCUGCUCCUUCAGAUCCACAUCAAAUGACUCCACACCUAACAACAAUGUUCGUUUUUUUGUGUUUUGUUAAAACAUCAAAACAUGGAACCUCACACACACACACAAAUCUUAUUGACAAGUAAUAAAUCAGAGAAGAAAAAAAACUAGUAGAGCAGAGAACAAACCUUGCAUUUUGCCUAGGACUCUUUUCACAGCUCCCACACAUCCCUCACAUGGCAUAGCCACCUUUAGAACCACAGUCUAUUCAGGAAAACAAACAAAAAUGAUCAAGUUAAACUUUGUGAAAAGCUUAAUCAAAAUUGACUUGACAAGGAGUUAACUAAUCUUGAAACACUGUCCCAUUAAUUGCUUAAAACACCCCAUAUGUCCUAAUCAAGUUGAAACACUGUCCCAUUAAACAAAAGAGAACAAACCCCAUUUUUCAGUUUUAUAUUAAAUGGACAGGACAAGAAGUAUAACAGAACUAUGAAAACACACUGCCUAAUCAAACUGUUCAAGACUAAAAACAGAUCUAGCAUUUUUCAACUACCAUGUACAUCGAUUGACAACGAUCUGCAUCUUAUAUGAUCCGCUUUCCUUGCCAUCACCAACUAAGCAAGUGAAACUAAUGUUGACAAUAGAUCUAACUACUAGAGAUCUAUGUUACAAGGAAGGAUGCCGUAAUGAUUCAGACAUGAUCAAAAACCAGAUACAGAGAGCAUCAGAAUAUCCAAAACAAGAACUCAAAAAUCAAAAGGGAGCCAAAAGUCUGAUUCAAGUACCUGAGACAUUAUCUCUUCUCCUUCCUGACGUAAAAAGUUUCAAUCACAGCAGAGAAUGAAUGAGUUUUGAAAAGGAAAGAGAGAUGCUUUUUCUUUUAGAAAAAAAGGACGCAACUUUUGACCAAUUCAACGAAUAUAUUCUUAGUUAGAUCAACUCAUAUAAGAAUAUAAUACUAUCAAUUUUUUAUUUAAUUAUAGAGUUUACUACGAACAGUACUAUGUUUCAGUGUCAUAGACAUUACAUAUUUCUGUCGAAGAUUGGCUCCAACGAGUAGCUUAUUGAUACAAUCAAAAAGCUUAUUAAUAGAUUUCACAUAACAGGAUAUUGAACCUGUGAUCUAUGCAACGAACAGCUAUAGCUCAGUGACUUAAAAACCAAACCAUAUUUUAUUCUUUAGCCCCCAAUGGUUUAGUUAGUUAUCCAGACAGAAAUAUUUUCACAUAAUAUUGAAAACAGAAGACUUGAUAGAUCGUAACAGAUACGAUUUGGGAAAGGAGAGAGUAACAGUUUUUUUGUUUAAUAGCUGUCGAUGUCAGUUUCAGGCCUUCUCAGGAAGUAACGCAGACAGUUCACCAAUACCUGCAUGAUAAGUUUUAGUUCUUUAGCUCUCUUUCUCUAUGUUUUUAAGGUUCUAAGGUAGAAAGUAACAGAAACCAUAAUAAACUCACCUGUGACAAGGAACUGUUAAGCGCUUGCCCUUGGUAGCUCACGUGAAACUUGUCUUUCGCAACCAGUCCCUAAAGAAAAUUAACAAGACAAUGAUCACAUGCUAUUAGUAUAAGGCAUGUAAUAGAAUCACACUGUAUGUGCAUGUGGAAGUAUUAAAGAGUUUUCAAGUACUUCAGUGUCUAUCUCUGCGGAUUCAACGUCUAUGUUGACAUCUGCCAUCACUUUAAUCAUCUCCACAACAAGACCUGGCCUAUCUGCUGUCUCUAUGCAAAGCAAGCUAGAGACAAAACAGGAAACAAGUUCAGAGUUAUGUAAACUAUUCGAUCAGGCUACUUUUGAUUACAUCCAAUCCCAAACAGCGACCUUGUGGUGUUGUUUUUUUUUUGCUAAAUUAUAUAACCUUGUGGUGUUGUUAUUCUACUGAAUAUUUAUACCUCUUCUUUGGUCCAUCUUCUUUCACAUGUAUGUGAGUCCCGAUGUCGACAUCAAUCUGUUGUCACCACAUGAAUCCCAAAUACAGAGUUAAAAACAUAGGACACACAAGUAUCAAUCCAACAAGCUUUAGUAAACAUAUUAUUACCUUCUUCUCUGGAGCCUUUAUUCCAAAAGUCUCACCCAUUGCAAGUUGCUCGCUGCAUUCCUUCAAAAAAAAAUAAGGCAACGUUCAAAAAAACUGGAUACAAAACAUCUUUGAAUGUGACUGUGAUUAAGGUAAAAAGAUCCAAAAAAAAACUGAAGACACACCGGAUGAUAUUUCAAGAGAUUGUUGAUGAUUGUCAACCGAAUCUGCUCCAACAAGUCAGGAUCUUCCACUUUCCGACCAGUGUCUCUGUUGUCAUAUAAAAUAUUAAUUAUAAUUCAGGCAUAUGUGACAACUGACAGGUAGCUCAAAAUGAUACACUUUGCACACACGACCAAUAUGUUUUAAUAAGGAACAGAAAGUAUUUGAGUAGACUCGCCUGUGUCCUAUGCUAAAACUAUCUAUAUCUGGAAAGAAUUAUACAGAAGCGUCUUACAGUUUUGUAAUAGAAAAUCUAGUCUGCUUAAUGGAUCCUUCCGUUGUGACAGUUCCUUUUAUAACAUCCAAUCCCAAAUCUUUCAGCGCCUUCAUCUGUCAAACACACAUCAUAAUGAUUAUAUAAGCCCAAAAACAAGGCAAGUUUCCAUGAUAUUAAAAUACAGAUAGUCAAAAAUGCUAUAAAAUAGCUUUGUACUCAUUUAACAUUGUUGAUGUAACAUGUAGAAAGUAUAACGAAAAGAGACUUGAGGGUGAGAAUCACUUACUGUGUCGAUGAGAGCUCCGAGACGAUCUCCAAAACUGAGUUGAACAAUUGUAGCUUCAGGGUCAGCAUCCUGGUCUAUCAAAACCAUUGGCUUUGGAACCAAGUCCUCCUCCUCCUCAUCAUCUUCCAAUUUCUGCUAUCAAAUUAUCCAUUAAAUGAAGUUAAAUCAGCAGAUUCAAGAAACUACAAAUAGAGACAAUUUUACUGACCGGAUAAGAUGGAGUAGUGGCAUCAGUGCUGUUAAUUGAAGCAUAUACGCGGUUUCUUGUACUGCAUAUCAAAUCAAACAAAUGAUAGAUUAGCAGAUGCCAGAUAAAUCAUACAAGGUAAUGAUAUCACAGAAUACACAAGAAUCUGAAGCUUGUUCAUCUCAAAGAAACAAACAAAAUACGCAGAAAGCUAGUCUAACCUCCUAGUGGAUAGAGGCAUUACAGCUUGGACGAACUUGUGGCGAUCACUGAAGCAAGCAGGGGAUAGAUCUGGAGUUGAAAUCUGAGCGGGAAAACGAGAAUGACAUCUGAUGACGGAGGAAGAAGCAAAAUGAGUAACAGAGAAGAUAGCAUUCAAGAGUGCCAUUGAAGUUGAAACAGAGAUUCUUGCUUUCUUUUUCUUUUAUCUUUCUCCUCCCAAGUGUCACAUUAUAAAUCCUAUGGGCUAUGGAGUGCUGAAUCUGCUCAUGUAUGACGUGAUGGUCCACCACCUGUACUUCUUGUAUGUUUCUACGAGUAAUUAAUUUAAAAACUUUCCAAAUUGCUAUAAAACAAAUAGUAUUAGAAUGAGACGAUUAUAUUUGGUUGCUGACGUUUCUUAUGUAUACGUUUGCUCUACCCAAUUAUCUUCUCUCUUUUCUCAAUCAUUCCAGGUUUCCGGAUCUUCAUAAAGCAUCUGUCAUAGCAUUUUCAUUUCAUUUGCAAUAUUAUUCUCUAGCAAUUAUUGACGUGACGUGAGAUUGCUAUUAAUAGACUGGAUACAAAACUAAGCCUUAGCCCAGUGGGUCUUACCAAUUGUUAAAAUCAUUUGCUAACAAUGUUCUAGGCUUUCUACCUGUUUCCUCUAUGUAUGUCCAAGUCAUUUGGGAAAUGGCCCUAGAUCAGUUUUUAAAGCUUUAUUAGAUAGACUUGGAUCCUAUGUUUUGGACAUAUGAUUUUACAGUCUUCAUCUCAUAAUCAAAAUUGAUUAGUAGGUCCGUGAGUCUUACAAGCUUGUGUAAGUUCAUAGGCCGAGAAAAAAAAAUAUAAAUGAAUUAAUGUUGUAUGUAUGAUUCGUCAUAUCCUUUGUUGAAGAGAAGGAACAUACUAUGUCAUGUAUUCUUGUUAUGUAAUCUCUAUAGCCUGUUGCGUUCGUUUUUUCGUUUGGUUAAAGAAAUGGAACAUACUUAAUUAUGUAUGGGUUCUUGUUUAUCUAAUACCAAUAAGUGACUGACUCAACUGAAUGAAAACCCCACCAUAUGCAUUUGACUCAAAAUACCAAAACAUACUUGUUUUUACAAAAAAAAACAUUACUAUAAAAUAUUUUAUUAUUUCGUCAUCAUCAUCAUCAGUAUCAGAAAAUACCUAAUCCUAUUGCUUACUAUAUUCACAUUAAAAUGAGUAAAAACCCUAACUAAAGCCAUUACCAAUCUCUUUCCCCCUAUUUGAUCACAUCCCAAAACCGAAAUCCUCAAAAUGACCACCAGGAGUCAAUUGCUGACCGAACUCCGACACGAUCUGUUGCUGAGUUUGAACAGGGCUCUCAUGCUGGCCAGACCACUCCAUGUUGGAAUCAGGCAUGGCUAAACUAGUAUCGACCGUAGUUAUGUCGUGUAUGCUCGACCUUUUCCUCUCCUUCUUCACCGAGUUCUGUCUAAGGAAAUAUUUCUGAGCAUGACUCGCGACUUGCGUAGGUGUCCUCGUGACCACCACGUUCCUCGAUAUGCUCCUCCAAUCUCCUUUACCAUAUCUAUCUAAUCCGAUCAGAAACAAUCUGCAUGAAUUCAUAUUCAAUUAUAUGUUAAUUAAUCACCUAAAUAUAGCAAAUAAACGAAAAUAUUUUUUAUAUUUUUGAUAAUUAGUAAUUACCAUAAUCAACCAAAACCCUAAAUUACGAUUGAUACAUACUUGUGUUCGUUUUCCGACCAAGGAGUUCCUCUUUUCCGCUCACCCUCGCUGUGUUUAGUCCCAAACGAGAUCUGACCGGCCGAGUCCCAACCCGCCGCCGCCGCUGAGUCAUCUAUGUAAUCAGGGACAUCAACUUGGCCGGAAUCGAUCUGGAAGACAUCAUGCACCAAAGCCUCGUAAUGCUCUCUAACUUCACCAACCGGUUUGUGGAGCUGAUCGGCGAUUCUCUCCCACCGAUUGGGAGAUCCUUCAGGGAAAAACACCAAAGCUUCCUCGAACAUCUUAUCCUCCGACCUCGUCCACUGACUUGACGCCAUUUCUAAAGAUUUAUUUGUUUAGUGGGUUUAGAAAGAAAGACUCAAAAGUGGAUAAAUCCCAAAGAAAUUCUGAAAUUGGUUGGAGGUUGGAGAAACUGUUGGACUCCUUCCGAUUAUUUAUAAGGAUUCUCUUGUUUUUUCUUAGGAAAGUUUUUUUUUUAUUAUUAAUGAAAAUGAGGUAUAUAAAAGGGAACAAUAUGCUGGAAAAUUAAAAAAAGGAGGAAGCAGCUCAGAGACCAACUUCAACACGGUUUCUAUUUCUCUUUUCACUUCUCUAAUUUUCAAUUUCUUUUAUUUAAUUUUAAGGUUACAUUGCUCCGGUUUGUUAACAGUUUUCUCUCCUUUUCUGAUUUUUAUUCUUUUUAUUAUUGAGUUAUUCUUGGAUUCACCCCCUAGGAUGAACCUCUAUGUUCACCAACCAAUAGGAUUUUAUUAUUUCAAAUUUAAUAUUUUUUGAAAAAGGAAACAAAAUAUUAUCAAGAUAUAUUAUGUUUUUAAAUUAAAAAGUUAAAAAAAAAAAGAAAAAAUCUUAGUUAGAGAAAAACGAAUUCAAAAAAAAAAUAUUUUUAUCAUCGUCAGCAAAACACUAAACCCUAAAUCCUAAUCCCUAAACCCUAAAUCAUAAACCCUAAACCCUUGAGCAAACUCUAAACCCUUGGAUAAAUCAUAAACUCUAAAUCAAAAACACUAAACACUAAAUCCUAAAACCAUAAACCCUAAAUCCUAAACCCUAAACCCUUGAGUGUUUAGUGUUUUUGAUUUGGAGUUUAGGAUUUAUCUAAGGGUUUAGGGUUUACCCAAGGGUUUAAGAUUUAGGAUUUAGGGUUUAGGGAUUAGAAUUUUGGGUUUAGUAUUUUGCUGAGGACAUUAAAAAUAUAUUUUUUAAACUACUACUUUUUUUUAAUUUAUUUCUUUUACCUUUAUAUUUUAAAAAUAUAAUAUAACUUAUAGCUUGAGAAAAUAUCUUGUUUCCUUUUUUAAAAGAUUUCGAAUAUGAAAUAACAGAAUCCUAUUGGUUGGUGAACCUAGGGGAACCCAAUAAUAAGUUUUAUUAUAAGCAUAUGCCAUUUUACGUGCCACUAAUGGCACAACACGUAGCUAUUAAAAAACAAAGUAAUAAAAACAAUCUGGAAAGACUUAUUUUCAUGUUCACAUUCCAGAAGGAAUCAUAUCUAGUGUGUACUUCUCUUUGAUGUACCCUUGUUUGUCAGUCUGUCGCUAUUUCUUUUCGCUUUUAUUUGGGGUCCAAACUCCAACGUGUACUGCUUUCACUUCACUUUCUUAACUGUAUGGUUUUUGUGAUAUUUCGAUUUUAAUUAUAUAUUUAAACUUUACUUUAUUUCCUAUUUAGGCCAUUCAUAAUUAGUUUUUUGUGUGUUCUAUAUUUCCAAAAUAAUUUUUUUCUUAUCUUGGUUUAUUUAUUUUUGAAUAAUUAUUAAUUUAAAAAAAAUCAUUUACAUUUAAUUAAAUUUAUAUUAAAUAAGAAUAUAUUAAAAUAUUUUUUAAAAAAAAUUAGUCAGCGCGUGAAGAAUAUUAAAAUGACAUUUAAAAACAGAGGAAAUACAAUUUUGUUGUUUAUUUUCAGUGCAUAUGUAGUAGUAAUCCUAUCGUUUUAAAAGUUCAAAGCGCAUGAAUCGCUUUUGUCUUAAAUAACUAACUAUACUAUUCAUACAUAGCUCCAUGCCUCAGUUAGAACGAGUUUUAGUUUGGUUUUCGUUGGACGUUUCCAUAUGGAAAAAAAAAAUGAGUGCUUAACUUAUUAAAUAAUCCAUGUAACAAAAAGCAAAGACAACACUUAUUUUUGUCUUUUCUUAUUUGGAUAUGUGUUUAUUUUAGUUAUAUUAUCGAGUCUCGACGAACUUCAACAGAUUAAACAAAAGGAAACAAAGGAACUUCAACUAAUAUUCAAGUAUUUUAGCUGUACUUGCUUUUUUAAUAUGUAGCAGUUCACUUGUUUUAAUAAGGUUUACACUACACACUUUUACUAGUUUAAUUGGAUCUACGGGUUAAGUGGAUACGUUACGUACUCCACGAAGGUGCAUGGACCGACUCUUCACCACUAUUAAGCGAUGUGUCUUCUGCCAAUUGUUUUUCAAUGAUACUUUUUGGCAUCUGAUUGAUGCACCAAGGUGACGUGGCCUCUCAAUGAGUUGUCACGUGCCCUUUUCAGAAAAAUCUAAUGCUUUCUUGUUCUUUUACAAGCUUUUUGUCUAUUACCUACCAUAUGUUUGAGUUUUGAUAUUAUCUUCAAAAAUACACACAAAAUUCACAAAUAAUUACGAAUGGUGGUAGCCAAAAUAUGGGGUGAUGGAUAGAAUAAUUAUAAAUCGCAAAAUAGAAGAGAGUAUACAUUGUUAAGAUAAAAAAGAAGUGUAUAAAUAAACUGUAAUAUUCCUUCCAAAAGUUAGCAAAAAUCCAUGAGAUGUUAAGAAAAAGGUGGCAAAAUAGAGUUUAGAGAUGUUCCAAAUCAAUUAUUACAUAUGAAGUUUAGCUCGCAGUUAAAUGAAUAAUUAAUUAUGUCCAUAGCCCCACGAUCAUAUAGCUAGACCAUUUGGGGCCAAAAAAAACUAGAGACUAAUGAUUUUCUUUUUUUUUGGUCAAAUAUUUUCUUGCUUUCACUAUAUGGUUCAGGUUUUAGCUUUCAGAGCUAUGGAUGGCUCGUUCUAAAAUUCAUUCAUCACAUUUUCGUUUUACAGGAUGUUACUCUCGAACCAACAACAAGCUUUUAUACGGGAGAAACUUUUAAAGGUUACAGCAACGACAAGACUUGUGUUGCAGAACCUCAGGUUUCAUGUUAGCCUGCUGGUGAGCUUCCAGGCAAAGGAUAUGAUAAGAGAGUUUUGGGUUAAGGAGCCAGAGAACAUGCUCGGGUCAGAUAAAUUCUACAGAGAUUAAACGAUAUCCAAUCUUUGAAGGAUUGAAUUGGGCUCUAAUCCGGUGCGUAAUACCGCCUGAGAUGCAAGUUCACGCGGAGGAAACGAUAAUAGGUAUCUUGAAUGUAAAGCCAUAGGCGAUCAUCUUGAGUUCGAAUCGUUCCAAGAUAAAGGUCUUGCAAGACGAGAAAAAUUUCUUGAUAAAAGUAUUAAAGAGUAAACAUUGUUGUAAGUUAUCAUAUCUUAAGUCUAAUAUGUAAAUUUUAGCCACUUUCUGUGACAUCAUAAUCCCAUAUAUUCAUCAACUUUUUCCCUAAAAGUAGCUCAUAUAUAAGACACUUAAAAGUACAUAAAUAUUGGGAGAGGCAUAAGAGAGUUUUUGUAAUAACAAGAAAGAAAUGUAGAAAUGAAUAGAAAGAACACAUGAGCUUCUCCUGCUAUAGCUUCUGCUUAUGUCACACUUGGAACCCGAUUAUUUUUGGUAAAUUUCAGGACACUCUAAACAGUGCCGUGCGAAGAGUUUUAGGGGUCUAAGGCAAAUUUUAAAAAUAAAUUUAUUUACAACCAUAAUAAAAAUAAUUUUCUAAUAUGAUAUAUUAUUUUCACCAAAUACACAAGUCUAAUAUUGUAAAAGAAUAAGUUUAUAACGUAAAUAUGUUAUAUUAUGUCAUAUAGAAAAAAAUACAUGAAUUCAAAAAAUAAAUUAAUUAAUUUUCGUAGAAAUGUUUUUUUAAAAAUAAGUCUAAACCACUAUACUAGAAACUAUUUUAAAUUUUGGGGCCCUAAAAACAGUCAUAUUAAUCGGAGGUCUGAGGCGAAAGCCUUUUUUAAUACACUGUAGGCACGCCUCUGACUCUAAAUGGUAAAGUACAUGAAAUUUCCAGUUUAACUUGUAGAUGACAUGUGUAACAUCCUACAAGAAAACUUUUAGUUGAUCUCCAAAGUAUAAAUAUAUAUAGCUGUUCAUUUUACAAAGUAUAAAUAUAUAUUUUUCUUUUAUCACUUUUUUUCUUCCUCAGCUUUAUAAUCUUCGAUAACCCAAAUAUAUGUAAGACAAAUCUUCACCAAAUCUUUACUAAAUUUUUUUCAAUCUAUAAUACUCCAUAAUCCAAGCUACAUUCGUACAAGUCUAAGAGCAUCCACAACCGUGGACUCCCAUUAAAAUCCUUAAAAAAAAAAUUUUCUUUUUUUUUGUAAUUAUUUUCUUUUUUUCGGAACUUUUUUAAAAAAAAUAUAUAAUCAAUCGCAGGCCGCCAUAUGUCAGUGAAGCCUGCGAAUAGCUAAGAGACUCCACAAAAUUGAUCAUUAGCUAAGGAAUUUAGGAGCACCAACUUGCACAGAAACUUAAAAAUCAUGGAUCCCAUAUAAUUUUAUAAUAAUUUGUUUUUUUAAGGAUUCUAAUUAAGGAUCAUGGUUGUGGAUGCUCUAAGGGGGCAAAUAAAACUGAGGGUUAGAAACUUCAUUUGAACUCUUAUUUGUAUACUGUACACUUUAAUUUUCUUCUGUUUUGGUAGUUUGUUAAUUUCCCGAUUGUUUUUGGUUUUCUACCUAAUUCACUCUUUUUUAUCAAUGUUUUUUUAAUUAAAUUUUUAAAAAUGUAUAUUAAUUGUCUUUUUUUCAUUUUUUUUAGUGAGACCCGAUAGAAACACCGAUAGUGAUUAUCAUGAAAGCUUUUGCGAAUUUUAUCCAGCAUAGGUUAAAGAACGUCUUGAUAAUCGCCGGAGGCAAAGAUUUUGGUAAUCUGACAUCUAUGAAAAAGAAGAAUGUAAACCUCAUGUUAGCAUACUCAGAAAAGAGGAGUGCGCUUCUCAAAGAUGAGGCACGCACAACUUUCAAAUGGACUGUUGAAAGAUCUUUUGAUGCUCCUGAGCUGAUGAUAAAUGGAAGACGUGGGUAAUAAUGUGGGUUGGUAGAGUUUCUUUGUGUGUGUUUUUAAGAGUAUUUUUUUGUGUGUGUGAUCUGUAUUUUAUUUAAGAGUGUUUUUAUUUCAUGUUUUCUCAAUGUUAUUGUUUGUGGCAAUGUUAUUGAAAAAAAUGUUUAAGACCUUAUGACCAUGAACCAUCUCGACUUGGUAAACGUUUUUUUAGCACACAUUUUGGUCAGUUUUGUUAGAAUAGAUCCCUGUUAUAGUUAGCACAUUCACUCUAAGUGAUAUCCUAUUUAUUAAAUAUUAAAAACUAUACACCUAAACGAACAAGCUUUUUUAACCUUGUAACUUUCUUGAACUAUCGCAUAAAACGUAAACUGUAACAUCUUAAAAAAAAUGCGUUACAUGAUCAAACUAUCGAAAAAGCCGCUCUCAAAAUAAGCAUUAUUGAUUCUAGACGCAGGCCUAAUAAAAACUGGGCCUCAUGCUCGAGCCCGUAUCUAGGGAGAAAAAAAAUAAACCCUAACGAGAACGUAUCUAUAUUUAUAACAAAACGCAAAUCCUCUCCUCCAGUCUUUGCUUCUUCAUCAUUUUUGCCGCCGCCUCCUCCUUCAUCUUCACUCGCAGGUACGUAUCUCUUCAAGGAACACAAAGGAAGCUACUAGAGAAUCAUGUGCUCUAAUUAUUAGAUCUUUAUUCAUUCCUCCUUGCGUUUUCUUAGCUUAGUUGAUGUUAUCAAUGGCUUAGAUUUCGAUGAUAAGUUAUUGCUCUUAUCAGGUAUAAGUCAAAACAGUUUUUAAAACAUAAAACUGAAAGAUGGGGCGUGUCCGAACCAAGACCGUGAAGAAAUCAUCACGUCAAGUGAUCGAGAAGUACUACUCUCGCAUGACGCUCGACUUCCACACUAACAAGAAGAUCCUCGAGGAAGUCGCCAUCAUCCCUUCGAAGCGUCUCCGCAACAAGAUCGCUGGAUUCUCCACUCAUCUCAUGAAGAGGAUCCAGAAGGGACCGGUGCGUGGUAUCUCGCUCAAGCUUCAGAGGAAGAGCGUGAGCGCCGCAUGGACUUUGUGCCCGAUGAGUCUGCUAUCAAGACCGAUGAGAUUAAGGUUGAUAAAGAGACUCUUGAGAUGCUUGCUUCCCUUGGGAUGUCUGACGUUCCUGGUGUAUCUGUGGUUGAGCCUCAGGCUGUGGCUCCUGCUUUUGGCAGGCCACCGAGAAGGUACUGAGGAGUUCAAUCAAGAGAAGAAACUUGCUGUUCUUUAGAGUGUUUAUUGUUUCUUUUGUUUGGAUAUUUAUGUCUGAAUCUGAAAGUGAUACACUCUUUUUUUUUAUUACAUUGAGUUUGGAGUUUUUGAUGAUCAUUAAUAUUUGAGUUAAAAGUUGCAACUAUUGUAGUUCAUGCGUUCUUUGUUCUAAAUAUUUCACAACUCGAGAUGAGAGCACAUUGAUAAUUCAACGUUUAAAUUGAUUAACGGUUUGAUAAUUGAACAUUGUCUUAUGACUUCGAUGGGCCUAAAACCAGAUAAACCUGUGUAUCAUUGUCUUGUGGCUUCGCUUCUGUGGCGUGCUUCAGUGGCAGAAGCUUACAUUUACUAGGGAGUAAUGUUAAUCACAAGUAAAUGGUAGAAGCAGGUUGGUCUAAGUGUGUGUGAGAUCGAAGGUUCUAGUGGUGUGCUCACAGAGACGUUCGCACCUGAUUGGAGCUCACAUAAUCAUCACCGUAGUAGCUACUUGGAUCAGGUUUUUGAUGUGGAUCCCGAGGAGGAUGUCGAUGAAUGAUGAUGCUGAUAAUGUUAACCCUGUUUCUGGUUUCUUAUCUUACAAGUAAUGAAUAAUAGUCAUAUAAAUUGUAACAAUUUUAGUCUUUAGUAUAGAGCAAUAUCGCAUUUCUUGCCAAUAAAAAAAUUCUGAACUAAGAUAUCACUCUGAUCUAAUAUAUCGAUCAUGUGCAGAUCCAAAAACUAACUGAAAAUGUAUCCGUAAAUUCAUAUAUAUAAUAUAGUCCUUUAAAUAUUAAGAAAAUGUAAUUUAUAUUCAUAUACAAAACUGUAUAUCUCACUGAGUCUUAACACCUAACUGAACAAACUGCCUUCUCUUAGCAAUACAUGUUUCGACAGUUGUUUGCGUCUACUAUAAUUUAUAGUUUGUUUUAUAUACAUAUUUAAAUGUAAAACUUUUAACGAAAAAUAUUCUAUAAGUUUGUUUUAUAUACUUCUAUAGUUUUAAAGAUAUGCAAAUCUGACAAUGAAAAAAGCAAAAUAAUAAGUGUGGAUUCUUAAUAAAACAGCAGUUAGAACUCUCAAAGCUCAUGCAUGCCUUAAAACAUAUUUAAUUUUCUAAAUACUGAAUAUAAAUAUUUGGCCAAUACGUUGCAUGAUACGUUAAAUCAAUUUACGUUUCACAAGUCACAUGUAAAAAAAAAAAUGUAUAGCAAAUAAACAUUGAUGCACCAAAUAAAUCAUAUUGUCGGAAGACGUAUAAUUGUCAUCCAUCAUUGUUAGGUUAGGAUAAGAACAAAAUAAAAAAUGCAUUAAUGAUUAACCAAUUAUGUCAUUUAUAUUAUCUUAAAUAUGUUUAUGAGUAGGAAGGCGUAGACAGAAGGAAGAAAGAAACGAUGGAUCUUCCCACUUUCGUACCUUCUUCUCUUCUUCAACUUUGCACUCAUGCAUUUAACUUGUGGAAUGAGUAUGAGUACGUAUAACUAACAGUGUAUAUAUAUAUAUAAUAUUUAAUAAAUAUAGGACCAAACAAACCAAUGAGGUAUUAGUUAUGUGACAUUAUAAUUGUAUAUUAGUUCUAAGUAGUUUAGAAACACAUAUAGUAGGGUGGUAUUAUGGUAGAACUAGCUGCUAAUGUCUACACAAUUAAAUAAAUAACCAUGAGGGUCAAUGGGGUACAUUUUGUUUCAUGCAUUGCUGGCUUUGCCUGUUGCUCGAUAAUGCUCUUUUCAUGCAAUCUUUACAAUCAUAUUUUAAGUCAAGUCGCACUUAAUUGUACUCUCUUAUUCUUUUUUAAGUAAUCCUAUAUUUUUAAAUUCUAAGCUAGAUGAAUUAUUCACCAAAAGUUAGUUUUUAAUUAGUGAAUCUCGUAGAAACAUAUGAGUUGUUGAUAAAAAAAAAAAGCAAGAAGUCUCUAGUUCGACUUUAGUAUAUGAAUGGUAAGAUACAAAUUCUUGACAACAUUUAACCAACCAAACUGGUCAAAAUCUGUUAUGUACCACAAACCACACCUAAUGAUUAUUAACUGGUUUAGUUCAGUAUCCUUCCUCUGUGCCGAUGAACUAAUAGGUUACUUGAGCUAUACAAAGUAAACCAAUUUUCAUAAUAACAUAAUUAUUAAUCGUUUGUUUGUUGUUUAGUAUCCACCUCUUUGUAACUUUUAUCAGUCUCUGUAAUCUUGAAACAACCACUAUAUAUUUUUCAUAAAGUAUUGUUAGUAUAAUUAUUUCGACUGUGGUUGUACUACAACAAAGAAUUUAUCAAUUUAUGCGCCUUAGACCUAAAGAUGAUGAUGUGGGUCAAUAAUGAUUUUUUUAAAAAUGUUAUAAAAGACUUAAGAAAAAUAUUGACAUUUAUCAAAUUAACCUACCUAUAUGUAAUAAUUAGUGAAUAGUCAAUGUUAACACCAACAAUACUGAAGGUAAACUUCUUAAAAUACUUUAUGGUGUUGGAUGAAAAAGAAAAAAGUACAUAUAGUUUCAAUCACCGUUGUAGUUGUUGAGAAGUUACUACAGCUAAGAUUUCUUACAACUGCACAUAGCAUUUAUUAUUACUUUUACACUGUUUAAGAAAUCUCGAGAAUAACUAUACAUAAAAAUAUCGAAAAUGUAAAUUUGUAUACUCAAAUGUAUUUGAAGUAAGUGGGAGAAAAUAUUUUGUAAAAUGUAUACCCAUUAAUAUUUGCGUGAUUCAACGGUACUCUCUUCAAUGCCUCACAUGAGUUUUGCACCCUCUCUUUCUAACACACAUUUUGUUUUCUUCUAUUUUCCUAUAUUUAUCCCAAAAAUUAUCCAAUGUAUCACGCAAAUUAAGGAGAACAGAAAAUAACUUCCAAAAGACAAAAUGAUGAAGGUGUUGGUAAAUAAAGUUAAAAUGCACGUAAAUGAAAUGAUGUCUUUAUUUCACAACAAUGGGUUGAACAUCAGAUUUGGCUAUCUUCUAAUCUUUCUACUUUCAGUUUACAUCUCUGGAACUCUAGAAUAUUAAACCUUCAAGGACACUUCCAGAAACACGCUCUUACAUUCUUCUAUACUAUUGAUCGACCAUAAGUUUUCUAGUAACAGUGAAAUUAUGUCUAGGAACUCCAUGAAAACUCAUUGUAUAUUAACAUAAUUAUUUAUGCGAAAUGAGUUUAAGAGUGAUCAUGUGCUGAGACUAUAUAUUUAUUUGAUUCAGUCGACAUAGACAGCAUUUUCUUAAAAUUUAUUGUUUGUUGCUAGAUACACAUGAACUGAUGCUCCUCUAGUAUAUAUAGUUGUGCAAGUUGUUAUUAAUAAGAAGUUAAACAUCUAUUGUUUUUAUUUUAUUUUUGAAAAAACAUCGUCAUCUUCUAUUUUACGCACACAGAUAGAUUGAUUAUCGUAAUUUACAAAUAACAUGUUGACCGACAGAAUAUUAAUUACUAGAACGAUUAUAAACUGACUGCAAUUUUUUUACAAAAUGUCGGACGAAUUGGUUUUAUAAACGUGAAAUAUUUAAAUUUGCAUACAUGCUAUAAUUUUAUGUAUAAAAUGAUUGAAAAUACAGUUUUUAAAUAAACAAUAAUAAUUUGAACACAACUAAUCAAAUAUAUCGUUAAAAUAAUUCAGAUUGAAUUAAGUCACAUAUUUAAUUUUCACAAACUAGUAACUCGUUUUGUAUAAAUGUAUAAAAGUACGUAUGCUUUAGUUAUUUCAUUUUACGUUUAUCAGAAAAUGAUGUAUAUGUAAUAAUUUUACUAACUUUUGAUAAAUUAUUUGGACUAAAGAAGUAAAACAUACUUUAGCUGUUGCAAAUGUAAAACAUAACUACGAAAAGGAAAAUAAAUAAAAAUACACACAUGACCUGACCCCACCAACCAGCCCUCUAUAUAUAAUUCCCUCCAACUCUUCGCCCUUUCCAGUAAUAGCUAACUCAAAAAAAGCUUUACAAAAAAAAAAAAAAUCUGAGCUCAAUGGGGAAGACGAAGCUCUCAUCUCUGUUCAGAGGAGGAGCGGGAAGAUUACUAACCGCUCCUCUCUGCUCCAAUGCCAAAACACUCUCGUUCCGAGUCGAAGACGACAUGAUCAAGACCGUUAACUCGGUCCUCUUCGAUGAUAUAUUAGAGGCCGCAACGCCCGAGUCAUGGUUCACGAACUCGUCCGAGACGGCGAGUCACUCAACCGAGUCGGACCAAGACCUCGACGCGGAAUCGCUUGAGACGGUCGUUAGAGGAGUGGUUAGAUCGGAGCGGCUGUUCUUCGACCCGGGAGCCACUAGCUCGAUCGUGGAAGAGACCAACGAGAAAUCGAAGGCGGCGCCGAUCGAGGAGAUCAGCGUCUCGGUGGCGAUGGAGUCGGAGGAUCCGUACGGUGAUUUCCGGCGAUCGAUGGAGGAGAUGGUGAGGAGCCACGGCGAGCUGGCUAAGGACUGGCGGAGCUUGGAGUCGAUGCUGGAGUGGUACUUGAGGAUGAACGAGAGGAGGAGCCGCGACGUGAUCAUCAGCGCUUUCGUUGAUCUCGUCUCCGGACUCUCUGAUUCGGUGUCGGACUCGGGUCGUUACUCCACCGCCGUAUCGUCUUUGCCGUCGUCGCCGUUAUGUUCGUUAUCGUCUAAAGGUGAGACGGAAAUUGAAGAAGAAGAGAGACGGAGCCGUUAACUUUUUGUUUGUUUGUUUGUGAUUUUAAUAUCAUUUUUAUCGGAUUGACUUUUUUGGAUUUUAUGUAAAAAGUAAUUUUAGUGGUUAGUGGAAAAUCAUAUAACUAUUCGUAGCAAAAUGUGGAGAUAUUAGAAAUGAAUAAUAUAUUUUUUUUAAGAUUUUAGUAUUAUAUGAAACAAAAAGAUCAAAUGUUUUAUUUAUUCUAUUUUCCAUUGAGUAAAUUUGUAACUUAAAUAAAUGUUUAUUUCAAGUUACCAUUUUGACAGUUUGUGAGUUUUGUUUAGAAAAAGUGUACCUUACAUAAAAGCAUUUAAUUAUCAAAUUUGACGUGUUAACAACAUGCAUACCUCUCACAAGUUACGAGUUUUUUAUAACCAUCAUCAUCAAGCAACUUAUAAGACAAAUGACAAUUAACAGUAAAACUUUAAAACAAUUAACCGUAAAACUUUAAAACUGAUAACUUCUUGUCACUAAAGUCUACAACCAUCAUGUUUCAAGUCAAGUAGUCAAGUCAAACAAAGCAAACGAACUCUUGAACUCAAUACUGUAACUUAGUAGCAGAUUGUAAAUUUGUAAUCUAAUUACAGUAUAGAAUGGCGAGUGAUAUAAAUAACAUGCAAAGAUUUAACUUUAACUCGUGUCUACUGAGAGGAAGAAAUCAUAUACCUGUAUAGAUGGUAGAUGGUGGUAGAUCGAGGAAGAGGUGAUGAAGAUAAGGCUCAGUGGUGACCUUAGUCGACGAGUGGAAGAGAAGGUUCAGAAUUGCCUCCACAGUCGCCAUUUCUCACCUUUUUCGUCGGUUAGCAGAACACCAAACGUCUCUGGUGAAGAAGACACGCGGGUCUCGAAUGCCCCGCAAACCCGCGUCGACCCGCCCCGCAUUGGCCCAUACCCGAAAUUGACCAACCCGCAAGACCCGCAAUAUCUCGGGCCUAAGAUAUCUAAGCCCAAACCCGCCCCGCAGUGGGACUUUACGGGCUUAGCCCACGGGCUAAGGUCCCAAUUGCCAUCCCUAAAAAGGUAUCAUCACUUAUGCAUCUAAUAAUCACGUGCAAGUCAAUAUCUUGAAAGUAAGUUGCUCUUGAUCUAGUAAAAAACAGUGAGAAGUCAUGUUCUCUUGUGUUCCAAUGCGAUUUAGGAGGAGGUUAGUUUAAAAUGAUUUGAUUCAUGGCUCAAACAGACGUAUGUAAUAAAACUAUUCAAAAUUUGUGUAUAUUUUGAAUAAAUAUACUUCUUACCAAAGAAUUCAAUUUUAUGAUAAUUUGAAUUCUAUUAAAUACAGAAUCAUUCUGUAUUUUUUAGGAUGCAUUAAAAGAGAAUGGUGGUCUAUACUGAGUUUGAAAUGAAACAAAGGAGAGUUGUGAUUUUGUAUUUUGUAUUGUGAAAUGAAGGAAGAGUAGCAUGAGAUGAGCAAUGGUGGUAUGGGCACACUGCACAAACAUACACACCUUGUGAAUCCCAAAUAUCAUAGACCUACUUUUCUCUUAUUAUCUCUUUCCAUUUAUUGCUCUACAUUUAAUUCUAGGACCAACCUAGACGACGACGUAACGUUCCUCCAUUUUUCUGCUAUUAUUCAAAUCUUUACAGGGUUCAAGAUUCUCCUGCCUGACUUAUCGUGUAAAUACCAUUGAGAGUUGAUACAUCUCCUCAGCUGAUAAAACCGACGUGUUUGGGGGAACACAAGGCAUUAAACUUGUGCAUGAAGCAACUCUUUAUUCUUUCUUUGUAAGAGAAGAAACAUAUGAUGACCUGAGACCAAAGAAGAGAUUUUGCAUGAACAGAAGAAGACAUAGCCGCAAAACUAAGUAUAUCCAUUGCAUAACACAAGAGAAAAUGGCUAAGCAUUGCAGAAACUCAAUUCUUAUUUAUAUGCAGACCAAUAAACCCUAAUGGAUAUUAUUCAACCAAUUCAGAAAGAGAUCAUCAGAGAGAAAAGAAAUUCAAUUGAUGGCACCAAGUGGGGAAGCCCAAAUAAAUUUUGUCCCCAAAUCUGAAUGGAAAGAUCAACCUGACGCCACUAUUCUCACUAUUGAUCUUCCAGGUUGGUCCUAAACUUUUUUUCAUUUACUACUUUUGCGUUUCUUUUAAUUGACAUAAGACCUAAGUCGUCUAGUAAAAUGAGAAUGAUACUUCAGCACCUUGCCUAAAGGUAUACAAAAUGAAUGAUAGUUCCAGAUCCUAACUAGACUAGUACUUGGCCGGGGGAUUGGGAUACAAAGUGAAUAUAUUAGUUUGAGUCCUUGUGGUGGUUCUAGUUCUGAUGUGAAUUGGGUUUUUUAACAGGUUUUACAAGGGAGCAAGUAAAAGUAACCUUUGUGCAUGCCUCAAAGAUGUUAAGAGUCACCGGAGAACGUCCCUUAGGUUAUCGGAAAUGGAGCUGUUUCAACGAAAUGUUCACUGUUCCACGGAAUUGUCUAGUGGAUAAAAUCCAUGGGAGCUUCAGCUUCAACACCCUAACAAUCACCAUGCCGAAGGAGACAAUUACAAAGAUGCCUAACCUUCCAGAAACUCCUAAAACUGUGGCUGAGAGGGUGGAGAAGCUAGAGGAGAAGAGACUGUUGGAAGUAGCUAGAAAGAAGGAAGAAGAGGCUGAGAAGAUCAAGAAGCUUCUUGAAGAGAAAGAGGGGAUAAUUAGGAAGCUGCAAGAAGAAGCUAAAGCAAAAGAGAUGGCUGAGGCGAAGAGGCUGCAAGAAGAAGCUAAAGCAAAAGAGAUGGCUGAGGCGAAGAGGCUGCAAGAAGAAGCUAAAGCAAAAGAGAUGGCUGAGGCACAUCAAAGAUACAAGUUUCCAGAGGUUUAUACUAAAAACGAUCUGACACUUACUAAUUAUAAGAUUACAUAUCCAACAGGAGAAAACAUCUCCUGACCCCACCAACCAGCCCUCUAUAUAUAAUUCCCUCCAACUCUUCGCCCUUUCCAGUAAUAGCUAACUCAAAAAAAGCUUUACAAAAAAAAAAAAUCUGAGCUCAAUGGGGAAGACGAAGCUCUCAUCUCUGUUCAGAGGCGGAGCGGGAAGAUUACUAACCGCUCCUCUCUGCUCCAAUGCCAAAACACUCUCAUUCCGAGUCGAAAACGACAUGAUCAAGACCGUUAACUCGGUCUUCUUCGAUGAUAUAUUAGAGGCCGCAACGCCCGAGUCAUGGUUCACGAACUCGUCCGACACGGCGAGUCACUCGACCGAGUCGGACCAAGACCUCGACGCCGAAUCGCUUGAGACGGUCGUUAGAGGAGUCGUUAGAUCGGAGCGGCUGUUCUUCGAUCCCGGAGCCACUAGCUCGAUCGUGGAAGAGACCAACGAGAAAUCGAAGGCGGCGCCGAUCGAGGAGAUCAGCGUCUCGGUGGCGAUGGAGUCGGAGGAUCCGUACGGUGAUUUCCGGCGAUCGAUGGAGGAGAUGGUGAGGAGCCACGGCGAGCUGGCUAAGGACUGGCGGAGCUUGGAGUCGAUGCUGGAGUGGUACUUGAGGAUGAACGAGAGGAGGAGCCGCGACGUGAUCAUCAGCGCUUUCGUUGAUCUCGUCUCCGGACUCUCUGAUUCGGUAUCGGACUCGGCUCGUUACUCAACCGCCGUAUCGUCUUUGCCGUCGUCGCCGUUGUGUUCGUUAUCGUCUAAAGGUGAGACGGAAACUGAAGAAGAAGAGAGACGGAGCCGUUAACUUUUUUUUGUUUGUUUGUGAUUUUAAUAUCCUUUUUAUCGGAUUGACUUUUUUGGAUUUAUGUAAAAAGUAAUUUUAGUGGUUAGUGGAAAAUCAUAUAAUUAUUCGUAGCAAAAUGUGGAGAUAUUAGAAAUAAAUAAUAUUUUCUUUAAGAUUUUAGUAUAUAUGAAACAAAACGAUUUUUUUUUACUGAAUAAACACUGUGAAAUUAGAUGAGUAUUAAGAAAAUUUGGCACACAUCAAAUGUUUUAUUUAUUCUAAUUGCCAUUUUGACAGUUUGUGAGUUUUGUGUUAGAAAAAGUGUACCUUAUAUAAAAACAUUUAAUUAUCAAAUUUGACGUGUUAACAACAUUUGGUUUGACACUUAAAGGUACCAUCACUUAUAUAUCUAACUAAUAAAGCUGUUUACUUAGUAUUAAUCACGUGCAAGUCAAUAUCUUGAAAGUAAGUGGCUCUUGAUCUAGUAAAAAAACAGUGAGAAUAUGCAUGUUCUCUUGUGCUCAAAUAGACGUAAGUAAUAAAACUGACUAUUCAAAAUUUAUGUAUAAAUAUGAAUUAUCCGGCAAGAUGUUUCUUUCAGUAAAAAAAACAUGCUUCUUAGUUCUUAGUUUCUUACCAAAGAAUUCAUAUUUAUGAUAAUUUGAAUUCUAUUAAAUACAGAAGGAUACUGUAUUUUUGAGGAUGCAUUAAAAGAGAAUGUUGGUCUAUAGUGAGCUUGAAAUGAAACAAAGGGGAGUUGUGAUUUUGUAUUGUGAAAUGAAGGAAGAGUAGCAUGAGAUGAGCAAUGGUGGUGUGGGCACACCUUGUGAAUCCCAAAUAUCAUAGACCUACUUUUCUCUUAUUAUCUCUUUCCAUUUAUUGCUCUACGUUUAAUUCUAGGACCAACCUAGACGACGACGUAACGUUCCUCCAUUUUUCUGCUAUUAUUCAAAUCUUCACAGGUUUCAAGAUUCUCCUGCCUGACCUAUCGUGUAAAUACCAUUGAGAGUUGAUAAAUCUCCACAGCUGAUAAAACCGACCUGUUUGGGGGAACACAAGGCAUUAAACUUGUGCAUGAAGCAACUCUUUAUUCUUUCUUUGUAAGAGAAGAAACAUAUGAUGACCUGACACCGAAGAAGAGAUUUUGCAUGAACAGAAGAAGACAUAGCCGCAAAACUAAGUAUAUCCAUUGCAUAACACAAGAGAAAAUGGCUAAGCGUUGAAGAAACUCAAAUCGUAUUUAUAUGCAGACCAAUAAACCCUAAUGGAUAUUAUUCAACCAAUUCAGAAAAAGAUACAUCAGAGAGAAAAGAAAUUCAAUUGAUGGCACCAAGUGGGGAAGCCCAAAUAAAUUUUGUCCCCAAAUCUGAAUGGAAAGAUCAACCUGACGCCACUAUUCUCACUAUUGAUCUUCCAGGUUGGUCCUUAACUUUUUUUCAUUUACUACUUUUGCGUUUCUUUUAAUUGACAUAAGACCUAAGUCGUCUAGUAAAAUGAGAAUGAUACUUCAGCACCUUGCCUAAAGGUAUACAAAAUGAAUGAUAGUUCCAGAUCCUAACUAGACUAGCACUUGGCCGGGGGAUUGGGGUACAAAAUGAAUAUAUUAGUUUGAGUCCUUGUGGUGGUUCUAGUUCUGAUGUGAAUUGUUUUUUUUAACAGGUUUUACAAGGGAGCAAGUAAAAGUAACCUUUGUGCAUGCCUCAAAGAUGUUAAGAGUCACCGGAGAACGUCCCUUAGGUUAUCGGAAAUGGAGCUGUUUCAACGAAAUGUUCACUGUUCCACGGAAUUGUCUAGUGGAUAAAAUCCAUGGGAGCUUCAGCUUCAACACCCUAACAAUCACCAUGCCGAAGGAGACAAUUACAAAGAUGCCCAACCUUCCAGAAACUCCUAAAACUGUGGCUGAGAGGGUGGAGAAGCUAGAGGAGAAGAGACUGUUGGAAGUAGCUAGAAAGAAGGAAGAAGAGGCUGAGAAGAUCAAGAAGCUUCUUGAAGAGAAAGAGGGGAUAAUUAGGAAGCUUCAAGAAGAAGCUAAAGCAAAAGAGAUGGCUGAGGCGAAGAAGCUGCAAGAAGAAGCUAAAGCAAAAGAGAUGGCUGAGGCGAAGAGGCUGCAAGAAGAAGCUAAAGCAAAAGAGAUGGCUGAGGCGAAAAAGUUGCAAGAAGAAGCUAGAGCAAAAGAGAUGGCUGAGGCGAAAAAGUUGCAAGAAGAAGCUAAAGCAAAAGAGAUGGCAGAAGCAAAGAAGCUUCAAGAAGAGGCUAAAGCAAAAGAGAUGGCUGAGGCAAAGAAACUUGAAGAAGAAGCUAAAGCAAAAGGGAAGCUUGUGGAAGAAGCUACACCAGAGAAGAGCACCCAGGAGAAGAAGCCUGUGGACUCUACCAAAUCUGUGUCUGAAAGAGUAAGCAAGGUUGUGAAAUCAGCAGAAGAGAAACUAGGUUAUUUGGGGGAGAAGGAAAAGAAAAUAAGGAAAGGGAUAAUGGAGAAAGUAAAGGGAAAAGAUUUAACAAGCGAAGAGAAGAAGUCAAUGGUGAAUGUAGGAGUGGCUACCUUGGUUCUGUUUGCUCUUGGAGCUUACGUUUCCUACACCAUUUGCUCAUCUUCCUCCUCUUCAUCUUCUACAUCUUCAUCUUCUUCGUCUCCUUCUUCAUCAACUUCUACAAAACCAGAAUGAUAUGUUCUAAAGAAGUUGUGAGAAGGAGAACAUUUAUACUUUGUAAAUGUGGUAUAUUCUGAAAUAUAAUAAAAGUUCUAUUGAUUGUGAGAGUUUGCUUUUUUAUUUUGGUAUUGUUCAACAAACAUACAAUUGUUAUGGUUUAAUUUAACUAUAUACUUUAACACUCCACAGAGAUAUAUUGUUCUUUUGUAUGUUUUAUAACAAAUACCAUAGGCAUGUUUCUACGAGGUGGUUUGUGUUACCUUUGGUUUCAGCAGUUAGUAGAUGUUCCUUGGCCAAGGCUGGAGCGAUUUUCAGUGUCAAAGCUGCAUCACUAGCAGUGAUGCCUGUUCUUAGAGUUUCGGUUUUAGUCACAAGCAUUCUGAUUCUACUCAUACCUAUAUGGCCACGAAAGGAUCUCAUCAGGUGAAUGAGAAUAGGAUCCAACGCAGUAUACAAUACGAUAAGUACCUCCUCGUCACUAUGGGACUUGUUUUGGAUGACCAUCGCACCGCUAUCAAACUUCCGUAGCAUUACUGACUACCCCAAUCAUAACACAUGAGCCAGAGUCAAUAUUUCUACAUGUAAAUUGCUCAAAUGUAAGCAUUAGAAUAUUCAAAAAAAAAAAUACAUACACAUCAAAUUUCUGCGAGAGGGUGCAAGCUUGCCACAAAUCGUCUGGAGACAAUAUUACUAUUUCACCUCAGUUUUAGAUUUUAGUCCCAUUCUUUUCACACUUCAGUGCCUAAUAAAGAUGAUUUUAGCAAAAUAUUACUGCAAGAAAAUAAGAACUGACUUGUAGCUUUCAUGAUCUUUUAGAUAAUCUUACAUCAAAGAUACAAGUUUCCAGAAGUUUAUACCAAAAACGAUCUGACACUUACUAAUUAUAAGAUUACAUAUCCAACAGGAGAAAACAUCUUCCACAUUCCGAGAAAUAGCCAAAGGUUUUGUUGUGAGAAGCAGAAAAAAAAUCCUUCACAGCUUACAUCUUAUGCUGUUGCCGAGUUAUAUCACAUAGAGACUAUCACUUUAGUUCCUACCAAAAGCAGUCAUUCAAAAGAUUCCUGCCAGAUGAACAAGUCCAGAGGUUCCAUAUUCUGAUCAUAUUCACAUAUCUGUAUAGAUUCAGUAGAUAAAUAACACUAACCAUUUAUCAACCAAAUGAACCACGGCAAUACUCUGAUCCACAAAAGCACUUCUUCAUGCCAUGCAAAGUAUUGUCAUUGUGAGCUUCGCUUGGUCGAGUAACUCCAUAGUCAUAAGUCAACUCAGUCAUGGGAGGAAUAUGAGAAACGGCAAAGAAAGCAACAUGCAAGAAGAGCUGACCAUUAUCUUCAUAACUAACCGGCUGCCAGAAAACAUUAGGUGAGCAACUAUGGUUCAUGAACCGUGCAACGUUCCCAACAUCCUUACCACUGAUUACCAAAGGCAACGGCAUUUCAGGUUCUUCAGACACCUCUUCAGAAUCAACCUCAUCCGCUAAACCACGCUCAUAGUUCCAUUUAAAAGCGGUAUACACACGAGUCGUAUCAAAAGCGUAAUCAUCAUUCUCCAUAGUUUGCUCCUUCUCUUUGGCCUCACCUGCGUAUAUACAUAUAAAGGAACCAGCACGGAUAGGAUCCCACGACCUCAACCCCCAUCCUCUAUCCACCGUCUUGAACACUUCAAGUUUCACUUUGACUCCCAUUUGAGUCACCUUGAGUUUGCAAACCAAGCACGGACAAGACGAGCUGCAUUCAUACACCAUACCCUUGCGGCUAACCAAAACUCCAUUCCCACAGUAAGGAUAAUCACCUCCGUUUCUCCUCACGCAGCGACAGUUCAAGCUCCCCGGCUUGCACGAGCUGCUACAGUCACAACAUCCAGUAGAAGGCUGCGUCAGCUUAAAAGACUCCGAGUAAGUCACCUUUGCGGAGUAAGUGAAAUAAGCAGGACCGUUCUCGUCAUCAACUUCGUUCACAAGCGACACACCAAUGCUUUCAACACCUGCAGAGAGAUCAGCGAGUAUAAGCCCUUCCCUCGAAGUCAACCCACCUUUCCACUUUUGUAUCCCUAUCCACGUGGCGAAAGCGGGAGGCUGACCAGGAGCUCUCACUAGCUUAUACUUAAAAGUGCUGUGUCCCCACUUCCCUUUCUCAGACCAAGACUCUUUCACCUCGUAGAGCCCAUCGUAAAGAUAGAUUUUAACACUAGGAGACGCCUCUUUCAACCCUCUUAUGACCCGAACCGGACUGUUCCUAACCAGGCUCUUCUCCAACGCUAAAUUACCUCUUUCAAGCUUUUGAUCAGAGGUCUGCUUCUCUUUAUCAGCGUUACCACCGCCCUGACCGGUGUAAACCAAAACAUCCGGAUCACCUUCUUCGUUAUCGUAGUAACCAGACGAGACGAUGCUAGUUGCGAUAGUGAUGGUAUCUUCUUCUUCUGUAUCUCCCUUGAGGAGAAGAUAGUCGAUGCCAGCCAUCGAUGGAGAAUGUAGCCCGACCAAACACAUCUCGAACCUGAAGAAGAAUAUGUCACCGAUCUCAACGCCGGGGACUAUACCAGGUCGUUUCUUGGUGUUUGUGCGUACGCCACGGCUCAUGCAAGUGGACCCCGCUUUUAAAUCGGCGCGUUUGUUGGUUCCGGUUACAGCUUCUCUCGCGUCCUCCAGCUGUGAGAACCUUCUUCUCAAGGCCUCGUAGCGCGUGAGAACGCUCGUGACUAGGUUCCUGUUCCCGUUCUCUCUUUCGGGAGAGGUGAUCCCGCUCUCGAAGUUUACAUUAUCAGGACGAACAAGCUUUUUCGGAGUCUUUCUCUUCGGAGUUGGCUCCGCGUCAGACCUGAAUGAUCUUAGAGGAGUGACAGAGGAAGGGUUUGAGUUGUUAUGAGUGUGUGGUUGAGAGGAGGUGAAGGGAUAGAAAGGGGAGAAGCCAGGAGGGAACGGACCGAAAGGAGGUGAGCAGACAAAAGGUGGUGGAGCUUGGUUCCCGCUGGGGAAAACGGGUUUAAGUGUGCGUAAUGGUUUGAUAUCGUACACACUCGUCUUAUCAGUGUAGCUUCUGAAACUCUCUUCCAUUGCUAUAAAUCUACGGAACACAAGAUUGAGAAAGGGAAAGACUUUAAUUAUUAGGUUCUGGUUUUGAAGAUCAAAGAUGAAUUACAUGCAUGCAUAGAUUCAGAGAUGUGCAAUUAACAAUAAGUAAGCACAAACCUGGAAAGGAACGGACUUGGAGAUCGCUUUGUGAGAUUAGGGUUUCUGAAAUGAGAGAGACAGAGGAGAAGAAUGAGAGGGAAACAAAUCGAGAUAAAGUUUCCAGCUUUGGGUAGUGUCUGGGAUUUUCACUGACACAUGUAAUAGUUAGAGGAUAUGGUGGGAUAUAAACCGUUGGAUUAUUAAUCAUUUGAUCUUUGACCGUAGAAAGAUCUAAUACGACUUGAGAGACCUACGUGGGAGGUUGUCCGUUUCGUUUCAGUUUCGUCAUGUGUACUUGCAUUUAUGGUGAUGUAAUAACUUUUUGGAACUUUUGUCAGUUCCCGGUUGCCGGUUGUCGCACGUGUGUAAGAGGUUGUCGUUUCACUUAACUAAAUCUUUUUUUUUUUUGUAAAAACUUGGAUUUUAUGAUAUAUAUAGGUCCAGAUGAUCUUCUAAAUUUUAGAAUUUAGAUCAUUAGGGAACUAUUCAUCAUUGUUAACCUGAUUUGUACCUUUUAUGAUCAUAUACAUCUAAUCUGUUAAUCAAUCACAGAUAUGAAUUAUGAUCAGUUUUGGACAGAUACUAAUAAAACAUUUGCCUUAAUUCGUAAAUUUUAAUGAGCUUAUAUAUAUAAGUUGUAUAAUUAUCAAAUUUUAGAACUUAUUUUUUUUAAAUAACUUUAAAAUGCUUAUGAUUACAUAAAUAUCAGGACCGGUUUGUUACGAGUUACGACUUCUCAUUUUUUUCCUAAAUAAGUAUAAUUUAAAACUAGUUGAAUUUUUGUUAGACAUAUGCUCAAACAUCCAUGAAACCAAUCUAAUGAGCUAUAUAAUGGAAAAACUUUGGCGUUACAAAAUUCACAUAAACUAGGUUAUAUAUGUGAUUUUCUUUAUCAAAGUUACACAUUAUGCUAGUUGAUUCAUAUGCCUUUUGUGACAAUAUUAGCCUAUAUAUAUCAUCUGUUCAAGACCGAUCUUCAACCUGUUUUUGUAGGAUUCUUAAUCGACAAUGCAGACCAACAUUAGCUGGAAUGACGUUUCUCACAACACAUUGUAAUACUCUACCAACUCCGAAGGUUCUCGCUAGUUACAACAUCGUAAUAACAUUAAAACAGUGUGGCUUACAUUUAUAUCUACCAAGAUGUCAACGGUUGACGUAAACUAUUGUCUCCUAGCUCCGGUUCUACCCUCGCAAACCUCAACGUUGACGACAAACACGGAGCAUACCGGCCGGUGAUCGGAGAAUCGCGACUCGCCGCGGACGUACGAGAGCUGCCUGAUUCCAUCACCGUGCCAAAGAAUCCUGUCACACCUAAAGAAAUAUAGAAAACUCGGAUCAGCAUUAACCGAACCAAAAUAAAAAUAGAAUAAAGCCGGUUAAAUAUUAUACCAGGCGGGAGUUCUUCUCUUGUUCUUUUUCUCUUUAGUAGUGUCUCCUGCGUAAGCAUCUGAGUUAUAAGAGUACUUAUAAGUUGGUGCAAAGAAGAUUUUGCCUUCGUGCCAUCCUUUAAACACUCUUCCUGCGUCUCUUUCAAUCUUGAGCUGUAAUUUCAUUUCAGAAAACCAAUAAUCCGGUUUAGCUUUAAGUAGUAAUCACCCUAAAGUUUAGUUACUUGGGUGGAAAGGAACCAUUAGUGAAACCUGAUCUUUGUUAAGAAGAGUGUCCCAAGCGUUUUUAUCCAAGAGUGUCUUUGUUUCUGUGUAACUUAAAGCUAUUCUAUAGUUCAAAUCUCCUAGCCAGAUGACCCGACUGCGAGAUGAUGUGUAAACCAUAUAAGAAUCAAUUGAUUUUAAGUUGGAAACCGAUAGGAGAACAUGUAAUCAUAAAUCUUACUCAUGCUUAGUGAUUCUAUUGGGGACACGGGUGAAAGACGUUCUGCAGAUUCUAGGGAAAGUUGUGUUCUUGAGAAUCUCAAUCACAUCUGAGUUUCUGCGGCGUUCAUCUCCUUCUCUCUCACCGGAAGCUAGAUGACUACAAAUGAAGCAGAAGCUCGUCUUGUAGAGCUGCAAACUCACAGCUAUGCAUCCCUAUGAUGAUGAAGAAAAGAAUAUCAGAAACAGAGUUUUUUUAUUUUGUUUAUUUUCUUUAGGUUUUAUGUGUGAGAGUUUAUUGACAUUAGUUAGACAUUAAUAGUCUUGAGCCUUAAUCUCUCACGAGUGUGUAAGAGUAUAAGUUUUCACAUCAAGAGUUUUGAUGAGACAUAACUAAUAUAUAAAAAAUUGAACCAAACCAUUUACCAUCAAUUGAUUUUAAUUUGGAAGUCGUAAAACUUAGCAUAGUUGUUAAAGUACUGUACCUUGUUUCCUAAGCAACCCAUGAUUCCACGGGUGACAGAAGAGAUUCUGAGAUGAGUAACAUGUUGAAUAAGCUCCUUUCUCAUCCACACAGUGAGGAAUAUUCCCACCAUUUGCUUUGAUGCCACUAAACCAUACUUCAUCAUCAUCUGGUUGCUUACAAUAGAAGCAACCUUUUCUCCUCCUUCCUCAUCUUCAUCAUCAUCAUCAUCAUCAUCCUCAUCCUCGUCCUCAUCAUCUUCGUCAUCAUCACAAAGUAAAUCAGUUUGGUUUACAAGAGAUUCUGGACACCUGAAACAAGAUUCUCUCCCAUACUUCUUCACAAUCUCUUCAGAGAAGGAGUUGCAGUUACAUAUCUUCAGCUUCCUCCUGCAAUCCGUUCUGAAACUCUCACUGAUCUUCUUCAAAGAAGGUUUGGCAAAGAACAUCGAUCCAGCGCCAAAAGAUGGGGUUUUAGGACCAAGUCUUCCACCAGAGGAUGAUGAUGAUGCUGAUGAUUUGUUCAAGGACUGGUUGAUCAUAGCUAACCAUUUAGCAGCAGGCUCGUUGUCUCCAAGGACAAGAACAUUUCCAGCAUUCAAUGGAACAAUCUCCUGAAAACUAUAUAAAAAAAAGAAACAACUUAAUACAUAGACAUAGAUGAUAGAUCCAUGCAAUAGUAAGAGAAAACAAGUUACCCUAAAACGUAUAUAUCAAACUCGCUGUGGACGUGAAGCAAAUCAUCAAGAUCAAGACCAGAGUGUGGAGACUUCCCUCCCACGUUCCAUGUUGCCACAAAGACUCUUCAAAUGAUCACAAAACAUUUAGAAAUGAAAACAGAACAGCUCUGUUUCUAGAGAUAUGAUAAAACAUCAACACAUACCUUAAGGAUUGGAGUUGUUGAGUGGGCAUUGAAGAUCUGAGAUUACUUGAAGAUAACAGAGAUUCAACUACUAUUUCGGAUUGAGACUCUGCAAAAAUUAAAACAAAGUCUAAAAAUAUUCUGAAGCUACACAUAGACAAAGUACAAACACACAUAUAUAUAGAGGAUACAUGGUGACAUACUCUUAUUAAAUAUGUAAAGUGGCUCCGACAUGUUUAUUCUGAAAGGAUUUAAAGGGUAUUUUUCUUUGGAGCUUUUUUCUUCAGGUUUGGUCUCUGAUCAAACACAAAAGAAUUUAAAAGAAACUAUAGCUGAAGAAGAGUUCAACUGUAAAGGAGGCUUUACUUAUCAUUAUUUUAAUUUAUUUUUCCUAAUAUUUUUUUUAUUAAAAGAAGAGGUCUUUAUCAGUUUAAGAAGCAAAGAUAAGAAAGAAUUUAAAAAUAGUAUUUGAAAGAAUAUAUUCUAAAAAGUCCGAAAUCAAGAACAAUGUUCCCUUUCUUUGAUACUUAUAUGCCCCUCCCUGUUUCUUUGCCUUUUUCUUCUCUUGGAUGGUGUAUAGACUUAGAUUGCAUUUUAUAUGAGUCCUUGUGAUGCGUCCUUUGACCGAACUUUUUGUGUAUAACCAAACCUCUUUGACCGAACUUUGAUUAUUUCAAUUAGAAAGUAACGUUUUUAGUGCAGUAUGAAUGUAUAAAUUGUAUAUAUCGAGAGCUUUGAGCUCUCCAAUCAAUUGGCUUCGUUUUUUUUAUCGAGACAAGUAAAGAAACUAGUUGGCAGAUUAGAUAUGAUUAAAUUGGAGUAAUGACGUUUAGGCAUUAGCUGUUUAUUCUGCACGAUCAAACCUCAAGUUGGUGUGAUAUUCUUUGAAGAUGACGUUAAUUAUCAUAUCUAUUAUUUACACCAUAAGACAGGUAAGAUGCGUUUAAUGGAUUAAACAAAAUCAAUUGGGAUCUUUUAAAAUAAAAAUUAAAAAAAAAUUGGGAUCUUUUAAAUGAUUUCAUUGACAUUCAAUCAGUGUUUUAAAACCGCACCGACCCGAUAGCUAGACCAAAUUCGACCAUGAACCGAUCAUCCAACCGGGUUAAAUCUAAUAGCUGGUUCGACAAUUAGUAGGAUUGUAUUUUAAAGUUAUUGAACUUUAUAAAAACUAUUAAAAAUAUAUAAACUAACCAUUUGAAUGGAAAAAUAGUUUAUAUGUAUAAUGUUUUACAUUUGAUAUCUAUUUAUAUUAUAAUUAUGUAUCAUAUUUACAAAUUUUACUUUUAAAUUUUAAUAUUUUUAAAAAAUAUUAAACCAAGUUAUUGAACAAAAUUUGAUCCGGUCGAACCAUAUUGAACCGUGACCCAUAAUUAUCUGGUUCAGCUUAUGCUCCGGUUUUAAAGACAUAGCAUUCUAACUUUUUUUGGUUGCAGAAAUCACACUUUACGGACCAAACCAAACCAAACCAAAAAAAUUCAGACAAAACCAAUCUUGAACUGGUACAUAAUAUAGACGAGUAAUCCAAACAAUUCUCCUCUGUUAAUGGAUCAUCAAAAUCAUCAUUUUAAAAUGUCAAACGGGGAUUAACCGAAUAUCCGUCUUAACCAGAAUUUAAGGAUAGGAUGGGCCUCAAAGGCCCAAUAAGGAACUGAAACGGCCCAAAAUACUCGUUGUCCACGUCUUGUGGAUCGAUCUUCUUCACACACUUAACCGUAACUCCUUUGAUAUACGUUUUAAUCAGCGAGCGCCUGAAGGAGUGGUGGAUUCAUCCCGUUUGAUCGAUCAGUCCCUGGUAACGUCUUCUUCUCUAGCUCUUCGCUUUCAUCUCUGCUCAAGUUUUUUUAGAUCUACUCUGUAUGAAUGUUCUCCUCUAGCUGCAUUUCUACGAUAAUCUCUUCUAGAUUUCGCCCGGAAGCCUCUGCGAUCUUACUUAUUUAUGUGCCUAUGAUGCAUUUUGAUCCGAUCCGUUUGAUCCACUGGAUCUGCUUCGAUUUCGUUCGCUACCAAAUGCUAGAUCUCUUCAUUUUUGAUUUAUGAAUCCGAGACCUCAAGGUUAAUCACUAUCUGGAUUUACUUAACCGUUUGUUCUUUUGUAUUUCAGAUUCACGUCGCCGUUCUUAUAGCUGCUGAUUAUUGGAACCUGAAAAGCAAAUCAAAAUGGUAUUGAGUUUUAUUAAAUGAUUAGUGAAUAUAUUCAAUUAGGUUGUUACGUUUAGUGUUGUAUGAGUUAUCUAACGAUGUCACUUGGGGGGGAUUAUUAUACAGGUCGUGCUAGCUGCUUCCAUUGUAGGCAAGUCUGGAAAAGGUGAGCGCUUCGUGUAUUACCUAUGUCCUUUCAUAUAAUAUACUCCAUCUGUUUCAUAAUAAUUGUCAUUUUAACCUUUUUUUUCUUGUUACAAAAAAAAAAUGUCAAUUUACAAUUUCAAUACAAAUUAUACUUAAUUUCAGAUGAAAAUUGUAUUGAUUUCAUAAAUUAAAUUCAUAAAUAAUUUUAUUUAUCUCUGGUCAAAAACAUAUAAUUAAUAACAAUUUAUAUAUUAUUGCGCCACUUUCUUAAUCUAUGUGAAAAAUAUUAAAGUGACACUUAUUUAGAAACAGAAAACUAUUUAUAUGUGUGUGCUCUUGAUAAUCAAAUAUCAAUUUUCAUUAUUUAUUUUCGUUUUCUUUUUUUUUAUAGUGCUUGUAUCCAGACAAUAUGUGGACAUGUCUCGAAUCAGAAUCGAAGGUCUCCUCGCAGCUUUCCCUAAGCUUGUUGGCAUGGGGAAGCAGCAUACCUAUAUCGAGACAGAGAAUGUGCGAUAUGUAUACCAACCUAUUGAAGUUCUCUUCCUGCUUCUUGUCACUACUAAGCAGAGCAACAUUCUAGAAGAUCUCGACACUCUCAGGAUGCUCUCCAAACUUGUAUGCUUUUUUUUUUUAUGUUUCCAAAUGAGGAAAGGACGUUUGAAUUUACAAUUUGAGUGUUUUGUUUUCUAGGUGCCUGAGUAUUCCAUGUCUUUAGAUGAAGAAGGGAUCAACAGGGCUGCCUUUGAGCUGAUAUUUGCUUUUGAUGAAGUCAUAUCUCUUGGGCACAAGGAGAGUGUGACGGUUGCACAGGUGAAGCAGUACUGUGAGAUGGAGAGUCACGAGGAGAAGUUGCAUAAGCUGGUGAUGCAGAGCAAGAUCAAUGACACUAAAGACGUGAUGAAGCGUAAGGCUAAUGAGAUUGACAAAAGCAAGGUACAUGGCGAGGAUCGCACUUUUGCUUCUUGGGUUCUCUUUUGUAACUCUUUUUGAUAUUUCAUAUGCAAUUAUCCAGAUUGAAAAGACUAGAGGUGAUAAGGGAGGAUUAUCGUCUAUGAGUUCAUUGAGUUCUGGAUUCAAUGACAUGAGCAUGUCUCAUGGUCCUGGUAGUAGUUUUGGAAGUGGUUCCAUGCUUGGCAUGUUGUCAGAUGUUGAACCUAUCAGCACUAAAGCCAAAGGUUAGUGUGCUGUAUCUACUGCUUACAGUUGUCUUUUUAAUAUUGAGUUAAAUAUAAAAAUGCCUAGCUUCAUCUGUGGUUUAGUCAACGCCUCUUUCCUGAUAAACUUUAAUAAAAAAAGUCUCUCUGCUUUGUAAUCAUCUUUUUCACCAUGCUUAAUCCCCACAGAUCGAUCAAGGUCUUCAGUUACUGCUCCUCCUAAGAGCUCUGGGAUGAAACUUGGCAAGUCUGGAAAGAACCAGUUAAUGGAGUCCCUUAAAGCCGAAGGCGAAGACAUCAUUGAAGAUGUCAAGCCCACUAGCCAGACCAGAGCAGCUGUCGCACCUCCAACUGAUCCUUUCACAUUAACUGUUGAAGAGAAACUCAAUGUGGCAUUGAGACGUGAUGGUGGAAUCAGUAGCUUUGAUAUGCAGGGCACCCUGUCGCUUCAGAUCCUUAACCAAGAUGAUGGGUUUGUCCAAGUUCAGGUACUCCUACUUUCUUAUUUAACAAUUUUAUAUAUAUUUGAGGUUGAUUUUUCUUUUCCUUUCACUUCAGAUUGAAACUGGUGGAAACCCUGAGAUUCUUUUCAAGACCCAUCCCAACAUCAACAGAGAACUCUUUAACAGCGAGAAUAUACUAGGUCUGAAGAGACCGGAUCAGCCAUUUCCCACUGGCCAAGGUGGAGACGGUGUUGGUCUUCUGAGGUGGAGAAUGCAAAGAGCAGACGAGUCCAUGGUGCCACUAACAAGUAAGGCUUUAAGGCUAAGCUUUGUCUGUAUUUGAUAUGUUGAAUGUUUCAUGCAAAACGUUUGUUCUGGUGUGCAGUCAACUGCUGGCCUUCGGUCUCUGGAAACGAGACGUAUGUCAGCAUCGAGUAUGAAGCCUCGUCCAUGUUUGAUCUAACUAAUGUUAUCAUCUCCGUACCUCUUCCUGCUCUGAGAGAUGCGCCAGUGGUUAAACAAUGUGAUGGGGACUGGAGGUUUGAGAAUUAUUUGACUUGAAUACUUUUCUUCUCUCUGGUCAUUCUUGUUUUGAGAUGAAACUCAUAAUCGUUUUUGGAUACAAUCAGGUACGACUCAAGGAGUUCUGUUCUGGAAUGGUCAAUACUUCUUAUCGACAACUCGAACCGCAGGUAAAUAAAAAUGAUGACAACAUCUGUUAUAUCAUUACAGCUUAAGAGUUUUAUUUUGUCUGAUACAUGAAAAAUCAUGUGCAGUGGGUCAAUGGAGUUUGUGGUGCCACCAGUUGAUUCAUCGGUGUUCUUCCCCAUCUCUGUUCAGUUUGCAGCCACCACCACAUACAGUGGCUUGAAGGUAUGAUAAAUUUGUUUGUUCUUGAAAUUUCUAAAUAUUCCAUCUGAGAAUUAAGACAUACAAAUGAGAGGCGUGUUCGGUGGUGCAGGUGACGGGAAUGAUUCCUCUGAGAGGCAGUGGUGGUGCGACUCCAAAGUUUGUGCAGAGGACGCAGCUGAUUGCUCAGGAUUACCAAGUCGUGUGAGAAAGCUCUUUUUGAAUUGGAGCCUUUUGUCUUUUCUUUUUGUUUAUUGCUUUCUAUACUAUUUUGUUUGGGCAUUAAAUCUUCAUUUUCUGGGAUUUUACUGAGUUUGUGGGAUCGAGUUACUUCUAAAACAUAGUAUACAUAUAUUCUUAUCAUUGUUUCUUUCUCUUCAACACAAUUUGCUGAAACCUAUGUAACUAAUGAGUUUCAAACUGAGGUUCAAAAACUAAGUUUAGCUAACAAUAAUAAUUCAUCACCGUAUGCUCAAGUCAAGAUAGUAAUGCUGGAAAUAACUAAGUUUCAAACUUAGACACGGUUCAAGAUCACGCCUUGUAAACAGGGUCCAAGAUAGAACUCCAUCGACACUUUCCUUUUGCUUCAUCUCACCUGCUCAAAAAUUUUAUCCAACUUUCAUUAUCAUCAGUAUACAAAGUCCCAACUCAAAAAUUGCAUCUCGAGUUGUGAGGAAUCCUACGGCCACGGUGCUCUUUUCCAAUAUUUUUGUUUGGUUGGCUCAUGUUUUAUCUUUUUACUAAUGUUGGGCCUAAUGUAUGUAAUGGGCUCUUUCGAUCAUUUUUGUAAGGCUUUGAAAACCAAAUUCAUGUGUCAAAAAGUUAAUUUAGACACGUGUGUAUGGAACCGAACCUAAGGACUUGUACCCGCCUUUUUUCCUUUUUAACUCGUGGUUUGGUUUGUAUCAAAAAGAUAUAAGAAGAAAAUUAGGGUUUUUUUCUCUCGCAUAGUUUUUUUUUUUGUCUCGAUUGUUCCCGAUCCGACCGAGCGAUGGAAAGAUCCGAUCCUCCUUCACCGAAGCGUCAGAAGACGGAGGAGGAAGCCACCCGCUAUAAUGGCUGUCCCGAUGAUGAUUUCGAUUUCGAUUCCGACGAUUGCUCCGACGGGGAGAUUGAGUUGUUCGACCAAGAGUUGGACAGGAGCGGCGGGGUUGGUGAUUUCGUUGUUUUUCUUUUGGAUUUUAAGUUUCUUCUUAAUUUUUUUGUUUUUUUUUUUUAAUUGUCAGGGUUAUGAAAUCGACUUCAAGAAAUUUCGCNNNNNNNNNNNNNNNNNNNNNNNNNNNNNNNNNNNNNNNNNNNNNNNNNNNNNNNNNNNNNNNNNNNNNNNNNNNNNNNNNNNNNNNNNNNNNNNNNNNNUACUAGGCCUACUCUGGAUAUGACUUUUUAUAUGCUCUCUGUAUUAGAAGAGACUGCACCAAUACUUGCAAAUUUAGCCGUAGUCGUCAAACCAAAUAUUGAUCCAGGUAGUGAGUUACAUAGGGUUCUGCACUGUUUGAAAUCGAGGGGUCACAAUGUUCUCCUAGUAGAGCUGCCACCUGAUGAAAAGUGUCUCUUUAGUGUUGACUCUCUACUUAAGAAUUCACGAUUUUUGGGUGGAGGAAAGCCUAGAGCCAAAAAAGAGUUAACUCCUGAAGAGAUGCGGGAGAUGCAGCGUCCGUAUGACUCGGAGGAGGAGGAGGAGGAGGAUGGUAGUUAUGAUGUUAGCGAUCUCUCCAACCAGAAAAUGUUAGAUUUCUCAGGUAAGACCAUCUCAAAUUGUUUGUUUGUUUUAGAUUUCAUCUGUCAUUUUUAAAAAUUAUAAAUGGUAUUUAGCCUCCCUCCCUCUUUUGCAUCGCUCAGAGCGUAUCAAACACGUCAAAGGGCCUAGGACAGUCAUCUUCUGGGACGCCAUUGAUUGCCCAUUCCCUCUUUGUUUCUCUCCUGAACAGAUCUUCCAGAAAAUCAAAUCAGUUCUUAUGAAAAAAGGUACGAAUGAUAAUAUUACAAUCUGGGCUUAUGUCGAUGAACGGUCUUGGAGGGAUAAGUGUCUGGGUAACAAGACUUGGGAUUCAAGAAUCUACUUUCUUCCCGCAGGUGAAUUCCAACCUUUUUCUUUGUGUGUAUGUAAUCUAUAUAUGUUGAUGUUUUUUCUCUUUUUUUUUUAUCCAGGGGAUAGACGUGUCAGAAUGUUAAACGACAUGUAUCUACAGUGUAGAGACGCUCCUCUGCACCAUUGUCCAGGACUUUUGAUCCUAGUCUCGAAUCAUUUCUCAGGUGACCCCUUCUACAUGGAGUUGUUUGAGGACAUGCAGCACAAAAAUUACCAUCCUUUCUUGAUAACUCCGAGGGAGCACAGCAACAUAUCAGAAAGCCCUGAUGAAUGGCCACAGUCUCUAUUUAAUAGACCUCGCAAAAGCUCACAAGGACCUCUUCCCAAAAAGCCUAAACUGGAUGCUGCUUAAAGUAGCACAUGCCCAGGGCUGAUGAUACUCUGGUUAUUAUGAUGUUGGAUCUUGCUUGCUUCACAAGAUCUAUUGUUGCAUCCUGAUAUUUAUAUCAAAAACUCUUGUUCUUAUUUUGGGUUUACGCUUUUGUUUAUUUUAAACUGCAAACUCUGUUGUGACAAAUUUUAUUGGCUACACUAUCCUUGCUGCUGGCCAAGGAGUUGAACAUGCAAGGAAAAGAUAGAUUUUUCUUUAAAGAGAAAGUGCUAAUGAUGAAAUUGGCUUGUGGCAAAGCAUAAUCAAGCAUCCAUUCCUUAUUCACAUUGUUCCAUCCCUUCACUCUUUUCUCCUUAGUCUAUAGGCUCUUCACUGACUUGAGAGCUUCUUUCUAAUAGUUCUCUAGAACAGAGGAGUUUCAAGCAUAACCAAGGAAGUCUGGCUCCAAUACAAUGGCAAGAUCAAGGAAAAGGUCAAUUGUCAAAAACUCACAAAAGGUAAUCAGAUACCUUCGUUUCAAGGUAGUUUCAAGCAAAGGUCAAGGAACUCCGGUAGUAGGACAAAUGCAAGGUCAUGAAAGUUAAGUGCCUUCAUCUCAAAAGAGUUACAACCAAGGCCAGGGGACACCAAAUCCAUGUACAAAGCCAAGGUCAAGGAAGUCAAACACCCUUCUACCAUAUUGGUUAUAGCCAAGUACAGGGGGCUCAUCUCAAGGAUCACCAAGCAGUUACUCCCAAGGAGGGAGCAGUACCCAAGGGCCAUCAGCUUUUCGAAGUUAAUUAUACCACAUUUAUUAACUUUAUUUUGCUAACAAAAGUUUGUGUGAUGUAAUUAAUACCUAAAUUUAUAUUUUCGCGACAAUAUGCCAAUCAAAUAUAUAACUGACGAUUAAAACCAUUUAAUAGAAAAAUAAAUCCAAAUUCUAUUUUGAAAAUAUAAUAAUUAGAUUUUAAAGUAAUUCCAAGUCAAUACUCCCAAAAAAAAACUAAUAUUUUCACGAAAAUACGGCAAUCAAACAUAUAACUUUUUAUGGGUAAAUUUGUGAAGUUUUAUUAUCAAUGUAUAAUUCAUAAUUUAAAUAAAUUAGUUACAAAAAGAAGUCAAAAUUAUAUUUGGAAAAUACAAAUUGCUUAGAUUGUAAAGUUAUUUAUCUUCUAUACUAUUAUUUAUGAAGUGAAUUUGAUUACUUGUCAUAUUUUCCAUGAUUGUAUAUAUACUUUUCAUGAACUUUAGAAAAUUUAACUAAUAAAUCGAUAUUAACAAUUGAUAUUAAUCAUAUCUACUGAUAGUAUCAUAAUUACGUUUAUCUUAAAUUUAGUUUAUGUAAUGACUACUAUUAUUGUCAGUUUCUUUGAUUCUUAUUGAAAAUAUGAUCCAAAUAAUUAUUGCAAUAUUAAAGUAAGAUUAAAGAUAAAGCAUUAUGAAAAUAUGUCGCAAAAUAUAAAUUAUAUACUUAUGGCAAAUACCAUGUAUAUAAUAGGACAAUUCUCUCAAAUAGACAUUUUUAAGUUUAAACUAACCAUAAAUACAUUAUUAAUAUUUUUCAUUAUUUCCUUAAAUAAAAUUACGGAAUUUUCUAAUGUGGCUAAAGUAUAUAUGACAAUUAAUGAUUUUGAAUAAUAAAGAUUUGAUAAAAAUAAGUGUAUCUUAUAUUACAUUUUUUUUAAAUUUUAAACUAUUAAAAUAAAUUAAACAACCAUAUUAAUCAUUUAAUAAAGAUUUAGAUUUUUUCUGUAUAUGUUAUAUUUUGAAUUUUUUAAAACGAGUAUAAAUUACUAAAACUGUUAAAAGUCUCACAUUCAAGUUUUGUGAUCCAUGUUUUAAAAUUUUUGUUAUGACAUGGUACAAAUGAUUACAAAAUCAUAUAAAUCGAAAGUCUCAUUUAAUAAGUAUUAAAAUUAAAAGAUAUAUAAAUAUAUAUAUAUAUAUAUCAUUUAAAAUUAAACUAUAUGCCAUAUAAAAAUACAUAUAUAUUCUAAUUUUGAAAUAUACUUUGAACAAAAAAAAAUUGAUAAAAAAAUAUAUAUCAUUUUAUUUUUGUUUAAAUAUUAUAAAUUAUUUAAACUAUUAAUCCCACAAUGAAAUUUUAUUAUCAGUAAUCUAAAGUUUUUACAAUGACAGAUUCAAAUGAUCAAAAAAAAAUAUGAGCAGAAAGUAUCAUUUAAAUUUAAAAUAUACUAUGUAUAUGUUGCUAUCAUUUAAAUUUAAUUAUAUACCAUAUCAAAUAGACAAAAUACUUUUUUAGAUUAUAAAAUUUAUUUAUGUGUUCGUACCAAUUUAAUUAUAUAAGUAAUAAUUACUUAAUUUUUAAUUAUUAAAUAUAUAUUUAUUAUUUCAUAAUAUGUUAAAAAAUAUAAUACAAAAAAUAAUUUAUAUAUAUAAUAUUCAUCCCGCGCAAGGCGCAGAUCUUUAAUCUAGUAUUCAUAUAUUCAACAACACUACACACCAUCUUCUGUAACAAUCGUAUCAUCAAAUCUAUUUAUCUAUUCGCACCAACAAGAAUUUUAAAAGCAGCCAAACAAACAAAAAAACUUUUUAUUCUCGAGCAUUUCGUCACAUGAAAACUCAGUUUUCCCUUCAAGAGUUAGGCACAAAUGUCCCAAUCUGCCCAAACCCCGCGAUGAAGAAUGUGAUUGCUUGCGCGAAAAGGUAUAGAUAACAAUGAUUCUUCCCAAAUAACGCGUCAUAACAUCCGACAGAGAAUAUAUACAUUCCUACACCGAGUUCCACCACAUGAAUUGUUUUAGAAUGAAACAAAACUGCAAGAACUUUGCUUUGCUUAUAAAGAGGAGAAGUAUUUACCUAUCUCCAAAUGUAAAACGAAGCUUUUUUAGUCUUUAUUGCGGAAUUAGCUUUAAGAUCUCCAAGCUUCUCAGUAACAAUCCACUCGUUAACUCUUCAUCCUUCGUGUAAACCUUGCAUUUUAUUUGAUUUUUUUUUUUUCCUUUUUCCAGGGGAUAAAGCCUCGAGACGUAUCAGAAUGUUAAAUGACAUGUUUUUAUUGGCAAGGGACUCUCCUCAGUGCAGUAGUUAUGACGCUAGUUUGGUCCUGUUCGCAGAUCAGUUCAUAGGUGCCGGCUACUACACCGAUAUGCUUCGACGAUUGGAUGCCAUGAAUUACGGUCUUCUCUUAGUCACUCCGACUCUGGACAUCAACAAACCCGAAACCCCUCAAUGGCCCGGAUUGCUUAUGGAUAGAGGCGCAGCCAGUUUUGCUCUUGAAACUAGCAAAAUCUCUGAAGCCCAUGCCGCCGCAGAAGAAGAAGAAACACCUAAGAAGCUGGACACGCAUGGCAAACUUCUCUCGGAAACUGAGGACAUGAAGAAACCAGAAAGCUCUGAAUGUCCAGGACGGCAAAUAGAUGGAGGAUCAGGCUGGGGAAGCUCUGAAGAACCUUGUCCCAGAAAGCAUAAAGCCGGUGCGGCCGAAGAAACAUCUGAUGCGGCCGUAGGGGUUGGGACUAGCUAGCUUCUGUUGUCGUAGCCCGGUGGAUGUUUAUUUAAGUUUUUAUUUAUCAAAAUUUAAGUUCUUAUUUAUCAAAAUGUCUGCUAUAUUUAAGUUUGUACUUGUAUUUUGAACUUCAAACUCCGUUGUAGUAAUUUUAUGACUUCUCUUUUUAUUCUUGCAAUCUUUGGUUUUUCUUGUUGUUGUCUUCCUUCUGUUUAACCGCCAACAAACUCGGGCAUUGUUGUUUUUCUUCAAAUUCAUUUGCUACACCAUAAUCCCAGCAUCUUGUAAUCGGGGAAAGGAUUAUUCCCUUCUAAACCAUUUAUAUAACAUUAAUAAACAAAUAAACUAAAUAUAAGUACAUUGUAAAAAAAUUCACGUUAACUUAUAUAUCCAUUUUUUAUAAAUAAAUAAAUAUAUAUAUAUACAUAUAUUAAAAUUAAUUGUAAAUGUGCUUUAAAAUACAAAACUAAAGCAAUAUUAAUCAAAUAAAAAUUUAUUGAUAAUUAAUGUUUAAAUUUUUUUUUAGCAUUUAUUGGUUUAUUUAGGGUUUCCCCAAAAAAAAGGAAAAGAAUGCACACAGAUCCGUUCCGUUGAAAAUAUGUCAGCACCCUUGAUAUUUUCCUUUUUUAAAAAACAAAAAAUUGAGAUCCAAGAGAGAUAUAAAAACAUGCCCUCAUAGAUAUCUCAGCAAGCUGCAGCCUAGCUCUCUCAUCCGUCCGUGGAGAAAAGCAUUCAAAGCAAGAUCUAACCCCUAGCUAGAAGGAAGGUCUCUCCAAUUCUCAUCGUCAUCUCCGCAGAACCAUGGGCGAAGACGAUACCAUCGGUUUUGAGUCCUGUAAGAUCUCUCUCCAUCUAAAAUUGUUUUGUUAGAUUUCAUCUGAUUCGAUUAUAGGGGAAGUAAUGGUUUAUUUUUUCUAAUUUUUUCGUAAAUUCGUUUGUGUGUAGUGAAGCAGACGCUCGUGUACUGGAACAUGGAUGACUACCCAAUCCCUGUAGAUACUACCGAUGAGCUUGAUCCUGUUUUUGGUGAUAUCUUAAAAGCUCUUGAUGUAAUGGGCUUUCGUAAUGGGCAUAUAGACGUGUAUCUGUAUUCUGAGCAAAUCAACAGGGAGGAGGCUGUAGUCGACUGGACUUUACCCGAAAGUAAAUUCCUCACUCUCCUUUGCUCGUCAUCGUUUCUAUUUUAAAUUAUAUAUAUAUAUAUAUUGUAAUCGGACUUGUUUCUCUGUUGUUGUUUGUAGGCGAAUCUUACGGCGCUUGUGUUUACAAAGUGCCGGAUAUCACUUUGUAUAUGAUUCGUCACGCAUCGUGUAUUGGACCAGGACCAGUGAAUUUUUUUGUAAUUGCAAAACCAAAAAGGGAGUUACAUAGGGUUCUGCACUGUUUGCAAUCAAGGCGUCACAAUGUUCUUCUAGUAAAGCCGCCGCCUCCUGAUGAAGAAUUUCUCUUUAGUGUAGCCUCUCUACUUGAGAAUGCUCGAUUUUUAGGUGGAGGAAAGCCUAGAUUCAAAGAAUUAUAUGCUUCUUAUGCGCUUGAGUAUGAUAUGUGCUUUGAAGAGUAUGUAGACAUCCCAGAAGAUCUCUCCAGGACGGUAGAUUUCUCCGGUAAGACCCCAAAUUGUUUCUAGAUUUUUCUAUUUUUGAAAAUUUAUUAUAAAUGGUAUUUUAUUUAACCUCUCUUUAUUGCAUGUAUGUAUGGCUCAGAGCGUAUCCCAACCGUCAGAGGGCCUAGGACAGCCGUCUUCUGGGACGCCGUGGAUUGCCCUUUCCCUCCUUCUUCCACCCCUGAUGAGAUCUACCACUCUAUCUCAUCAGCUCUUGUUGAAAGGUAUCUUAGUGAUAAUAUUAGAGUGUUUCGAUAUCCAUUGCCAAAACCUCCAUCGAUCGUAAUAGCCCAAUGGGCCCCGUCAAAGGGCCUCGUAUCAUUAUUUGUUGUACAAAGAACCUACAAGCAGAUUAAUAUUUUGCUAGGUGUGAAUUUAUAAAAUUAAAAUUUAAAACAUAUAGUAUUGAUUUAAAUAAAUUUAUAUAUUUGAUCCAUUUUUUUUUAUAUCUAUACAAUUAUGUUUUCUUUGUAUUUAUUAUAUAAUUAGACCAUCUAUCUAUCUAUCUAUACUAAUAAAGUUGAGUUGAGUCGCAAUUUUAAAUUUUCAAGUUUUUUUUUUGCUUUAUUGCAUAACUAGCUUUUCAGGAAUAACAACUUAAUUAGAUUUUUCAUAGCCCUAAACUAAAUCUCUUUUCCUUCCACCAUGUUCUUCGUUUCUAGCCUACAUAACCAAUCCUUCCUCUUUCCUACCGCUUAAAAGCUUCCCUUUUAACGCCUAGGGGGGGGCUUAUUGAAUUGAUGAUUUGAGAAAAUUCUAGUUUUAUCCAAAUAUCUUCUCAUUGGCUGUAGGAUUUUUCAAAACUCUAUCAAAUUCACCCUUAUUGGACUAGCCAUUUAUAAAAACUCUUUAAAAUUUCCCCUUAUUGAAAAAUGAGGAUUUCACUAGUAAAAUCUCUCGUAGUUAUUUUGAGUUAUACCAAAAAAAUAUUUAAAGUUAAAAUUGAACAGAUACAAAUACCACCUUAUGAGUUGGUAUUUGAAGAAAUGUGAAAAAAAUAUCUACGUUCUCCCAUUUGAAACCCAAAACAGUGUCUCUCCUAAGGGAAUCAACUUUGACACUGGAGCGACACUCGCCUUCGUGACACUAGAUCCGAUGGAGAACGUGAGUUCAUGUUUUACCGGAACCCUAGCGCCCACAUGAUACUCCAUCCUGGUGAGCUUAACUUUGAUCUCAUCAGAUCUGCUAAGGUGUUCCACUAUGGAUCAAUAAGUCAACUUCAACUUGAAUGCUGUCAACGUAUAUGUUGACAUGCAAACCACCAAAUUUAGGGAUUUUGAGACUGCAAAAGGGCUUGUGGAGGAGAUCAAAAGCAUAGUAGGGGGUCUUCCACCUGCAGCAGAUGGUAGUAAGUACAUGACCAACAAGAUAACUUGUUAUCUCUCUACGGAUCCUUAUCUCCCUACGGAUCCUCACGAACGAGAAACUAGGAAUGUUCUAGAGAGGCUUCGAGUGAAAGUGAAGCGGUUUGCCUUAAGAAAGAUGUUUUGUAGAAAUUGUAGAGGUUCUCAGAUUACUCCUCCUCGUCCAGGUAAAAACAUUUAGUACCUAAUUUUUUUCUGUUUGUUUUUAUUUUUCUUGCAAAAAAAAAAAAAAAAAUCUAACCAUUUUAUUUGUUUGUGCUGUGUGAAGGAAAUCUACUACCUGGACAGAAACCACAACUUCUUGAGAUAGAAAUGGUAUGCGACCUCCUGUGGCACGUCUUAGACCUCGAAGAUCAUCGAUUUGAGCUGAAUAAGAAUUUGUAUGAGGCAAAAGAUGGGAAGGUACCAAAACCGUUCAGAGACACAGUGAUGCUGAUUACGGGUGACCAGUGGUUAACAAACGAGCUGGAGUCGGAUUGUCUAGAUGGAUUCACGCUUCUGAAGGACAUACCUGCUUGUUUGGAGCCAAUGCCAAUGUCUAUAUCGAAGAAUGAGUAUUGGAAGCGACGCCGAGAGCUAGAGGUAAAUAUUUGAUAUGUGUACUGUUUAGCUUUAUCUGUUUAGAGGCUUUUGGGUAGUUCAGUAUCACCGCACAUUACAUCGAUCAUUUUUUUUACUUAGCUUGCUUUAAUAUUAGCUCUCUGUUGAUACGUACCAGUUCUCUAAUGAGAUGUAUUCUUGCUUCUGCUUAUUAAUGCAGGGGCAGGUUUGAAGUCCUUCUAUGAUGGAUGGUGAAACUCAAGAUUAUUUGCUUUUUGUUUCUUUUUGUUGAAAUUUUCCUGGAUGGUUUUGCGCUUGAUAGAGCGGUGAAUCUGUGGAUUCUAUCAUUUCGUUUUGUCCUAUUUUGUCCUAUUCGACACUUGAUUUAGUUUUUUUUUUUUUUUAAUAAUGUCCCAGUUUUUAUAAUUUGUGGGAUUAUGAGAGCUUCUAAGUGUUUUAACCGUGAUGAAGCACACGAACAAAGUAAAAAGGAGUGAAGUAACCGUAAGUAUUUGAGAGAGAAGAUAAAUUUGAGAAUUUAAGAGAAUGAGAGGAUUUGUGAGAUUGAGAGAAUGAAAGAAAUGUUUGUAUUGAAUUGUGUGUUUAAUUGUGUAACAUACAUGGUGUAUUUAAAGGAAACAAAAGCAAUAAGCACUCAAUGAUGGAAGAAUAAAUAACUAGUAGUGGACUAGCCACUCCUCCCCAUUUGGUAAGUGAUAUGGCCACUCCUCCCACUUCCUCCACUAACUAGUAGUGGACUAGCCAUUCCUCCCCAUUUGGUAAGUGAUAUGGCCACUUCUCCCACUUCCUCCACUACUUCCCUUUGUUUAAUUCUUCAUGUCAACAUUCGACACUUGAUUUAGUUUUUUUUUUUUUUUAAUAAUGUCCCAGCUAGUCUUGAAGAUACCGUAACCAAGCUAAAUUAAAAAAAAAGGCAUCACAAAUCCUUUCCCUAGUAUAUUAAGUUUAAAAAAUAGAUAUAUACUAGAUUAAGAUCCGCGCCUUGCGCGGAAUAAACAUUAUAUAUAUAAAUUAUUUUAUGUAUUAUAUGUUCUUACAUAUUAUGAAAUAAUAAAUAUAUAUUGAAUAAUUAAAAGUCAGUAACUAUUACAUAUAUAAUUAAAUUGGUGCAAACGUAUAAAUCAAUUUUAUUAAUCCAAACAUUUUUUUUUAAAAAAAUUUGAUAGGAUAUGUAAUUAAAUUUAAAUGAUAUUAACAUACAUAGUAUAUUUUUAAUAUUAAUGUCUAUUUUUUUUUAAAUGAUGCUUUCUAUUCAUAUUUUUUUUAUCAUGUGUAUUUUUAAUAGUAAAAACUUUAAAUUACUGAUAACAAAAUUUUCAUUGUGGGAUUAAUAAUUUUAGUAAUUGAUAAUUUAAAAAAAUUCAUCAAUGUUAGUUCAAAACUUUUAUCAAAAAAAAUUAUUCAAAGUAAAUUUUGAAACUAAAAUAUUUAUUUAUUCAAUAUGGUUUAUAGUUUAAUUUAGAAUUAUAUAUAUACAUAUAUAUUUUAAAUCUUAAUGAUUAAUUAAAUUAGACUUUUACUUUUAUGAUUUUGUAAUCAUUUGUAUUUUGUCAUAACAAAAAUUUUAAACCAUGGAUCGCAAAAUUUAAAUGUGAGACUUUUAACAGUUUUAAUAAUUUAUAGUCAUUUUUUAAAAUUCAAAAUAUAAAAUAUACAGAAAAAUCUAAAUUUUUAUAAUAUGGUUAUUGCGUUUUUAAAAAAUUAUUUUAAUAGUUUUAAAUUAAACAAAUUUGAUAGAAGAUACAUUUUUUUAUCAGAUCUAUAUUAUUCAAAAUCAUUAAUUGUCGUAUAUACUUUACUCACAUUAGGCAAUUCCGUAAUCUUUAUUUAAGGAAAUAAUAAAUGACAUUAAUAAUGAAUUUAUGGUUAGUUUAAUAAAAAACUUAUUAUAUAAUUAGAUGGACCAACAUAUUUCUCUAAUAAUUCUAAGAAUCAUCCUAGUGGUGACAUGUGGCUACAAAAAGAUGUUGUAAUGUUUCACAAAUAAUAUAUAGGGGAUAUACUUCUAUCGAAAAUACAAUAUAUAACAUUAUUUUCGGUCUCAACUACUCUCGAUCGACAUUACAUGUGAUAUAAUGAAUCCAAUGGACAAGCAUUGUUUGGUUCUAUAUGUUAUUGUUCUCGACUAUAUUCGUAGUCUUCAAUCGAAAUGGUUCUAUAUGUUAUUGUUCUCGACUAUAUUCGUAGUCUUCCAUCGAAAAGCAUUGAUGUAUAUAGGCUCUGUCAAUUCCUUCAUAUAACUCAUUAAAAAAUUUGUUAUUUCAAUCCCACGGAAAUUUGGUUAAGUUUGUGGGGAUGUCUUGUUGAUAUAAGAAUACGGAUAUACUUAUUAUGGAAUACAAUUUUUAAUGGUCAGGAAGAAUUACGCUUAAAUGUCGAGUGGUUUUGAGACAUGCAUUAUUUGUUUUUCUUUUUCUAGUUAGGCCAUAGUCGGGUUGUUGUUCGUUUCGAUGUCACACGACUGAUCGCGCGACCAGUCGCGGGUUCCAAUUCAAGUCGCCCGAAAAAACAGCGACUAAAAAUUAAGAAAAUUUUGAUCGAACGAGUGGUCGCAGAUCGCAGGUCGCGCGACACGUAAACGAACAUAGUUUUAGUCGCAGGUCGCAGGUUUAGUCGCAGGUCGCAAGUCACGUAAACGAACAUAAUCUUAGUGGCAGGUUGGGUAAACGGCCUUACCUAUUCCUAUGAUAUGUCUUGUCUACUGUUGCGUGUCCAUGCCUUUAGAUAUGAAAACAUAAAUUUAUCUUUAUGAAAUUUUAUUUUACGAGAUGCGAUCUUUGUAGUAGCAUAUAUCAGGUAUAUAGAUGCAUCUGUUUACUACUAGAAUCAAGGUUCAGUACUAGAGAAAUAUAUAAGAAGUCUUACAAAAUGACUAAAUGAAAACAUAAUAAGAAUUGGUUAUAGCCUACUUUAAUUUGACUUUCAUCUUAUAAUUUGGUCGGUAUGCCCCAACCAAAUCUAUCCCUUUCAUUCUAAGCAUCGUGUGACAUAUAUAAUAGUUAAGUCAAGGUUUAUCUCUCAUAAAACUAACUCAAAAGAAUUAGCUAACCUCAUGAUUACCUUCUUCGUUGGAAAUUAAUUACUCACUCAUGAUUCUCUCCUUUAUUUAGCCUCAAACCAUAACUCUCCCACAGAUUCUGAUCUCCGUCUCCCAUGAAGAACGGGAAGCAGUUUGUAUUAGCGGCCAUUGCACCGCUCGGGUUUCCAGCGGCUGCGUUUACAUUUGAUGUUGAAGAACCCACAUUGCCUUGUUCAUUCAUCUGAUGACGCUGAUCAUUAUCAUUAUAUCCACUUUCUUGAUUGUUGUAGAUCGUAUUUUCUUCGGUUGUUGGAUAGUAAACGCCGCAGCUCGACGAAUUGUCCUUCCUUUUCUUGUUCAUUUUCUUCUUUCCAUUGCUUAUCCACUCCCAAUUUUCCUUGCAUAACAAGGCACUUUUCUGAUCGAACCCUAACUGAGCCAUUUUCCCUGCGACUUCCUCCCAUAAAGAAUCAUCCGAGCAUCCUCCCAAUAUCUCUUGAAACGCCGAGUCCAUACUAGUUCUUAUCUCCAUAAGCUUUGUGAUCUCUUGCUCAUUCCAGCAGCUACCACUUCCUUCAAUAGAAACAUUGUUAGUCAUUGUUUGGUCGCUUUCAUUCUCAUUCUGAUUCUCACUGUUCUUUUGGAUCUCAUUAUUACCAUUAAUCCUCUCCUCUGGGGAUGAACAUAACGGCUUUAUUAACGUCUUUCCGGUCAAAAACUGCAAAGCCUCAAUCACCGCCACAUCCCUAGCUUCCAUCCUCUCCCUCUCUUUAGACCAAAAAAAAGCUCUUUAUCGAUCCUCGCAGCCUCACUCUUUCUCCAUUCCUCUUCUUUCAUCAUCCUUCGUUCCUCUUUGUCUUCAAUAACCUUUGUCAACUUCUCAAGCCAAACAUCUUGACUUUCUAUCAACCUUUUCAUGUUCACAUCAAUGAACUCCUUUAUCUUAUUUUUCCAACUCCUCUUUUUCCUUCUUCUACUAGAAUCAUUCCCCUCAGAAGACGAAGUCACCAACUCCAGCUCGGAGGAAUUGUAGUUGUUAGAAAGGCUUAGGCUUUGACGAUGGAAACCAUGAACACUAUCAACGUUAUGGAUGUUAGACGUUGUUGUAGUAACGUCGUUCAUGGCGUUUUGAGUGUGGAAACCAUGAAGAGCAUUGCUCAUGAACUGUGUGUUAUGACUGGGACAAGGAACCAAGUUGUUGGAAUCACCGUAGAGCGCCUCGAGCUGCCGGAAAAAUCUAUAGUGUUUACCGUCUUGUCUUCCGGCUUUGCCUUCUCUAGUCUUCUUAUAGUAUUUGUAAAGGUUCUCAAACUUCUCUCUGCAUUUUUUCCCACUCCUUUGGUAUCCAUGUUCCUCAGACAUAAUCCUAAAUGUUAAAGCAAAAUAAGACUACAUGUACAAUACUUCAUGUUUCGAUUAAAAUUUAAAGCAGUACCCUAAUCUUGAAACUAGGUUUGAAUCAUGACUGUUCAUAAGAUAUUCAUAUAUUCAUCGUUUUCAUGCAUAAACGUAUACAGAAUAACAUUGUAUGGUCUAUUCGCUUAAGUUUAGAUAAUAACUUAAAAGUUUGUUUUUCUUACAUAACCAAGAUUAUUUUGGAGACUUACUAGUGGACUAAUAGUUUAGCACAAGAACGUGUUUCUAUGCAUAGUUACACAAAAGAAGAGGGUACAUAUCUCCAGAAGCUAAGAAAGAUGAAUCAGAAGUUAUCAGUAAAAAGGGAGAAAACUAAAAUCAAAGUCAAAGAUGAUAAUAGAACUCUUUAUUUUACUAUUUUCUAUGUUUAACCUUUUGGGGUCUUAAAGCACUUGCUAAUGUCUUAACUGAAACUGCCAAGGUCUGGUCAUUCUCUCGACCAAACCAAAACGACUCCUAGAGAAAUUGUUUUAAACUGACCACUCUGCAGAUACACAUUAAUAUGUGUGUGUGUAUAUUUACAUAUAUACGCGCGAAUGUAAUAUUUAUAUGUGUCCCUAUAUUGAUCAGCUCAAAAAGUAUGUUGAAAUUGAGGAGCCCAAGGGAAGUGUUGAGAUCACAUUCUUUCUAGUCAUUAAUGCAGAAAAAGGUUUAACUUGUCUUCGGGAUUAUCACUUGAAAGGUCUAAUUUUUAACAAGAAAGCGUAUGAAAGGUCAAAUCUUUUCAAAUCUGAAAAAAACUCCGGAAAACAAAAUGCUUAAAUUUUAUUAAUAGUUUUUUGAAGAUGUAGCUGUUUAGUGUUUAGAAAUGAAUGUUUUCUUCCAUUGGAAAUUUAUUAAUUUUCGCCUAAUUGACUAACUUUUUUAAAUAGGAUACAGUGUCGUCGAUGAAUCAAAAGACUCUUAUGGUAUGAAUUGGUUUGAGAAAUGUGCUUAAUAUUUUUUAAUAUUUUUAUGAAAAAUAGCGGAAAAUAAAAAGAGAGAGAGAGAUUAGGGUGAAGUGAAGCAAACCUAGAAACUUCAUCCCAUAGAGGUCCCUUUUGAUUAGCUUCUUUGAACUUAUGAUCAAGACGAGAUCUAAUCUCCAGCAGAGUUAGGGUUUCUUGUCUCGGCCAUCUCCCCGUUCCUCCACCAUCUCCUCCGCCGCCGCCGCCGAUACCUCCUCCGCCACCGCCUCCCCGCCAAACCCAACUGCUCCACCACUGCUGCUAGCGUUUAAGUUACUGUUAUUUCCAGCCGUCGAAGAACUCCCACCCAGUCCAUGUAUGCCACGUGGUAAGAAACCCAUCUCCUGAUCUGUAGUGAACUGAUGUAGCCGGUGGUGUUGCGGCGGCGGAGGGGGCGCAGCCGGAGCUAGGUUGAAGCCAAAGAAGUCGGAGGGAAAAUGAGAAGAGGUCGACGGUGAUUCCGUCGUAGUCGCCCUCCCCCCGCCUUGCAUGAGCUGCCGGAGCUCCGGUACACCAUACUGAGGAUGAUGAUCGUCCAUUUUUAGAUUUAUACUCAGCUGAAAGAGAAGGAAAAAGUAAAGGCUCUACCCUUUUAAUUCCAAAGAAAGAAAGAAAAGAUUGAAGCUUUUUUGAGAGAGAGAGAGACUGAUCGUGUAGUUCACGAAAAAGGUCGAAUGUAAGCUACAGAUAUGGUCCCCUGACUUAAUAACAUUUUUUUUAUUUUUCUUCUUGUAUGAGUGUGGGCGAGAGAGGGAAGAAACCGAUGUAUGGUAUGGUCUAUGGAUACUACAUACAGAUCUUUUUGUAUGUAUACUGUAUGUUUUAAGUUUUUGUACCAUGUCCAUGUGUCUUAGUUCUCAUUAUCUCCUAUCAAAUAAUUUGAAUACAUGCAUUGAUGCAUAUAUAUUCAUUUCAAUGCAAGGUUAGAUACAAUAAUACAUCGAGCCAUCGAGGCAUUCUUCUUUAAAUCUUGGCUGUAGAAUUGGUUUUUAAAUAAUGAUCUGAAGACAGUUUUCCAUUUCCUCUGUAGAUUUUUUACUACCGAGUUUCAUUAGUAUUUUGGAUUUUUGUAUGAGGAUAGUUUUAAGGCAAUUUGCACAUGUGACUCCAUAAUUGACACAACCUUUUUGGAAAACAAAGGGUUGCCUAUAAAAUUAUUCCCUUGAAUUAUUAGGUAACAUCAUUAUUUUGGCUGCAGUCUCGGAUAUUUUUCCCAUUUAUUAAAGUAUGAUUUACUUUGUGAGCCCCUGAAUAAGUAGAUACUUGCACAUUUCUAUAUCCCUACUUCUAAGAGCAAGAAAUGACUCUAAAAUCAUUAAUAAUUAUGGAUAUAUAUAUCCUAAAAACCAAACAGUUUUUUCACAUUAGAUAUUGUCAUGUUUAAUAAUUCGUGUACCUUUUUUUUGCUUUUAAAUCUGUCAUUCAGCUUUUAAAAUCUUCGUAUUUCAUAAAAAAAGGUUUCCUCUGCACUGAGAACUUUAUAAGAAAAUUUUCGAGAGACAUGUUUGUGAAGUUAUUUGAAAAUCAAAUUAAAUUAAUUGGCCGCAAUAAGAGGGGGUCCUCUGCAAAAUUACCAAAUUAUUGGCUUUUAUGCUCCCCAACAUUUCAAUCUGUCUAAUCCCUAACCAUUUGGCUUUAUUGUUCCCUUUUCACACUUUUAUUGCUUCAAUCCUAAUGUUCACUGAGUUUUUAAUCCUUAUUUCGAUAUUCAUUUCAUGGAACUACACAUUCAAAUUCGUAUUUAGAAUGAUAUCAUUAUUAGAUUUAUCAUGAUUUUUUACCGCUUUCAUUUGAAAAUCAAACAAAUAUCAGAACUGAACCCUUUUUUGGACAAAAAAAAUAUCAGAAUUGAACUAUCUAUAUAAUUCACCUCGUUGUAGCUAUAGUGAUGCUCAGCAUAUAAGUUUAUUUACCUGAUUAAUUAUUAAUUUAAAGUUUCGUAUAAAAUAACUAUUGAUUGUAUGUAAAAUACUGCUAUCGGAAUUCUGAAUUUGCGAAACUCCACCGUAAUUUUUUUCACAUGUCAUGAACCAAUGAAUCAGAAAUAUUCGUUUGUAAAGAAAAAUUAGUGGAACUAACAGUAACAUUUUCGGGAGUUUUGGUUUGAUCCUUAAGAGGAAGGAUCUACAAAAACAUCAAAACCGAUGGAAGAAAUCGCUAAAUAAGAGACGUUUUGGUUUGGUCUUUAUACUGUUCGCGGACUCUAGUAAUACGUAACGGUUCGCGAUUGAUUCGUUUUUAAUUUUUUUUAAUCAGACAAAAAAAGAAAUUAAGGACCCUACCAAUAAUAUUGCUCUAAUGAAGAUUGCGAGAAAAAAAAAGAUUUUAUUGUAUUUAGUGAUGAGAGCUGAGUACACGUGCCACAUUUGUAACCGUAUGUUAUAAGACCCUCUCCCAUCAACAGUAUCCUCAUUAGGCACACCAAAACGAUGCCGUCGAUUUUCUAUAACUUGUUUUAGGGUUCUUUUCGAGCUUUCUUUGGUUUAUUUUCUUUUCUUCGUUUCUUAAUUUAUUUAAAUAAGAAAUAAAUAAAUAUAUGCUUCUCUCUUCCAUGGAUUGCAGACAAAUAACAAGGUUUUAGGUUUGUCACCUACCUAUUUAUUGUUUCUGUUUUUUUUUGUGAACUACCUAUUUAUUGUUUCUUCACCGCCAAAUUAAUUGACACCUUAUCUUCUUCUUUUCCAUCUCCUUUGAUUUUAUCAAAUAUUGUAAGGAGGUCAAUUCUUUGAAUUAUACUUCAUUCACCUCGUUUUUCUUAUAACAAAACCAACUUCGAUACUUUGAAUGAUAAAUUUCAAAAUUCAGUUUAGACUAGUAUAGGAAAUAUCAAAAAUAUAUAUAAGAAACAUUUUUUUCUAGUAAUUUCUUCAUGUCCUUUGUAUUUCCCAAUAGAUCGCAAUAUAAUCACAUUCAAAUUGUAUUAAUUGGAUUUCGAUACUGACACAACUAUAACUAUAUUUUAGUUGACAUAAUUCUAGAUUAGGAAAUUGAAAAAUCUAACAAUCUCUCUAUAUAUACUCCUUCAAUUCCUAAAAAUCCAUAUUUUAGAAUUCUUACACUUUUUAAUAAAACAUAUUAAAACUUAGCUAUAAAUGCAUAGUUUUCUGUAAUUUUAUAUUCUUAAAUUUUUAAACUAAUAAAAUUUUAAGAAAUGCAAUUAAUGUUUUUGAACUUCACAACUUUUCAUUAUUAGUGGACAAAAAUUAUAUUGAAAAUAUAAAAUAUGUACUUCCUCUGUUUCUAAAUAUAAGAUGUUUAGAUAGAAAAACACAUUUUAAGAAAACUACUUUUUGUUUUGUCCAAAAAAAAAAUUUGUCCAAAAAAAAAAAGAAGAAAACUAUUUUUUGUCUACUAAAUAUAAUUAAAACUAUAAAUUAAUAGUAUUCAACCAAUUACAAAAUAUAUUAUUAAAAUAUAAUUAGUUACAUAGUUUUUAACAAAGUAAAAGUUAUUUAAAAAAAUGAAAACAUCUUAUAUAUUAGAACAUCAAAAUUUUGUAAAAUAUUCUAUAUUUAAAAACAAAUGGAGUAUGUUUUUGAAAUAAUUUUUUUUAUGAAUCUUUUAGAAACGGAUGAAAGAAUUAAAUAUUCUAGUAUUUGUUAGUAGGUGCCCUGAAGGUGGCCUCUAGUUUCCACGUCGGGUAGAGGCGAAGGAGCAUGCAUUUGUGCGAAAGUGAAUUUUUCUUUUUUUUUGAAACUAACGAAAGUGAAAUUAAAAGAUUAAAAUAUCAACUAUACUACUACUAAGAUGGGUCAAUGUUCCACAUGCAAACAAUAAUUCUCAAAAUAACAAUAAUAUAUAUGCGGUAGGGCCUUUAUUCAUUCGUACAUCACCAAUGUAUUCGUACAUUGAUUAUAAAUUCGUACUUUAUGGUUAAUAAGACGUAUAUAAUUCAUAUGAGGGUACACUUUUUAACGAAGAAAUUACUUAAAACGAGUUUCAUUAGUGAGAUAACACAUCCAAAAAUAUGGCUUACUUAAGAUAAACACUGAGUUACUAUUUCCUAGAUUUACAACAUUAGUCAUCGGUGACCCUUUCGAUAUGAAAAUGUCAUGAUUCUCGUUAAAGCAAACUUUGGUUUUUAUUGAAAAAAGGGAAAGUGGCCUCAACCAUGAUCUGUUUUAUAUAAUAUAUUUUUGUUCUAUCAGUGAAGAUCUCUCUCUUUAAUUUGCUAAUAACGAGAUCUAUUUUUCCACUGUUGUGUAUGAAUCAGAAUAUAAUAUUCCUCAGCAAUCAUACCGUUCAAAAAUUAAAACUGAAAGACAUUCUUGAUCGCAAAGUUGGGGACCACGGUACCAAAAUCACGAAUAAAAGUUUACUUAAGAAUAUUUGACAUAAGAUAGCUAGAUGCCGACAAAUUCAUAAUGAUCACUUUGGAUUUGUUUUAAAAGAAAUUAAUAAGUGAAGAAGUAAUUAUUUCUUAGAAAGGAGUCAAUGACAAACAAAAGCAACAUAUACAUAGAUUUUUGAAAAAAAUUCAAAAAAUUUGAUAAUAUUAUUUUAAUUUAUAAUUGCAUCAUUCACUAAAAUAUGAUGAUGUUCAAAAAAGUUUAGAAUCUUUGUUGUUCCUGUUUUUAAAGAAAAUAACGAUUCUACAGUAGUUAUUCCACCUAUUUAAGGAGUAUUAUGAAGUUAUACUAAAUAAAUUGAUAAACAAAAUUAUAACGAUUCUCAUAUACCAUGAAAAAGAGUUUUACAUACAUUAAUACAAAUGUAUAAUGUGGUUAGAAAUUUUAAAACAACACUAAAAAGUUUCGGCUUCACUAUAUAGAGCGUUUAACGUAAAACUCAAUAUUUCGUAUGAGUUUAUUCAUAGAUUUUAAAAAAUUAAAAAUACUACAAUAUUGUUUUAAUGCAUAGUUGCAUCCUAAACUAACAUAUGAUGAUGAUCAAAAAUCCUUGAAACCUUUGUUAUCUAUGUUUCUCUAGAAAAUAACGAUUCUAUAAUGGUUAGUCCACUAAUUUAGGGAUUACAUGAAGUUUUACAAAAUUAAUUGAUAUAAAAUUAGAAAGAUGUCCAUGUACGAUGAAAAAAGAGUUUAAAUAACAUUGAUACAAAUUUAGAAUGUGGUUACAAAUUCUCAAAUAACCCUAAAGAUUAUAGGCUUCAGUAUAUAAAGCAUUUACCAAAAACUCAAUAUUUUCGUAGGGGUUAAUACAUAGAUUUUGAGAAAAAUUUCAAAAAAUUUAAUAAAAUAUUUAUAAUGCAUAGUUGUUGUCUCUGUUUUUCAAGAAAAAUGAUGAUUCUAAAGUGGUUAUUCCACCUAUUUAGGGAGUAUUAUGAAGUUUUACUAAAUAAAUUGAUAAAAAAUUAUAACAAUUCUCAUAUACCAUGAAAGAGGGUUUAACAUACGUUAAUACAAAUUUAUACUGUGUUUUGAAUUUAUAAAACAACACUAAAAAUUUUAGGUUUCAGUAUAUAGAUCGUUUAACGUAAAACUUAAUAUUUCGUAUGGCUUUAUAUAUAGAUUAUGAAAAAAAUUCAAAAUAUAAAAAUAUUAUUUUAAUGCAUAGUUGCAUCCUAAACUAACAUAUGAUUAUGGUCAAAGAGACUUGUAACCUUUGUUGUCUAUGUUUCUCUAGAAAAUAACGAUUUUAUAAUGGUUAGUCCACUAAUUUAGGGAUUACAUUAAGUUUUACAAAAUUAAUUGAUAUAAAAUUAGAAAUAUGUCCAUGUACAAUGAAAGAGAGUUUAAAUAACAUUGAUACAAAUUUAGAAUGUGGCUACAAAUUUUAAAAUAACCCUAAAGAUUAUAGGCUUCAGUAUAUAAAACAUUUACCAAAAACUCAAUAUUUUCGUAGUGGACAUAUAGAUUUUGGGAAAAUUUCAAAAAAAUUGACAAUAUUGUUUUAAUGCAUAGUUGCAUCUUUCACUAACAUAUAAUGAUGUUCAAAGAGGUUUGGAGCCUUUGUUGUCUCUGUUUUCCAAGAAAAUGGCGAUUCUACAGUGGUUAUUCCACCUAUUUAGGGAAUAUUAUGAAAAAAAAUCAAAAAUAUAACAAUUUUUUAAUGCAUAGUUGCAUCCUAAACUAACAUAUGAUGAUGGUAAAAGAGGCUUGGAAAAUUUGUUGUCUAUGUUUCUCUAGAAAAUAACGAUUUUAUAAUGGUUAGUCCACUAAUUUAGGGAAUAUUAUGAAAAAAAAAUCAAAAAUAUAACAAUUUUUUAAUGCAUAGUUGCAUCCUAAACUAACAUAUGAUGAUGGUAAAAGAGGCUUGGAAAAUUUGUUGUCUAUGUUUCUCUAGAAAAUAACGAUUUUAUAAUGGUUAGUCCACUAAUUUAGGGAUUACAUGAAGUUUUAAAAAAUUAAUUGAUAUAAAAUUAAAAANNNNNNNNNNNNNNNNNNNNNNNNNNNNNNNNNNNNNNNNNNNNNNNNNNNNNNNNNNNNNNNNNNNNNNNNNNNNNNNNNNNNNNNNNNNNNNNNNNNNNNNNNNNNNNNNNNNNNNNNNNNNNNNNNNNNNNNNNNNNNNNNNNNNNNNNNNNNNNNNNNNNNNNNNNNNNNNNNNNNNNNNNNNNNNNNNNNNNNNNNNNNNNNNNNNNNNNNNNNNNNNNNNNNNNNNNNNNNNNNNNNNNNNNNNNNNNNNNNNNNNNNNNNNNNNNNNNNNNNNNNNNNNNNNNNNNNNNNNNNNNNNNNNNNNNNNNNNNNNNNNNNNNNNNNNNNNNNNNNNNNNNNNNNNNNNNNNNNNNNNNNNNNNNNNNNNNNNNNNNNNNNNNNNNNNNNNNNNNNNNNNNNNNNNNNNNNNNNNNNNNNNNNNNNNNNNNNNNNNNNNNNNNNNNNNNNNNNNNNNNNNNNNNNNNNNNNNNNNNNNNNNNNNNNNNNNNNNNNNNNNNNNNNNNNNNNNNNNNNNNNNNNNNNNNNNNNNNNNNNNNNNNNNNNNNNNNNNNNNNNNNNNNNNNNNNNNNNNNNNNNNNNNNNNNNNNNNNNNNNNNNNNNNNNNNNNNNNNNNNNNNNNNNNNNNNNNNNNNNNNNNNNNNNNNNNNNNNNNNNNNNNNNNNNNNNNNNNNNNNNNNNNNNNNNNNNNNNNNNNNNNNNNNNNNNNNNNNNNNNNNNNNNNNNNNNNNNNNNNNNNNNNNNNNNNNNNNNNNNNNNNNNNNNNNNNNNNNNNNNNNNNNNNNNNNNNNNNNNNNNNNNNNNNNNNNNNNNNNNNNNNNNNNNNNNNNNNNNNNNNNNNNNNNNNNNNNNNNNNNNNNNNNNNNNNNNNNNNNNNNNNNNNNNNNNNNNNNNNNNNNNNNNNNNNNNNNNNNNNNNNNNNNNNNNNNNNNNNNNNNNNNNNNNNNNNNNNNNNNNNNNNNNNNNNNNNNNNNNNNNNNNNNNNNNNNNNNNNNNNNNNNNNNNNNNNNNNNNNNNNNNNNNNNNNNNNNNNNNNNNNNNNNNNNNNNNNNNNNNNNNNNNNNNNNNNNNNNNNNNNNNNNNNNNNNNNNNNNNNNNNNNNNNNNNNNNNNNNNNNNNNNNNNNNNNNNNNNNNNNNNNNNNNNNNNNNNNNNNNNNNNNNNNNNNNNNNNNNNNNNNNNNNNNNNNNNNNNNNNNNNNNNNNNNNNNNNNNNNNNNNNNNNNNNNNNNNNNNNNNNNNNNNNNNNNNNNNNNNNNNNNNNNNNNNNNNNNNNNNNNNNNNNNNNNNNNNNNNNNNNNNNNNNNNNNNNNNNNNNNNNNNNNNNNNNNNNNNNNNNNNNNNNNNNNNNNNNNNNNNNNNNNNNNNNNNNNNNNNNNNNNNNNNNNNNNNNNNNNNNNNNNNNNNNNNNNNNNNNNNNNNNNNNNNNNNNNNNNNNNNNNNNNNNNNNNNNNNNNNNNNNNNNNNNNNNNNNNNNAAGAACACUGAGGUGAUAGGAUACUGUGAUGCAGAUUGGGCUGGAGAUAGAGUAGACAGAAGGUCAACCACCGGUUAUUGUACAUUCAUUGGAGGGAAUCUUGUCACUUGGAAGAGCAAGAAACAGAAAGUAGUAUCUUGUUCAAGCGCAGAAGCAGAGUACAGAUCAAUGAGGAAGCUAACCAGUGAGCUUAUCUGGAUAAAGGGGCUUUUAGGCGACUUGGGAAUUGAGAUCACCUCUCCCAUGACCAUGCACUGUGACAACCAAGCCGCAAUACACAUUGCAUCCAACUCAGUCUUUCAUGAAAGGACAAAGCACAUAGAAGUAGACUGCCACAAGGUCAGACAAGCAGUGGAGCAGCAAGUGAUUCUCCCAUGUUAUACAAGAAGUGCGGAUCAGCUGGCUGACAUCUUCACCAAGGCGGCCAGUAGCAAAGUUUGUGAGUCCAUUCUUCCAAGACUUGGACUCAUAAACCUUCCAUGUCAAUGAUCUCCUCACCGUGGAGUAUUCUACUCUUUUUCCUUUGCUUGGUUUUUAUCCCAAGUGGUUUUUCCAAGAAAAGGUUUUAAUGAGGGAAUACUUCAUGGCUUUCCAAGCUUGACACUCACUACUGUCAAGCUUGAGGGGGAGUGUUGACAUGAAGAAUUAAACAAAGGGAAGUAGUGGAGGAAGUGGGAGAAGUGGCCAUAUCACUUACCAAAUGGGGAGGAAUGGCUAGUCCACUACUAGUUAGUGGAGGAAGUGGGAGGAGUGGCCAUAUCACUUACCAAAUGGGGAGGAGUGGCUAGUCCACUACUAGUUAUUUAUUCUUCCACCAUUGAGUGCUUAUUGCUUUUGUUUCCUUUAAAUACACCAUGUAUGUUACACAAUUAAACACACAAUUCAAUACAAACAUUUCUUUCAUUCUCUCAAUCUCACAAAUCCUCUCAUUCUCUUAAAUUCUCAAAUUUCUCUUCUCUCUCAAAUACUUACGGUUACUUCACUCCUUUUUACUUUGUUCGUGUGCUUCAUCACGGUUAAAACACUUAGAAGCUCUCAUAAUCCCACAAAUUAUAAAAACUGGGACAUUAUUAAAAAAAAAAAAAAACUAAAUCAAGUGUCGAAUAGGACAAAAUAGGACAAAACGAAAUGAUAGAAUCCACAGAUUCACCGCUCUAUCAAGCGCAAAACCAUCCAGGAAAAUUUCAACAAAAAGAAACAAAAAGCAAAUAAUCUUGAGUUUCACCAUCCAUCAUAGAAGGACUUCAAACCUGCCCCUGCAUUAAUAAGCAGAAGCAAGAAUACAUCUCAUUAGAGAACUGGUACGUAUCAACAGAGAGCUAAUAUUAAAGCAAGCUAAGUAAAAAAAAUGAUCGAUGUAAUGUGCGGUGAUACUGAACUACCCAAAAGCCUCUAAACAGAUAAAGCUAAACAGUACACAUAUCAAAUAUUUACCUCUAGCUCUCGGCGUCGCUUCCAAUACUCAUUCUUCGAUAUAGACAUUGGUAUUGGCUCCAAACAAGCAGGUAUGUCCUUCAGAAGAGUGAAUCCAUCUAGACAAUCCGACUCCAGCUCGUUUGUUAACCACUGGUCACCCGUAAUCAGCAUCACUGUGUCUCUGAACGGUUUUGGUACCUUCCCAUCUUUUGCCUCAUACAAAUUCUUAUUCAGCUCAAAUCGAUGAUCUUCGAGGUCUAAGACGUGCCACAGGAGGUCGCAUACCAUUUCUAUCUCAAGAAGUUGUGGUUUCUGUCCAGGUAGUAGAUUUCCUUCACACAGCACAAACAAAUAAAAUGGUUAGAUUUUUUUUUUUUUUUUUGCAAGAAAAAUAAAAACAAACAGAAAAAAAUUAGGUACUAAAUGUUUUUACCUGGACGAGGAGGAGUAAUCUGAGAACCUCUACAAUUUCUACAAAACAUCUUUCUUAAGGCAAACCGCUUCACUUUCACUUUAAGCCUCUCUAGAACAUUCCUAGUUUCUCGUUCGUGAGGAUCCGUAGGGAGAUAAGGAUCCGUAGAGAGAUAACAAGUUAUCUUGUUGGUCAUGUACUUACUACCAUCUGCUGCAGGUGGAAGACCCCCUACUAUGCUUUUGAUCUCCUCCACAAGCCCUUUUGCAGUCUCAAAAUCCCUAAAUUUGGUGGUUUGCAUGUCAACAUAUACGUUGACAGCAUUCAAGUUGAAGUUGACUUAUUGAUCCAUAGUGGAACACCUUAGCAGAUCUGAUGAGAUCAAAGUUAAGCUCACCAGGAUGGAGUAUCAUGUGGGCGCUAGGGUUCCGGUAAAACAUGAACUCACGUUCUCCAUCGGAUCUAGUGUCACGAAGGCGAGUGUCGCUCCAGUGUCAAAGUUGAUUCCCUUAGGAGAGACACUGUUUUGGGUUUCAAAUGGGAGAACGUAGAUAUUUUUUUCACAUUUCUUCAAAUACCAACUCAUAAGGUGGUAUUUGUAUCUGUUCAAUUUUAACUUUAAAUAUUUUUUUGGUAUAACUCAAAAUAACUACGAGAGAUUUUACUAGUGAAAUCCUCAUUUUUCAAUAAGGGGAAAUUUUAAAGAGUUUUUAUAAAUGGCUAGUCCAAUAAGGGUGAAUUUGAUAGAGUUUUGAAAAAUCCUACAGCCAAUGAGAAGAUAUUUGGAUAAAACUAGAAUUUUCUCAAAUCAUCAAUUCAAUAAGCCCCCCCCUAGGCGUUAAAAGGGAAGCUUUUAAGCGGUAGGAAAGAGGAAGGAUUGGUUAUGUAGGCUAGAAACGAAGAACAUGGUGGAAGGAAAAGAGAUUUAGUUUAGGGCUAUGAAAAAUCUAAUUAAGUUGUUAUUCCUGAAAAGCUAGUUAUGCAAUAAAGCAAAAAAAAAACUUGAAAAUUUAAAAUUGCGACUCAACUCAACUUUAUUAGUAUAGAUAGAUAGAUAGAUGGUCUAAUUAUAUAAUAAAUACAAAGAAAACAUAAUUGUAUAGAUAUAUAAAAAAAAAUGGAUCAAAUAUAUAAAUUUAUUUAAAUCAAUACUAUAUGUUUUAAAUUUUAAUUUUAUAAAUUCACACCUAGCAAAAUAUUAAUCUGCUUGUAGGUUCUUUGUACAACAAAUAAUGAUACGAGGCCCUUUGACGGGGCCCAUUGGGCUAUUACGAUCGAUGGAGGUUUUGGCAAUGGAUAUCGAAACACUCGUUAGGGUUUUUACAGAAGAAAAAAAGAAUGCACAGAUCUGACGGUUGAGAGUAUGCUUAUCUGAGAUCCAAGGGUUAGAAAACAGGCGAGGCACAGCGUAAUAGAUCUCUCUGCGAGGGGGGACGCAGUCACAAGAAGUAGAAAAAAAAAACCCUCUCUCUCUCAUUCAAAGGCUCUCAUCUAACCCUAAUUAUAGAGAGAGAAAGUCUCCAAUCCUCAUCGGUGGAACCAUGGACGAAGAAGGCGAGACCAUCUUAUUUUAUUCCGGUAAGAUCUCUUUCUUAACAGGAAUUUGUUUGUUAGAUUUCGAUCUGUAGUAAAUUCGUUUACGCCUUGUCCUUUUUUUUUGUGUGUGUGAAAGUGAAUGAUACAUUCGUUUGCUGGAACAUUGAUGAUUGCCCAGUCCCUGUGGAUACCGAUCUUGGUUCUAUUGUUAAUAAUUUCGAACAUGCUCUUCACCAAAUGGGCUUUGCGGGGAGAAUGAGCAUCAAUGUGGAUUGUAAGAAACUCAACUCCAACGAAGAAGCCUUGUUUAAGGCCGGAAGAAUUUUCUACUUACCCUAUGGUAAAUUCCUCAGUCGCUUCUAUUUAAUUAUACGCCUAAGUUAUUAUUUAACUAAACUAAAAAAUGUUUGAUUUAUUAUGUAGGCGAAACAAUGUACGGCAAUUUUGGUACUAGGCCUACUCUGGAUAUGACUUUUUAUAUGCUCUCUGUAUUAGAAGAGACUGCACCAAUACUUGCAAAUUUAGCCGUAGUCGUCAAACCAAAUAUUGAUCCAGGUAGUGAGUUACAUAGGGUUCUGCACUGUUUGAAAUCGAGGGGUCACAAUGUUCUCCUAGUAGAGCUGCCACCUGAUGAAAAGUGUCUCUUUAGUGUUGACUCUCUACUUAAGAAUUCACGAUUUUUGGGUGGAGGAAAGCCUAGAGCCAAAAAAGAGUUAACUCCUGAAGAGAUGCGGGAGAUGCAGCGUCCGUAUGACUCGGAGGAGGAGGAGGAGGAGGAUGGUAGUUAUGAUGUUAGCGAUCUCUCCAACCAGAAAAUGUUAGAUUUCUCAGGUAAGACCAUCUCAAAUUGUUUGUUUGUUUUAGAUUUCAUCUGUCAUUUUUAAAAAUUAUAAAUGGUAUUUAGCCUCCCUCCCUCUUUUGCAUCGCUCAGAGCGUAUCAAACACGUCAAAGGGCCUAGGACAGUCAUCUUCUGGGACGCCAUUGAUUGCCCAUUCCCUCUUUGUUUCUCUCCUGAACAGAUCUUCCAGAAAAUCAAAUCAGUUCUUAUGAAAAAAGGUACGAAUGAUAAUAUUACAAUCUGGGCUUAUGUCGAUGAACGGUCUUGGAGGGAUAAGUGUUUGUGUAACAAGACUUGGGAUUCAAGAAUCUACUUUCUUCCCGCAGGUGAAUUCCAACCUUUUUCUUUGUGUGUAUGUAAUCUAUAUAUGUCUCACUUCCGUUGAUGUUUUCUCUUUUUUUUAUCCAGGGGAUAGACGUGUCAGAAUGUUAAACGACAUGUAUCUACAGUCUAGAGACGCUCCUCUGCACCAUUGUCCAGGACUUUUGAUCCUAGUCUCGAAUCAUUUCUCAGGUGACCCCUUCUACAUGGAGUUGUUUCAGGACAUGAAGCACCGAAAUUACCAUCCUUUCUUGAUAACUCCGAGGGAGCACAGCAACAUAUCAGAAAGCCCUGAUGAAUGGCCACAGUCUCUAUUUAAUAGACCUCGCAAAAGCUCACAAGGACCUCUUCCCAAAAAGCCUAAACUGGAUGCUGCUUAAAGUAGCACAUGCCCAGGGCUGAUGAUACUCUGGUUAUUAUGAUGUUGGAUCUUGCUUGCUUCACAAGAUCUAUUGUUGCAUCCUGAUAUUUAUAUCAAAAACUCUUGUUCUUAUUUUGGGUUUACGCUUUUGUUUAUUUUAAACUGCAAACUCUGUUGUGACAAAUUUUAUUGGCUACACUAUCCUUGCUGCUGGCCAAGGAGUUGAACAUGCAAGGAAAAGAUAAGAUUUUUCUUUAAAGAGAAAGUGCUAAUGAUGAAAUUGGCUUGUGGCAAAGCAUAAUCAAGCAUCCAUUCCUUAUUCACAUUGUUCCAUCCCUUCACUCUUUUCUCCUUAGUCUAUAGGCUCUUCACUGACUUGAGAGCUUCUUUCUAAUAGUUCUCUAGAACAGAGGAGUUUCAAGCAUAACCAAGGAAGUCUGGCUCCAAUACAAUGGCAAGAUCAAGGAAAAGGUCAAUUGUCAAAAACUCACAAAAGGUAAUCAGAUACCUUCGUUUCAAGGUAGUUUCAAGCAAAGGUCAAGGAACUCCGGUAGUAGGACAAAUGCAAGGUCAUGAAAGUUAAGUGCCUUCAUCUCAAAAGAGUUACAACCAAGGCCAGGGGACACCAAAUCCAUGUACAAAGCCAAGGUCAAGGAAGUCAAACACCCUUCUAUCAUAUUGGUUAUAGCCAAGUACAGGGGGCUCAUCUCAAGGAUCACCAAGCAGUUACUCCCAAGGAGGGAGCAGUACCCAAGGGCCAUCAGCUUUUCGAAGUUAAUUAUACCACAUUUAUUAACUUUAUUUUGCUAACAAAAGUUUGUGUGAUGUAAUUAAUACCUAAAUUUAUAUUUUCGCGACAAUAUGCCAAUCAAAUAUAUAACUGACGAUUAAAACCAUUUAAUAGAAAAAUAAAUCCAAAUUCUAUUUUGAAAAUAUAAUAAUUAGAUUUUAAAGUAAUUCCAAGUCAAUACUCCCAAAAAAAAACUAAUAUUUUCACGAAAAUACGGCAAUCAAACAUAUAACUUUUUAUGGGUAAAUUUGUGAAGUUUUAUUAUCAAUGUAUAAUUCAUAAUUUAAAUAAAUUAGUUACAAAAAGAAGUCAAAAUUAUAUUUGGAAAAUACAUAUUGCUUAGAUUGUAAAGUUAUUUAUCUUCUAUACUAUUAUUUAUGAAGUGAAUUUGAUUACUUGUCAUAUUUUUCAUGAUUGUAUAUAUACUUUUCAUGAACUUUAGAAAAUUUAACUAAUAAAUCGAUAUUAACAAUUGAUAUUAAUCAUAUCUACUGAUAGUAUCAUAAUUACGUUUAUCUUAAAUUUUGUUUAUGUAAUGACUACUAUUAUUGUCAGUUUCUUUGAUUCUUAUUGAAAAUAUGAUCCAAAUAAUUAUUGCAAUAUUAAAGUAAGAUUAAAGAUAAAGCAUUAUGAAAAAUAUGUCGCAAAAUAUAAAUUAUAUACUUAUGGUAAAUACCAUGUAUAUAAUAGGACAAUUCUCUCAAAUAGACAUUUUUAAGUUUUUGUCACAAAUAUAGCCCUCGAACACUAAAAUGACCAAAGUGAUAUUUUUAUUUUGAAAAUUUUAUUAUUUUAUUAUUUUAUUAUUUUUUAAAUUUUUAAAUCAUAUCCCCAAAACCCACUCCUCAACUAUAAAUCCUAAACCCUAAACUCUAAACUCUAAACUCUAAACCCUAAACCUUAAACCCUAAACCUCACUCCUUAACUAUAAACCCUAAUGUCUAGAUUAAUUAACUCUAGAGGUAUAAAUGUAUAUUUACUUCUUUUGAUAAAACAUUUAAGCCUAUUUUAGUUAUUUUAUUUUUAAGGUCUAUAUUUGUGACAAAAAAAGAUUUUAGGUCUAUCCUAAAGAAUUUCUCUAUAUAAUAUUAAACAUUCUUAUUCCUAACCUUAAAUAUAUUACUAUGUAUUUGUACAUGACAAGCAUCAAAAUGACAAAUGAGUUCAGGCUAAUAAUGAAUUUAUCUAUAAAAUUUCAAAUUUUAUCAAAAUAAUAUAUGUAAAACCAAAAUAUUAAAUAUUUUAUAAACUACAAAAUUAACUUAAAAUAUUAAAAAUAUAUAGAAGCAUGAAAAACUAGGGUUAAAACAUUAAAUAACACUUAAAAUUUGACAAAUAAUAAACAUAAUAUAAAUAUAAUCUAAGAGAAUACAUAGGUAAUAUUUUGUAAUUCAAUAUUUCUUUUUUUGUGUUUUUGUCUCACUGAUUUUAAAAUCUAAAUCAUAAAGAAUAUAUAAUGUUUGUUGACUGUAGUCUUAAGUAAAAAAAUGCUAAUAAGUACUUAUGCACUAUUUGAUUACUGCAACAUAAAUACCAAUCAAACUUCCAUGAAACAACAAAAAACAAAUUUCUAUUCCUUAAAUAAGUUUCAAUCAAUAUAUAAAAAAUUCUACAGUUGCCCUAAUUAUUUUUACUUUUAUGUGUUUCAUUAAAUUAAAACAUCAAUCAAAAUCUAUGCAACGCACGGAUCUAUACUUAGUAAAUACUAAUAAAGUUGAGUUGAGUCUCUUGUAUGAACAAUUAGUGAUACCUGACAAUUCUAAAUUCUCAAGUUUUUUUCUUAUUGUAUAACUAAUUUUUAGAAAACCAGGCCUUAAUUACAUUUUUCAUAGCCCUCAACUAAGCUCUUUUCCUCCCACCAUGUUCUUCGUCUCUAGCAACAGAACCAACCCUUCUUCUUUUCCACAACUUAAAAGCUUCCCCUUUAAUGCCUAAGAACAUGAUUAUUUGGGAGUUCUUAGGGUGAGGUUCUUAACAGAAUAUAAGAACCCGUCUCUUAAUUUUUAACUAAAAAAGCUAAGAACCGGCUCUUAAAUAAGUUUUAAGAGCCGGUUCUUAGCUUUUUUAGUUAAAAGUUAAGAGACGGAUUUUUAUAUUCCGAUAAGAACUCCACCCUAAGAACCCUCCAAUAAUCAUGCUUUAAGAUCCAAAUUUAACACUUUUUAAACAAAUAUCAUUAUGUAUUAACGCCUAAGACCCAAAUAUAGAUACAUAUAAUAUUAUCCUUUUUAGACUACUUAAUAUUAUUUCAUCUAAUUAAUAAUGCUCUAUUAUUUAAAGAAGGUGAAUUCACGUAAGAUAGUCUAUGCAUUUAUGUUUUAUAAUUAUCAAUGAUAUUUAACUUUUUAAUAUAUUAGGGGCAGGCCCGCCCUACGGUCGGGUAUGUCUACGUAAAAUUAUUUUAUAUAAAAUGUAUUUUAAUUUUAUAAUAUUUUUGAAAAUUAUCUUUAAAUUAAAUAUAGUAAAUAUUGUUUUUUUCUAAGAUCAUAUUGUAGAUUUGUUAAUUUUGUUCCAAUAACUCAUAAAGAAUACUUUUUUCAGACCACUUAUCAAACCAAAAGGAAGUGUUGCAACUAUUUCCCACUUCAAUCUUAUAAAACAUCUUCGCAACAUCUCUAAGCUUCGACAUUUUCCUCCGAACUCUUUCUCUUGAGUAGAUUGUUUUUUAUCCAUUUCCUCCGUAGAGAUUCCCCAGUCAACAUCCUCCAGAUUAGCUUCAGUCCAUUCACCACAUUCACUUCUUUUAAAGCUCCAGAAAUAAAAAUUUAACGUUCGGUCUUCAGUUCGUGGUACCAAGUCGUCUUCUUCUCUGCAUCAUCCUCUUAUCUCCGCCGUGCUUUGCUCUCCGCGUGGCCUCAAGCUUCGCCGAGAUUCUCCUCCAUCGCCACGAUGUCACCAGACCAAGCACAGCGAGCUCCUCCACCGCCGCAGCCAUUGUCGUUCUGUCCAAGCACGGCGAGCUCCUCCACCGCUGCAGCCAUCGUCGUUCUAUCCAAGCUUCCGGUGUCGUGAAUAAAUCUCCAAGCCGCAGCCAUCGUCGUCCAGCUCCGGAGGCGACAUCGCAUCAAGCGGAGCUUUCACGAAGAGCAACAAUGGUGAAUUGUAGAGUAUUUUCACAAUUGGUCCUUCAACCGUUUGGUUCUUCUCUUCAUGGCCCAAGUUAUCAAAAUAGAAUAUACAUCCUACGAAUCAACUCCUGAACUUCUGAUUUUACAAUCUAACCCAAACGAAUAUUCUGAUUUUUGCAGCAUUGGUCCCUGAAUCUUGAUAACUUCAUAUUUGACCCCAGACUUCCAUAAUGUACAAUUUAACCCAUGAUUAUCGUCCCAAACUUCCAAUUGUGCACUCCAAACCCUAAUGCACAUGAAUGAACAAAUAUAUACGAUGUAGACACCUAUAUGCAAUCUAAAGUGAUCAUAACAAGCUAAAGUAUGAACCUAAAACUCAUCAAAAUCACUAGAUAUCAACAUGCAAUCGCGGCAUUGUUUUUUUUUUUUUUUUUUUUUCCGUGGGGGAUCCCAGGCGGUAAGCCCAGACUAAUCCCCACGAGGCCUUCCAUCCGGGCACGCAUGGUUAUAGGCGGGAAGGUGGCCAAGGCGACUCGAACCCAGGGCGGGCACUCCAGCUGGAGUUCCAUUACCACUAGGCCAAGAGCUCUUGGUUAAUCGCGGCAUUGUUAGCCAUUGCAUAUUAAUCUUUGCACGAUCUGCUUGAGGCGGUUCAAACACUUUCUCACAACAGCAGCAAGGUCUCAAUUGUGCCCAAAAUGAUUUCUAGCAACACUGGUUCGAACCAAGAAUACUCACUCUGUCUCUAAGAACCAUAGCAUUGAUUCUCUCAUUUGUUAUGUAAUAUUUCACCGUUCUGCAACAGUGAGUCCUGGAUUAGUUGUUGCAGUAGCAGCUGCUUGCAUGUUGUAGCUUUUGGUCACAUACUUAAGACUAGUGUUCUUAAUGUUUUCUGAAGUCAUACCAUAUUUGCUAACUUUCGGUUGCUAUCAAAAGAAUCUGUGUGAUGGAAUUUUACCUUGUAAGUACCUAAUUAUAUAUUUCACGAGAAUAUGCCAAUCAAAUAUAUAACUGAUGAUUACAACCAUUUUUUACAAAAAAUCCCAAUGUUAUAUUUUUAAAAUAAAAUAAUUAUAUUUUAGAGUUAUUUGAAGUCAAUACUCCCACAAAACCCCUAAAAAUUCAAAUACUUUUUGGGAAAUACCAUAGGAUAGCAGUAAAAAAGUUUAUGUCACAAAUAUAGACUCUAAGAAUCAAAAUGACCAAAAUGUUUCAUUAAAGAGGUAAAUAUACACUUAUACCCCUAGGGUUAACUAAUUCAAACCUUAAGGUUUAGAGUUAAGGGGUGGAGAUUUGAGAUUGAAGUUUAAAAUUUUAUAAAAUAAAAAAUAAAUAUUAAAAAUUUGAAAAUAAAAAAUUUAAAAAUAGUUUCAAAAAUUAUUUUCGAAUUACAAAAAGAAAAUUUGAAAAGAAAAUAAAACAAAUUUCGAAAAAAAAAUUCAAAAUCUUUUGUUUUUUAAAAAGUUCAAAUUUGAAAAUAUAUAAUCUAAAACUAUAUUAAAAAGUAUUUUUUUUUAUUUUUUUUAUUUUUUAUUUUUUUUAUAUAUCUAGGGUAUUAGUGUCCUUUUACCUAUUAAAUGAAACAUUUUGGUCAUUUUUCUCCUUGUGAUCUAUUUUUGUGAUCAAAACUUGAAAAUUGUCUAUUUAGGAGAAUUACCCAUACUUUUUGGUAAAUAUGUUAAUAUUUAUUGUCAAUUUAUAUUAGAUAACUUAAACCAACUAUUUACACAAAAUAAGUCAAAAUUAUUUUUGAAACAUACAUAUUGCUUUGAUUUGAUUUUAGAGUUAUUUGUAGUCAAUAGCCCACAGGAACCUUUUAUUUACAAAACAAAGACACAUACUUUAUGAGACUUAACUCGGCCCAGUAAUUUAGUCUUAAGACUUCAGGCCCAUUAUUUGAACUGUGCCACGUGGCCUUUCGCUAAUAAAAACCCUGAACCCUCGUUUCAUUUCAGGAGACAUCUUCACUCUCAUCGUCGGAGAACUGUCACCUUCAGCGUCAGCGGAGGUCUGCUCGCUUUUAGUUUUUUUCACUCUCUCUCCACUCUUCUUCUGUUUAUUUUCUUCCCCUCUUGUAUGAGUUAGUGCUUACUGAAUCAAAUUUCUGCUGACUUCCUCUCUGUUUCCUAGGGUUAAUUUUAGGGUUACUCGUUAUGUCAACGGACUCGGAAGCUGAUUUUGCCGUCAAUGCGUCGACUUUCGAGAGCGGAGAGUCUGAUUCCGAGAGUGAGGGCACAGGUUUAGAUGCAGAGUCUGAGGAAUGCUCGCAAAGAUCGAAACUUGAGAGUCUGAAGAAGCUAUCUGAUUCAGAUUUGGUUUGGGGCAAAGUAAGCAGCUUUCCAUGGUGGCCUGGCCAAGUCUUUCUCAACUCAUCAGUUGCCUCCAAAAAGGCCAAGAAGCACUUCAAGAAAGGAGCUUUCUUGGUCGCCUACUUCGGAGAUUGCAGUUUCGCUUGGACCGAUGUAUCAAAGAUUAAGCCUUUCCGUCAGCACUUCUCGCAGAUGGUGGAGCAGAGCGACUCCCCUGAGUUUCGUAACGCUGUUGGUUGUGCUUUGGAAGAGGUUUCGAGGAGAGUGGAGUUCGGUUUGUCUUGCGGUUGUGUCUACCAGGAAGCUUAUGAUAGAGUCAAGACUCAGAGCGUGAUGAACGCUGGGAUUAGAGAGGAGUCAAGGGUGAGAUACGGUGGAGAUGAGGCGUCGAGCGCUGGCCUUUUCGAACCUGCGAAGCUUGUGGAGUAUAUGAAGCGUUUAGCUUGUUGUCCAAGGUAUGAUGAGAGUGAUGAUAAGCUGUUGUUUGUGAGUAACCGAGCUCGGUUAUUUGCGUUUCAGCAGUGGACAAGCUGUAUUAACUUUCCUAGAUACGAAACGGUUCUUAAGGAUGUGUCUGAUGCAAAGAGAGAAGAGGAGACUUUGUCAGAUUGUAUUGCAGAGAGAAGCAAAUCAGUUGGGAAGAAGCGUAAGGUUGAGUCUUUGGAAUCAGGUAAGCCUGAGAAAAAGAUCAAGACGGUGGCUGAACCAUCAUGUUUUUUAAUGGGAGCUAUCCCUUUGAGGAUGGAAAGCGAGGUGAUGACUCAUACACUGAACCCUUUGGGUGGUGAUUCUAACUCUAUUUCAAAGCCUGAUGAGAUGAUCUCAAGCCUAAAGGGAACACCUAAACCUCUCAACUUAGAGCACUCCAAUUAUGAAGAUUUUGAGAAGUUUAUAGAGGAAACGUCUUGUGGUAAUCUCAGCCACGACUCGGAGAAGGCGAGUGUACCUAGUGAUGUGAAAGAAUCUUCAGACCAGCCUGAGUCAGGCUCCAAAGUGGUGCAAACCGGUGUCAAAGACUGUUCAGCAGAUUCAUUGGCAGCACCCAAUGCAUUGAUCCUCAAGUUUGCUAGUUCAGGUUCCGUUCCAUCCGCAGAAAAGCUGAACAGCAUAUUCAACCGUUAUGGUCCCCUCAGAGAAGCGGAGACUAGGGUCAUGAAGAAAGGCAAGAAAGCUAGAGUGAUUUUCAGAAGAGGUGAAGAUGCAAAGACUGCCUUCAGCAGCUCCGGGAAGUACAGCAUCUUUGGACCUUCUCUUCUAAGCUACAGCCUCAAGUAUGUUGCCCCCCCCCAAGCCAAAGAGAACAACGACAUGUACCAAUCAAGUGGAGCUGCUCAAGUGGAAUCUCAUAACAAGCUCGCUAUUGGAAUGAACAGCACCGCUUCAGCUCAACUCUUUGAAGAGCAUGUGGACGACGGUUCUUACCCAUCUAGUCUUGAACCAGUAGUAGCAGAAGACGUUGCCUGGGAUAAUCCUACUGAUAGUGGUAGUGGUGAUCAAACCACGAUUACGUUUGGGAGUUUUACCGUUCCGGUAAACACCAGGGGAAGGUCCGGUUUUGAUAAAAGCAUGUCUGAGGCAGGAAGCUCCAGCAAUGAGGAGUAUGAAAAAAAAAAUGACAACGAAGGAUUUCAGGUUGUAGGUUGUCCCUACGAGUUCAACAACUUCAACUUGAAUGCUGUCAACGUAUAUGUUGACAUGCAAACCACCAAAUUUAGGGAUUUUGAGACUGCAAGAGGGCUUGUGGAGGAGAUCAAAAGCAUAGUAGGGGGUCUUCCACCUGCAGCAGAUGGUAGUAAGUACAUGGCCAACAUGAUAACUUGUUAUCUCUCUACGGAUCCUUAUCUCCCUACGGAUCCUCACGAACGAAAAACUGAGAAGGUUCUAGCGAGGCUUCGAGUGAAAGUGAAGCGGUUUGCCUUAAGAAAGAUGUUUUGUAGAAAUUGUAGAGGUUCUCAGAUUACUCCUCCUCGUCCAGGUAAAAACAUUUAGUACCUAAUUUUUUUCUGUUUGUUUUUAUUUUUCUUGCAAAAAAAAAAAAAAAAAUCUAACCAUUUUAUUUGUUUGUGCUGUGUGAAGGAAAUCUACUACCUGGACAGAAACCACAACUUCUUGAGAUAGAAAUGGUAUGCGACCUCCUGUGGCACGUCUUAGACCUCGAAGAUCAUCGAUUUGAGCUGAAUAAGAAUUUGUAUGAGGCAAAAGAUGGGAAGGUACCAAAACCGUUCAGAGACACAGUGAUGCUGAUUACGGGUGACCAGUGGUUAACAAACGAGCUGGAGUCGGAUUGUCUAGAUGGAUUCACUCUUCUGAAGGACAUACCUGCUUGUUUGGAGCCAAUGCCAAUGUCUAUAUCGAAGAAUGAGUAUUGGAAGCGACGCCGAGAGCUAGAGGUAAAUAUUUGAUAUGUGUACUGUUUAGCUUUAUCUGUUUAGAGGCUUUUGGGUAGUUCAGUAUCACCGCACAUUACAUCGAUCAUUUUUUUUACUUAGCUUGCUUUAAUAUUAGCUCUCUGUUGAUACGUACCAGUUCUCUAAUGAGAUGUAUUCUUGCUUCUGCUUAUUAAUGCAGGGGCAGGUUUGAAGUCCUUCUAUGAUGGAUGGUGAAACUCAAGAUUAUUUGCUUUUUGUUUCUUUUUGUUGAAAUUUUCCUGGAUGGUUUUGCGCUUGAUAGAGCGGUGAAUCUGUGGAUUCUAUCAUUUCGUUUUGUCCUAUUUUGUCCUAUUCGACACUUGAUUUAGUUUUUUUUUUUUUUUAAUAAUGUCCCAGCUAGUCUUGAAGAUACCGUAACCAAGCUAAAUUAAAAAAAAAGGCAUCACAAAUCCUUUCCCUAGUAUAUUAAGUUUAAAAAAUAGAUAUAUAUAUACUUCUAUCGAAAAUACAAUAUAGAACAUAUUUUCGGUCUCAACUACUCUCGAUCGACAUUACAUGUGAUAUAAUGAAUCCAAUGGACAAGCAUUGUUUGGUUCUAUAUGUUAUUGUUCUCGACUAUAUUCGUAGUCUUCCAUCGAAAAGCAUUGAUGUAUAUAGGCUCUGUCAAUUCCUUCAUAUAACUCAUUAAAAAAUUUGUUAUUUCAAUCCCACGGAAAUUUGGUUAAGUUUGUGGGGAUGUCUUGUUGAUAUAAGAAUACGGAUAUACUUAUUAUGGAAUACAAUUUUUAAUGGUCAGGAAGAAUUACGCUUAAAUGUCGAGUGGUUUUGAGACAUGCAUGAUUUGUUUUUCUUUUUCUAGUUAGGCCAUCGUCGUUUACUUGUCGCGCGACCUUUCACCUGUGAUCGCAUGUCGCAUGUUGUUGUUCGUUUUGCUGUCGCGUAACAUGCGACUUGCGAUUGGUCGCAAGUCGCAGGUUGUUGUUCGUUUUGAUGUUGCACGACUGAUCGCGCGACCAGUCGCGGGUUCCAAUUCAAGUCGUCCGAAAAAACAACGACUAAAAAUUAAGAAAAUUUUGAUCGAACGAGUGGUCGCAGGUCGCAUAUCGCAGGUCGCGCGACACGUAAACGAACAUAGUUUUAGUCGCAGGUCGCAGGUUUAGUCGCAGGUCGCGCGACACGUAAACGAACAUAAUCUCAGGUUGGGUAAACGGCCUUACCUAUUCCUAUGAUAUGUCUUGUCUACUGUUGCGUGUCUAUGCCUUUAGAUAUGAAAACAUAAAUUUAUCUUUAUGAAAUUUUAUUUUACGAGAUGCGAUCUUUGUAGUAGCAUAUAUCAGGUAUAUAGAUGCAUCUGUUUACUACUAGAAUCAAGGUUCAGUACUAGAGAAAUAUAUAAGAAGUCUUACAAAAUGACUAAAUGAAAACAUAAUAAGAAUUGGUUAUAUAUAGCCAACUUUAAUUUGACUUUCAUCUUAUAAUUUGGUCGGUAUGCCCCAACCAAAUCUAUCCCUUUCAUUCUAAGCAUCGUGUGACAUAUAUAAUAGUUAAGUCAAGGUUUAUCUCUCAUAAAACUAACUCAAAAGAAUUAGCUAACCUCAUGAUUACCUUCUUCGUUGGAAAUUAAUUACUCACUCAUGAUUCUCUCCUUUAUUUAGCCUCAAACCAUAACUCUCCCACAGAUUCUGAUCUCCGUCUCCCAUGAAGAACGGGAAGCAGUUUGUAUUAGCGGCCAUUGCACCGCUCGGGUUUCCAGCGGCUGCGUUUACAUUUGAUGUUGAAGAACCCACAUUGCCUUGUUCAUUCAUCUGAUGACGCUGAUCAUUAUCAUUAUAUCCACUUUCUUGAUUGUUGUAGAUCGUAUUUUCUUCGGUUGUUGGAUAGUAAACGCCGCAGCUCGACGAAUUGUCCUUCCUUUUCUUGUUCAUUUUCUUCUUUCCAUUGCUUAUCCACUCCCAAUUUUCCUUGCAUAACAAGGCACUUUUCUGAUCGAACCCUAACUGAGCCAUUUUCCCUGCGACUUCCUCCCAUAAAGAAUCAUCCGAGCAUCCUCCCAAUAUCUCUUGAAACGCCGAGUCCAUACUAGUUCUUAUCUCCAUAAGCUUUGUGAUCUCUUGCUCAUUCCAGCAGCUACCACUUCCUUCAAUAGAAACAUUGUUAGUCAUUGUUUGGUCGCUUUCAUUGUCAUUCUGAUUCUCACUGUUCUUUUGGAUCUCAUUAUUACCAUUAAUCCUCUCCUCUGGGGAUGAACAUAACGGCUUUAUUAACGUCUUUCCGGUCAAAAACUGCAAAGCCUCAAUCACCGCCACAUCCCUAGCUUCCAUCCUCUCCCUCUCUUUAGACAAAAAAAAAGCUCUUUAUCGAUCCUCGCAGCCUCACUCUUUCUCCAUUCCUCUUCUUUCAUCAUCCUUCGUUCCUCUUUGUCUUCAAUAACCUUUGUCAACUUCUCAAGCCAAACAUCUUGCCUCUCCAUCAACCUUUUCAUGUUCACAUCAAUGAACUCCUUAAUCUUAUUUUUCCAACUCCUCUUUUUCCUUCUACUACUAGAAUCAUUCCCCUCAGAAGACGAAGUCACCAACUCCAGCUCGGAGGAAUUGUAGUUGUUAGAAAGGCUUAGGCUUUGACGAUGGAAACCAUGAACACUAUCAACGUUAUGGAUGUUAGACGUUGUUGUAGUAACGUCGUUCAUGGCGUUUUGAGUGUGGAAACCAUGAAGAGCAUUGCUCAUGAACUGUGUGUUAUGACUGGGACAAGGAACCAAGUUGUUGGAAUCACCGUAGAGCGCCUCGAGCUGCCGGAAAAAUCUAUAGUGUUUACCGUCUUGUCUUCCGGCUUUGCCUUCUCUAGUCUUCUUAUAGUAUUUGUAAAGGUUCUCAAACUUCUCUCUGCAUUUUUUCCCACUCCUUUGGUAUCCAUGUUCCUCAGACAUAAUCCUAAAUGUUAAAGCAAAAUAAGACUACAUGUACAAUACUUCAUGUUUCGAUUAAAAUUUAAAGCAGUACCCUAAUCUUGAAACUAGGUUUGAAUCAUGACUGUUCAUAAGAUAUUCAUAUAUUCAUCGUUUUCAUGCAUAAACGUAUACAGAAUAACAUUGUAUGGUCUAUUCGCUUAAGUUUAGAUAAUAACUUAAAAGUUUGUUUUUCUUACAUAACCAAGAUUAUUUUGGAGACUUACUAGUGGACUAAUAGUUUAGCACAAGAACGUGUUUCUAUGCAUAGUUACACAAAAGAAGAGGGUACAUAUCUCCUGAAACUAAGAAAGAUGAAUCAGAAGUUAUCAGUAAAAAGGGAGAAAACUAAAAUCAAAGUCAAAGAUGAUAAUAGAACUCUUUAUUUUACUAUUUUCUAUGUUUAACCUUUUGGGGUCUUAAAGCACUUGCUAAUGUCUUAACUGAAACUGCCAAGGUCUGGUCAUUCUCUCGACCAAACCAAAACGACUCCUAGAGAAAUUGUUUUAAACUGACCACUCUGCAGAUACACAUUAAUAUGUGUGUGUGUAUAUUUACAUAUAUACGCGCGAAUGUAAUAUUUAUAUGUGUCCCUAUAUUGAUCAGCUCAAAAAGUAUGUUGAAAUUGAGGAGCCCAAGGGAAGUGUUGAGAUCACAUUCUUUCUAGUCAUUAAUGCAGAAAAAGGUUUAACUUGUCUUCGGGAUUAUCACUUGAAAGGUCUAAUUUUUAACAAGAAAGCGUAUGAAAGGUCAAAUCUUUUCAAAUCUGAAAAAAACUCCGGAAAACAAAAUGCUUAAAUUUUAUUAAUAGUUUUUUGAAGAUGUAGCUGUUUAGUGUUUAGAAAUGAAUGUUUUCUUCCAUUGGAAAUUUAUUAAUUUUCGCCUAAUUGACUAACUUUUUUAAAUAGGAUACAGUGUCGUCGAUGAAUCAAAAGACUCUUAUGGUAUGAAUUGGUUUGAGAAAUGUGCUUAAUAUUUUUUAAUAUUUUUAUGAAAAAUAGCGGAAAAUAAAAAGAGAGAGAGAGAGAUUAGGGUUAAGUGAAGCAAACCUAGAAACUUCAUCCCAUAGAGGUCCCUUUUGAUUAGCUUCUUUGAACUUAUGAUCAAGACGAGAUCUAAUCUCCAGCAGAGUUAGGGUUUCUUGUCUCGGCCAUCUCCCCGUUCCUCCACCAUCUCCUCCUCCACCGCCGCCGAUACCUCCUCCGCCACCGCCUCCCCGCCAAACCCAACUGCUCCACCACUGCUGCUAGCGUUUAAGUUACUGUUAUUUCCAGCCGUCGAAGAACUCCCACCCAGUCCAUGUAUGCCACGUGGUAAGAAACCCAUCUCCUGAUCUGUAGUGAACUGAUGUAGCCGGUGGUGUUGCUGCGGCGGAGGGGGCGCAGCCGGAGCUAGGUUGAAGCCAAAGAAAUCAGAGGGAAAAUGAGAAGAGGUCGACGGUGAUUCCGUCGUAGUCACCCUCCCUCCGCCUUGCAUGAGCUGGCGGAGCUCCGGUACACCGUACUGAGGAUGAUGAUCGUCCAUUUUUACAUUUAUAUUCAGCUUAAAGAGAAGGAAAAAGUAAAGGCUCUCUACCUUUUAAUUCCAAAGAAAGAGAGAAAAGAUUGAAGCUUUUUUAGAGAGAGAGACUGAUCGUGUAGUUCAUGAAAAAGGUCGAAUGUAAGCUACAGAUAUGGUCCCAUGACUUAUAACAUUUUUUUAUUUUUCUUGUUGAAUGAGUGUGGGCGAGAGAGAGGGAAGAAAGCGAUCACUACAAGAAAGAGUAGCUGACUCCGAGAAAAACUUCCGACAAUUCAAGUUGUGGGUAAGUUAGCGACUGCGAGAUUUCCGACAAAUGAGCUUUCCGACAAAUGAGCUUCUAGGUAGUUUCCGACAGUUGACCGAUGACUACUCAUUUCCGAGACCCAAACUCCGACGUCUUGCGGUUUCUCGGCAACACAUCGGACUUAACUAAUUCCGACGAGAUACCCGUAAAUGUUACCGUCGCUAUUUGCUACUCUUUCUUGUAGUGGAUGUAUGGUACGUAUGGAUACUACAUACAGAUCUUUUUGUAUGAGAAUUUGUAUGUAUAUGUCUUUAAGUUUUUGUACCAUGUCCAUGUGUCUUAGUUCUCAUUAUCUCUAUCAAAUAAUUUGAAUACAUGCAUUGAUGUAUAUAUAUUCAUUUCAAUGUAAGGUUAGAUACAAUAAUAGUUCGAGCCAUCGAGGUAUUCUUCUUUAAAUCUUGGCUGUAGGAUUGGUUUUCAAAUUAUGAUCUGAAGACACUUUUCCAUUUCCUCUGUAGAUUUUUUACUACCGAGUUUAAUUAUUAUUCAAUAAAAAUAAUAUUAUUUAUAUAGCUCAUGAUAAAACUGUAGUUGCUGGGUGGAUAUUUUUACUUUUCUAUUAUAUGUUUCUAAAAGAAUGAUGUAUGUGACACUUUAACAGCUCCCCUCCCAUGUUGGCCUUUGGCGGUGGAGAUGCUGGUGCUUGGAGAGAAGAAGAAGAUCGAUCAUAUGUGUUCUUAAAUAGAAUGUUAUGUCAGAAGUUCCGUUUGUUCCAUAUAGAUGACCGCACAAACUUGUUGAACUCUAUCUAACUUUUUUAAUCCCUCCAAUUGCUCAACUUUCAAUUGUUUCACGAUUAUUCAAUCACCAUAGUUUUUUUUUUUUUAUGACCAUAGCGCUCGUGCCACAGUCUUGCUAUGUCAUCAGUUGUUGUCUGCAGGCAUCGACGUUCACUGGAUUCUGCAACAUCUUUACCUUGAUCAAUCAGCAUGAACAUGCGAUUUGCACUCAUCUUACUUUCUGCUAUCAAGCCCUUCUCUUCAUGAUAGAUUUUGCAGACUCCACUCUGAAUGAUGAUCGUGAUUUUCUUCUCCUGCAGCUGUCCCAAGCUCAGAAGGUUGUUCUUUAGUUCUGGUACGUAGUACACAUCACUUAUCAUGUAGCUUGCACCAUUGAACAUCAGCUUCAGGUUCCCUUUUCCAACAACCUCCAUCCUCUUGUUGUUGCCUAGCUUGACUGAAUGACUGAAUUUCUCAUCAAGCGUGGAGAACAAGCUCUUGUCUCCGCUCAUAUGAUUUGAGCAACCUGAGUCAAGAAACCAUACUUUCUUCCUUAAGCUCUCUUGUCUCUCAGAACCAACCAUUAGUGAGUGCACAACGACUUGGUUGCCUGCCUCCUCUUGAUGCACUUCAUCAAUCUCCAGUUCCUCAACAAACGCCAUUAGUAGCAUCUCUUCAUCUUCAAGAUCUGCAUAAUUUGCCUCUUCUUCCCACUUUGGACAUUCAUUCUGGAAAUGACCAAGCUUGUGGCACUUGUAGCACUCCACUGUGCUCUUGUUGAAUGCAGUCCUGCCACGACCUCGUCCUCUACCUCUUGCGAAAGACCCUCUGCCUCUGGAUCCCAUUCCUCUCCCAUGUGUGAUCUUUAGUACUUGAUCAUCACCUUUCUCACUCUUCUUAAACUUCUGCUCGUGAACCACCAAAGAACUCUGCAGUUCAUCUAAUGUGACGGUCUCAAUGUCUUUGGAUUCUUCAAUUGAUACCACCACAUACAUGAACUUCUCACUGAGAGUUCUGAGAAUCUUCUCAACCACCUUUGAGUCUGUCAUGACCUCACCAUUGCUCCUCAUUUGAUUGGUAAUUCCCAACACACGCUUGAAGUAUUCCUCAAUACUUUCACUCUCCUUCAUCUCCAAGACUUCAAAAUCUCUUCUCAACUUCUGCAGUAGCGAUCUCUUCACUCGAGCAUUGCCACCAUACUUCGAUUUCAUCGAAUCCCAGAUGAUCUUAGACGUUCUUCUGUCCAAGAUCUGCUCAAACGUCACCCUGUCAAUGCUCUGGUACAAGUAGUGCUUGACCUUGUGAUCGUCAGUCCUGCUGUUCUCCAGUUGCAGGCUCUGUUCUGCAGUCAGCACUGUUGCAUCUGCAGGUUCUUCAACACCGGUUUCAAUCGUACUCCAUAGUCCCUUGGCUCGGAAGAAGUUCUCCAUAACUUCACUCCAGUGAUCCCAAUGUCCAUCGAACUGCGGCAGUUUCAUCUUGUCGUUUCCCAUCUCUUUUUUUCUAAGCACAGAGCUCUGAUACCAAUUUGUAAUAAUAUCAAGUACUCUGUUUUUGUAUAUGAAAACUGUAAUUCAUUCGAUGAAACAAAUGGCUGUUAAAAUAGUCUUACAGAGAAAACAAUGAACUCCUAAAAAUAAGCAACUAAGGAACCAACUACUUGAACAAGCUUGGACCUAAAGACUCGGUACUGACUUCGUGCUAAACGCACUACUAUUAUUGACUUAAACAAAUAAACAUGACAAAGACCAAUUCAAACUUCAAUGACUUCAAACUUCCAACGGCUCUCAUCUCUUUGAAUUGCUCCAACACUUUAUGAUACGUUGAGCAUGUGGCUAUAAAAAAUCUUCGUUUUUUUCUCAUAGAAUAUGAUUCAUACGAAUAACAAAACAAAAGAUCCUUCGCUUGAAUGUUUUUUUAUUUAUUGUUAGUUUCUUGUGUCUCGAAUGAAACAUCAAGAUAGGUGACAGGUUAUGUUCUCUGUUAACGUGAGAUAGAAGCAUACGCAAUUGUAUAUUGAAAAUCUAAGUGAUAUACAUCUAAAAAUUUACGGAAAAAUUUUAUCAUCUCGACUCUAAAAUUCUUUUUUAUUGGUUUAUUUUAGUAUUGUAACUUUAAUUUAUAUUCUUAUUACUUUUGAAAAAUAUCAGUUGCUGUAUAAUAAUAAGAUAAGAUUCCUACAUUCUCAAAUAUUUAAAUAUUAUUUAUUGUUUUAUACUAACAAUUAGGUACUUUUGAAGUUUGCACAAUUUUCUUAAUACUCUUCUUAUUUCACUGUGUUUUUUUUAGUAAAAAUCUUUGUUUCAUAUAUAUACUAAAAUCUUAAAGAAAAAUAUUAUCAGUAUUUCUAAUAUUUCCAUAUUUUUGCUACGAAUAAAUAUAUGAUCUUCCACUAACCAUAGUUAUUUUAUAAAUAUUAUGAUGUAAAUAUUUUUGGCUAACAUAAUAUAGAAUCUUUUUAGAUAAUGAUGAUUAUCAAAUUAAUGAAAUUUGUUUAUAAUUUAUGGGUAAUUAUAUAUUAACAAAAAUAAUCUAAUUAUUUUUAUGUAAGGGUAAUGAAGACUUUAAAUGUUCUAACUUUUAACGUGAUAGCAAAAAAAAAAAAUUACAAAUAAUAAUAUAAAUAUUUUUGAAUUCUUUGCUAACCUUUUUCAGAAAUUAUUACAAUAAAUGAUUUUAACUGUCUUAAAAAAUUUAUCUUAAAAGAUAGAUGAUUUAUUCUAUCUUAUGUAACAUAUAUAUAUUAAAACAAAACCGGUUUAAUAUUAUUGAACCAAGUAAUAAAAACAUAUAUAUAUAUACUCAUGAUUUGAGAGUUUUGAAGGGAUUUAAAUACCCCUCUAAUUUAGAAGGGAUUUGGGAUUUGAACAAAUUUUUAGAAAGGAAUUAGAAGAGAUUUCAGGAAAUUUGAGGAUUUUUAUUUUUGGUUUUCUUUAAGCAAUUGUUCUUUAAAGCUUUCACUACUUACAACUGUCGUUCACUAAACUUGGUAAUAAGUUUCAUUCAUAAGGUAAUAGAAUCAAACAGUUCUAUCCACACAGAACCAAAACACAAUACCAACCAAAAAAAGAGAGGAUAAAAUGUGAAAUCUUGAACAUCCAGACUUCUUGUAGAUCAGUUUGCAUUCAGGAGAGUUUCAACCUCUAGCAUUGUAGGAAGAGCUGGAAUUGCUCCUUUCUUGGUAGCUGUAAUGGCUCCACAUGCAUUAGCAAACCUAAUUCUAGAAGACGAGCUUCCUCCUCGAGAACAGAGCGGUCACCAACAAUGGUGCAAAGCAAGGCACCAACAUAUGAAUCACUAGUACUAGUUGUAUCCACAACGUUCACAUGGAAAGGAUCAACAUAUCCACGGAAGCUCUUGGUGUAAUAAUUACAACCCUUUUCACCUAAAGUGACCAAGAGAAGAUUUAAGUUAGAGUGCCACUGAGACAAAGCAGUCUCAUCAUCAACAUUAUCAGAUCUAGUUAAGAACAUAAGCUCUUCAUCGUUUACUUUGAUCACUUCAGCUUUUUUCCAGCUGCUAAGAAUCUGCUUUUUAGCCUCCUCCUUAGAGGGUGGGUAACCUCAAGUUGGGUCGUAAGAGAGAAACGCACCGGGUUCUUUAGCCACCUCCAUUGCCUUCAGGUGACGAGAUCUACAAGGGUUGGUUAUGUAGGCUAGAAUCGAAGAACAUUGUGGGAGGAAAAGAGAUUUAGUUUAGGGCUAUGAAAAAUGUAAUUAAGGCGUGAUUCCUUAAAAGUUAGUUAUGCAAUAAAGCCAAAAAAAACUUGAGAAUUUAAAAUUGCAAGAUGUCACUAAUUGUCAUAUAAGAAACUCAACUCAACUUUAUUAGCAUAGAUAGAUAGAUAGAUAGAUGGUCUAAUUGUAUAAUAAAUACAAAGAAAACAUAAUUGUAUAGAUAUAUAAAAAAAAUGGAUCAAAUAUAUAAAUUUAUUUAAAUCAAUACUAUAUGUUUUAAAUUUUAAUUUUAUAAAUUCACUCCUAGCAAAAUAUUAAUCUGCUUGUAGGUUCUUUGUACAACAAAUAAUGAUACGAGGCCCUUUGACGGGGCCCAUUGGGCUAUUACGAUCGAUGGAGGUUUUGGCAAUGGAUAUCGAAACACUCGUUAGGGUUUUUACAGAAGAAAAAAAGAAUGCACAGAUCUGACGGUUGAGAGUAUGCUUAUCUGAGAUCCAAGGGUUAGAAAACAGGCGAGGCACAGCGUAAUAGAUCUCUCUGCGAGGGGGGACGCAGUCACAAGAAGUAGAAAAAAAAAACCCUCUCUCUCUCAUUCAAAGGCUCUCAUCUAACCCUAAUUAUAGAGAGAGAAAGUCUCCAAUCCUCAUCGGUGGAACCAUGGACGAAGAAGGCGAGACCAUCUUAUUUUAUUCCGGUAAGAUCUCUUUCUUAACAGGAAUUUGUUUGUUAGAUUUCGAUCUGUAGUAAAUUCGUUUACGCCUUGUCCUUUUUUUUUGUGUGUGUGAAAGUGAAUGAUACAUUCGUUUGCUGGAACAUUGAUGAUUGCCCAGUCCCUGUGGAUACCGAUCUUGGUUCUAUUGUUAAUAAUUUCGAACAUGCUCUUCACCAAAUGGGCUUUGCGGGGAGAAUGAGCAUCAAUGUGGAUUGUAAGAAACUCAACUCCAACGAAGAAGCCUUGUUUAAGGCCGGAAGAAUUUUCUACUUACCCUAUGGUAAAUUCCUCAGUCGCUUCUAUUUAAUUAUAUGCCUGAGUUAUUAUUUAACUAAACUAAAAAAUGUUUGAUUUAUUAUGUAGGCGAAACAAUGUGCCGCAAUUUUGUUACUAGGCCUACUCUGGAUAUGACUUUUUAUAUGCUCUCUGUAUUACAAGAGACUGCACCAAUACUUGCAAAUUUAGCCGUAGUCGUCAAACCAAAUAUUGAUCCAGGUAGUGAGUUACAUAGGGUUCUGCACUGUUUGAAAUCGAGGGGUCACAAUGUUCUCCUAGUAGAGCUGCCACCUGAUGAAAAGUGUCUCUUUAGUGUUGACUCUCUACUUAAGAAUUCACGAUUUUUGGGUGGAGGAAAGCCUAGAGCCAAAAAAGAGUUAACUCCUGAAGAGAUGCGGGAGAUGCAGCGUCUGUAUGACUCGGAGGAGGAGGAGGAGGAGGAUGGUAGUUAUGAUGUUAGCGAUCUCUCCAACCAGAAAAUGUUAGAUUUCUCAGGUAAGACCCUCUCAAAUUGUUUGUUUGUUUUAGAUUUCAUCUGUCAUUUUUAAAAAUUAUAAAUGGUAUUUAGCCUCCCUCCCUCUUUUGCAUCGCUCAGAGCGUAUCAAACACGUCAAAGGGCCUAGGACAGUCAUCUUCUGGGACGCCAUUGAUUGCCCAUUCCCUCUUUGUUUCUCUCCUGAACAGAUCUUCCAGAAAAUCAAAUCAGUUCUUAUGAAAAAAGGUACGAAUGAUAAUAUUACAAUCUGGGCUUAUGUCGAUGAACGGUCUUGGAGGGAUAAGUGUCUGGGUAACAAGACUUGGGAUUCAAGAAUCUACUUUCUUCCCGCAGGUGAAUUCCAACCUUUUUCUUUGUGUGUAUGUAAUCUAUAUAUGUUGAUGUUUUUUCUCAUUUUUUUUUAUCCAGGGGAUAGACGUGUCAGAAUGUUAAACGACAUGUAUCUACAGUGUAGAGACGCUCCUCUGCACCAUUGUCCAGGACUUUUGAUCCUAGUCUCGAAUCAUUUCUCAGGUGACCCCUUCUACAUGGAGUUGUUUCAGGACAUGGAGCACCAAAAUUACCAUCCUUUCUUGAUAAUUCCGAGGGAGCACAGCAACAUAUCAGAAAGCCCUGAUGAAUGGCCACAGUCUCUAUUUAAUAGACCUCGCAAAAGCUCACAAGGACCUCUUCCCAAAAAGCCUAAACUGGAUGCUGCUUAAAGUAGCACAUGCCCAGGGCUGAUGAUACUCUGGUUAUUAUGAUGUUGGAUCUUGCUUGCUUCACAAGAUCUAUUGUUGCAUCCUGAUAUUUAUAUCAAAAACUCUUGUUCUUAUUUUGGGUUUACGCUUUUGUUUAUUUUAAACUGCAAACUCUGUUGUGACAAAUUUUAU